RNAcentral lists this long non-coding RNA (249867 nucleotides) under Vitis vinifera (wine grape). Its description in RNAcentral is "long non-coding RNA (VVIN_LNC003653)". Lineage: Eukaryota; Viridiplantae; Streptophyta; Magnoliopsida; Vitales; Vitaceae. The record is from RNAcentral.
GGCAGUCAGCACCAAAAGAUAGCAUCAUACAAACAUCAGCAACUCUACCCUUUCCAGCAAACACCAUUAGUGGUGUUAGUCCAGUUGAACUAUGCUGGUAAUUGAAAACUUGUGGGGUCCCUUCCGAAGAAACGAAAUCAAGUAGAGGAUCAAACUCAUCAUUUGACCAAGCCAAAUUAAUAGCUUCGUCUAAGGCAACCCCAUAGUCCUCAAUUAACUUGGGGUCCUCAACUGGGAGGCUUAGCAAAGUAGAAUCAAGGUUAUUAUUUCCUGUUGAUUUCAAGAUAGAAAGUACAUCCUCCAAAUAAAAUGUUUUGACCUGAAACAAUUAAUGCCAGAUAUCACAACUUCUGUCGAAACAUCAGAUAAACAAAUCAAUAUCUCAUAAUAUCCGGAAAAAUGAUUUCUUACAGGAUAAGUAAAUCCAGGAACUCGUAUUAUUGGGCAGCCACCAAAAUAUUGUGAAAAUCGUUCAGCAUCAAUAGUAGCACUCAUUAGUAUCUGUUGGAUUAAAAAUGGUAAGUGAAGACCAUUAAGUGAAAUCAUAUAAUUAGAGGUUAAGAAAAUCAAAGAAGUGUCUUGCACAUGGAAGUUCGAUUCAUAAAAAAAUAAAUAAAUAGAAAUAGAAAACAGGGAUUUAUACUGACCAGACGUAGAUGAGGGUAAGAGGCAAGCAUGUCUCUGCAGGUAAGAAACUGAUAUCAGAGGAAAUGACAGAAAAUUUUUAACAUGCAAUGCAAACAAAUAUCUUGCAGAAAAGUAAAUGUUCUUUCAUUUCCAGAAAAUAUUUAUUACACGCUGUAAACUUCUUUUAAUAGGCGAAAAAGAAAAAUAUUAGAAGAGCUUAAGAGGAGGCGCACCAAAGUACACACAAUGUAUACAAUGGACACUCAGGCAAAUCAAGGAAAUGGAAAAAGGAAAGCAACUCCCUUUCCUUACUUGAAGCUCAACCAAUCUACAAAGUCUAUCAUGGACAUUGAAUGGUCCUCCAUGUAUACUUUAACCCAUUCCCAAAAUUUAUAAACAAAACAAGAUUUAAUUGCUUGGUCCUACUAUUCGAUAUCAUUAAACAACCUUCUAUUUCUUUCCUUUCAUAAGAUCCAAAAUAAGCAUAAGUGACCUUCUAAGCUUUCUUCUACUUCUUCCCCAUGAAUAAGUCAUGCCAAUUCAAAAGGUUUCCUCUAACCAUAAAGUGUAUCACCCAAACCACACUAAAUAUAGAGUAAAUCAGCUGCCACAACAUUCUUGCUUUGAUACAGUGAAUAAUCAACCAAAAAAAGAUGGGACACUCACAUCCACUCUCCGUACAUCCCACCCACCUUGAAUCCUAAAGUAAACCCCCCUUCACCUCCUCUCCUUAACUAUGCUUAAGAUCUGACUAAAAGCCGCCACCACCAAAAUGAACAAAUAAGGGGAUAGGAGAUCACACUGUCUCCAACUUCUAGAGCACUAAAAAAAGCUAGAUAGGGUCACAUUAACUAGAAUUGAGAAACUUGUUGUGGAUAUGCACCGUUCUAUCCAUCUAAUCCACUUUUGACCAAACCUCAUUUUGGUAAAGACCACAAUUAAGAACUCCUAGUUGACAUGAUCGUACUGCUUCUCAAUGUCCAUCAUGAAAAUAACUCCCAUAUUGUUGCUCUUGAACCUUGAAUCAAUGGAUUCAUUAGUAAUAAAAACUGCAUCCAAAAUCUAUCUAUCCUACACAAAAGCAUGCUGAUAGGCUAAAAUCACUUUUCUUAUGUCUUUUGUUAGUCUGUUUUUCAAAACCUUAACUAAAAGCUCAACAAUCCCCCUACCAAGGGGAUGAGCCAAAAAUAUUUUAAAUCUUCUACUCCGCCUUUUUUCAGGAUCAAACCGAGAAAGUGGUGUUUUAAGGUAUGUUUGGUAAUUGUUUUUGAAAACAAUUUUCUUUUCUUUAAAACAAAAAAUAGUUUUCUAGCUUAGAAAAUAUAUUUGAGAAACUUUUGACAAAAAACAAUUUUUUCUCAUAAUUUCUUUUGAAGAUAUGUUUCUUAAAACAAAUUUGAGAUGUUUUUAGUAUGGAGUGUUCUAAGUAACAAUUGAAAAGAUGAACACUUUGGAAACGUUUGUAGUGAACAUUACCUUCAUGAAAAAUAUGGCGAGAAAACUGUUUAUCAUAUUUAAGUUCCUAAAUAGAAUUUUGUUCCUGAAAAUAAUUGAGAACUGUUUUCGAAAACAUUGCCAAACAAACCCUAAGUUUCUCUAAAAAGUGCCUUGGUAAAAAAACUCCCUAAAUUAAACCCUUCACCUCAAACUUUAUAAAUUCCUAAUGUGACUAAAACACCAUAUUCAAGCCAUCUGGCCAAGAAGCCUUAUCCCCAUGGAUUAGAAAGAGCAGGUAAAACACCCCCUCCGCAAAAGGCUCCUUCAAGCUCCUAGAGUUGCUUCUCCCCAAGACUUCAAAGCUAAUUAUGCUAAUGCACAGUCUCUAGCCUCUUAAGUCACAAAGGAGGGAUUGAAAGGCCCUACACACCCCAUCCUUUAUCCUGGCCCCUUAAGACAACCAUUCACCAUUGACUCUUACUUUGGUCAAAAUGUUUCUUCUACAACAUGCAUUGGCCAUUUUGUGAAACAAUUUGGAAUUUUUACACCCUUAUGAACAUCCAAACAAAGCCAUCUUCAUAGUUUUUGAACCAAGAGGAGAUGGAGGACACCCCCACUUUCAUGUCAAUCAACUCUAGCACCCUAUUGUCCCAAAACACCAAAAUGCCUCCUGUUGAACUUCUAACUUCCAUUGCUCCCUAUUCCUAACAUCUCUUGCACCUUGGUUUCUUGUAAGAAAACCAAAUCCACGUUUCUCUCUAUACCAUAGCAAGCAUCCCAUUUUCUCUCUUCUCACAUUUCUCACAAGUUAUGAUUUACUUAAAUACCAGCUAUAACCCCCUCAAAAAAACUAUUUUAAAAGAUCCUUCAUAGUAAUCUCAUCCUAUCUUUCUAUUAAUUGCUCCCUCACUAUCCAUCAAUCUAACUUCUCAACCAAUCAUCACAUGUUUCAUUGUUUUCUCGUCUCUUUCUAUAAAUAUGAUCAUUCCAACAUCUUGACGAAUCACAUAUUUUGUGCUAUGCGUGCAUGUUGGAUGUACCACUACCUCUAGUUUUUAUGGAGAAGAUUAUAAUCUUUCAUUUUAUUUUUUUAUAUAACAAAGAAAGAGUGACAAAAAGUUUACAGUCACUUCAACAGUGAUGCAUACAAAAAGAGCAACUCCUUCAAUAGCUAACAACAAUAUUUUGAAUAUCAAAUUACUUGAAACACAAGCAUCCUCGUAUUUUAUCACUCCAUACAUAAUAAAAAAAUCUAAAUUUACAUCUGUAUCCAUGCCCCAAGCAAAUAAACAUACCCAUUUCCAUGAAUUUCUAGCAUGACAACUACAUUUAUAAAUCAAGUAUGAAGUACCUGAGAAUUGCUAGCAUGAAAUCAGAGUAGCGAUCCCUUUCAUGAAUUUCAUCCUACCAAACAAAAAUUGUGGCCAUAUUAAGGGCAUGCCAAUAAAUCCGAAGCAAGAAUAUGGUAAACGAAUGUGGGGAGACAAUCAGUACCUAUUUCAACACAGUAUCCCAAGCAAUAUCAAGAUUGGAGGGAAUUUGUUUUAAGAAACCAACAAAUCCCAAAGGACAGCAACACUGAAAGAGGGAUGCAGUUGAAAGCAUACUCACAUGUUUUCUUUCAGUUUCUUCUCAUGCAUAUACAAAUCAUAUAAUGCUAGAAAUGCUCAGAUGUGCUACACAGAACAUAUUUAGACUGAACAUGCCAAAUAUAAUGAGACCAGGUACCAUACUAGAAACCGUGAUAUUGCUACCAGUUUACUGUGAGUAGAUUUACACAAUUUAUUUAGUUCUUCAUUGUUAUUUAUAUAUAACAAUAGGCCCCAUACCAGCCUAAGCCCAUGCAAUCUAAGAAAGAAGCAUUUUCAAUCCCCACAAGAGUCUGAGACCAAGCAAACAAGUAGGCCCUACACCAGCCUAAGCCACACCCAAGUAGUCAAUGAAAUCUAAGAAGCAUUUUCAAUCCCCACAAGAGUCCAAGACCAAGAAACAAGUGCUUUAAAAAGGAAGUCUCUGAUCUCCAAAUUGGAAGUUACUAUGCUCCCUCAAAACUUAUACUGUUCCUCUUUUAAAAAAUAUAUCAAACCAAACAUAAAGCAACUAGCUUCCACACUCUCUUCCUUGAGCUCAUCACUCUAGUUUACAUUUUGUGUGGAAGAACAAGAAAAUGAACUAAAGAUUGCUGAACCAAAUCUCAAGAACCUACAGGAGCUUUUCCAAGGUAUUAAUCACUCUCUUGGCUUCAAUUACUCUUUAAUCUCCCAGUCAAAUCAACACAAUUAGAAGACAGUAAUUACAACUAAGCCCACAAAAUAAAAGUAAUUGCAUUUUGAGAGAAUAUUAUGACAACUCCUUUCUACAUUAGUUUGCAAAGACCACCAUGCAAUAUCUAUAAAUAAAUCUUGGGACUUACAUAAUGUUUACUGUCAACCCAUUGGUAAUUUAUACUUCACGUUCCUCACUAUUUAAAUUAAUGAGUGAAUUGCUAAUAAAAUUCUUUUCAGAGAAGAAUGUUUUAGAAAUAAAUAAAGAGUUUAUUCAUACAUACCAAAAUUUCAUAUUAGAAAACCUCUUAUUGAACUGACUAGACUAAACUCCAGUAAUUAAAUCCUAUAAUAACUCUAGGGACUAUUGUCCUCUCUUUUGAUAAGUGGAUUCCAUCUUUAGAAGUAUAUGUUCCAAUAUUUCUAGCCUCGAUUAUCCAAGUCACUAGGAUUGGACAAUAGAAGAAGUUGCUCUUUCAUUAAUCAAAGCAAUUAAGAACAGAAACUUGACUCCCUUUUGCUUUUGGCAAUGGUGAGAAUACAUCAAAAUAUAGAUUCCUAGAUAUGUUCUCAUCAGUGAUUUCACAAAAUGUAUACCAAAUACACUAACAUGUUGACUCUAAAUCAACAACUCCCACGAUUAACAUAGACCACACUAUCACAUGCAGGUUGAUGUCUACAGUCUUUGGGACAAUAAUGUGCCUUCACUUUUGCACUAGCUCUGAAUCAGUUCAUAAAAUACCGGUGACUCAGAUCUCAUGCAUACAUUAACACUCCUCAAACACAAUCCACCUACAAUAUAACUUGUGGUACCAGAUGCAUAUCCAGAAUCACAUUAUACAAAUACUCAAAAUACAGAAUAAAUGAAACAACAAUAAAUUAAAUUAUGAAAUUAGUAAAACAAUUUGUUUCCACAUAAUACAGUCCAAAAAAUAAAUAUUAUGUGGAAACCAAGUAACAUUUAUACAUAUUGGAUGUAAAGGGAUUUGAUUGGAAUGGUUUUGCAUGAAAGUGUCUCAUUAUAAUAUUCACUAUUUUGGAAUACAGUAACAUUUAUUUAACAGAGUUAGUCAUAUACAAUUGGUUUUUUAAUUAUAUCAAGUGUUGACAAAAGAUUAAAAGACCAAUUAAAGUGAAGUGAAAAAUCAAGAUCCCUUCAAUGCCCAGGAGAGCCCUUAUACAUUCUUCAUAUGGAUGAGGGGCAAGCUCAAGUUAUAUUCAUUUUCAUGGAGAACACAACGUGAAGGAAGGAACUAGAGAAAAGGGCUCUCAACAACACUAAGCUUGAAGUUCAGCUCUAAGGGUAUUGGAGUUGAGGUUUUGGGUGGAAAAAUAGUCCCAAUUCGUUUAGUGUAGCAUAUGAAAGUUGCUAUAAUCAUACUUUCAUUUAUUUAUUUCAAAUAAAUGAAAGUUACUACCUGUCAGGACUACAUCCACAUUUAAAAGUGUGUAUUAAUAUAGAAUGCUCGUCAAAAAUUGGUUUCAGAUUCUUGUCCAAACCAAAUAUUCGAAUGAGAUGCAUUGGAAUAAGAUAAGAAACAGUUUUUCUGAUACUAAUAUUUACUUUUCUAAAUGCUAGAAUGUGAAUGGGUGAAUCUAGGGCUUCUUAAUCCCAUUACUCUAUUCCAAGAACCAAAUAGAACCCAUGCCCUCCCAACAGUUCUUGUCAAGAAGUGAUAGUGAGCCCAAAUUCCCACCAUGCCAAACUAGUUUGGAAAACCAAAGCCUCCACAAAGGUAAAAGCUCUUCCAUAGAUUGUGGACCCACAAGAACACAAAUACCAAUGAAAUGCUCCAAAUCAAAAGAUAUUAUGGAGCCAUUUAGCCUUGGAAAGUUUUCCACACGUUCAGUUGGUGAACCAGUGAGCCACCUAUACCUCCAUUGCUAGACUUGUCUUGAGCUUUCCCAGAGGUUGUUUUAUUCAGCAUUGAUCCUUUACAUAGCCUGAAAAGGCAUUUCUAAAAUUCAUGAUUUUAUUCUUUGACAGCUUUGGCAUGAAAAGGAGGGCGGAGUCCAGGGAAGUAAGAUCUUUUAGCUACAGUUGAGUGAACUGGAUGAAAAGGAAUGCUAGAAACAUUUUAGGACAAAUAAGAAACUGAAAAGGAUAGGCAUGGGGUAGAUUUCAUUUCUUACAUCUCUUUGGCUCUUGAUGACCAAGGACAUGGAUUGGACAUUAAUCUCUUCAGGAUUUAAGAGGCAAGAUUCUCUUGUCUUACAGUGAAACUGCAACUAUGAGGUUGCUUUCUGGGGACUCCAAGCCAAGUAGGAAUUGGAAGGAUUAUCAGAGAUCAUAAAAGAGGAAUGUUACUCAAGUCUUCCACUGAAGCUAAAUGUCUAGCCUUUUGUCAAUGGCCUCAUCAAGGUCUGCCCACAAGGGAUCAAGAACCUGAUGGUUGAAGAGCUUCUACAGUGGUUGUCUUGUGAUUUGAAAAAGGAAAUAGAGGUGCCUAUCAUUAUGUCCAUUUGAUGAGGAUGAUCUUUCACAUAUCUAGAGCAAAAGGAGUCUCUUUCCUAAGAAGACUUGGGUUGAAAAAACAAAAAUGUGGAUAUCCAGUCAAAGAGGAGAGUUAGAUUCUUUGUCUCCUCCCCUGGGAUUGAAUUCUUUGAGAGAUUUUUUUUUUUUUUUUCCCUUCUUUCUGCACUUAUUAUUGGGGCUUUGGUUCGUUUCUUCUGGUUUUCUCUUUAAAGGAUUGUUCAUCCUUCUUAUAAAUCCCUGUAUGUUUGGUCGUUGGUCAAUAAUAUUUUUAUUUUUUACAAAAAAAGUAGUUACAUUUAAAUGAUACCUUGAUACUCAAAAGGAGAUUUCCUACAACCUUUAAACUUAAGAAUUGAGGCAAGAGAUGGAAAUUUAAAAUAUCAGAUUAACAAUAAAAGGAGACGGUAGAACUUGGUAAUUCUAGAUGGCGAUUUGACUAAGAGGAAGUGAAAAACUAAACAACUAGACACUAAGCCAGAUGUAGCUUUCUCUAAUGAAUGCAAAGGAAGACAAUUCACUCAAUUAUAUCCUGAAUGCAAAAAUGAUCCUAUAGUAGAAAAAGCAUCAUCAUACUCAGAAAGGAUUCUGGAAACUUUAUGAGUUAAGUGAGAGAAAGAUCAGUACCACAAUUAUGUGCGUUAUGUCAGAAAUAUCUCUCUUUGCUGCUUUGCGUAAAGCUUCUGGCUUCAACCUAUCAGUGCCUUUUGAGACCAAGACUCUCAGUAGAAUCCCAUUUGUGCAAAAUAUGAUAGAUGAGUGCCUUCCACCUUUGCUUUCCAACCGUAUCUAGCAUUGUCAUAAAUAGAUAGAUAAAUAAUAAAACCACUACAUGUCCAAAAUAUAAUACACCAAAAUUUACAAUCUAAAUAAGUGCAUAAAUUUCAUUGAGUACAAUAUUUUAAGUGUGAAAAAAGUAUCAACUAUUUUUUGCUUCGUAAACACUAAGAUACUAUCAUUAUUCUUAUUGGCAUAAAUAUCCGAUUCCUUACCUUGUAUCCAACACUAUCGCCAACAUUUUCUCCUUUCUCAAAAGAGAUUCUCUCAGCAACUAGAACAAAAUUCACAACAGUGUAAACUUGUGUACAGCUUAAAGGGAUGGAUAAAAGAGAGAAGAAAAUGAAUUUAGAAAUGAUCUAAGAACUUUGAAGACAGAAAGGUCGUACGCACCUGAUGUCGCUGAAAUACGUCGAGGUUGAGUACAUACUAUUUUACAUGCUUCCCCCUUACCCCACAUAUAGUCCAAAACAAAUUGAGGAACCUGCAUCAUAUUGAUAACAAAGUCAAGCAUUGAACUGAAUUCGAAAAAAAUGUUAUUAACAAGAUAAAAAAAAAAGUCAAAACAUCAUAUAUAGGAAAUGCUAACUAAUGUACAAGAAGAUUAAAGUUUCCCAACAUGUAAGGAAAGAAAUAUCUACGUCAUGAAGCCAGCAUUAGGAAGGUGGUUUGUACUAGACAUCAUAUACCAAAAUGUUUCCAUUCUUGAGGAAACUGGCGAGAAAACACAAUUCCAAAAAGUUCAAAACUUAACUGAAACCUAUUGUAAGUCUGACAACACUCCUUGGAACAUAUGCUCAAAAUAAUUAAAUUCAAUAAAUUAUACAACUGUAGUAUCCUUCUAAUACUUCUUAGGCUUGAUUGCCCUGACUUCCAUUAUCUUAAGCAAAAAUUUCUAUCAAGGUGAAACCUCUUUCCUUAUCUGCCUCGGAAAUCUAAAUCUGACACCACUGACUGUCAGCAAUCUGUUUGUGCCUUGUCCCACUCUUAGUGACCCUCCAACAAGCUCAUGAAUUUUUAUUUUUUUUUAAAUCAGAAUCAAGCAUUUCAUUCCAUAAAAAUGAAUAUUUAUAUAACAAUACGAAAAGGAUGGGUUAUCUUUUAGAGAGGUGGAAAACAACAAAAGAAAACAAAGAUAAACACAUACACAAUAACAAAACUCAUGAUGUCAACAAAGUUAAAAGGAAAUUUAGGCCUCGUUUUGGAUAGCUUCUUGCUUUUGGCUUUAACUAGAUGUUGAAACCAAAGCUAAAGUCAUGAUUUUAAAUGGGCAAUCCUGGUAGUAUGGAAUUUUCAUAUUUAAUGAAACAACUCCUUUCCUAAGUGAUAAAAAGGGCUUCCAUGAAAAGCAGCAUUAUUCUUACUCCCUAUUUAACCCUUUUAUAAGCCAGAAGCUACCCAAAAAUAUAUAGAAGCCCCUAUUCGGCUUUCAAAAGAGCCUUUUGCAUCCCAAAAGCUAAUCCAAAUAGGAGCUUCCUAAGAAGCCCCUCACUUACUCAAACUAUCCCUGGUUUGGUUGACAAUAUAAGGUAUCCAAGAAAGGGAACGAUGUAAAGAUAUAACCAUGUCAAUGGAUUUGCAUAACCAAGAGUUUAAUUUCCAAAGACCUUUCUUCCCAUGAAACACCAAUUGUGUCACCAAAGUUGAGUCUCCCUCUAACAAAAGAUUCUCAAUGCCCGAUGACCAUGCAAAGAGCAAAAUCAAUAAAGCAAGAAUUUGUGUCUCAAUAGUCAGCCUUCCCCAGAAAACUUGGAACAUCUUUUAACCAAAUGACCUCACCUACAAUCCCAAUUUGUUUUGCAUAACCUCAAAGGCAAACCACCAAAAUUGAGCUUGAAAUCACAUGUUGGAGGGGGCUUUCCACUCUUAUAAACUUCCAUAAUCCUCUAACUAAGAAAUGGACAGACCACCUUAACUGUAACAUGUCAUUUAGUAUUGACCUUUUUGCUCACAACCCUGCUAGAGCCUUCACGUUGGUGAGGCUUUAGACUUCUAGACAAAAUUGGUUUGAGGGAAAGAAUAGGAGCGUCUAGAGGAAGAGAGCUAAACAAGAAUAAGGUAGGUGAGAUUGUCAAUUUUCUUGUCUGAUAAGUUAUGUCAAAAGUUAGGAAAGACCAAGAACAAGAGAAAAGGUAGAAGUCUCAAGACCAAAUGGAGGUAAGGAUAAAGAGCUUAAAAUGAUUGGCUGCCCGAACAUAAGUCAUCCUAAAAUAAAAUCUUAAAACAAUCUCUAGCUUAACCUGUCUCAAGUGUGAUUGGCUAGGAACACUAGGUAAUCACCUUGGCUUUUUUUCCUUCUCUUUUCAUCCUUACAUCUUUAACCUAGAAGCUCCCAAUCUCACAAAACUCUCAAUCUUCCAUCUUGGAAACCUACCUUAAAAUGAACUCUUUAUAACUUGUUUCACAAACUAUAGUCAAGUCAAAAAUACUAAAAUACAUUUGGUGCUGAAAUGGUAAAGACGCUAAAUCAACACAAAAUACACUCAAACAUCAAGCCCAAAAAAUUCUAAGAACUACUUUGAUAAAAAUAAAUAAGGAGUAUGGGAAAUGAGUUAUAAGGAUGAAGGAACAAAAUAUUGAUAUUAACAUUCAACACUAUCAAAAUUCAAAAAAUACAAAGAUAUUUGGAUAUUUUCAAUGAAAAUAUUAUCUUUUUUUUAAAUUAAGUUUUGCUUUACAAACAAAAAUAAAUGUUUUUGCUUUAUAAGAGAAAAUAAAUGUUUUAUAAGAGAAAAACUAAGUUUUAUUAAUUCAUACAUAGGCUUGCAUUCUUGACACAAAAGAACCUCAAGUCUUACAAGGUUUUGAGUAAGAUGCCAAAUCAAGCUUCUGAACAGGAGUAUUGCCUAAAGAGAAUCUUCUUCUAACUAAACAUAUCUCAACUCAUUGGAUACUAAUUUUCAGUUACCUAAACUUAGAGUUGAGAAUGGGAGGGUUCAUGCACCUCAAGUUGGGUGGGUUGGCCACCCAUCCUAACAUCUUAGUAACUGAAAUUGAACUUCAACCCAUUUGUAAGUGAGCCCAAGUUUCGGCUGGAAACUAGACUAUUUAUAACUGCACUUUGCCCAAUUACCCAAUGAAAAAUAGUUUGAGUUAGAAAUGUUGAACUGAUUAACGAAAUGCAGAACUACAAAAUGAUAAAUAAUUUGUCAAGCCUACAGUUUAUAAGCCUUCAGCCCAUGUAUAAUUGACCAGAUUUGGUAACUUGAAUUUAGCUCAUUUACUAUAUGAUGCUACCUAGGCCAACCUGUUUACUCUUUUUCCAUUUGUCAUAAGAACUUAUAAUGCUAUUAGAAACUUCAGAAAACAACCUUAACCUAUAUAGUAACCAAGCACAAAUUGAAAUUCUCAAAAGUAGUAUUGACAAUAAGGAACCAAAUUAAACUAAUUAUACAAAUAAACUCAAAUAGAAAUUAUUUUUAUUCAACUAGAAAAGAUAUCUCUAGGUAAUACAAAUAUUUCCUUUCUCAUUAACAUGUUCUGCAUCAGGUGGAAUGUAUUGAACUCAUCUUUUUUAUGGGUUUGGUAUGGUCCAAGAAAAUCAGGAUUCAAGUUGCCAGGGGGAAAAAUAACUUGCAGCCCAUUUGUCUUGGUCUCCUUGUAUAGUGGAGUUCAGUCACUUCUUUUCUCAGAUUUUUGCAAUGAUAGGGAGGACUCCUCAUCCUUCUCAUGUACUUUUUACCCAUAUUAAAACAUAUUUUGUUUCUGAUCAAAAAUAAAAGUAAAAAAAUAACUUGCAGCCACAGUUAUUUGCUCAACUCAACUAGUAAAUGCUCUCAGUUUCAAACAAAAGGUUUCAAGUUCAAGUCCCAGAUUUACCUGACACAGGGUUCUAUGGAGAGGGAUUAUGUAACCUAUAAUUCUUUUCCAAUUAUACAAAAUGGAGCUAGUGGAUUUCCACAUUAUAAAAAAAAAAUCAAAAAACAACAAAAUAGAAAUAAAAGAAGAAGAAGAUGAUGAUGAUGAAGAAGAAGAAGAAGAAACCAAAAAAAAAAGGCCUUGCAGCCCAAGUAACUUGGACAGUAGGCAUGAGAACUCGAUAUAAGGCUUGGCCAAUCAUGCCUAUAAAAAUAAAAUAAAAUUGCACCAGCCAUAUUUUGGAGGAAUAUGAUUUUUUAUUUUUUAUUUUUAUCAGAAACAAAGAUAAAUUUUUAUUGAUAAAAGAAAAAAAGAAGGAUAAGGGGUCUUUCUCACAGGAAUAUAUGAUUUUAGAUUUUAUUAUCCUUUUUCUUAUCCUCUCUUUCCUCUUUAGGACUUCUUUAUUUUAGCUUGGCAGCUCAUAGAUUUCAAGCUUUUCUUGGUGGAAGUUGCAGAAAUCCUAUUAAAAAUCAGAUCCUUAAAGCUUUGGUUUUAGAUCCAAGCAUCCACCAUCCUCUUUCUGUUGGAUCUCCACCCCAGCCACAUCGAUAAACAAAUAUUUCCUUCUUACUCAAAAUUUUUAAGCUCAUUCUAAAAAUAAAUAAAUUCCAAGAUAUAUCCUUUACAAAAAAGAAAAAAGAUAUAUCCUUGGCAAAGGUUUCCUUUGAUGCAAUAGUGCCACAAUUUCAAAUCUUAUCUUCUCAUGAUUGAGAUUUUCUACACAUGUCUGCGCAUCUCUACAUCUAUACAUAUUGCUCAAAUAUGACUCAAAUAUUAGAACCAUCAAAGACUAGCACUUGCCCACUCUCAUUUUUUACCCCCCAGUGGCAUGCCCUAGCUUUGCAUUCCUGAGUAACAUGUAAUGUCACAGCCCAUAGUGUUCUAAUCUAAACCAACAUCAGUGCAUUUUAAAGACAAAUGACUAUAUCACGCUAAUCUUUGCAACUCAAUUACACAGACUGCUGGACAUUUUAUAAUUUCAAUUUUACUUCUGAAAAGUAAUCGAUCAAAUAGAGUGAGAAAAAAUUUUAAAAUUUCAAUGCACAGAACAUAUUAGACAAAUUCAUGCAAUCUGUGAAUGUGUGGAUAUAUCAGAAAAAAGCAUGUAAAGGUUACUUUUCAAUAUAGAUUUUCCAACAAGUUAAAUAUGCCAUAAAGAAUUGGCAACCUGCGUGGUUUUUCCGCACCCAGUCUCACCAGAUAUGAGCACUACCUGCUUUGAAAAACAACAAACAAUACUCACGUUAAAACGAAUCAACAGAGAAAUGAAAACAGCAGCUGCAUGCAUAUGCCAAUUUAUGUAUUGUGGGAACAACACAUGGAUAUCAAUGAAAAGAUAAUGAGUGAUUCCAGCUAGUUUAUACACCAUGAUGGGAGUGUAACUGUGUAUCAACAAACCCUUAUCUCAACUGCAUGAGUCAGAAACAGAAAUUUUGUCAUAUCAUUCUUCUCUAUCUAAUGCCACAUCUAGGAUUAAGAUGAUUAUGAUGCAAUCUGCAACACAGGCAAGUAGCAGAUUAAAUUUUUCAAACAAAAAUAUGUAAAAUGUUAAAGAACCUGAUGAGAUUCUAUUGUUGACGUAAUGACAUCCUUAAAGGAAGCAAUUGGAAGCUUAGACCUCCCUUCAGUAAUCUGCAAGAAUUCACCAAAAACCUUCACAGUGAGACUUGUUCUCAAAAACUAUGUUCUAAAAACAGAUAGAGUCUGACAGAAAGAAAACAAUACAAAAAGUGUGGCCCAACCAAAAAAAUGUGCAAAUUUCUAGAUCAGUCUGGUAGGGUGAGAGAACCUGUCUCAAGUGAGGAUCCUCCUCUAUCCUAGAAGCUAACAAUUCCACUUUCUUUGCAAUUUCUGCCUUGUUCAUUGAGGGCCUGCCAAAAAUAUCAUCCUUUUUUCCCCAUAUUUUCUCAGUCUUUCCACUACCAUUUUCAACCAUUUGCGUGACCAUCUCUUUAUCAUCAGGUGGAUAACGUGUAAAUAGGUCCAAUAAAACUUCUUUCGCCUCUUCUGAAAAAUUCAAAUAAGGAUUUCCCUCUUCUUUCUUAGUGUCCACCUUCUUUUUGGUUUUAUAAACAGAAACACGCCGCUGACUUCCACGCCUACACAAAGUUAGGUUCAUUAGAAACUAUGCAACAAAAGGCCAAAUAUGAUUACUGCACAAAGAAACCAGUACAAUUACUUUCAAAGAAAAAAAUUGAAAACUAUAAAACUAGCAGCAUGUAAGAUUUUUUAACUUAACAUUUCAGGAAAUUAAUUAUUAUAUUUGUCAUACAUAAAUCUAACAUGGACAGCCAUCAACGCUUACCCAGAACUUUUGGAUGUCAUGCCCAUUUUCCUGCAUACCUCAUGCACCACAGCACGUUCGUGGUUCGUCAGAUUGGCUUCAAAUGUGUACACUGCACACAAAAUCCAUAAAUUCAUAAAAUAAUAAAAAUAAUGAACUAAAGAACCAUACUUCAAUAACCUGAACACUCCUAUGGAAUGUACAACAGAAGGAAUGAGGCAGAUGCAGGCCCCAUAAACACAAGAAGCUCAUAAAAAAAUGAUAGCAUUCACAUAAAGAAUUAUUAAAAUGAACUCACUGGGUUUCAGUUAAUACCAGCAACAUGCAGGUCCUCCAAAUUGUAGCAGGUAAGAUGAAGGCAACAAAAUAAUUAAAUAAACAUAGGGAUAGGACUAAGAAAUGCUAACAAAGCAACAAUUCUUUUCUUUUCUUUUUUCUUUUUGACAAGUAAUUUUGUUUUGCCUCUCUUGGGACUUGAACCUAAUUGAUAAGAUGAAGAAACAUGCACUUGUUUAAGGUGAAGUCUGUAAAUAAAACAAUUCCUUCAAUCAUGUAGUCACUGAAUGAUACAGCAUCAAUGUUUUUUUUUUUUUUGAUAGAUAAAAGGAUGUAUAUUCAACGAAAAGAGGAAGCAUCAAAAACAGUGCCCUCAAAGUAUACAGGAAGUAUACAAACAAGCCCAAAGACAGACUCCUAAGGGGAAAGGAAAGGAAAUCAACACACCACCUUCCCUUACUUAGAGCCUAACCAAUCUAAAAAACUUACAAGAGAAGAAGGGCUCAAAACUAAAGAUACCCUAACCCAAGACCAAAGAUUACAUACAAAAGAAUAUUUCAGUCUUUGAAGCGAAAGCUCCUCAUUCCCAAAAGCUAAAAAAUUCCUUUCCUUCUAGACUGACCAAAAAAUACAUAAGGGGGUCAUUUUCCAAGCCUUCUUACAACCUUUCGCCACAAACGCUCCAUGCCACCCAAGAAGAGUUUCCUUCACUAUACACAAUAGAGUCCAAGUCACACCAAAAAGGGAGAAAAGAAGAUUCCACAAGACCCACGUCUUAACACAAUGAAGUAAAAGGUGAUCCACCGUUUCUACUUCAGAAAGGCAUAGAAAGCAUCUGUUUGCCAAAGAGAACUCCCUCCUUUGAAGUUGCUCCAAAGUUAAGACUUUACCCCAGGAAACCUCCCAAGCAAAGAAUGCUACCUUAGGAGGCACUCUCACCCUCCAAAUACUAUCACUAGGGAACAAAGAAGAACCUCCGAGCUCCAGAAUAAAAUAAAGAGACUUGACUGAGAAAGCGCCACACUUUGAUGUUGUCCAGAACACUCUAUCUUCCUCCUCCCUUUACACCCGGAAGGCUUGGAUCUUAUGCAAAAAAUGCUCCACCACCUCAAUCUUCCAAUCAUUAAACGCCCUUGCAAAAAGAAGGGUCCAACCAUCCCCAUCACCAACAGGAUUCCAAACAUCCGAUACCCAAGCAUUCUUAAACAAAGAGAUGGAGAAUAAAGAGGGGAAUGACUCACAAAGUGGCUCUCCACACCACUUGUCCGUCCAGAAUCUCACUCUCUGCCCACUACCCACUUGGUAGGCCAACCUACCAUUUAAAAACAACCACUCCUUCCUAAUUGCUUUCCAAAGCCCAACACCGUAUCUCCCACUUACUUCCCGAGUGCACCAUCCCCCUUCCUCUUCACCAUACUUGUGACUGAUGACUCACCUCCAAAAAGCCUCUCUUUCAUUGGCAUACCGCCAAUUCCACUUACAUAAGAGAGCGCUAUUCAUCAGAGCUAAAUUUCUCACACCCAACCCACCUUUCUUUUUAUCCAAGCAAAUCAAGUUCCACCUAACAAGGUGUGGCUUUUGGGCAAGAGUUCCCCCACCCCAUAGAAAAUCCCUCUGAAUCUUAUCCAAUCUCAGCCUCACUUUUCUUGGCAAGUAGAAGAGAGACAUAAAAUAUAUAGGCAUGCUAGACAGAGUGCUUUGGAUUAGAGUGAGCCUCCCUCUUUUUGAAAUAUAUUGCCUCUUCCACAUAACAAGCCCACACAGUCAUUGAUUUGAAGGGUGCCCCCAAAGGCAAACCCAGAUAACAAGAAGGGAGCCCACCCACUUUAUAACCCAACUCCAAGGCCAAAACCUCUAUAUCAUGCACCCUACCCAUCGAGAUUAACUCACUCUUCUCCAAAUUGAUCUUCAACCCUGAACACGCCUCAAACCACAUGAGAAGUCAGCUUAGAUAAGUCAUCUGGUCUAAAGACUCCUCACAAAAAACCAACGUAUCAUCCGCAAAUAACAAAUGCGAGAUUAGAAUCCCCUCUCCACUCCUACCUCUCACCCUCCACCCAGAUAAGAAGCCCCCACUAAUAGGCCUUCUCAAUAAGCAACUAAAUACCUCCAUGGCUAUCACAAACAAAUAAGGGGAGAGGGGAUCUCCUUGAUACAACAUCAAUGUUCCAAUUGCUAAUUCUAGUAUUGAGAAAAUGUUAUAACUUAUGCCUACAGGUUUUGUGUUUGAGGUCAAUCCUACUCCAGUAAUACCAACUGCCAGCAUAGGGGAAGAAGCAUUACACCAAGAAAUCAACAACAUGAAACUUUUGUUACAAAUUAUCCACUUUCCUGAUUUAGAUCGGGACUGAGAAGAAUAUUUGGGACGACAAACAUCAUUUCAUUUAUUAGUCUAGAUACCUAUAUAACCAUCAAAGACUAUUUAAGUGACUAAUUCUUGGAAAUUCCGAGGGCAUUGAGGACAAUGAAAUUAUUUGAGUUACCAUUUCUAUUUAAUAUUAAUACCAACAUGAACAUACUUGAUGUUAAGAAAAGUUCUUUUGCGACAAGGUUGGCUAGACACUAGACAGCAGCAGGAUAUAAACACUAGACUUUUUCAUAUGGUUGUUGAUGUUCAUAGAAGGUGCAAUAACAUUAAUAAUUGGGGGGUUAAUGGAGUUUGGCAAUCUGAAAUGAACAAUAUUAUAUUGGUGAUUCAAAAUUUCAUCCAGCAUCUUUAUUCAAAUGCAAGGUCAAUGGGCCUAUUGUUAAUGGAUUAAUCUUGGAUCUAUUAGUGAGGGAGACCAAGUAGGUGAGGAACGAUCUUUUCAAAACGAGGUGUUGAGUAUGGAUAAGCUAGACCACGAUAAAGCCCCUAAGGCAGAUGGCUUGACUAAGGCUUUUUGAAAAAGAACUGGAAGACGUCAAACAGCAUCUUACAAGAUUCUUAAGCAAUUUUCAUGUACUAGGGAAACUUGAGAAAAACUUGAACACCAAAUUCAUGCUAUUGAUUGGAGUAAAAGGCAAUCCAUAGGGCAUGAAAAGCCUUAACCGAAUUAGUUUCUUAGUAGUUUGCAAACGUUGUUGAUCAAGGUUCUUGACGUAGACUCUAGAAAGUGAUUGGGAAACUUAUAUUAUCUUCAUACAGAAUAAGCAAACUCUCAAUUCUUAUUGGAUUUUUAUUCUGAUAAAGAAAUUUUUAUCUCCAUUAGGGCUUGAACCUAAAACCUCCCACAAGCCCUCUUCAACCCUUUACCAUUUGAACCAAGCCUCAAGGCCCUCAAUUCUAGUCAGUAAUACAAACAAUUCAUUCUAGAUUGAGGAGUUCAAUAGCAAGUUUGGCUUGCAAAUUUAAUGUUCAAAAAAUUUAUGACCAUACAAAUUAGAAGCUUAUUGUUUGGGUAGAAGCAAGAUGGUUGGAUUGAAUUUUGCAUUUCUAUUCCAAGUUUUUGCAUUGGUUGACCGACAUCCAUAUGAUUUCUUUAUGAGUUUGCAUGGUCAUAAGCAAGGGAAUCACCCUUUACUCAGUAUUUGUUUCAGCAAUGGAAGUUCUGAGUUGCUUUAUUCUUAAGGUGAUGGAGGGUGGUUAUUUUUGGGGCUUCCAAAUUGGGGAAAAGUAGAAUAAAGGGUUAGAUAUAUGUGUUGAUGCUUAUUUGUUGUUAUGAGAAGCAAAGGGUGAACAUUUUGUAUUACCAAAGUGGAUAUUGAUUGUUUUGAAGCAAUUUUUGGCCUGAAAUUUUUGGCGGGUUAUUGUUGCACAUGUAAAGAGGCAGAAGAAUCAGUAGACUCUCAUCCAUAUGGGAAAGCCAAAUGGUUAUGGCACUUUCUAUUCUCUUAUUUGGUAUUUUGUGGGUUCUCCCAUAUUUGGUGAAGGAUUUGGUAAUGGGUUGGAAUGGGAACUUUGUGGGCAAAAAGAGAAGAAAGGUCUAGUUUAGCCUCUUACCCUUAGAGGGAGAUCAAUUUGAAGGUAUUGAGAAGGGAUCCAGUUCGAAGUUUUGGAAUCCCUGCCCUGUUGUUUGAAGCAGAAGGUUUUGUCGGUAAGUUUUCAUCUCUAGUUUGUUUGUGAGGUGCAAGUCCUCUCCUUUUGCUUCUUCUAUUUCCAAAGACAAGGGCCCAUCAUCGCAAAGGACCAAAAGCUUGGCUUUGUGGAGGGAGCAGGACAUCGGACUUCCAGUAGAGUGCAAGGAUGAGGGUUAUGGGCCAUUAUGUAUGAUUUCUAGCAAGGGUUUGGUUAUGGACUUCAUAGAAAAUCACCCCAAAUAUGCAAGAGAGCGAACCUAGAUGUGUGUAGUGAGGAGGUUGCUUCGAGAAUUGGGAGCCCCAACAAGGGCUCAAUGGGAGAUGAGAGCCUCUCUGAUCCUUCUUUCGGGAUAUUUGCCUCCUUUUUAGCAAGUUUUCGGGAUUGUUAGUGGAAGGGCAUGAGAAGGAAAUUGCUUCCAUGCUUAGAAAGUUAGAAGCUUGAAAGGGUUGCAAACUAGUGGUCGUGAAAAGGAGGCCUUCAUCUAUGUCCCGCUUUGAUAGGGAGCUUCAAAAAUUGGAAUGCUUAAUCAAUUACAGAAAAUCAAACAAAAAAGAGAGGAGUCAGAUUAAUGGGUGGGAUAUGGUUACUGAGAUCAUGAAGUUUGUGAUUUUUGGUUUGUCAUUUGAUGGUUUAGAGGCUAGAUGUUUGACUCUCCUCAUAAAUAAGAAGGAUAGAGAAGAGGAGAGGGACCAAAAUUGCAUCAAUUUGUCUCUAGGUAAGGGUUCUAGAGUUGUGGGCUUGUCUUGUAAUUUCUAAGAGGGCAAAAGGUUGUUGUUUCAAGAAAUGCAAGGGAGAGUGGAAUUGGUAGUAAUGGGUAGAUGAAGUUUGUUUUUACCCAAGGAUUUGAUAAGUUGCGGUUUGUGGAUUCGGGUUGCAAGCUUGAAAGGUCGUUUUGGGUCUAUAUGACUUUCUAGGCCUUUAAAGUGAUGUUUUUGUCUUGGGUUAUGGUUUGUCAUUUCUAUUUCCUUUUGCUUGCAUUCAAUUGCUAUUUGUAUACAAAAUGUUUACAUUGUGCACCUUUUCUAAGCGCUUUAGAUAUAUUUUCUAAGUUUAUCUAUCAAGAAAAAAGGAGAGAAAAAGGCUUGGAGAAUAGCUUUUCUUCCUUUUCUAGACAAUUUCAAAAGAACACAAUUGAAGAACCUUUGAAGGGAUGCAAUGCACUAAUCAAUCUCUCAAGGACUCCCUUAUAUCUAAUUAUACGUGUGGGCUCAGGGGUAUCUCAUAGUCGAUGGUCAAGCUCGUCCAUUGUCCUUGAGAGAUUUUAUCAAGUAGUUGAGCUUUAAGUGUUAGAUAGGGGUUGCGGUUGUAUCUUGCUUUUUUUUUUCUCACUUGCCUACUUCUAGUGUACCAUGCUCGUCUUUUCUUGAUUCAUGAUUUUAAUAUAUUUCUAUUCUUAUUUGCCUAUAAAAAAAUAGCUAAAAGUAAAAUCAUCUUGGUAGGCGUGGCAACAUCAUAUAUAUCUAAAAUGGAUAUUGUUGUGUUUUGAAGCAAUCCAUUAGUUGGUAUGUGGAAUUGCCUCUUAGUGAUCCUUUUUUGGAUGCAUAUAUCAUUGCAAUUGACUGUGAGGUCAUGGAGUGAACCAUUUGAAUAUGGGCGGUGGCUAGGUUCAAAGGAACCCAAGUUCAAUUAGAAAGUUCUAUGAUUAGGAUUUGGGAAUGGUGAAGAUGUGGUUGCGCAUGUGGUAAGAAUGAUAAGAUACAAAUCUAAAGGUGGAUGCCUCUUGUCACAUCCUACCGUAAGGCCUUAAAUCCAAAUAAAGUACACCUUUUCAACAUAAAAAGGUUUGGAGAUAACUUGUCUCUCCCAAAGUUGGUCUUUAUUCAGGAAGUUGUUUGCAAGAUAAAUUUUAAUAAGGACAAACUUAGGCAAAGGAGUGUGAAAUUAACCAAUUGUACUCGUUAUGCAAGUAGGAUGAGGAAUCGGCUAAUCACUUACUACCCAUUGUGGGAUGGCUUAGAGUCUAUGAUCCCAAUUAUUUUCAUCAUUUUGUAUCACUUGGGUACUUCCAAAGUUAAUUGGAAACACCUUGGAUAGUAGGCAAGAAGGACUACAAGCAUAGGAAAAGUAUAGAAUAUUGGUCCACUAUAUUUAUUUUGGUGCUUGUGUAAGGCAAGGGAGUAUAUGGCAUGUAUACUUUCUUUCUUUUAAUACAAUUCUUAUUUGCCUAUCAAAAAAAAAAUAUUUGAUCUUUGCCUAUUAAAAAAAAGGAAGGUUUGGCUAGUUUGACCAUUCAUUGUCAUUUGUCUCUAUAAAGAGUAGGAUGCUAUCCUUUCUAAGGGCUUGUUUGAGUAGUGUUUGCCUUCUAAGUUUAGCAAUAGAAGUAAAAGUAGUUAGUGUUGCUAUGCGAUUCAAUUUUAUAUUUCAGAACUCUAUUUUUAAAAAUUUGUAUUAAAAUAAGAGUAAUUUUGAUAUGUAAAAAAUUUUAAAUUAAAUAAAAAUCUACUUUCUUCAUUGCAUUUGAAGAAAAGCAUGAGUCUCCCUACUUCUUCAAAAUGUAGAUAAAUCUUGUUGAGGGCCAAGUUUGAGAAUUCUAUCCAAAGACUCUUAAAAGUUAUAUUUGACCAUCAAACAUGGCAUUUAGCAUUUAAGAAGUUUUCCCAAACAAGUUUAAAUUGCAUUUAUCCACUGGGAAAACCUUAAGGAGUAAGGAGUCCAUUUUUUCUUUCACAUUAACUUUUGCUUUAUCAGGUGCUCCAUGAAUACCUUACAUUUACCUGGGCAGCACCUCCUUUGGGCAAAUGUAGUAAUAAUUCUUCUAAUGUGUUAAAAAAACACCAAAGGGGCCAUCACUAAAAUUUAAAAAAUUGAAAGAAUUAUACUUCAGUACAAAUUAGUGAUCAUUCAGCAGCCCCAUGAAAGCAAAACAAAAGACAUCCUUAAAAGACAUGAAACAAGCUAGAACCCAUAUGAUAUUUCUUUCUUCUAGUCACACCAACCGACUAACCAACCCAAUAAAAAUGUUUUCCAAAACCAUAGAAAAUCAGAUUUUAGCAGCAAACAAUAAGCAUUACAUGUACCAUCAUGAAACUACCCAAAUUCAUGAAUGCAUCCAGCAAGACCCUACAAAGCCCUCUGUCCUCAAUGGUGCAUUCUUUACAAAGGAAAUGGAGAGUCGAUUGACCACCUUUUUCUUCAUUGUCCCGUUACCAUUGGACUCUGGCACAGGUUGUUCAAUCUAGUAGGGUUGGUUUGGGUCCCUCCAAGGAGUCUUGAGGACAUGUUGGUUAUUACUUUUAAAGGCUUGGGGAACUCAUUAAGAGGCAAGACACUUUGGCAAAUUGCUUGCCUUACUUUGAUUUGGAUGGUGUGGCAAGAGAGAAACAAUAGGAUCUUUGAGGAUAAAGGGAGAACGGAAGAGAUAGUAUGGGAUUUGAUUCGGUUUUAUUCUUCUCUAUGGGCUUCUUGUACUGAAGCUUUUAGAGGAGUUCCUCUAAAUGUUUUACAACUCAACUAGAUUGCGGUUUGCGUUUCAAAAGUUUGAAGAUUGAUGGGGUUUCUCUUUGUUUUUAGAGUUCUAUUGUUGGGAGUUUUCUCCUUUGUUCAAUUUGUGUAGGAAGGACCUCUCAUCCUUCCAUUGGUUUUUUUCUUUUUCUUCUGUUUCUUUUAUCUCUCCUGUAUCCGUUCUUAUAUUAAUAUAUUCUUCUUCGUUUCUGAUCAAAAAAAAAAAAAAAUUGAAUGCAUCCAGCAAGAAAAACACAAAUUUGAUUAUUCUUCAUUAUUAAGCAAUACUCACCACAAAAUAAAAGUACAAUAAAAGAAACACAGAAACAAGCAAGACCGAUAUGAUAACUCUGUUUUAGCAAAGCCCUAACAAAAUCUAUGUUAUUAUUCUAUGUUAUAAUCAAUGCCCACCAACAAAAACAAACCACUCUAGAACUGUACAAGAUUGCAUAAAGUUCCAACUCAAAAUCAUUUUCUUCAUUAAUGAAGCUAACCAGACCAAGGGACCAAAAGCAAAACCCACAACACAAGCCUAUAUUCUCAAAUUAUAAUCAAUGCCCACCAACAAAAUCAACCCAAACAGACUGAAAAGCGCAUAACCAACCAAAAACCCAGGUGAGCAAAACUCAAACAGAGUCAAAAUUGAUAUCCAUUGAUGGGCAUUUCAGAUACCUUCGUUGUGUGUUUCUCGGAACUCUUGAAGGGCUCUAGAGAUUCGAAUCCGAGUGCCUUCAGCAACGCCAGGGUUGUUCUGUUCUCCAUCCUUCUGCCUUUUCUUCCCUGAUCUCGUCAUCUUUUACCUCAACCUCUCUCCCUCUGCUCCUUCUUCUUUCUUUUGCCCAACAAGUAUAUUCUCUUUCAAGUUUUGAAGAUUCGGCAGUUCGCUGUUUUUAUUCGCUAACUUCGGCUUUGAGCUGCGGUCAAUGUGAUUGUAAUUGGUAACCCAAAGCAAAGUGCAGACCCAGUUGUCUUUCGCACUUCUUCCAUUACAUGUGCUAGGUUUUCUUUUGGGUUCAUAAAGACCCUCCACCUCCUCCUUUUCACAGGGCCAAAACGGGGAAAAUAAAGUUAAAGUGCGUUACCAGACAUAAGCUUCGGCUUCCAACCAUUACCUCUCCACGAAGCAAUGCCUUUUUUAGGCUUUUCCCCGUACACAUUUUUCAAUACUAAGAAUGCGUUUGGCAAUGUUCAAGUAUUAAAGAUAUUAAAAACACUUUUUAAAUUCAUCUUCAAACACUCUGAUACUACAUUUGAUUACCAAAAUCUAUUAAAAAAUAAUAAUAAUAAAAUAUUAAAAAUAUAUAAAAAAUAAUCAAUAUAAUUAAAAUUAGUCAAAAAAAUUAAGAAAAAAUGAGAUUUGAUUACUAAUAUGAAAAUAUAUAGAAAAAAAACCUCAAAUUUUUUAAAUUAGUAUGAUCUUCAUCUAUUUAAGAAUAUUUUAAAAUACAUACACUUUUUAAUAAGUCAUGAAAUUAUUUUCAAAAAUAUUCAUUUACUUAUCAUGUCAUUCAAAUAAUUGAGAACUAGACUCUUCCAUGUAAUGUUUCCCUCCCUUCUAAAUAUUUUAUUAUUAUUAUUAUUAUUAUUAUUAUUAUUUUAUUAUUUGGGAAUUUGAGAAUUUUUUUUCCUCUAGAAACAUUAUAAAGUAAGAAUUUGAAAAAAAAAAGUUUAUUCUAGUAUUAAUAAGUUAAAAAUAAAUUCAUAUUCCUUAUAAUAAAUAAACCAAUAAUAAAAUUGUAUUUAUUAUAUAAUAUUAAUAAUUAUUUAAUAUAAUAGAUAAUGAGAUUUGUUGCAAGAGUUUUUCAUAUAUAAAAUGUUUUGCAAUAUGGUUGUACUUUCAUAUAUGGUAUAAAAAUAAAUAAAUAAAUAUUUUAUAUUAAAUAAACUAAUCAUAACUAAAAUAAUUAUAUAUUAUUAAACUUAUUAUUUGUUAUUUAAUAAACAUCGUUAUUACUUUUUGAAUUGGUAGUUAUGAUUAAAUAGGAUUUGUUUGACGAUAUUUCCUCUUAAAAUUCUAGGAAAUAAAAAAAAAUAUUAAUCAUAUUUAAAUAGGAUUUUUUUUCUAAUAUUUCCUAAACUUUUAGAAAACUAAAAUAAGAAUUCUACAAGACGUUUGUUUCUAGAGAAAAAAAAUCUCAAAUAAAAUAAUAAUAAUAAUAAUAAAAUAUAUAAAAUAAAAGGAAAUAUCUAUAUGAAGGAGUCUAGUUGUCAAUUGAUUUGAAUAAUAUGACAAGUAAAAAGGCAUUUUUGAGAAUAAUUGGAUGAUUCAUUAAAAAAUAUAUGUUUUUUAAAUAGAUGAAAACAAAACUAAUUUAAAAUUUUUGAGGUACUUUUUUCCAUAUAUUUUCAUACUAGUGAAUCAAAUCUCACUUUUCUCAAAAAUUUAUAUAUCUUUAAAUUAUUUAAUAUAUAUAUAUAUAUAUAUAUAAUGAAAUGAAAUAAGUGAAAUAAGUUUGAAAAAUUAUAUAAUGUUGUAAAACUAAGUGGAAAAUAAAAAAUAAAAAAAAAUAGAUAAUAGAAUGCACAGAGAAAAUUGAAUUGAUUUUCAUUAGGGGUUUCUCCCUUUUAUACGAAGUCACAAAGAGAUAAACAUCGUUACGGAUGAUCAUCCAUAAGUUUUCAUAAUGCCACAAAUUCUCAUAUUUUAUAACACUCCCCUUUGAAUGAUCAUAAGAAUAUGGUAAUUGUCUUAUUAAAAACCUUGUCAGUAAAACCCAGUGAGACAAAACCUGAACGAAAGUAAAAAAGAGCGCAAUAUAUCCAUAUUAAUAUUCUCCCCCUCAUGUAGACAUGAUUAUGAUUUCUUCAACAUUUCAAUUGGUAAAUCUUUCAAUAUUUGAAUUCCAAUGCCAUGCCUUAACUUUUUCAAUAUGAUCGAAGGUCUUUGUAAAUAGAUCUGUUAGAUUAUUGCAUGACCGAAUCUAUUGAACAUCGAUCUCACCUUUCUCUUGGAGUUCAUGAGUAUAGAAGAAUAGAUUUGUCACCUUUUAUGAAUCCUCAUUUAAUUUGUGCAAUACAAGCAGUAUUAUUUUCAUAAAACUUGGUUGCGUUGCCUUUUAUGUAAGGUAAUCCACAUGUUUUUUGAAUAUGUUGAAUCAUUAACCUUAGUCAUACACAUUCACGACUUGCAAUAAUUUCUUAAUGAUUUGAAGAUUUGGUUACCAUUGUUUGCUUGACUGAUCUCCUAAAUAUUGUCAUACCACCAUAAAUAAAAACAUAUCCCGUUAGAGAUCGAGUUUUACGAGGAUCUGAAAGAUAUUCUGCAUCUCUAUACCCAAUUAAUUGUGAUUUUGAUUCUUUCAAAUAAUAUAAGCUCAAGUCACUUGUUCCACAAAGGUAUCACAAUAUAUGUUUAAUCCAAUUCCAAUGCCUUUUAGUUGGGCAAAAUUGUAUCUUGCUAGUCGGUUGACAGAGAAUGUCAUGUUUGGUCUAAUACAAUUUGCAAGAUACAUUAGUACAUCGAUUGCACUAAGAUAUGAUACUUUUGGACCACACAAUUCUUCAUUUUCUUCUUUAGGACGAAAUGGGUUUUUGUUCACUUCAAGUGAACAAACAACCAUAGGGGAAUUGAUUGGAUGUUUUUUAGCCAAAGAGAAGAAGAAAAAACCUAUAUGGUCUACUAUGCCAGCAAAACAUUAAAUGAGGUUAAAAAAAUUAUCACACAAUUGAGAAUGAGCUCCUUGUUGAAGUAUUUGCAUUAGACAAAUUCAAAAACUAUUUUCUUUGUGUAACCGUUUACUUUGAAGUACCUUAUCAAUAAAAAAAAAUAAUGAAGCAAGGUUAAUUUAGUGGAUAUUGUUGUUGUAAUUGUUUAAUCUUCAUAUUAAAGACAAUAAAGACGUAGAAAAUGUGUUAGUUGAUCACCUCUCAAGGGUUAAGAUUAACCCAUCCUUUCAUGAUAGUAUGAUUAAUGGCACAUUCCCUGAUAACACUCAUUGGAGCCAAAAUAUGUGCUUCAAUGGCACUUAUAUGAUAUGAUUUAUGAAGUAUAAAAAACUCAAAUCAUCCAACUUAACUCAAAUUAAUGUUAAGACCCUAAUGAUGGAUCUAACUUCUAUUUUAAGCCUAAUUCUAGGUCUAAGGGAUAAAAAGAAUGUUAAAUGCAAAAGUCAUUCUCAACCAAGGAAGUAAAAGGGGUUAAAUAUACAUAAAUGAGAGAUUCCAAACUUAUAAACCACGAAGAAUGAGUCAUGGGCAUGAAAUAUAAACAAUAAAUGUUAUAAAGUGAGAUACAUGGCAAACAAUCAUGAGGAAGAGGGUUGGAAGCAAAUGCAGUUAAGCUUAAAAUGGAAUUUGGAAUUCAAACUUGAUAGCAACAUAUAUCUUGACUUUGACGUGAUUUUUGAAGUAUUUCUUAUGAUAUUUUUGGAGUAAGACACAUAUGGUUUUGAAGGUCAAGAAAUCAGGAGUCCAACACUUCAAGCAAUAUGCAAAUAGGAGUUGAAAUGAAAACUUUAUGACCAUUUGAAGGUAACUACAUAGAGUUGAAGGACCAUUUCAAAAUGAUUUUGAAAUUCAACUCAUGAUUUCAAAAUCCUUUUUGAAAUGACCCCAAUUUCAAAAUCACAAACCAUUAUUUCUAUGUUUCGCCUUUUUUACAUUAGGAAUUGCAUCGUAGUCACUCCAUCUACCCUAAGUAGCCCCAUAUGAUUGGAAAUCAUGAUUUUAUUAUUUUUUUUACUCAUUUUUAGGUAACUAUUAGCAAAAUAAGUAGUCAAUAGGAACAUGUCAUGUGUUGGGUUUUUAUGAAAUCUAUAAAAACUCAAUUUUUAGGUUUUGUAGGAAGUUCUUAAAUUUUUAGAAGAAUUGGAGAUGGCUAGACAAUUCUUGCAAUGGGAGAGGGACACAUUGAGGGUUUUUCUUGGUUUUUAUUUAUUUAUUAUUAUUGAAUAAAUUAUAUUUUGUAAUUUUUUUGAAAUGAAUAAUGACUUUUUCUUAUUCUUUUAUGGCCUAUGUAUGUGAGGACAUGCUAAUAAGAGGCUAAAAAAUCAUCUGGGAUGAAACAUGAAAACCUAGUAUUAGAUCCAAAAGGAAAUAAUGGAUGAAAUCGGAUUAACAAUAAAAUGAAUGAAAAGUUAAGGCACUACUAUUGAGAUUAAAAUACCUUCUAAAGUUAGUUUUACUUAGAAGAUAGUAUAAUCACACAUUUCUUGAUACUAGAGAUUUUUGGUAAUUCUUGAUAGCUAUCAAAGGUUUUAUCAUUGUUAUCAACCCUAAGAAAAAUCUACACAGAGUGAGAAAAACCUAAAAACCUUAUACCUAAACCUAUAUUUCAUAUCUAUUCAUUUAUUAGGUAAUUCAAUGAAAUAAAAUAUUAAAAGUUAGGAUCCAAAUCAACUAUAAGGUGUGAAACUCAGGUUGAUCUCGUUAGACUAUGCAUUUUGAUUACUUUAAGAUUAUUAAACCCUUAUUUCACUUAAAGAUGCAUACUUGAAGUUGAAUUGUGGAUCCCUAAUCUUGAUUAACUGAAUUAAAAUUCAAUACUUAUUAUAUAAUUUAAAUAAGUUUAUUUUAGGAAACCUUUAUCCAUAUUUUAUUUUGAUUUAUUUACGUUAUAGUUUUUUUUAUCUUUAGAAAAUAAUUAAUCAUUCGAAGCUAAAAAUAAUUGAACACAGUAGAGUUGAUCCCAGAUGAUGAUAACCUAAAAUACUAUAAAGUCAUUGUAACUCUAUCUUUGGUUUUUCUUAGCCAAAGUUACUAUAUAUUUAGACUUUAAUAUUUUGUUUACAACAAAGAUUUGCACUUAGACACUUUGUUGUAGCAAAGCUACCAUGAAAUUAUAAUAUCAUUAAUUUCCUUGCUACUAGAAGAAUACUUGAAGAAUGAGCAAGCGUAGAAAAGAAAUAUUUCAUAGCUUUAGCUAAACACUUCAUUUAAGAUGAUGCUUACCUUUACAAACAUUGCCUAGAUUAUAUCAUAAGAAUAUGCAUACGAGAAGAUGUGUAAAGAAACAUCCUAAAAAUGUGCCAUGAAGAAUCAUAUGGAGGCCACUUUGCAAUGAGGGAGACUUCAGAAAAAAAAUAAAAAAUAAAAAAUUUACAAUGUGGGUUUUACUGGUCUACUCCUUUCAAAUACUUAAAUGUCCAUUACAGGAGCUAUAUGAAAUGCCAGCAAUUGGGAAAGACUGGUAGGAGACAUGAGUUGCCUAUGAGUCAAAUUCAAGUAGUUGAAGUUUUCGAUUGUUGAGGAUUAGACUUUAUGAGACCUCUUCCUCCAUCUUUUGGAUACCUCUACAAUAUCGUAAAGAUUGAUUAUAUUUCAAAAUGUGUGAAGGUAGUAGCAUGCAAGACUAAUGUGUUGGGAUUAAACCCUAAAAAACAUGACAUGAUGUAACAUAUUGAAAUUCAUUUAUAAAUUUAUUUAUUUAUGUUUGUAGUUUUCCUUUUUAUUAUCUUAUUAUGCAUUGAUUGGAUUCUUUGAGCAUACAUGUCCUACAUCAUUUGCAUUGUACAUGACUUGGGUGCAUUAUGAGUUACAUAGAAGAUCCAAGUCAUGGGUUCCUUGUAGAGUGAUGAUUAGUCCACAAUUGAUUCAUGGAUAUGGGUAAUCCAUCUAAUAUUGUAAUGCACUACCUCCUAAUCGAGGGAUGAUUUGUGUUGGCCGUCGAGAUGGUUGUCUUAUGGUGAGUGCACUAGUGCAUGUGAUGCAUACUGGAUAGGACCUAUGGUGAAUUAUGACAUAAGGCUAUCAAUUGUCAUAAUUGACUAAGCUACUAUAUUGCAUGCAUAGACUCUCGACCUUGAAAGAAUAUCGAGUUUGUGUCAACUUUGACAAAAAGCUUUGACUUAUGGGUGAGACCCUAAAGUGAUCAUAUAUUCCUAUGGAUUGGGUUAUUGUUGAUGGAGGCUGGUGGGAAUAGAUAUUCUUAAUAGAAGCUCCAUAAUAUCUUACGGAUUGAGACAAUGUCUCUGUUUGGGUGAUCUAAAGAACAUGUGAUCUAAAAAACCAUGGCCAUAACAUCUCUUGUAGUGGAAAUUUAACAUAUGCUCCUUGGAGCUAGGGUAUGUCAACUGAUCACAUAAUAAAUGGGAUUUGUAACUCAAGGAUUAGAAAAGUAAUCUUGAUAGAUGAUAAUACUAUCUUCUUAGAUUACGAACACUAGUUCAAGGGGUGUUUACAUACAAUGGAUAGUAGGUCAUGGACCCAAGCUUCAUCUCUUUGUUAUUUACAUUAGGAAAUAGAGUGCGAUUGAUUCUCUUUUGGUGGAAUAUUGAAUCAACUUCAAAAUUGGAUUUCAAGAGAGCCAAUACUCCUAUAGGGCUUAAUAGUCCCCACUUUAAGCACAUAUACCAUGAUGACACAGUUUAUGAGGGUUUUUCACUCUUGUACAUAAUGGUGUUUUGGUAAUUAUGUGAAGUUGCAUAGGGGAUAGUGAACAAGUUCUUUGGAAUGUGUUAAUUGAUUAAUUAGGUGGCUCUAUGUGGUUAAUUAAUUAAUUAAGACCCAUUUUAGUCUAAAUUAAGUGACUCAAGCUUUUGUGAGUUCAAGUCACUUAAGCCUAGUAGGGGAACCCUAUAAAUAUACCUUAAGGGUUAAGGUUUCCAUCACUUUUUGGUGUGAGAGUCGUCUUCCACCUCCAAAUAGAGAGAAAGAGAGUGCCUAGAAUUCUUCUAUUCCAAAAGCCAUACUAUAGAGUGCUAAGAUUGUGGUUUGAGUCAUUAGACAAAACAUCUUGGAUGUACGAGACCUCCAGACCCUUUAGGUUUCAUCUUUAUCGAGCAUAAUUAAUUUGAGAACGUCCAAAUCAAAAGUAAUGUUUUCUAAUGACUUUUCUCUGGAUUCUAGAAUGUUAAAAAUUUUAUUUUUCCUUUUAUUACAUAAGAUUUAAAGGCCUAAGGGAGUUUGCAUGCACUUAUAUGAUCCAAGGUUAGAAAACAGAGAGAUCUAGGGUUCCCAACAUAAUGACCAUAAAGUAAUGUUCAAAUUCAUUAAGAAGAAUAUUUUCUCAAGGUUUAGAAUUCUUAAAGCUAUAAUCAAUGAUGAAGGAACCUAUUUAUAUAUAUAACAAUCCCUUUACGAACUUACUGAACAAAUAUGGAGCCAAACACAAAGUUUCUAUACCCUAUCAUCCCCAAACCAAUGGUAAGUGGAAUUAGCCAAUUGUGAGAUUAAGGGAAUUUUGAUGAAGAUAAUAAAUUCCAAAAGUAAGGCCUAGUCUUUGAUAAAGAUCGGGUUGGGAUGAGUAGGAAAUAUGAUUUGAAUGAAUUGAAAAUCUUAAGGAAUGAGUCUUAUGAAUGUGCAUAAAGAGCAAGGGUGAAGACUAAGUUUUUUAAAUAUCACACAUUGUUAAGGGGAAAAUUCCAUCUAGGAAAGAAAGUAUUGUGUGAUUCUAAGCUUUACCUUUUUCUAGGUAAACUAUGUCAAGAUGGACAAGUCCCUACAUUGUCAAUGAAGUCUCACCUUUUAGAGCCAUUAAAAUUUAGAAUCCUAAGACUGGUAGUGAAUUCAAAGUAAUUGAGGAGAGGCUGAAACACUAUGUGGGUAGGUUUGACAAGGAAAGUGAGUUUUCCCUCAGCGAUCCUAGCUCUUAACUGACCAUUGGAAGUUUAGUAGGUUAUAGUAUUUAUUUAUUUAUUUUUAGUUUCAUUUUAACUUGUUUUCUUAGGAGUCAUGUUUUAUAUUUAAUAAAUAAGCCUAACUAUGAAUGGAGUUGUCUUAAGAAUCUAGGUGAUUGGAAUUUAAGUGCAACCAUAAUUAUCCAGUUGAAAUGAUGAAUGCAUCAAAAUCAAUUACCCCUAUCUCCUUGUUUCUACCUAACAAAUACUAUAAAUUUUUUUGUGGGGUUCCUUUGAGGUAGACUAAUUUGAAGUUAAUAUAAUUCAAUUUCACUUGCUAUAGGAAAUAUACAUGGAUAGUUAGGUGGUUGGCUUGAGAAAUCCAAGGGCAUUUUAUUACUUAAUUUUAUACAUGACUUAUACAUAUGAGCAUAUGAUACUUAGUUAUGUCAUUAGGAGAAUACCUUCCGUAAACUAGAGUAUAUGUGUGUGUUAGAAUGACAAGUUGAAUUGGAACACUUAAAAAUAUUGCUUAAAAGCUAGAAAUUUGAACUUGUUCUAAAGAGAUUAAGGUGAAACCUAAGGGGUUAGUGACCUUGAGUGGUCAAUUAAUCCCCAUUGCCCACCCAAAAGUUAUUUCCAUACUAUUAAAAUAAAAACUAAAAAAAAAAGUAAUUUCCAAGAAUCAACUUUAGGCGGAAGGUUUCACAUUUUAUUGAAUUCUAUUUUAACAUUAGAGAAGAAUUCGAUACCUUUUUCCAAUAGAAGAAUCAGUGUUGAAUUGUACACAAAAAGUUUGGACGCUUAUCAUUUUGAAAAUUAAUGUCAGUACUACAUAUUGAAAUAUUUUGAUGCAUGUUUGUAAAUGCAACUCAUCAUUUCUAUUAAAUACAACCCAAUACCUAAAAUGAUACACCAAUUACAACUCCAAAGGUCCAAAAGUUUUAGGUUGUUAUCGAAAUACAAUUUAAUAUGGUUCAAUACAUGAGAGCACAUUUCAAUACUACACUUAGAGGCAUUCAAAGUUCUAAAAGGUUUGGGCAUAUAUUGAAUGAAUCUGAUACUAUAGUGUAGGUAUAAAUUUUUUUUAUCCUUGUCAUAGUUUCUAAAUUUCCAAUCUAAGACUUGUUGAAUUUGACUUUUUUUCUCUCCAUAUUUUCAGUAUAUUUUAGGAAUUUCAAUAAUGUUUUUUUGAUGGGAACUCAAAUAAUAUGCUAGGAUAGGUCUAAAAGAACCUAUUUUAGUGUAUUUGAGGCACUCAAUACCGGUCUAAUUUUAGUUUAUUGUCAUCUACUUAGGAAAACUCAUUUUAAUGUGUUUUAUGAUAUUUUUUUUAUAGGAUUAAGGUAGGCUUAGCAUAUUUCCAACACUUGAUGAGAAAUGAAGCACCUAAGAGAGGUGUGCUAUCACUAAUAGUUCACUUCAUUUUGUGCACGACUCCUUAGAAAGUGCAUUAAAGGGUAACCAAUGUAGAUGACACACUAUUAGAGCAUUGACCUAAAUUACACACUUAAAGAAGUGCACUUAAGCUUGUGCACCGUAAAGUGGUGGUUUGACUUGUAGGCUUAGGGUCAUGAUCCACAUUAUGCAUCCCAUCUAGCGCAAUGAAAGAACUUUGCUCAAAGUGAAGAGCAUCAUAGUAAAUAGUGAACUUCUCUUAGGUGUCCUAACAACUAUAAGUUAUCUAAGUGCACCAAGAAGAAAGCGCACUACCUUACCUCAACUUGCAUCUUACUCACAAAACUGACAACCAUAAGUAUGUUAUCCAGUCAUCAAUAACCCAAGCACACAUCCACAACCUUAGGUACACAAUUUUCCUCAAAUAAGUAGAGCACUUCCUAGUAAUAAAGUGUGCUCUCUCCUCCAACUAUGAAGCACACCCAAAUAACUUCAAUCUCAGUGCAAUGCCUUAAUAACUCUACUUUAUGCACAUUAUCUUCCAACCAUUCACACACUCAUGAAUGUUGCACAACAAAUAAUGCCCCUGUAGUUUUGACUGAUCCAUCAUUAGCACUAUGUUGUCACACUGAAAAUACAUGAAGUGUAGCCAACUACUCCAUGCUAACAUCUCUUGAUUAAUGGUUGCACUCCUAGAUUAGCAACCAACUACUUCACUUAUGGGCACUGAAGUAGGUUGCCCUUCUUUUAAAUGUAAAGUAUUUAAUUCCAUUGAAACAUUUGGUUCAUUAAAAAAAUAAGAAUUUAUCAAUUUUGAUUUUUUUUAUUUAUCAAAAACCAUGUCAAAAUUUAUCAAUUAUGAGUUUUUAUCAUAAACCACGUCAUUCCUUUCCAAUUCAAGUAACGAGUUUUCAUAACUAUUCUCCUCAUGAAGAGAAGUAUUAAAAAAAAAAAACUUUGAGUUUCAAAAAAUAUGACAUCCAUAGAACAAUUUUUUUUUUUUUGGAUCAAACAACAAUACCCUUUUUGUGUUGGAGAAUAUUCAAGAAAAAUACAUUUCAAUGCUUAUUGGUUUAACUUACUUUAAUGAUGAUUAUGCACAUAUAUAAAAAAUAAAAAAUAAAUAAAAAAAACCCUAAAAUUUUAAGAGGUAAAUCAAAGAUUAAACGUGACAUUGGAAAACACUUUUCAAACAUUUCCAUUGGUGUCUCAAAAUUUAAAUUUCUUGAGGGUAUUCUAUUGAUCAAAUAAAUGGCAAUAAGAAUAGCUUUUCUAAAUAAGUAUUUAUGUAUUUUAGUUAUAAACAUUAAAGACCUAACUACUUCUAGAAGAUGUUUAUUUUUCCUUUUUGCCACUUCAUUUUGUUGUAGAGUGUCAAAACAAGAGCUUUGAUGUAUAAUAUCAUUUUCUAAGAAACAUGUGCUCAAAAUUUUGUUGAAAUACUCUUUUUGAUUAUCACUUUUGAACACUUGUAUUUUUCUUGAAACAGAGUUUAUACCAUAAUGUAAUUUUUUUUUAAAAAAAUUUGCUUAGCAUCUAAUUUUUCUUUGAGCAAACAAACCAAAUAAACACUUAUAUGAUGAUCAAUUAGUGUUAAGAAACAUUUUUUUUUUUCAAAAAUUGUUGGAACUUUAUAUAGACCCCAAACAUCACUAUGAACAAAAGCGAAGGAAAUGUUGCAUAGGGAAUGAUGCAUGAUGAUAUUUUUCAAUUUGAUAAAUAUGACAUUGAAAACAAGAUGGAUUUUUAUUUUUGAAUGACUUUGGAAACAAAUACUUCAAAUAUUGAAGUUAGGGUGACAUAACCUAAAAUGUCAUAAUAUUAUUUCAUUGCUACUAGAUUUCAGAAAAGGAUUUAAGACUAGUUAUUUGAGUCUUAUGAACUUGUUCGCACAAGUUACUUCCAUAUUCAAAGUAGUAGAAUCCAUUAUUUUCUUUAACAUUGUGAAUCGUCCUCCCUAAAUCUAUUUCCUAAAAUUCACAAUGAGUAGAGAAGAAUUUAACAUAGGAUUUUAAGUCAUAAGUAGGCUUGCUAAUAAAUAAUAUAUUAUAAGAAAAAUUUGGAACAUGAAAGACAUAAUGAAGGAUAAAAGAUUUUGAAAUAACUAUUGAUCUUUUUCCAUCAAUUACUAAAAGAGAACCAUUGACUAUCUUGAUUUUCCUAUUUCUUGCACAUAGACUAUAAGAGGAAAAUAAUUUAGAACACCCAAUCAUAGGAUUAGAUGCACCAGAAUCUAUGAUCCAUGGACAACUAGAAGUAAUAAAUACAUUAAAUGCAACAAUUUGACAAUAGUUACUUUUUUGGGCUAAAGAACAAGAAGAAGACACAUUGUUUGAGAAUUAUGUGGAUUGAAAAAAAUUAUACAGUUGAUCUAAUUGUUCCUUAUUGAAAGAAGACGUCUCUAUAGCUCCUCCCAAGCCACUACACUUCGCGGCUCCUACUCAAAAAGCCUUUAGAUCAUCGUUUGUUUACUUGAAUGAUCUCCACUUCUAGUUCUAUGGUUUUUCAUGUAACUCCCAACGCAUUUCUCUAGUAUGUCGAGGCUUAUGGUAGUGAUCACACUAAAUCUUGUAUUUUUUUCUAUUGUGUUGUGGUUGUCUAGGUUGAGUAGACUAAUUGUUUCUUAUUACAAGGAGAGAAACUUUAAUUGUAGGUGGACUAUUUUCUCCCAUCAUCACCUUUCUUUGACCAUAUGCUCUCCUUACUCCAAAAAACACUACAUGAAGAAAUGGUAGUGGUUUUCUGCCAACAAUUCUACAUUUAACAUUAUCUAGGUUUUUGUUUAGUCCUACCAAGAACACAUACACUCUAUCAUUCUCAAUUAUUUUCAUAUACCUUACACUAUCCUUUGCAUAGUCCCAUUUUUCAUCAUAUCAUAGGUCUAGCUCUUACCAUAAUGCUUUCAUCUCGUCAUUAUACUCUAUUACCUCUUGAUCUAUUUGUUUUGAAGGCCACAACUUUGUUUUUAGUUCAAAAAUUUGCGAUGAGUUUUCCAAGUCUGGAUAUGUCUUUUAAACGACUUCCUAGACUUUUUUUCGUAGUAGAGAGAAAUAUAUACGUUUUCCCAAUCACUAACUUUAUGAAAUUGACGAGCUAUGCAAUUGCUAACGAGUUCCCGAACCUCUAAGUCUUCAAUGUUGGAUCAUUGUUUCUAGUUUUGUUGUCUCUCUUAUUAAGUGGCCUAGUUUUCCCUUGUCAUUGAUCAUAAGCUUGAUUGAUUGCUCCCGUUUUAGGUCAUUUUUUACCGUUUAGUUUGUGAAUGAUCAAUUGAAAAGAUGGGUUUUCAAGUCCAUUAAGGGUUACAGUAGAAAUUGGAGGUGUACCUAUACUACUAGCACUUGAGGAUGUUGUAAUCCUUUGCCUAAUCAUGGUUGUUCUCAUCAUCACUAUUUCCCAAAUAAAGACCUAUGAUCUAUUACCACGAACACAAGGUAGAAGGAAGAAUAGUUUCUAAUUAGUUUUUUCAUUUGAAAAAUUAUAGAUAAAUAAAUAAAUAAGCUAAGUUAGCUUAACCGUGUAAUUAACUACCAAGAAUCUAGUAACUAACGAACACAACUCUAGGAUCUAAUUAUCAAAAUGCCUAAAUAUCUUAAACUGGUUAGUAAUAAGUUUAGAUUUAUUGGAAAUAAAUAAUAGAAAAACAUAGCAACAAACUCCUAAUAAUUUCGACAUAAUAAUUAUUCUCUUACAUUAGAAUAUUGUGCAAUAAUGAAAGUACCAUAUUUAAAUAAGCACAUUUAUUUGGAAAGUAAUUUCAUGAAAAUUCAUCUUUUGUAAGGAUAACUAAAUAUUUCCAUUUUUAUUAACAUGUAUCCAAAUUCUCAUCCAAAUAUAUCAACAUAUAUAGGGAAAUAAAAUAUCUAUAGAAACAAAAUAAAAUGAGUCCUGACUAAGGGAUCUUGUAAGAAAUAUUUUUGGCAAAUUCCUUUUGGAAUCAAACAUCCAAACACUUUCCAAUUAUGUGCAUCUAAGCUUGUUGUCAAUACCUAGAUCUAAAAUAUGCUCAAAAGCAAAGCCCAAAUCACCAAAAUUGUGGUGUAAAAGCCAAAAAUUAUUGGCUUAUCGAUUGCAAAACACUUAAGUGCUCGAAAGAGCCACUCUAGUAUUGGGAGCAAUUAAGCAUUCGAAGGAAACACUCAAGUGGUUAUCGUAGCCCGUAUUCUACCAUUAAUUUUCUAAAUCUUUAAAUGAUGAUCCAUGCUUUGACUAGGAUCCCAAAAUGGGAUUUGAUCUCAAUCAUAUCCAUAAUUGUGUAUAUGUAUAACAUUAAGAAUUUAUUUUCUUAAUCGACUUGAGAUAUCACAUACUAAAGGUUAAUUAUCUUCAAUGAACUCUUUUAUGUAUAUACAUCUUUAAAAAAAAAAAAACCAAUUAGAAAAUAUAAGUAGACUACAAUGCUUUAAAAACUUUCAUUGAAAAUAAUAUCACCCAAUGAGAAUGAUUAUGGUAGAAACGUUAUUAAUAUAUAAUAUUUUUUUUGGUAGUACUUUUAUAGAAAAUGGGAUAAUGUUUAAAUAUAAAUCAUAAAAGUGAUAUUAAUAGAGUUUUUUAAAGUCCGUUUAGUAGUGAUUUUAGGAUGUGCUUUUAAUAUUUCUAAUACUUAAAUUUUUUUAUCAUUCAAGUGUUAAAAAUAUUAAAAACGUUUUUAGAAUCAAUUCCAAACACACUUUUAAAAUUAUUUUAUAUAGUAAAAAAACAACUAUUUGUUCUUAAUUCAAGAAUCAUUUAAGUGAUUUUUUAGAUUUUUAUAAUUUUAUCAAAUCUUUAUUUUUUAAUAAUAAAAGUAAAGAACGUUUCUAAUCCCCUUAAAAUCACUUUUAAUUGAACUAUUAUACGAUAAAAUUGAAAGAUAAAUACGAGUAAAAAUUUUUUAGCUUAAAAAAAUCAAUCUGAAUAAAACAUUUUUCACUCAAAUGUUGAGUUAGAAAUUGAAGAUUUUCCUAGAAAGAUUUUUUUUUUUUUAAAAAAAAAUUAAUGGAAAGAAAUGAUGAAAACUAAAAAGACCUUACUCCUUGGAAUCAACCGAGUGAUUUUUACAUGUUCCACUCUCUCCCCUCAAUCCCAUUUUCUAUAUAAGCCCUUUGGGUUGGUUUCCUCCACGCAAGGGGUACUCGGCCACUACCUACAAAGGCUACCAAACACUGUCCAAUCUCCCUGAGAGCCCUUCUCCAUCGUAUGGGUAUGACUUCUCUUUCAUGCCUGUGCCUCUUCAUUUCUUUAUGAUUUUUUUUUUCUCAACACCAUUUCAAUCACUGAUUUUGCCUACCUGUAUUACCAUUAAUGUGCCGACAAAAGAGAAAAAUGCAAGUCCUUGUUUGAAGAACUCCGGUCUGUCAAUCUGCCUUACUCAUUUUUUAUACCAAUUGCUGUUGGAAUUUUGUUUAUUGUUUUCUCUCUUCAAUUCAAUCCCUUUUGUUCUGAAUCGGUGUCAGAGAGAAAUCCCUUUGUGGGUCUUCAAGAAUCUCGUUGUAUUGUGGUAAUCCAAUGAAUAAAGCCCCUUUUCUCUCUCUAAACCCUUUGUUUUUGAUAAUUUUUCUCCCUUGGGUCGCCCAUCACGUGAAUCUGAAUUGUUCUGAUGGUUUGGUGGAAUAAUCUGGUGUUGAUUGUUAAAUUGAUGGAAGAUUUUGGGGUUGAUUUUAGGGAAAGUUGCUGCUACUUCUUCCCCUUGAAUGCUUGAUUUUACUGGUGAAAUCGAUGAGCUUGAAGAGCUGAAUUUGGACUGUUUGUGAUGUCCUCUUCAUAUUUUGUUGUUUUCUAGUGCUUUCUUGCUCUGUUACGGUGUUGGGGAUUUUGGAAUCGAGUGGUUGCAGGUGUGGCAACAGAAUCAUGCCUUUCUCAAGAGUUUUUGGAACCGAUUUCAUGUUGUUGUUGGUCUUAAUUGAUAGAUGGUUAUAAGAUUCUUUAUGUUGAUUGUUUCUGAUCUGGGUUUGGAGCUAUUUUUCUAAAUAAAUUGUAUCUAGGUACCCAAAUUGCUUUGUCUACCCCCUUUUGGGUGAAUAUUUUUGUGUUCAAGGCACAGAAGACCUCUGAGGCCCUGUUUAUUUGUGAUUGCACUCUAAUCUGUUCCAUGGAGUGACUGAUUUGAUAAAACUUGGUUAUGUUAUGAUUGUACAGUAAUGUGUUCCAUGAACUGAAAAAGUUCAGUAACUCAUGUACAUUUUUCGUAGCAAGAUAUGGUUGAUUUGAUAAACCUUCCAUAUGGGUUUCUCAGUGCUAUAUCUUUAUUUUUCAUGUUAUUCUCAAUAGACUUGAAUUGCUAAAACUUCACUGUUUCACAAAAAGAACUGUUUCACUCUUAAUUUACUUGACUUUGCAUGUGUAAUGUAUAUAAUCAGAUCAAAGGCUUUUUUCCAAGGACAUAUUUCUGAAUAUAUGUGUAUGGGUUAGUGAUUGGGAUUUUUGAAUUGAACAGAAGACUUCCAAUCUCUGUCAGUAUUGCUGUUUGUUUAAUUUAGGGGUUUAGUCAGCUCAUUUAUGACACAGGGUUCUAGUGAUAUCAUUUUGGUCUUAUCCAUGCAUAAGAUGUGUUAUUUCUCAUUGUUCAUGCCGAUCAAUUGCCUAAACUGGACAACUAGUCAGUGAACUUGUCAAUAUCCUUAGAAAGACAAGCUUGACCUUUGGUUCUCAGUCGCACAAAUUGAAUAAAGCAACCUUGAAAUUUUCAUUUUUUGGUUGAUCUGUAAUCAAGUUAGAUGAUAUGCAAUUUUGAUGACUGAAGACUUUGAUGUAUCUACUCUAAGAAACUAACUAUGGUUAAAGAUUAUGGCAGUACAUAUUUCUACGGUUAUGAUCUGAUUAUUGUAUUUUGCGUGGAAUAAUGGUGACAAGAUGGUUUAGUUGUUUGACACUGCUCUUGAUUGCAAACUUAGAAUACCAUAUUGCAGCUAAAGACCAAAAAAGCAAUCAUUCUCUAUGACUUAGUUUCUCAAGCACUGCAGGUUUGCCCUAUUAGUCUAUUACUAGAUCACUUCCUCUCUUCUCAGAGUUCAAUGCAACAUGUAAAUCAAGUUGCAUAGUCUGUAGAUUAUCAGAAGUAGAAGAAAGGAUACUUACUUUCAAGAGCUUAAAAUUCUCUUCAUGAGAUAUGAAAUGAUAGAGUAACAUCCUUAUCACUGUUGAGAAUAGAGGAUGUAAUGGAUACUUCAUAUCUUUAACAUUACUGAAGAAAAGGUUCGAAGAAUUAUCUUCAUGGAAAGAAACCAAGAAGUUGCAAACAAGGUUGUCAUCAUUCAGCAAGAACAUAAAUGAGGGAAGGAAUGACAAAGAUAUACCAUUAGUUUACCAGUCUUCUCAGAAAUGCAAGGGCAAUCUAUCUUCAGUGAUUUUGUGGGUAGAGAAGGCCCAUAAACCCUUGGAAAACAAACUUUCAAGGACAAUGAUUUUCUUUAGAUGGCAAUCUAGAAAGCUAAACAUAAUUCAGGGAGGCUGCAUUAAAUCUUCAUGACCAAAUGUUGAAGGAAAUGUGCUCUCUCAGGAAUCUCAAUGGCCUACUAGGGGAUGUAUUCUCUCAGGAACAUCCACAGCCAUUUUCCUACUAUGGCAAUUUUCCUGGAGUUUAUGUUACCGAAUUCAAAACCCCUCUUUAGAUUUAGGCUUACAUGCAAUCUGUCAUUGACUGUGUGGUCUCUUUUCUAAUCCCCUGUGCUGACUGAAGGAAAUCUCCUUGAAUCUUCUCAUUCAGUUGACCAGUCUGACUGGAACCUGAAACAAGGAAUGGCAAAAAAAAAUGCAAACAACUUUCUUUGGGUCAAGCUCAAGCUUAAGUCCUACCCAUUCCAAAUUAAAGCAAGCAGACUGAAAAACAACCUUUGUAGAUCUCUACAAGAUAUGGGCUUUACAUAUCUUUGCUGGAAAGAUAUUAUUCGAUAAUUGUCUUUCUGUUUCAUUUUUAUUUGUUGACUAAGCAGUUAGGAUUUGGACUUAAAUGGCCAAUUACUGCACAAACCAACUCUAUGCUAGAUUAUUCGCGUAGAGAAUUUUGAACUAAUUCAAUCAUUAGAACCAUGUCCAACAUAUAAGUACAGAUUUGGAACAUUUUCCAAUGUAAAACAUGACUUUUUCAAAUAAAACUCUUCUUUGAAAAUGGUGUUGGCAUUGCUCUAGUGAAAGAGAUUCGCUUUGGAAGACGAUCAUAAAGGAAAAAGAUUGGGGAGGAGGAAGGGGGUUGGAGAUCAGCUGAGGUGAGAGACUCUUAUGCGGUCGGGUUAUGGAAAGCCAUAGGUAAGCAGUGGGAUUUCCUUGACACAAAUGUCUCCUUUGUAGUGGGUAGUGGGAAUAGGGUGAAGUUUUGAAAGGAUAACUGGUGUAGUGAGGAGCCUUCAUCUAUGUUAUUCUCGUCCUUGUUUGGCUUAUUCCACUUGAAAGAAGUGUGGGUAGCUAACUUUUAGGAGCAAAGAGGGGAAGAGGGGAAUUGGAACUUCUGUUUUGAUAGGAAUCUGAAUGAUUGGAAGUUGGUUAUCAUGGAACGAUUCUUGUGUAAACUCCAAGGUUAGUCAGUGAAUAGGGGGGAGGAGGACAAAGUAGUAUGGAGGGGCAAUAGUAAAGGGAGGUUCUUUGUAAAAAUGUUGUAUUAUCUUUUGGAGUCAAAUUGUGCCAUCCCCCAAUAGAGAUUAUUUAGAACUUUUGGAUUCCUUCGAAGGUGAGCUUUUUCACCUAGAAGGCUUGCUGGGGUAAGGUGUUGAUUUUAGAUGAGCUCCAAAGAAGAGGGUGGGCGUUGGUCAUUAGGUGUGCCUUGUGCAAAGAGGAGUCAAAAUAUAUUGAUCACAUUCUCCUUUAUUGUGAUAAGGUUAGGAUAUUAUGGCAUUUGGUGGGCUAUUUUCGGUAUUCAAUGGGUUAUCUUUGCAUCAAUUAGGGAGACUCUUCUAGGAUGGCAUGACCCUUUUGUAGGUAGAAGGCACAUGAAGGCUUGGAGAGCUGGUUUUUUUAUGUAUUUUCUGGACUAUUUGGAAGGAAAGAAAUAAAAAAUGUUUUGAAAGUGAGGAAAUAUUAGACCAAAGACUCAAAAGCAAUUUCUUUAACAAUCUAUUUUUGUGGGUUAAGGUGUAUAUAGGUGGAGGCUCUAUGCUUUUGUUUGAUUUUAUAGAUUGGUUGGGUUUUUGGUGAUGGAGUAAUUUUUUUUGUUUCCCCUCUUUUCUGUUUAGCCUUUUGGUGGUCAUUGGAUAUGAUUUGUGUACUCUUGUGCACUAGUUGCACUUUUUAAUACAUUCUCUUAUUUAUCAAAAAAAAAAAAAAAAAAAAAACUACUAUAGCUGCCUCUUGGUUAUGCUAUUUUUAAUUGUAGGUUAUGUAAGCAUGGUAAGAUGUCUUUGGGUUUCCUUUGUUAUUACUUAUAAUUAAUACCUUCUCCUUGUUGGCUUCUUAAUAUUUAUAAUCUUAUUGUUUCUUAUGCUAUGUAGGAAGUUAUUACUAGAUUGAUUGGAGGCAUUUGAACAAAAAUAAUCCCCUCACUGUCUUUGACUUUGUGUGAUUAUAUAUGGGCUGAGGUGCACAUUUCAUGGGAGGUGUAGAUGAUGAUGAACCACCCUCAAAACGCAUGAAAUUAUCUUCUGGAGAGUUGAGAGGCCUUUCCAACGGUUCGUCUCUUACAGAGCCCGUGGACGGCUCUUUGAGAGACUCUAUGGCUUGUUCCCUACCAUCUGAAGAGAACGAAGAGAUGGUUGGUUCUAGAGGAAUUAUUAAAAGAGUGGAAUUUGUCAGAAUCAUAGCCAAGGCAUUAUAUUCUCUUGGUUACACAAAGAGUGGUGCUCAUCUGGAGGAAGAGUCAGGAAUUCCCUUACACUCUUCUGUGGUCAGUCUGUUUAUGAAUCAAAUUCUUGAUGGCAAUUGGGAUGAAAGCAUGCUCACAUUGCAUAAAAUUGGUCUACCAGAUGAAAACAUUGUUAAAUCAGCAUCUUUUUUGAUAUUGGAGCAGAAGUUUUUUGAACUUUUGGAUGGAGAAAGGGUCAUGGAGGCUUUGAAGACAUUGCGAACAGAGAUUGUUCCUCUUUGCAUUAAUAGUAGUAAAGUCUGUGAGCUUUCUUCCUGCAUUGUGUCUCCUUCACAGUCUGCACUAGUUGGAUGUCAUAGUCAAGGUGCUGUAAGGGCAAAGUCUCGAUCAAAGCUACUGGAGGAAUUGCAGAAAUUGCUUCCCCCAACAGUUAUGAUACCUGAAAGAAGAUUGGAACAUUUAGUUGAACAGGCGCUUGACUUGCAACGAGAUGCUUGCAUGUUUCACAACUCUCUGGAAGGGGAAAUGUCACUAUACACUGAUCAUCAAUGUGGAAAAGACAAGAUUCCUUCUCGAACUUUACAGGUUAGAAAAUGUACUCCUGAUCUGAGCUUUUAAAACCUGAUAUGCAUGCAAACAAUACUAAUUUUGAUUAUUUAGUCUAAUAAUACUGUGAUAAUUUGGAACUUUUUCUUCAAUUAUAGUGAGUUACACAGUACUAGCAAAACAAAAAUAAUGGAAUAAAAUAGUUUAGUGUUAUAUCUGUCAGUUUCUUAGCCUUCAGGGAUCUUUGCUUAUGUUUGGAUAGCUUCUACUCAGUAUAAUAUAAUUGCAAUGUGUUGGUUCAGCGUUAAAAUGUUUGAAUUGUGGGAUUUUUCUAUUUCUAGGUCCAUCGUUCAGUUGUUUCAUAAAGAUGAUAGUAUUAUUAUUUUGAUAUGUGUAAUAAAGGAUGCAUGUUAAGGUGCUAAAAGGGGGGCAAACUUAGUACCAGGAAGAAAAAGAUGAUCUUUUGUUCAUUCAGAAAUAUGCUGACAUUGUCAUGUUGAAGAUGUAGGAUGGAAGGAUUUGUAGGGAUUUCCACUGGCUUAUCAACUCUCAUAGGAAGUUAGAGUUGGUGGGAUGUUUCUUAGUGGUGGGCAGUCAUAGUUGCUAAGGCGAUGGUGUGUACUGAUUGUGGCAAAGGCAAUGGUGGCAACAGUGGUGGUUCAUUAAUGGUGCCUAGUCCAUGGACAGCAGACUUUCUAAGGGAUAGUCAAUGUAAAUCAAUAAUCAUCUGAAGAUGACCCAUCAUCUUGAGAAUUGGUAGUGGUAGUGAAUGUGGAAAAGGUGGCAUGGUGAUUGCAUGUGCCAUAUGGACCCUCCAAAUUAUGUAUCUGUAUCAGGUAGGAUUUGAUAUGACAAAAGGUUUGAAUAUGGGAUAUGUCCUUUGUACCUGUUGGUUGUGUAUGUACCUAACAAUUGUGACCAAUAAAGAGAACAAGAAGAACAAGAUUCUAAUCCAUUCUGAGAAACCUUAAACUCUUAAUCUGUUUCUUUGUUGCUCAUGUAUGCAUAAAGCACCGGUGUUGGACGUAUAUCCCAUAUUCGAAACGUAAAUUGCAUUAUUUAAUAGCAUUGAUGUUUUCCUAGAUAUGACAAUUAAUUAGAUCCAACACCUACACAUAUACCAAGAUUGGACAUGUGUACCUAAGUCUUUGUAACAUGGGUGAUGGUGCUAAUGCCAAUAGUGUUUCUAGGUAAUUCCUCACAAUUGUGGAUUUAUGAAAUGAAACCUUUUUGUUACUGAUUUGCACCAAGUGCUUUUUCAAACCCUUGAGUGAUUGCAAAAUCCUUGUCUUCUCAAACUUAAAGAUACAUAUUUAAAGUUGGGAUUCUAAAAUCCUUUUUGACCCUUAAAAUCCUGUCCUAAAACUGUUGUCUAAAAAAAAAUAAAAUAAUUGUAUGAUAGGUAGAGGAUCACACACCAAAGAGUCAAAGGAUCUAGCUCCCUCUUUUCCAAAGAAUUUACGUUUUGGUUAGCCAGUUUAGCACUUAAUAAGGACACAACCAUUUUUUAUUUUUUAUUUUUAUUUUAUAAAUAAAGAAAAGUAGUGUGGAAAAUCCUCCUCAUAUGCCCCUCUAGGUACCUCUAUUCCUUGUAGAAACCAAGAGAUAAACACUACUAAAUUCCUCCCUGGUAUCAAAUGCCAGGUUCCUAAAGGCUUUUAAGAAGGGAUAGGGUUUUUGCUAAAAUAGUCAUCCCAAUCCCAAUUGAUCCAAUGAAGAAUCCUAUGGUGUUUCCCUUUUUUUUUUUUUUUUUUUGUUAACACAUCUAGUACCCAUUUGGGCUAGGAUCUCUAAUUAUCAAAUAUCAAAAUUUUGUAUACUAAUCCCCAUAGAUGAGGGAUUAUUUUAUUGAUUGUAACAACUCACCUUCGACUUUCCCAACAAAUAUCUAACCUAUCCAUGCGAAUAACAUUCAUAGGAAUGCCUUUAACCUUUUUAGUUAUCAAAACCAAAUGAAAUCUGAAAAAGCAAACAUUAUCCUACAUAUCCCCUAUAUGUGUUUAUAUUGAAAAAUUUAUGAUCUUUAUCACCUAUUUCAUAAUAAGAGAAGCAUAGUUCCAUAAAAACCACGGUUCCUUUUUGUUUCCUACUGAAGUGCUCAAAAGAUACUGCAUGAGAGUGAAUUCUUUUAUAUACUACCUGGAGAAUCUGGGUUGAAGAAAAUGACCUUAACCAUGAAUCCCAAUAAGUUUGUUUUUUUAGUAGGCAAAUAGGAUAAAUGUAUUAGACGAUGCCUAAUGAAAAAAAGGGGGCAUUAACCUAAUACCAAGAGGUGUACAAGGUGCACCAAGGCUACAGAAAAAAUAAAAAUAAAAAGCAUCACCUACGGCUAAUCCAUGCAUAUCUGCAAAAUCAAGCGAAAAGUAGUUGAUUUCUGCUCAAAAACAGCUUGCCUAAGGAAGCGAAGACUUUAAAGAAGUCAUUAAUUGACAAGAAAGUUCUCUCAGAACCGUAAAAACUCUUCUAUUCUUUUCUUUCUCAAAUAGUUUAGAUCACAGAUAAACAAGUUGUCUUCCAAAUCAAUUCCUUUCUUUGAGCCACACAUUUAUUGUGCAACUCACUAAGGGUAGCACAAACUUUCAUAGGAAGGAUUCGAACCACCAGAAAAAUAGAAAAUAGUGAAGACCAAAGACUCGAUGAAUCACAGUGGAUUAUAACAUAAUCUGUUGAUUCUUCUUUAUGCUUGCAAAGACAAUACCUAUUCACCAAAGUCAACCUUUUUCCAUAAGAUGAUCAGUUGUGAGAAUUUUACCCCAAGUUGCCUCCCAAGCAAAGAAGCAAACCUUAGACAAUACCUUAGAAGCUCAAAUCACUUUUGAUGGGAAUGAUGAGGGAACUUCAUAAUACAUUGACUUGUAUGAUUUGAUUUAGAAUAUGCCUUUCCUUGAAUGCCUUCUACAGUAAUGGUCUACAAAGUUGACCUGAAAGGAUGAACAUACGCCAAGCUCAAAGGGCACAAAACCUCUUCCACCAUCUCCAACAUGUGGUCAAAGCAGAGUCUCUUAAAUCUUAGAUUCCAAUAGGGUGUCAUUGUUGCCUUGACCUCCCAAUGGUCCACCACUUAGCACCUUUUUGAAUUGCUAAAGCAAAAAGAGCUGAAAAGCUCUCCUUUGACUUCAUCUCCCUACACUACUCAUCUUCUAAAAUUUGGUUGUUUGACCAUCACCAUUAAAGAUGCUUUUUCUUACUUGAGAAUCUUAUGAACCUCUAUUCAGUAUUUAUCUUUUUCUAGAGGUUGCAGUAGAAAACCUUCCUACCUAUCUUGGAGCACCAGCUCCCUGCCAUCUCACCAUUCUUUCCCAUAAGGACUCUUCCAAUGGCAAUUGUGAUCGCAAGAAAAUCUACAUAACCAUUUCCUAAGUAAUGCCUUGUUCAACACUAAUAGUUUUGCUUAUCUAUAAACUUCUUCUUUUGGUCUUCUUUGAACACACUGUGCUCCACUUGAAUAGAUGGAUCUUUCCAUUGGAAAGCUCUCUUCCUUAUAAAAAUGUUCUUUGAAUUUUCUCCCAUCUAAGUUGCAUUUUCUUUGGGAUUGCUAAGAAAGACAUGAAAUAAAUUACGAGGUUAAAGAGGGAGCUUUUAACAAAGUGAGUCUACCACCCUUUGAAGAGACACAACUUCUUCAAAAAGGCUAAUGUUUUUUAAAAUAUCUCCUAUACUACAUCCCAAAAUGUUUCACAUACAUAAAUAUUUUGUGGGGAGCUGACCCCCACACUACAACUAAAACUCAAAGCUAACUGCUCAACCUCCUCUAAUACCAUUAUUGGAAUAAGCUUGCACUUUUCAAUAUUUAGUUUUAAGAUUGAAACAACUUUGAAACACAAAAACACCCAUCCCAAGUAUAAUAAUUGCUCACUACUAGCCUUGCAAAAAGGGUGAGAGUCAUUUGUGAAAAGAAUAAGAAAUAUCAAUACACUCCUAUUCCUUUCCUCUUACUUCGAAGCUAUUAAUUUUUUUGUUUUUUGAUAGACAAAGACAUUGAAUUGAGAAAACGCCAAAACAGGGGGCGCACCCUACGUAGAUAGGUAGUAUACAAAAAGAGCCAAAACAAGGCUGCAAAAAGAAAGAACAAACCUAGAGGGAUAAAAAGCUAGCCGCUAUGCCAAUCACCCAAAAAAUUUAGAGAAGAGGGAGAGUCUAAAUCCAAAAACUGUUGAGACCACUCUAGAAGUGAACGGAAAAAGAGGUUCCUCAAACUUUGGUCUGACAACUCUUCAUCUUGGAACAUUCUUCGGUUUUUCUCUCCCCAAAUACACCAGGAAAGACAAAUAGGCUCCAAACUGCUCUCCUCUUCUUCUCUAGCCCCUUAACUUUCCUUUUUAGAAGCAGGUUUCUCACUAAAGCUGGGAACACCCACACUGGCUAUUAAUGAAACUUCCAUUCAUGACUUGGUCAAUGAUACAGCUCAUGGCCUCCAUAACUAAAAUAAAUAAGUAGGGUGAGAGAAGAUCUUCUUGCCUUAAGCCUUUUGAACUUUGAAAGAAACCAUAUGGACUCCCACUCACUUAUAAUGAAAAGCGAACUGUAGAAACUUAAUCAAUCCACUUUUGGUGGAAACACUUAUUGUUCAUCAUAAAAAAAAGAAAGCUCCAAUUCACAUGAGCACAAGUCUUUUCUAUGUCCUAUUUUUAGGUUAAUUUUUUAUUUUGGAGUUGCUGGCUUCAUUAGCAAUCAACAUUGCUUCCAAAAUUUGCCUAUCCACAAUGAAGGCACUUUAAAUAUUAGAUGUAACCUUACCAAUGACCUUUAUAUGCCAAUUUACCCAUACUUUUGCUAGAAGCUUGUACACCCUACACCUAAACUAAUAGGUCAAAAGUCCUUAAUAUCUUGUACCCCUAUCUAUUUAGGGACAAAGACUAAGAAAGUGGUAUUAAGACUUCUUUGGAAUAAAUAAGAGCCAUCUAAUUUAUGGAGAAAACUCAUCUUCUUAGUGUAGCUUGGCAACUUAAGGAACCUAACAUGUUGGGUAGUGAAAAUUUCAACCAAAGUAUUGUGUGUUAGAGCAUGAUUUACAUUGUGCACUCAUGUCCUAACAGGAUAUCAGAGAUUUCAGUGUUAACAUUUCCUUGUGUAGAAAACCCUGUGAUGGCUGAGUAGAAAAUGCUUUUGCACUUGCAGCCAUCCUUGCCAGCGAUGGUUCUGCAAAGGGGAAGUUGCUGGUUUGGGAUUGAAUCAAAAUCUUUUGAGAUUUUGUUGGAGCAAGUCAAAGGGGAAGUCGGCUGGCAAGAUAGUGGAGAGAGGGGUUGUGGGUUUUCCACUUUGAUUAGAUUUUGUGACUAGCCCGAUUGCUGGAAGGGGUAGAAGCUUGUUGUGAAGGGCAGUCUGGAAAAUCUUUCAGUAUGGGGUGGAAUGAAGGUUGAAGGGGCUACAAGUUGGAUCUUUGUAGCAAUAAGGCAGGGGGCUCGAGAAUGGCUGGGUAGAAUUGUUUUUCCUGGGGUGUUAGGUGUUGGAUUUGGAUGGUUAUCCUUGUUGUUCUCUUUGUUUUCUGUGGUGUCACAGUAUGUAUACUACAUGUGUAAUUUGUUGAGCCCUUUGGGCUUUUAAUAUAUUCUCUCUCUUUACCUAUAAAAAAAAAUAUGUUGGGUACUGAAAGAACAAUUGUUUAGAAAUUCACCAAAGUUAUAGCAUAAGAAGCAAUUUAACUAUGUUGGAGGAACACCUUUUAUAAUUAGUCAUUAGUCAUUAGUAUUAUUGUGAGGCCUCCUAAUUUACAAUUAGUCAUUAGUAUUAGCCUUUUUUUUGUGGGAUUUCUAGUCUAAUUUUUCUAGGUAGAAGAUGGGCUCGGCCUUAUUAGAGAGAGGGCUCAGGGGUAAUGGAACACCUUUCGUUUAAAGUCUGACACAUCUCAUUAGGGGCCAUGUUAGGAAAGAAAAUGUUUUUUUGGACCACAAGAAAGAACUAAACUUUAGUUAUUUUCUUUGGUCUUUGAGGCUUCUUAGGAGGAAAUUUCUAACAAAUAAGUGCAAUGGCCUUCCAAAGGCACCAAUGUGACCAUUUGAUUAUAUUAUUGGCGUCCCACCCAUUAGGAUGUGUCCCCUAGAUACUUAAAAUAACCUGAUGCCUAAGGGCGAAACCUUCUUUAGGGAACCUUCAUAACCACUUCUUUAAUAAAGCAGGGUUCCUCAGACAAAUUUUCCCAAACCUUAAACCAUCAAACCCCUUACACUUACACAUUAGAUCCCAACUAAUAAGAUGAUCUCUUUUACUCUCGCCAAAACCAGACCAUAAAAAUCUCUUUGCAAUUGUCCAAUCCUUGAUGCUAUUAAUGCUGAAAUCUUGAAAAGGGAUGAGAAGUAGCUUGGGAUGCGAGACCAAAAAGAUUGAAUUAGAGUAAUUCUACCCCUUGAGGACAAAAAAGUUUUUUUUCCACCCAUCCAAUCUCCUUGAGACUAUCAAUCACUAGAUCCUAAAAUGAGCUUGAUUUUGGAUUCCCCUCUAAAAGAAGACCCAAAUAUGUUAAAGGCCAAUUAGAGUCUGAACAUUCAAGCAUCAAAGCCAUCCUAGAGAUUUGAUCUUGACUUGUGUUGAGUGCUCUUAUUUAGAUUGGUCCUAAGCCCUGACAAACACCCAAAAACCAACAAUAUUAGCUUAAGAGUUUGCAAAUAUUCCAAAGAAGCUUUAGAGAAAAAGAAAGUGUCAUAAGCAAAUUAUAAAUGAGACGCUCUAGUCUUAUUUUUGCCCAUUAUGAACCCCUUAAAUAAACCUCUCUCCUCAACUCUCAACAACCUACUUAAAAUAUCAAUAAUAAUGGUAAAAAGAAAAGAGAAAAGAGUGAUUUCCUUAUCUUAAGCCUUUAGAUGCCUUAACCCAACCAUUGAUAGUUCCAUUCACUAUUACUGCAAAACUUGUUGAUGACAAACAUCCCCUCAUCCACCGACUCAUUGGCAAUCAAGACAACAUCCAAAUUUGCCUCCCUUCAACAAAAGCUCUCUGGGACAUGAAGGUGGUAUUGUGAAGGACUUUACCUAACCACCCUGAUACGACCUUAGCUAUGGUCUUGUGCAAGUUAGUGACUAGGUUGAUAUGUUUAAAGUCUGAGAUUCUACUAGUUUGACUAUUUUUUGGCAUUAGAGCAAUGAGGGUAGCAUUGGUACUUUGGUUAAUUAUCCCAUUAGUUCUUGCAUUUAUUUUCCGUCAUACUAUUCAAAUCAAAGUUAGAAAUGCAAUUUGAUAGAGUUUGCUGCUACCUAUGCUCCCUUAACCUCUAAAGGAAAUGGUUAUCAUGUCAUUGAUGCUCCUAGGAGAAACCCAAUCUAGCCUGACUAGUUUGAAUUAUCUUUCCCACAAUGCCAAAGUCCUCGGGUAAUGUAAAAAAGAGACGAUCAAUCGAUUCACCACUCCUCAUACAUGUAAUGUAAUAGUUAAGACUAAGAGCUUGUAGCAAGUAGUUGGUAUUGGUCUUUUUGCUUGCCACUAACCAUGUAAAAAGCUUUGAUCUUAGAUAAGGUUUUAGAUUGCCAUAUGAACUUCACUAGAGAGCAAAGAGAUGGGGCUAGUUGAUUGGAUAGGGUUGAAAGGAAGGAUUUUACCAAGAAUAUGCUUGAAGUAGAUAAAGACCAAGUUCUAGUAUUGGGGAUAAACAAUAUCAAGUGCACAUGAGAGAUAAAGUACAUGAGUCUUUUUGUUCGACGCCUUAGUUCAUUAGGUAUCUUCCCAUGCUCUAAGUAGUCAAUCAAUAAUUGUCGCCAAUCUUCGAUGUCAAUAGUUAGCAUUGAUGUAGUGUUGACCUCUUCUUGUUGUAAUAUUGGUGAUGGUGGUAGUACCCACCUAUGGUAGACAGGGACGUGUAUAGUUUCAUCCUUAAACAGUGUCAAACUUGUGACUAAAUUAGCUAGAGCAUCUACCAUUUGGUUCUCUUUUUUGUAGGACAUGAACUAAAGAGAUUUGCUUGAACUUUUCCAUAAGUCCUCAAUCUUUGUGUUUGUGAGCUUGUGAUGGAAAUUAAGGUUCUAAGAAAAAGGAUAAGAGGUGCAAAGAAGAGAAUAAAUCAAGGCAUUUCUAACUAUAACCGUAUAACAACUCUAAAGAGAUUUGGAAAUUGAAAGUAAAAGAGUUUGAUUCUCCCACCAUAAGUCUUCACCAAAAGAGAAUCCUUGCCCUCUUUCCCACCGCAAAACUAGUACGUGUUGAGAAAUCUUUGAGCACCUGUGCGAUUGCCUUCUAGGGGUAUCGAUGUUGGGAUGAGUCCCAUAUACUUAAUAUUACCUUAUGCCAAAUAGCAUCACACUUCCUAGGAUACCUGUACAACCAUUUUCCUAAGAUAGCUCUAUUUCUCAAAGAAAUCUUCUCUAAUCCUAAGCCCCCUUCCAACUUGGGUUUGUGCACUUGUUCCCAACUAAUGAGAUGGUCCAUCUUUCCUUUCCCAACCCUUGGCCAAAUAAAAUCUCUUUGCAUUGUCUUUAUGUUUGAUGCUAUUACCAAUGGAAUCCUAUAUACAAAGAGGAAAUAAUUAAGGAUGUGAGAUAGACAAGAUUGAAUUAGGGUUAUCUGACCUCCUAAUGACAAACAAACUUUUCUCCAUCCAUCUAGUCUCCGUGAAAUUCUAUCUAUUACUGGAUGCCAAAAAACAUUAGCCUUUGGGUUCCUUCUUAAGGGGAGACCUAAAUAGGUUAAGGGCCACUCAGAAACAAUACAUUCAAGCAUUGAAGCCAAACUAGCAAUCCCAUCCUGAUUCACAUUGAUGUUAAUGAAAGUGCUCUUGUUUAGCUUGAGGGUUUUCAAAUCCCUCAUACUAGCUCUUGAGACAAAGAUAAUAUCAUUUACAAACUGCAAGUGGGUCAACCUAGGUCUCCUUCUCCCUACUUGGAGGCCUGCUAAUGGGUCGCUGUCCUUCGCCCUCAAUGUCGUCCUACUUAAGAUGUCAACUUUAAGGCAUCUCCUUAUGGUGGUAUACUUUUGAGUUAAUAAAAAUAAUUAAAUUUGAAUGAUAGUCAAAUAUGAAAUAUACAAGUGUAUCUUCUACAAUGGGAAUUAACUUUAUCCAAUUAUUUAGCAAUGUGGGUUAUUUUGAGAUUAAAAAUCUAGAUAGUAUUUUUUUUUCUUUUGUUCUUGAUAGGCAAAUAGCAAAUAUAAAUUAAAAAUGUCUAAGCAAAAGGUGCAACCUCAUGCACAUGAUGUAUACAUUUGAUGGCAACUAGAAGCAUGCUUAAAAGAGAAACACAAAAAACAACCUCCUUCUCGUUAUUUUAAGUUAAACCCAAUCAACAAAGUCAAUCAUUGACUAGGGAUGGUCACCUAUGUACACUCUAAUUUAUUCCAAAAAAUAAUUAUGAAAAUGGAUUUAAUCUUCUCAUUUGACUAUUCCAAAUCUUCAAAAGACCUCCUGUUUCUUUCCUUCCCCAACAUCCAAAACAAACAUCGAGGGACAACCCUCUAAGCUUUUUUCCGCUUCUUUCCCAUGAAAAAUCCAUGCCAACUCAAUAAAUUUCCUCUUAUAAUGGAGUGCAUCACCAAGCUACUCAAAAAAGAGAGAAAACAAGUGGCCAUGAGAUGCUAGCUUUAGGAUAAUGGAGAAGCAAAGGAUCAAUUGACUCUUUCUCAUUGUUGCACAUGCAACAUCAAUUAUGUAUUAUCUAUUCCCUCCUUUUAAGCUAAUUUUUUCACAUCUAGAUAGUAUCUUCAGAAAAACUUCUACCAUGGGUAUCAACUCAAUUUUUUAUUUAGCCCUAGAAGAAGGAAACAUCACUAGAAUUUCAUGUUGAAAUUGUCCAAGGAUGUUGAUAUUAUCUAGUACAACCAAAGCUAAUGCAAUUUGCAUCUCUUGAAUGGCUAAAAUGUGGGCAAAUGCCUUCCAUCAUGUAUAUAUGGUUGUAACUGUGUUAGAUCUCACCUUUCCAUUAGCUAGUGGAAUGAGAUGUAUUGUUUCUUAAGCGUCCACCAGUGUUUUCAAAGGUGUUGGUGAGGCUCGCUUCAGGGCGCGCCUUGAGGCAAAGUGUUCCCAGAACGUGUUGAAGCGUUCUCAAAAGUGCUAGACUCAUAAAAGGUGCACGCCUCUAGAGUUGAAGCUUAUCUAAGGCACGCUUCUUGUGCGCCUUCAACGCAUCAACGGUUGAGGCGUAGGCCUCAGACAUGUGGGUUGUUGUUAACCAAAAAGCCUAUGGAAAGUGCAAUCAAAGGAGAAAACACAAAAAAAAAAAUUCUAAUUCUUAAUUCACUAUUGGUGAACUAUGGCAACGACUCACUCUGACAUAGAUAACUUGGACAUCUCCCCAUUGCUCCAAUGAGAUCUCCCGACAUGGUCCUCAACUCUUCUUCUCCCUCUUCAUUCUUAGUUCUUCCUUCUUCUCCUUCUUCGUUCUCUGUUCUUUUCUUCUCUCUAGUUCUAAUAUAUUCUUUUCUCCCAAAUUGGUUUUAUAUUUUAUUUUUCAUUUUAUAUUGCUCAUUUUUUUUUCACACCUAUUAGUUUUUUCCUUAUAUUUAUGUUUUGUUUUGGUUUUUCAAAAAGCAUCCCGAUCUCUUUGUUUAAUGAAGCUGGCCUUCCCCCCCUGUUUUCUAUGUAAAAAAUUAGCAAACUACUAAUUUCUUUUUCCAUAAUUGAUUUUACAAUAAAUAGUAAAAAUUUUUAGAUAAUUGAUUUUUGUAAUUUUCUUUAGUUAUUUUUUUUUUCAAACAACAAAAAAAUUAGACAAUCAAUUUAAUAAUUAAAUUAUUUAGAAUCUGAAUUUGUAGACUUUGAACUUCAUUAUGUAAUUGAAAUUUUAUUCUUUAUAGUCUAAAAAAGGUUAUGAAAUUAAUUUCUUCAUGGACAUUGUCCAAAAUGGAGAAGAGAAAGAGAGAGAGAGAGAGCGAGAGCGAUGGAGGAGAGCGAGAGAGUCUGCGUGUGAGCGAGGGUGCAGAGAGCGAGUUUUGAUCGGGGUCUCGGAAAAGCUUGAAGGGGAGUAGCUUCGGAGUGGAGUCGAAGACUUUUGAGGUCGAAGUUGAGGAGAAGAAAGGUAAACUGCAAGCCACUAUUGUGGGGAGGAAAAGAGGGAUUUCUUUGUGGGUCAAGCUGGGACCAGAGAGCCUAGGGCUCUUUCUGGAAUGCCUGCUUCUUUGCAUAAAAGAGACGAGAGCUGGAAAAUGGGAGGUCUUAUUCGCUGGUGCGUGAUGAGAACAAAGGGGGGGUGUUUUCUCCGAUUGGGCGUUGUGGAUUUGGAGAAGAAAAGCUUCAACAUCUUCAUUUCCAAAGGCAGAGGGGUAAAGGGUGGCUGGUCUUCAAUGGCGGAGACGUUAUGGAGCUUGGGGGUAGCCACGGGAAGGAGGGAAAGCCAGCAGGAUGAGGCGAUGCUGCUGAAACCCAUUUUGGGGAAAACUUUCACGGAGGUGGUCCAGUUGCCGAGGAGCAAAGGCAAAGUAGUAGUUAGGGUGGAGGUUAGAGAAGAGGAUCUGAGCAUAAAUUUGAACAAGCUGGUCCAUUGCCUUGUUGGUUUUUGGAACCCCAGCUCAGCGAGAGGUGAUGAUUUGAAAAGUUGGGGGACCCAAAUGGCAAAAAUUUGGGGGUUGAAGGGCAAGCUAGGGCUGGCAAAAUUGGAAAGGGGUAAGUUUUUGCUAGAGUUUGAGUUGUUGGCAGAAGCUAAGAAAGCUCUCAACUAUGGAAAAAUCUUGGUUGGGGGGCUUCUCUUGCGCCUAGAGAAGUGGAGCCCUGAGACGGGGUGCUUGGUGGAAGGAGAGAAAAGAAACGAGGCCUGGGUGAGGAUUGUGGGUUUACCCGUCUCGUUAUGGGAUCGGGACAUCCUGAGAAGGGUAGGGGAGGAAUGCGGGGGUUUCUUGGCAGUCGAUAACCAAACGGAGAAGCUGGAGGAACUGCAGUGGGCCUCGAUUCUGGUGAAGUUAAAUGGCGAAGAGCUUCCUAACGUGGUGGAAAUCUGGGUUGAAGAGGUUUGCUACGUGUUAACCCUGUGGUGGGAGGUUAGGCCGUUAAUGAGGAUUUUUCCGACUGGUAAGUGCGGGAAGAAAGUCGGAGCAGAAGAAGAGGUUGGGGGUGAGGUCUUUGCACGCGCGAGGAAGCGCGUGAUGGAGGAGGACGACAACUCUUGGUUCGAGGCCCUAGUUCAGUCUGCCGAUGGGACGCCGGGGCAGAUGAGCGGGUCGGGGUGCCCUUCGGUUCUUAUUUGGAGCCAUGACGGGUCGUUGGGUAGACCCUUUGGAGGCGUGUAGCUGUUGGGUGGGCCCUUUAUGCCGGGCCCAGUUUUGACUACUUCGAAUGAGGCUGGGUCGCGUUUUAAUGGGUUGAGGUCUUUGAAGGACUCUGGGUGGGCUAAGGCAAAGGGAUCCAACGAGGAGUCUGGGCCGGAAGAGUGCCGAGGCUCGUUCCAGCCUUUGUUUGAGGGCAGAGCCCAAGUUGGAGGGGUCAUCUCAUCGGUUAUGUCUGGCCCAAGCAUUUUGAGGUGUCUAGACUCAGAGCUCACCAACUUCUAGGUGAAGAAUGGAUUGCGAAAGCAAAUUGAAGAAGAGCUCCAAACUGAGGAGAGAUCGAAGACUGACCUUGCCUUAAUCGAGGAAGCCUUGAGGUAUGGGAAUGUCCUUGAUCCUAAAGGAAUUUUGGUUUAUAGGUCCUCUUUUUCCUUCUCUUUUUUUCCCGAUUGGACUCCAGAGGGGGAGUAUUACGACUAUUCUGGGGUAGUUUGUGAGACCAUCCAGGGGGAAACCCUCGUCACACGCUGGGAGUUGCUAGAGGUAAAUAACGGUUGCAAUGAAGUAAGAAGAGCAGAGUUGAACUCAGUUCAAACUAAGCCACAAGAAGUAAGAGGCUGGGAGGAGGUCAGUUGGGAGGAAAGUGAUCUGGCUAGGUUCAACAAUUUCCUGGGGUUUCCACAAAGGGAUUGGAGAAAGUUAUUUUGGAUUUUUUGGUUAAAAUCAGAAAGAGAAGGGAAAUAAUUCACAUCAAAACUCUUUUGAAGAAAUCUAAAUUCGAAAGGGAAUUAAAAAGACUAGAGUGUUCCAUUAACUACUGGGGGGGGGAGGGGGAAGCAGAAAUGUGGUAUGCAAGGAAGAGUGUGUCAGAUCAUGGAAGUCCAAUGAAGUUAAGGCUUUUGAGUUGGAAUGUUCGUGGAGCUAAUGAUAGUUCCAAAAGAAAGGUGAUUAAGGCCCUGAUUAGAAGUCAGAUGGUGGAUUUGUUCUGCCUCCAGGAGACAAAAAUUCAGGCAAUGUCGAAGGGUGUGGUGAGGAGUUUGGGCAUUGGAAGGUUUCUAGACUAGGAUGCCUUGGAUGCUUCUGGCUCUGCGGGAGGGAUCUUGAUUUGUUGGGAUAAAAGGACACUGGAUGUGCUUGAAUUGGAGGUGGGUCAAUUCUCAAUUUCCUGUAGAUUCAGGAAUGUAGAAGAUGGGUUCGUUUGGAUUGUCACAGGAGUGUUCGGGCCUUUCUCUAGAGAGGAAAGGGAAUGUUUGUGGGAGGAGUUAGGGGCGAUCAGAGGCAUUUGGGAUGAUCCUUGGUGUUUAGGGGGUGACUUCAAUGUUAUCCUCUCCUAAAGGGAAAGGAGUAGGUAGGGAAGACUAACUGGUGUAAUGAGAAGGUUUACCCAGAUUGUUGACGAGCUAGAGCUACUUGAUCUUCCUAUGCAAAGGGGGUUGCUUACUUGGAAUGGGGGUAGGAAUAAUCAGUCGUGGGCUAGACUGAAUAGAUUCCUAGUAACCUAAAAUUGGCUUGACCAAUUCAGUGGGGUGUUCCAAAGCAGGCUGCCUAGACCCACUUCAGACCACUUUCCCAUUUUGCUGGAGGGUGGUGGGUUAAGGAGGGCCCCCUCCCCAUUUAGGUUUGAGAAUAUGUGGCUUAACGUUGAUGACUUUAAAGACUUGCUUCGGGGUUGGUGGCAGGGGACUGUGGUGAGAGGGAGUGCCAGCUUUAGACUGGCUACUAAAUAAAGAAAUAUAUUCUCUAAUGUAUUUGUGUAUCGUUUAUCCCUACGAGAUACUAAAUGAAAUAGAACAAUCUUAGAAGGGAUAUAAUGAAAUUCUUUGAUUGGUUCUUCCCAUAGGCAUAGGAAUGAUCCAUUUUAUUUGACUGAUAGGUCCAACAAAUAAUAAGAAAUAUAAAAAAUGCUAAAUAAUAAACAGAGUGUUUUUAUUCGAAACGCCUCGUGAUCUUCAACCAAUUAUGCGCUUCAAUAUAAUUACCAGGAGUAAGUGCUAUAGCUUGUUUAAGUUAAAGGAGAUGAAGCAAAAAAUAAAAUUUGGAAUAGGGACGUGUUUGGAAGUUAAUAAAAAAUCAGCUCUUCAACAAGUUGAGUACUGGGAUGGGAGAGAAUUCUAUCAAAAGGGGAAAUAGAGCUGAAAAAAGAAGCUAAGGAAAACUAUAAGAAGUGGGUUUUACUGGAAGAAACCCAUUGGAGACAAUUAUCCAGGGAGCUUUGGUUAAAGGAAGGGGAUAAGAACAUAGGCUUCUUUCACCGGAUGGUAAACGCCCACCGAAGAAAUAAUUCCUUGGACAGAAUUAAGAUUAACAAGGUGUGGUUGACUGAGGAACAGGAGGUGAGGGAGGGGAUUGUCAAUUCUUUUCAGCAGUUGCUCUCAGAAGAGCCAGGCUGGAGAGUUGACAUUGAGGGGCUGCAUCUUCAUUGUCGAAGUUUCCAAGAAGCUGAAAAUUUGGAAUUGCCUUUCUCUAAGGAAGAAAUCCAUUUUGCCCUGUUGGAGAUGAAUGGUGAUAAAGCUCCAGGCUCGGAUGGAUUCACAGUGGCUUUUUGGCAAGCUUGUUGGGACUUUGUGAAGGAAGAGAUUUUGGAGUUGUUUAAGGAGUUUUAUGAUCAAAGCUCCUUUGCCAAAAGCCUUAAUACCACUUUCCUGGUCCUUAUUCCAAAGAAAGGGGGUUGCUGAGGACCUGGGAGACUUUUGACCCAUCAGCCUUUUAGGGGGACUGUACAAGCUUUUGACCAAGGUGCUGACAAAUAGGCCGAAGAAGGUUUUAGGAAGGGUGGUUUCUGUGGAUCAAAAUGUGUUUGUGAGGGGCAGACAAAUUUUGGAUGCUUCGCUUAUAGCUAAUGGGGUGAUUGACUCCUGCAAAAACGAAAAGAGAAAGGGCUGAUAUGUAAACCGGACAUUGAAAAAGCCUAUAACAACAUAAAUUGGAUUUUUCUUAUGAAAGUCUUGCAUAAGAUGGGCUUUGGGUCUCGGUGGAUGGAGUGAAUUUGGCGGUGCAUCUCAACUGCCAAAUUCUCUAUUUUGGUCAAUGGGGUGCCAGCAGGCUUCUUCUCGAGCACCAAGGGGCUGCGACAAGGAGAUUCUCUUUCUCCUUACCUUUUUGUCUUGGGAAUGGAAGUGCUAAGUGCACUCAUAAGAAGGGCUGCUGAUGGGGGUUUCAUCUCAGGCUGCAGAUUUCGGGGGAGAGGAAGGAUGGAGAUAAAUGUUUCCCACUUACUCUUUGCUGACGAUACAAUCAUAUUCUGCGAAGCAAGAAAAGAGAAUAUAACCUUUUUAAGCUAAAUUUUGGCUUGGUUUGAGGUUGCGUUCGGCUUAAGGAUCAACCUAGCCAAAAGUGAAUUAAUUCCAAUUGGUGAGGUGGAAGAGAUUGAGGAAAUGGCAGUGGAGCUAGGGUGUAGGGUGGGGUCCCUGCCCAAUGUCUACUUGGGGCUGCCCUUAGGAGCUCAUCACAAGGCUCCUUCUAUGUGGGAUGGGGUGGAAGAGAGAAUGAGGAGAAGAUUAGCUUUGUGGAAAAGACAAUAUAUAUCCAAAGGCGGGAGAAUCACCCUCAUUAAGAGCACGCUGGCCAGCAUCCCGAUUUACCAAUUGUCCCUUUUUCGAAUGCCCAAGAUUGUUGCAAGAAGGCUUGAAAAAUUACAAAGAGACUUCCUUUAGGGAGGGGGAAGCUUGGAAACGAAAGUCCACUUAAUCAAAUGGGAGGUGGUGUGUGCUAAAAAAGAGAAGGGUGGUUUAGGCAUAAGGAAGAUUGUCCUUUUGAACAAGGCCUUGCUGGAAAAUGGAUAUGGGGGCUUGCCUUUGAAAAGGACAAUCUUUGGAAGAAGGUGAUUUUGGUGAAGUAUGGCCAAGAGGGUUUUGGGUGGAGGACUAAUGAGGCUCGUGGGACGUUUGGAGUGAGGGUUUGGAAGGAGAUUCCGAAGGAGGCAAACUGGUGUUGGGAUAACAUAGAGUUUAAAGUGGGUAAAGGGACUAAAGUCAAGUUCUGGACUAAUCAUUGGUGUGGCAUUGCUGCGCUGUCCCAAAACUUUCCCCAGUUAUUCACCUUGGCGGUCCAUAGGAAUGCAACGGUUAAUGAAGUGUGGGACCCUAGUUUUGGUCAAGGAGGUUGGAGUGUUAGAUUCUCUAGAGAUUUUAAUGAUUGAGAGUUGGAUUUGAUAGGAGAUUUGCUUAAUAUGUUGAGGGACUUCAAGAUAUCUUUAGAGGAGGAUUCGGUUUUCUGGAAAGGUGGGGGAAGUGGUAUUUUUGGGGUUAAGGAUGCUUAUAAUCUGCUGGUUGCUCCAAACGAUUUUGCUUUCCCAAAAAAGUGCAUUUGGGUGGAUAAGAUUCCAAUUAAAGUUUAUUUUUUUUGCUUGGGAGGCCACGUGGGGGAAGAUUCUCACUUUGGAUAGGCUUCAAAAACGGGUUUGAGGAGUCUUCAGAUCAGAUGACUUAUCUAAGUUGGCUUCUCAUGUGGUUUGAGGCGUGUUCGGGUUUGAGGAUUAACUUAGAGAAGAGUGAGAUGAUCCCGGUGGGAAGGGUGCAUAAUAUAGAGGGAUUGGCCUUGGAGUUGGGUUGUAAAGUGGGUGGGAUUCCUUGUUAUUUGGGAAUGCCUUUAAGGGCAACUUUCAAUUCUUUGGCGGUGUGGGAUGGGGUUGAAGAGCGUUUUUGUAGAAGGCUUGCUAUGUGGAAGAGGCAUUACAUAUCUAAAGGGGGGAGACUCACCCUAAUCUGAAGCACUCUUUCCAGUAUGCCUAUUUAUUUUAUGUCUCUCUUCUAUUUGCCUAGAAAAGUGAGGUUGGGAUUGGAGAAAAUUCAGAGGGAUUUUCUAUGGGGUGGGGGAGCUCUAGCCCAAAAGCCUCACCUUGUUAGAUGGAACUUGGUUUGCUUGGAGAAAAGAAAAGGUGGGCUAAGGGUGAGAAAUUUAGCUUUGAUGAAUAGUGCCCUUUUGUGUAAGUGGAAUUGGAGGUUUGCUAAUGAGAGAGAGGCGUUGUGGAGGCGUGUAAUUAACCUCUAGUAUGACAAAGAGGAGGGAGGCUGGCGUACUCGGGAUGUGAUGGGGAGAAACGAAGUUGGGCUUUGGAAAGCAAUUAGGAAGAAGUGGGGGCUGUUAGAUGGUAGGGUAGCUUACCAUGUGGGUAAUGGGCAAAGAGUGAAAUUUUGGGAAGACAAGUGGUGUGGAGAUGGGCCACUUUGUGAGUCAUUUCCCUCUCUUUUCUCCAUGUCCAUGUCGAAGAAUGCUUGGGUUUCGGAGGUUUGGAAUCCCGUUGGAGAUGGGGAUGGUUGGACUCCCCUUUUUGCAAGGGCGUUUAAUGAUUGGGAGAUUGAUUUAGUGGAGCGGUUGUUGCAGAAGAUCCAUGCUUUCAGGGUUCAAAGGGAGGAGGAAAAUAGAGUGAUCUGGACAACUUCAAAUGAUGGGGUUUUCUCAGUUAGGUCCCUUUAUUCUAUGAUGGAGCCGGGGGGCUCUUCUAUGUUCCCUAGCGAAAGAAUUUAGAGGGCAAGAGUGCCUCCAAAGGUAGCUUUCUUUGCAUGGGAGACUUCUUAGGGUAAAGUAUUAACUCAAGAGCAACUUCAAAGGAGGGGGUUCUCUUUGGCAAAUAGCUGCUUUCUUUGUCUAUCCGAAGAAGAAAUGGUGGAUCAUCUCCUACUUCAUUGUGUCAAGACGCGGGUCCUGUGGAACCUUCUUUUCUCCCUUUUUGGUAUAUCUUGGACUCUUUCGUGUACAGUGAAGGCAACCCUUCUUGGAUGGAAUGGAGGGUUUGUGGGGAAAAGGCGCAAGAGGGCUUGGCAAAUGGCUCCUUUAUGUAUAUUUUGGUUAGUAUGGAAGGAGAGAAAUAGGCUAGCGUUUGGGAAUGAAGAUCUCUCGCUUCAAAGGUUGAAAUAUUCUUUUGUAUGUAAUCUUUGGUCUUGGGUUAGGGGUUCCUUAGCAGAGAAUCAUUCUUCUCUUGUAAGUUUUGUAGACUGGAUAGGCUCCUAGUUAGGGAAGGUGGUGUGUAUACUCCCUAUAUACUUCGAGGGCAUCGGUUUUUGGUGUUUGCUCCUUUUGUUUAAUAUACUUCCUUUUUUACUUAUCAAAAAAAAAAAAACGGGGGUGGCUGCUCCCUAAUCGUUGUUUUUUGUGUGGUUGUGAAGAAGAAACUGUAAAUCAUAUUCUUUUAUAUUGUAUAGUGGUCAGGGUCUUCUGGGAGAUCGUCCUUGCCUUGUUCGGGAUUCAGUGGGUGUUCCCAAAGAUAGUUAAAGAGAUGUUAUUAAGUUGGAGAGGCCUUUUUGUGGGGAAAAAAAGGAAAAAGAUCUAGAUUUCCAUUCCGUUGUGUAUUUUUUGAAUGGUCUGGAAGGAAAGGAAUAGAUUAGCUUUUAAAGGGGGGAGAGGGGAGGGGGGGGGGGGUUUCUUAGCUAUUCAGAAGCUCAAAAAUCCUUUUGUAUGUAAUUUGUGGAGUUGGGCUAAGGUGUAUAUUGGAGAGGAGUCUUCUUCGCUCUUAGGCUUUUUGCAGUGGCUAGCGUCCACUUAAGGGCUGGUGAGGUUGCUUGUUUUUUGCGUUUUUAGGUUUAGGUUGCUGUGUAUACUCUCUGUAUACUUUGUGGCUUUCUGCCUUUUUAAUCUAUUUUGUGCUUAUUUAUAAAAAAAAAUAAAAAUUAUAUGAAAUUAAUUUGAUAUUUAAUAGCAAAAAUUUAUAUAAUUCAAUUAUCUUUAAUUUUUUUUUAUAUUUUAAUAUUUAUUAAUUCUAAAAAUGAUAGUCUCAAAAGGCUUAUGCCUUAAUGCUUCAAGGCUUAUGCCUUGCCUCAAUGACACAAAAACGUUUUGCCUUACGCUUUCACCUUUAAAAACUUUGGUNNNNNNNNNNNNNNNNNNNNNNNNNNNNNNNNNNNNNNNNNNNNNNNNNNNNNNNNNNNNNNNNNNNNNNNNNNNNNNNNNNNNNNNNNNNNNNNNNNNNNNNNNNNNNNNNNNNNNNNNNNNNNNNNNNNNNNNNNNNNNNNNNNNNNNNNNNNNNNNNNNNNNNNNNNNNNNNNNNNNNNNNNNNNNNNNNNNNNNNNNNNNNNNNNNNNNNNNNNNNNNNNNNNNNNNNNNNNNNNNNNNNNNNNNNNNNNNNNNNNNNNNNNNNNNNNNNNNNNNNNNNNNNNNNNNNNNNNNNNNNNNNNNNNNNNNNNNNNNNNNNNNNNNNNNNNNNNNNNNNNNNNNNNNNNNNNNNNNNNNNNNNNNNNNNNNNNNNNNNNNNNNNNNNNNNNNNNNNNNNNNNNNNNNNNNNNNNNNNNNNNNNNGAGUCAACAUUAAAAUACUUAAAUUUUUUGAGCCUCAUUGUUGAGGGAGAGUUUAAAACUCCAUUUUGAUAAUGGAAUGUGAGCGAAAAAGGAUGAAAGGAUUAAAAACAUAAGGAAAGAAAAAAUUUAGUAAAAUGAAAAAUACGUUUGAAAAUAAGUUUUUUCUCCAAAUUGUCUCAACACUCCCUUUUUACAUAGAGAAUGAAGAAUUUAAAAAUAUUUAGCUUUUAAAUAAUUUUCUUCACAUUUCAUUUACCUUAAAGGUUUCUUUUGGAAAUUAAACAAAAGAAUUUGAGGUUCUUCAUUUUUUUCUUUUUCCCUUUCCAUAGAACUUUUUGAUAUCUAAAUCAAUUAUAAGUGUUUUGAGUGUUGGAAUAAGACUUCUCUCACUACUCUUGCCUUGUCCGUAUACCCAUCUUUUUUUUCUUCUUCCAUUUAAAGAGUUUUGGUUAGCAUGAAUGCUAGGAUUGAGAGAUUCUAGUUGGUGUUCUUAUGGUCUAGGUAAAGGAAGGGGUGCAUGGGUCGUAUGUUGUCUUAUUAGGUGGCAAGUAGUGUGUAAACCCAAGGUUAGGGAGUUUAAGGUGGUGAUUUGGUUUUGGAGUUGGAAUGAAUGAAAUUUUGGUCUAAAAGGGGCCUUGAGACUUGACUCAGGCAACAAGGGUUGAGUGGGAACAUGGAGGGUUUCAAGUUUGAGUCUGAACAUUGAAAAAAAUGUUACAUAAAAAAAAAAGGGCCCAAAUUGGUUCCUCAUUUGGUGGUGAUUCCUUAAGAAAGAAAUCUUGUUGGCAAUUUGUUAUGAAAAGUAAAUGUGUUGAAAAAUAAUGGAUAGGGCAUCAACUUAGCAGCUAAGAAUUUCUACUUUGCCCUUGGAAUGCUAUUUUCUAGGGUUAGCAUUACUUUCUUCUUCAUGUUAGAUUGAUUGGCAAUUAUUGUCUUAAGAUUAUAUUCAUAGAGGAUCUUUGGUGGGAGGACUCUUUGUUCUUCCUACCCCUUGGCUUUAUUCUUGCUUGUAAAGGAACUACCUUCUACACUUUUUGUGUUCCUUGUCCAAUAACUCCCCCUAGUGAACUUUAUGGAAGGAAAACAAUAAGAGGUUGUUUGAUGAUGUUCAACAAUCGGAUCAAGCAAUUAAUUCUUCUUUUAUGUCUUUUUUUUCUAAGAAUGGACUAUAGCGUACCUUGUUAGACAACCAAUUUUCCUAAAAGCUUAAGCUUAUAGGAUUUGAGUUCACAAUUUAUAUCAUGCUUUCCAACACCCUUCAUCAUGUGUAGCCUCUCUUUUUGGGCUUACACAUGGGUUUAAUAAAUUGGUUGUUCAAUAUGGUAUUAGAGCCUUGUUUGGUGGGAAGUCAUGUUUCAACACGAUAUAAGAGUCUUGUUUAGUGGGAGGUUAUGCAUUUGAACCUUUCCAUCACAUGUUUAUUUGCUCAAUUUAUUAAGCCCAAGUGUGAUUACAAAAAUGGAGGUUACAUGUGAGGGAAGGUGUUAAGAGUGCGCGAUAUGCAUUGAGGGCCUAAAUCUUACAAGCUUAAGCUUUUAGGAAAAUUGGUAAUUCAACAUAUAUGCAUGAUUACUCAAUGUCCAUGAUAGGUUUUGUCGAUUGGUACAAUUCCAAGUAAGGAGAAAGAGCUUGUUUUUUGUUUUCUUUUUCCUUGGCUAGCCUUUUAGCCCAUAUUGUAAAAAUCAUGUGUACCUUGGUGUGCGCUUUCUAAGGCACUUUUAAUUUAUUCUCUUUUAUUGCCUUUAAAAAAAAAAUUAUCUCUAAUGGAAUUUUGUUCUUAUUUUAAAUACCUUAAGGAUCUUGAAAUUAUUGAUUUUUCUUCUGUCGUUACCUCUUGAGAGUAUUAUCUUCAUUUUCUUUGGGCGAAAAAUAUUAAGCCUUGGUUAUGUUGGGCUUAUUUUCCUAAAAAUCAUUCUUUUCCUUUAAAGAAGGAAAUAGUGAUUAGUUUAAUUAAUUUUGGGUUCUGAAGUGCCCUAAAAGUUCUCAUGGCUAAGCGGCUUACAAGAAAGUUGAUUCUAACACCUUCCUUUAGUUCAAGAUAUCUCGAAGAGCCCUCAACCCUAACAGGUGCAUUAAUUGGUAAGAGAAGUAGGCUAUUAUUGUCCAUUUUUGUUCUGCAUUGUAUUUUUGCACCCUUUUUUUUAUAGCACCUAACGAAAUGUGCAACAAAGUAUAUAGAUUGUAUACAAAGUACGGCAAGAGACAAAGCAAAAGAAGCAAGGGACUUAAAAAAGCAAAAGUCUCUUCACGAAGUCUCCAACCAAUCAAUAAAAUCUAUCAUAAUUGGGGAGACCCCAUUCAUAUAACAUUAACCUAGAAAAAAGGAUUGUUGAGAAAAUAGGACUUAAAGGUUUGAUAAGACAUUUCUUUGCUUUCAAAUGCUCUUUUGUUCCUCUCCUUCUAUAAAGACCACCAAAAAAACGCAUGACAGGAUAACCUCCAUAUCCUCUUUUUCAUCUUUUCUACAAAGGAACCAUGUUAUCCUAAGAGGAAUUUUUUUUUUACUGAACUUGACAUCACCUAAGUAAUCCUAAAUAGGGAAAAUACCAAAUUCCAUAUUAUUUUAGCUCUAGCAUAAUGGAGAAGGAUGUGAUCUAUUGAUUCUUCCUCUUCCUUACAAUAAAAACAUCGAUUUACUAGAGACCAUUCCUUUCUUUUUAGCCUAUCCAAUGUCAACAUCUUUCCCUAAUAAACUUCCCAUGCAAAAACCACUACUUUUGUGUGAGCCAUUGCACUCUAAAGAACCACCCUUGUAGGGAACUCUUCUGCUCUUUUCUGCCUAGGGAAAUUUUAUAAGGACUUGACUGACAAUUUAUGUUUCUUUACAUCCAUUCAAUCCCUCUUGUCUUCCUCAUCCCUACUCGUAGCCUUGCCUUGAAGCCUUAAAAAUGGCCUCAAUCCUUUCCAUUUCCUAGUCAUUCAAGUUGCUUGAGAAGCAAGGGUUCUGAUGUCUGCCCUCAGCCUAUUGAUCCCACACAUCAGCCACCUAAGCAUCCUUUGUUAUAGCUAUGGAAUACGAAGAGGGGAAAGACUCUUCUAGAGAUGAAUCACCACACCAUUUGUCCUUUUAGAACUUUGCCCUUUUACCAUUGCCCACAUAUUGAAUGAGGUUCUGCUAUCAAUAUUCUUUCAAAGUCUUCUAAAAGCCUUUCAUAAUCCAACUCCAAAAGCACCCUCACUUUCCCUGGAAUACCAACUCCCUUCCUUCUCCUCAUACUUCCCAAUGAUUACCCACCUCCAUAGAGAUUUAUUUUUUGAAACAAACCUCCAAUUCCAUUUGCACUUGAAUUUGUGGCAAUAUCUUUUUGUUAGUGGUUACAAAUGGGUGGCUCUCAAAGAUUAGUUGGAACAUAGGGGGUGGCUUUGGAAGAUAUUCUAGGAGAGAGGGAGAAGGGAUCUUGUGGUUCAUGGGAAGGGGGGGGAGGGGGGGGGGGGNNNNNNNNNNNNNNNNNNNNNNNNNNNNNNNNNNNNNNNNNNNNNNNNNNNNNNNNNNNNNNNNNNNNNNNNNNNNNNNNNNNNNNNNNNNNNNNNNNNNCCAUUUGUCCUUUUAGAACUUGGCCCUUUUACCAUUGCCCACAUAUGGAAGGGGGUUGGGCUAUCAAUAUUCUUCAAAAGUUUUCAAAAAGCCUUUCAAAACCCAACCCCAAAAGCCCCCCCCCUUCCCCGGGAAUACCAACUCCCUUCCUUCUCCUCAAACUUCCAAAGGAUUACCCACUUAAAAAGGGAUUUUUUUUUGGAAAAAAACUUAAAAUUAAAUUGGAAUUGGAAUUGGGGGAAAUAUUUUUUGGUUGGGGGUAAAAAAGGGGGGGUUUUAAAAGAUUGGUGGGAAAAUGGGGGGGGGUUUGGGAAGAUAUUUUGGGGGGGGGGGGGAGGGGAUUUUGGGGUUAAGGGGAGGGGGGGGGGGGGGGGGGGGGGGAGCUUAUCUAUCUCGCUUCCUUUCUUUCUACUCUCUUCUUCUUAUUCUCAUUACUCAUGUGAUUGUUUCAUAAAAUUUCAGUUAUACACCCUGAAAGAAUUAUUGCAAAUAAUAAGACCUAGGAAUGGUUUAAAAUCUUUGAAGUAAAUUGUUGAAAAUUUGGUUACCCUGGUGAGCUAAGCUGCACCUUUGACAACUUAUUUGUAGAGGGAGUAUUAUGAUUUAAAUAAUUUGUGAUUGGUAAAUAUUAGUUAAGUUCAAUGAGAUGGAUUUAAUACAAUUUCAAGAAGAAGAUGGUGACUGAUUGAACUUUAGCCUUGCAAAAUUUUGGCAAAAGGUUUGCAACUUAUUUAUUUAUUUAUUUUUUUCAAAAAAUAAAUUACAAUUUUUGUAUGGAUGAGAACGUUGUGAGAAAUGUUGCUUUGCAUUGGUUAAUUCUAUAUACAUCUGGUACAGACACACUCUUUAUGAAUGAACUACUAUACUUCUCAAAAAAUUGAAGAAGAAACAUAAAAAACAUCCAGAGGGCAUUAAAUAAUAUAAAAUAUUCCCUAUCACCACCUUGUAUCAACAUAAAAGAUAAGGUCAUGAGCAAAACAGUGAAUAUUCUCGAUUCCUGUAGCAAGGCCAUCAAAUUAUUAUUUGGAAGAAAAACACUCAAAUUUAUUCUACACAGAAAUUUCAGUAGAAAUUAUGGCAAAAUUAAUAUAAAUGGAAAUAUCCUUUAUUUUGAUAUUUUUAUUACUAAUGUUAUUGUUGUUAUAUCCUCAAAUUUUACAUUUGUCUGUCUAAAAUUCUAUGGCGGGACAGAUUUCACGGAUAUUUGUCCAACUUAAUUUCCUAUUUCCUUUCUCUAAAGAUAAUAUUUGCCCUAAAUAAACUACACAUCAUAUUUAUCACAGUGGUUGUAUUUGAUCAGUUUUUCUUUUCUUUUUAUUUCUUAUUCUUUUUUUACAAAUAUNNNNNNNNNNNNNNNNNNNNNNNNNNNNNNNNNNNNNNNNNNNNNNNNNNNNNNNNNNNNNNNNNNNNNNNNNNNNNNNNNNNNNNNNNNNNNNNNNNNNNNNNNNNNNNNNNNNNNNNNNNNNNNNNNNNNNNNNNNNNNNNNNNNNNNNNNNNNNNNNNNNNNNNNNNNNNNNNNNNNNNNNNNNNNNNNNNNNNNNNNNNNNNNNNNNNNNNNNNNNNNNNNNNNNNNNNNNNNNNNNNNNNNNNNNNNNNNNNNNNNNNNNNNNNNNNNNNNNNNNNNNNNNNNNNNNNNNNNNNNNNNNNNNNNNNNNNNNNNNNNNNNNNNNNNNNNNNNNNNNNNNNNNNNNNNNNNNNNNNNNNNNNNNNNNNNNNNNNNNNNNNNNNNNNNNNNNNNNNNNNNNNNNNNNNNNNNNNNNNNNNNNNNNNNNNNNNNNNNNNNNNNNNNNNNNNNNNNNNNNNNNNNNNNNNNNNNNNNNNNNNNNNNNNNNNNNNNNNNNNNNNNNNNNNNNNNNNNNNNNNNNNNNNNNNNNNNNNNNNNNNNNNNNNNNNNNNNNNNNNNNNNNNNNNNNNNNNNNNNNNNNNNNNNNNNNNNNNNNNNNNNNNNNNNNNNNNNNNNNNNNNNNNNNNNNNNNNNNNNNNNNNNNNNNNNNNNNNNNNNNNNNNNNNNNNNNNNNNNNNNNNNNNNNNNNNNNNNNNNNNNNNNNNNNNNNNNNNNNNNNNNNNNNNNNNNNNNNNNNNNNNNNNNNNNNNNNNNNNNNNNNNNNNNNNNNNNNNNNNNNNNNNNNNNNNNNNNNNNNNNNNNNNNNNNNNNNNNNNNNNNNNNNNNNNNNNNNNNNNNNNNNNNNNNNNNNNNNNNNNNNNNNNNNNNNNNNNNNNNNNNNNNNNNNNNNNNNNNNNNNNNNNNNNNNNNNNNNNNNNNNNNNNNNNNNNNNNNNNNNNNNNNNNNNNNNNNNNNNNNNNNNNNNNNNNNNNNNNNNNNNNNNNNNNNNNNNNNNNNNNNNNNNNNNNNNNNNNNNNNNNNNNNNNNNNNNNNNNNNNNNNNNNNNNNNNNNNNNNNNNNNNNNNNNNNNNNNNNNNNNNNNNNNNNNNNNNNNNNNNNNNNNNNNNNNNNNNNNNNNNNNNNNNNNNNNNNNNNNNNNNNNNNNNNNNNNNNNNNNNNNNNNNNNNNNNNNNNNNNNNNNNNNNNNNNNNNNNNNNNNNNNNNNNNNNNNNNNNNNNNNNNNNNNNNNNNNNNNNNNNNNNNNNNNNNNNNNNNNNNNNNNNNNNNNNNNNNNNNNNNNNNNNNNNNNNNNNNNNNNNNNNNNNNNNNNNNNNNNNNNNNNNNNNNNNNNNNNNNNNNNNNNNNNNNNNNNNNNNNNNNNNNNNNNNNNNNNNNNNNNNNNNNNNNNNNNNNNNNNNNNNNNNNNNNNNNNNNNNNNNNNNNNNNNNNNNNNNNNNNNNNNNNNNNNNNNNNNNNNNNNNNNNNNNNNNNNNNNNNNNNNNNNNNNNNNNNNNNNNNNNNNNNNNNNNNNNNNNNNNNNNNNNNNNNNNNNNNNNNNNNNNNNNNNNNNNNNNNNNNNNNNNNNNNNNNNNNNNNNNNNNNNNNNNNNNNNNNNNNNNNNNNNNNNNNNNNNNNNNNNNNNNNNNNNNNNNNNNNNNNNNNNNNNNNNNNNNNNNNNNNNNNNNNNNNNNNNNNNNNNNNNNNNNNNNNNNNNNNNNNNNNNNNNNNNNNNNNNNNNNNNNNNNNNNNNNNNNNNNNNNNNNNNNNNNNNNNNNNNNNNNNNNNNNNNNNNNNNNNNNNNNNNNNNNNNNNNNNNNNNNNNNNNNNNNNNNNNNNNNNNNNNNNNNNNNNNNNNNNNNNNNNNNNNNNNNNNNNNNNNNNNNNNNNNNNNNNNNNNNNNNNNNNNNNNNNNNNNNNNNNNNNNNNNNNNNNNNNNNNNNNNNNNNNNNNNNNNNNNNNNNNNNNNNNNNNNNNNNNNNNNNNNNNNNNNNNNNNNNNNNNNNNNNNNNNNNNNNNNNNNNNNNNNNNNNNNNNNNNNNNNNNNNNNNNNNNNNNNNNNNNNNNNNNNNNNNNNNNNNNNNNNNNNNNNNNNNNNNNNNNNNNNNNNNNNNNNNNNNNNNNNNNNNNNNNNNNNNNNNNNNNNNNNNNNNNNNNNNNNNNNNNNNNNNNNNNNNNNNNNNNNNNNNNNNNNNNNNNNNNNNNNNNNNNNNNNNNNNNNNNNNNNNNNNNNNNNNNNNNNNNNNNNNNNNNNNNNNNNNNNNNNNNNNNNNNNNNNNNNNNNNNNNNNNNNNNNNNNNNNNNNNNNNNNNNNNNNNNNNNNNNNNNNNNNNNNNNNNNNNNNNNNNNNNNNNNNNNNNNNNNNNNNNNNNNNNNNNNNNNNNNNNNNNNNNNNNNNNNNNNNNNNNNNNNNNNNNNNNNNNNNNNNNNNNNNNNNNNNNNNNNNNNNNNNNNNNNNNNNNNNNNNNNNNNNNNNNNNNNNNNNNNNNNNNNNNNNNNNNNNNNNNNNNNNNNNNNNNNNNNNNNNNNNNNNNNNNNNNNNNNNNNNNNNNNNNNNNNNNNNNNNNNNNNNNNNNNNNNNNNNNNNNNNNNNNNNNNNNNNNNNNNNNNNNNNNNNNNNNNNNNNNNNNNNNNNNNNNNNNNNNNNNNNNNNNNNNNNNNNNNNNNNNNNNNNNNNNNNNNNNNNNNNNNNNNNNNNNNNNNNNNNNNNNNNNNNNNNNNNNNNNNNNNNNNNNNNNNNNNNNNNNNNNNNNNNNNNNNNNNNNNNNNNNNNNNNNNNNNNNNNNNNNNNNNNNNNNNNNNNNNNNNNNNNNNNNNNNNNNNNNNNNNNNNNNNNNNNNNNNNNNNNNNNNNNNNNNNNNNNNNNNNNNNNNNNNNNNNNNNNNNNNNNNNNNNNNNNNNNNNNNNNNNNNNNNNNNNNNNNNNNNNNNNNNNNNNNNNNNNNNNNNNNNNNNNNNNNNNNNNNNNNNNNNNNNNNNNNNNNNNNNNNNNNNNNNNNNNNNNNNNNNNNNNNNNNNNNNNNNNNNNNNNNNNNNNNNNNNNNNNNNNNNNNNNNNNNNNNNNNNNNNNNNNNNNNNNNNNNNNNNNNNNNNNNNNNNNNNNNNNNNNNNNNNNNNNNNNNNNNNNNNNNNNNNNNNNNNNNNNNNNNNNNNNNNNNNNNNNNNNNNNNNNNNNNNNNNNNNNNNNNNNNNNNNNNNNNNNNNNNNNNNNNNNNNNNNNNNNNNNNNNNNNNNNNNNNNNNNNNNNNNNNNNNNNNNNNNNNNNNNNNNNNNNNNNNNNNNNNNNNNNNNNNNNNNNNNNNNNNNNNNNNNNNNNNNNNNNNNNNNNNNNNNNNNNNNNNNNNNNNNNNNNNNNNNNNNNNNNNNNNNNNNNNNNNNNNNNNNNNNNNNNNNNNNNNNNNNNNNNNNNNNNNNNNNNNNNNNNNNNNNNNNNNNNNNNNNNNNNNNNNNNNNNNNNNNNNNNNNNNNNNNNNNNNNNNNNNNNNNNNNNNNNNNNNNNNNNNNNNNNNNNNNNNNNNNNNNNNNNNNNNNNNNNNNNNNNNNNNNNNNNNNNNNNNNNNNNNNNNNNNNNNNNNNNNNNNNNNNNNNNNNNNNNNNNNNNNNNNNNNNNNNNNNNNNNNNNNNNNNNNNNNNNNNNNNNNNNNNNNNNNNNNNNNNNNNNNNNNNNNNNNNNNNNNNNNNNNNNNNNNNNNNNNNNNNNNNNNNNNNNNNNNNNNNNNNNNNNNNNNNNNNNNNNNNNNNNNNNNNNNNNNNNNNNNNNNNNNNNNNNNNNNNNNNNNNNNNNNNNNNNNNNNNNNNNNNNNNNNNNNNNNNNNNNNNNNNNNNNNNNNNNNNNNNNNNNNNNNNNNNNNNNNNNNNNNNNNNNNNNNNNNNNNNNNNNNNNNNNNNNNNNNNNNNNNNNNNNNNNNNNNNNNNNNNNNNNNNNNNNNNNNNNNNNNNNNNNNNNNNNNNNNNNNNNNNNNNNNNNNNNNNNNNNNNNNNNNNNNNNNNNNNNNNNNNNNNNNNNNNNNNNNNNNNNNNNNNNNNNNNNNNNNNNNNNNNNNNNNNNNNNNNNNNNNNNNNNNNNNNNNNNNNNNNNNNNNNNNNNNNNNNNNNNNNNNNNNNNNNNNNNNNNNNNNNNNNNNNNNNNNNNNNNNNNNNNNNNNNNNNNNNNNNNNNNNNNNNNNNNNNNNNNNNNNNNNNNNNNNNNNNNNNNNNNNNNNNNNNNNNNNNNNNNNNNNNNNNNNNNNNNNNNNNNNNNNNNNNNNNNNNNNNNNNNNNNNNNNNNNNNNNNNNNNNNNNNNNNNNNNNNNNNNNNNNNNNNNNNNNNNNNNNNNNNNNNNNNNNNNNNNNNNNNNNNNNNNNNNNNNNNNNNNNNNNNNNNNNNNNNNNNNNNNNNNNNNNNNNNNNNNNNNNNNNNNNNNNNNNNNNNNNNNNNNNNNNNNNNNNNNNNNNNNNNNNNNNNNNNNNNNNNNNNNNNNNNNNNNNNNNNNNNNNNNNNNNNNNNNNNNNNNNNNNNNNNNNNNNNNNNNNNNNNNNNNNNNNNNNNNNNNNNNNNNNNNNNNNNNNNNNNNNNNNNNNNNNNNNNNNNNNNNNNNNNNNNNNNNNNNNNNNNNNNNNNNNNNNNNNNNNNNNNNNNNNNNNNNNNNNNNNNNNNNNNNNNNNNNNNNNNNNNNNNNNNNNNNNNNNNNNNNNNNNNNNNNNNNNNNNNNNNNNNNNNNNNNNNNNNNNNNNNNNNNNNNNNNNNNNNNNNNNNNNNNNNNNNNNNNNNNNNNNNNNNNNNNNNNNNNNNNNNNNNNNNNNNNNNNNNNNNNNNNNNNNNNNNNNNNNNNNNNNNNNNNNNNNNNNNNNNNNNNNNNNNNNNNNNNNNNNNNNNNNNNNNNNNNNNNNNNNNNNNNNNNNNNNNNNNNNNNNNNNNNNNNNNNNNNNNNNNNNNNNNNNNNNNNNNNNNNNNNNNNNNNNNNNNNNNNNNNNNNNNNNNNNNNNNNNNNNNNNNNNNNNNNNNNNNNNNNNNNNNNNNNNNNNNNNNNNNNNNNNNNNNNNNNNNNNNNNNNNNNNNNNNNNNNNNNNNNNNNNNNNNNNNNNNNNNNNNNNNNNNNNNNNNNNNNNNNNNNNNNNNNNNNNNNNNNNNNNNNNNNNNNNNNNNNNNNNNNNNNNNNNNNNNNNNNNNNNNNNNNNNNNNNNNNNNNNNNNNNNNNNNNNNNNNNNNNNNNNNNNNNNNNNNNNNNNNNNNNNNNNNNNNNNNNNNNNNNNNNNNNNNNNNNNNNNNNNNNNNNNNNNNNNNNNNNNNNNNNNNNNNNNNNNNNNNNNNNNNNNNNNNNNNNNNNNNNNNNNNNNNNNNNNNNNNNNNNNNNNNNNNNNNNNNNNNNNNNNNNNNNNNNNNNNNNNNNNNNNNNNNNNNNNNNNNNNNNNNNNNNNNNNNNNNNNNNNNNNNNNNNNNNNNNNNNNNNNNNNNNNNNNNNNNNNNNNNNNNNNNNNNNNNNNNNNNNNNNNNNNNNNNNNNNNNNNNNNNNNNNNNNNNNNNNNNNNNNNNNNNNNNNNNNNNNNNNNNNNNNNNNNNNNNNNNNNNNNNNNNNNNNNNNNNNNNNNNNNNNNNNNNNNNNNNNNNNNNNNNNNNNNNNNNNNNNNNNNNNNNNNNNNNNNNNNNNNNNNNNNNNNNNNNNNNNNNNNNNNNNNNNNNNNNNNNNNNNNNNNNNNNNNNNNNNNNNNNNNNNNNNNNNNNNNNNNNNNNNNNNNNNNNNNNNNNNNNNNNNNNNNNNNNNNNNNNNNNNNNNNNNNNNNNNNNNNNNNNNNNNNNNNNNNNNNNNNNNNNNNNNNNNNNNNNNNNNNNNNNNNNNNNNNNNNNNNNNNNNNNNNNNNNNNNNNNNNNNNNNNNNNNNNNNNNNNNNNNNNNNNNNNNNNNNNNNNNNNNNNNNNNNNNNNNNNNNNNNNNNNNNNNNNNNNNNNNNNNNNNNNNNNNNNNNNNNNNNNNNNNNNNNNNNNNNNNNNNNNNNNNNNNNNNNNNNNNNNNNNNNNNNNNNNNNNNNNNNNNNNNNNNNNNNNNNNNNNNNNNNNNNNNNNNNNNNNNNNNNNNNNNNNNNNNNNNNNNNNNNNNNNNNNNNNNNNNNNNNNNNNNNNNNNNNNNNNNNNNNNNNNNNNNNNNNNNNNNNNNNNNNNNNNNNNNNNNNNNNNNNNNNNNNNNNNNNNNNNNNNNNNNNNNNNNNNNNNNNNNNNNNNNNNNNNNNNNNNNNNNNNNNNNNNNNNNNNNNNNNNNNNNNNNNNNNNNNNNNNNNNNNNNNNNNNNNNNNNNNNNNNNNNNNNNNNNNNNNNNNNNNNNNNNNNNNNNNNNNNNNNNNNNNNNNNNNNNNNNNNNNNNNNNNNNGGGGGGGGGGGGGUGUUCUGGGACAAUAGGGUGCUGCAGUUGGAGGAAAUGGAGGUGGGCAAUUAUUCAGUUUCUUGCCGGUUCAAGAAUGUUGAGGAUGGUUUUUGCUGGGCGUUUUCAGGAGUUUAUGGGCCCUUUGUGAAGGUGGAGAAAGAGGAGUUUCUGAGCGAAUUGGGGGCCAUCAAAGGGCUGUGGAACGAACCGUGGUGUGUUGCUGGCGACUUCAACAUGAUAAGAUUCCCUACUGAGCGGAGCCGAGGAGGUCGCCUGUCCCCAUCAAUGCGGAGAUUCACAGAAGUGAUCGAGGAGUUAGAGUUAAGGGAUUUGCCCCUUCAGGGGGGGAUGUUCACGUGGAGUGGAGGUUUUAAUAAUCUCUUAAAAUUCAGAAUUGACCGGUUUCUUAUCUCUGAAGAUUGGGAAGCUCAUUUCCGGGAGUGUAUUCAAGGUGUUUUGGCUAGACCAGUAUCGGAUCAUUCUCCAAUUAUUCUUGAUGGAGGGGGGAUGAGGAGAGGGCCCACACCUUUCAGAUUUGAGAACAUGUGGUUGAAGGAGGAAGGCUUCAAAGAGGUGCUGAGGAAAUGGUGGGAGGGGAUCCAGGUUAGUGGGACAGCCAGUUACAUUUUGAGCGAGAAAUUAAAGGCUUUAAAGCCGACUCUGAAAAAAUGGAACACAGAGGUUUUCGGACAGAUUAAGGUUAAGAAGCAAGAGGCUUGGAAUUCAUUGGAUUUCUGGGACAAGGAAGAGAGGGUUCGCGAAUUGUCCUUGGAAGAGGAAGAAGCUAGGAAGGAGGCAAGAGAGAUGUAUAAGAAGUGGGUCCUUUUAGAAGAAACGUCAUGGAGGCAGAAGUCCAGGGAAAUUUGGCUGAAAGAGGGGGAUAGAAAUACAAGGUUUUUUCAUCAGAUGGCUAAUGCUCAUAGAAGAAGGAAUCAGAUGAAUAGAGUCAAAGUGAACGGGAGAUGGUAUAAUGAGGAAAGGGAGAUCAAAGAGGUGGUGUGCAGGGUGUACCAGGGGUUGUUGGCAGACCCGGGGGGGGUGGAAGCCUAGGAUAGAUGCUUUGAUGUUUGAAAGGUUGGAAGAGGGGGAUGUGGAGGGGCUGAAGAAGCCUUUCAUGGAGGAGGAGGUUUUUAGGGCUUUGUCAGGCUGUUGUGGCGAGAAAGCGCCAGGCCCUGACGGUUUUUCAAUGGCUUUUUGGCAAUUUUCGUGGGAUUUUGUUAAAGAAGAGGUCAUGAACUUCUUUAGGCAAUUCCAUGAGACCGGGAGCUUUGUAAGAAGUUUGAAUGCAACUUUCCUAGUGUUGAUUCCUAAGAAAGGGGGGGCAGAGGACUUGAAGGAUUUUAGGCCAAUUAGCUUGGUGGGAGGGUUGUAUAAGUGGCUAGCUAAGGUGUUGGCUAAUAGAAUGAAGGGUGUCUUAGCCAAGGUCAUCUCAACGUCCCAAAACGCUUUCGUGGAGGGACGACAGAUUAUGGACGCAGUGCUGGUCGCUAAUGAGGCAAUUGACUCCAUUGUGAAAAGCAAUAGAGGGGCGAUUCUUUGUAAAUUAGACAUUGAGAAAGCCUAUGAUCACGUGGAUUGGGAUUUUCUCUUAGCAGUGAUGGAGAAGAUGGGGUUUGGGGAAAGAUGGUGCAGGUGGAUAAAGUGGUGUCUAUCCACUGUUAGGUACUCAGUUAUGGUGAAUGGAAGCCCUAGGGGUUUUUUCCAAAGCUCAAGGGGGUUAAGGCAAGGAGACCCCUUGUCGCCGUACCUUUUUGUAGUGGUGAUGGAGGCUUUCAGUGUUUUGAUAAAGAAGGCAGUGGCUGGGGGGUUUUUGGUGCCUUGUUUGAUUCGGGGAGGAAGAGGCGAAGGGGUCCAGAUAUCACAUUUGUUGUUUGCUGAUGAUACGCUGAUAUUUUGUGAAGCAAAGGAGGAUCAAUUAUUGUAUAUGGGCUGGUUGUUAAUGUGGUUUGAGGCAAUUUCAGGGUUAAGAGUAAAUCUGGAGAAAAGUGAGCUGAUUCCGGUUGGUAGAGUUGAGAAUGUGGAUGAGUUGGCUGAUGAGUUUGGUUAUAGGGUGGGAAAACUGCCUUCCACUUAUUUAGGAAUGCCGUUAGGUGCCCUGUUUAAAAGUGUUGCAGCGUGGGAUGGAAUAGAAGAAAGAUUCAAAAAGAAAUUGGCUAUGUGGAAACGUCAGUACAUUUCAAAAGGGGAGAGGAUUACUCUAGUGCGUAGUACAUUGUCAAAUUUACCGAUUUAUUUUAUGUCGAUUUUCCAGAUGCCUAGAGUGGUUAGAAUCAGAUUGGAGAAGAUUCAAAGGGACUUUUUGUGGGGUGGCGGGGCUCUAGUGCAAAAACCACAUUUGGUAAAGUGGUCAAUUGUUUGUUUAGACAAAAGAAGCGGAGGGUUGGGGGUUAAGAGUCUUGGGGCCUUCAAUAGGGCUCUCCUUGGCAAAUGAGUGUGGCUUUUUGCAAAUGAAAGAAAGGCUCUGUGGAACCAAGUGAUCAGAGGGAAAUACGAGGAGAAAAGAGGAGGGUGGAGAUCUUGUGAGUCUAGGGAGGCCUACGGGUUUGGGUUGUGGAAGGCAAUAAGUAAAAUGGGACAUCAAGUGACCCCUUUUGUUGGCUUUGUGGUGGGUGAUGGUGAGAAAGUGAAGUUUUGGAAAGAUAAAUGGUGUGAAACCAUCCCUUUGAGCGAGCCUUUUCCUUCUUUAUUUGCUUUAGCUUCGAACAAAGAGGCUUGGGUAAAUGAAGUGUGGACAGCCGAGGGGGAAUGGGGGGGAAGUUGGAACCCUUGUUUCAAUAGACCUUUCAACGAUUGGGAGUUGGAAGAAGUGGAAAGGCUAUUUUGUUGCUUGGAGGGGAAGAAGGUUAGGGGGGAUGAGGAGGAUAAGGUGAAGUGGAUGACAUCAAAGGAUGGGGAUUUCUCGGUGAAAUCUUUGUAUAGGACUAUGCAGCCGGGGUCGCUUGCUUUUUUCCCUUCAAAAAUUAUAUGGAACUCUUGUGUGCAGCCCAAAUUGAGCUUUUUUGCGUGGGAGGCUUCUUGGGGGAGAGUUCUAACCUUGGAUCGCUUGCAAAAGAGAGGUUGGGUUAUGGCAAAUAGAUGUUUUCUUUGCCAUAAGAGUGAGGAGACAAUUGAUCACCUUCUUAUCCAUUGUGAAAAAACGAGGGAAGUAUGGAUGGUGUUCCUUUCCUUUUUUGGUGUUUCGUGGGUUUUCCCCCGUUCGGUCAAGGAAACCCUUUUAGGGUGGAGGGGGUCUUUUGUGGGAAAGAAAAGGAAGGUGGCGUGGCAUUUGGGACCGUUAUGCUUGUUUUGGGUUAUUUGGAAGGCUAGAAAUUCAAUUGCAUUUGAGGAUUGUGAGCUGUCCAUUCAAAGGUUGAAAGCAUCUUUUGUGUAUUUUUUGUGGUCGGAAUCCAAAUUGUGGAUAAAAGAUGGUCCUUCGACCUUAAUAGAUUUUAUAGACUGGGUGUGUAUGCGUUAAGGGAGAGGUUUUUUUGUUUUGCCUUGUCCUUUGAUGUUUGGGCCCUUUUGUAAGGGGGUAAGUCCCUUUAUACUGUAAUUUGGUGGGUCGCUUCUUUAGCGCCUCUUUCCAAUACAAUCUUAUACUUAUUGAUCAAAAAAAAAAAUGAUCUUAUUGUCAUUUUUUCUCUUCUUCCAUUCUCUAUAGAAAAAUGACGCACAAUACAUAUUAAGAGUUAACAACUAUGGCUAUUAUGAUAUUGUUGUCGUUUUUUUUCUGCUUCCAUUCUCCACUGUCCUAAUAUAUAUAUUUUAACUCUGUAUUUUAUAGGUUAAUGUGAAUGGUGGAGUGUCCUUAAAGCAUAAACUAUCAGGUCACCAAAAACCUGUAUCUCAUGUUUCAUGGAGCCCUGAUGACCGUCAACUCCUCACCUGUGGUGUAGAGGAGGCUGUCAGGUGCUGGGAUGUCUCUUCUGGUGAAUGCCUCCGCAUUUAUGAAAAAGCUGGUGUUGGCCUUGUCUCCUGUGGAUGGUCUCCUGAUGGGAAAUGGGUGUUCGCUGGCAUUACUGAUAGGAGCAUCUGCAUGUGGGAUUUGGAUGGGAAAGAGUUGGAAUGUUGGAAGGGGCAACGAACUCUUCAGAUUUCUGACUUGGAAAUAGCAAGCAAUGGGAAUCAGAUUAUGAGUAUAUGUAAAGAUACUGCUAUACUAUUAUUUGACAGGGAAGCAAAAGCUGAGAAAUUUAUCGAGGAGGAUCACACAAUUACUUCAUUCUCAUUAUCAAGGGAUUGCAGGUUCCUUCUGGUGAACCUUCUUAACCAAGAAAUCCAUCUAUGGAACAUCGAAGGUGAGGCCAAGUUUAUUGCCAAGUACAAAGGUCACAAACGAGAACGAUUUAUCAUUAGGUCCUGUUUCGGUGGUUUUGAGGAAGCUUUUAUUGCUAGCGGUAGUGAGGACUCACAGGUACUGUUUUUAGUUUUACUCUAGAUGUUUAACACAUUAGGAGUAAGGUUGUCCUUGAUUAUGAUCAAUAGCUUCUUUUUUGUUUUUUUUUUUUUUUGGGUGGAAUUAAUUGUGUAAUUAUUUUGAUUUUGUUAUUGCUUGGUUGUGUAUUUUGUGGAUUAUUGAUAAAGUUCUGUUUUUGGACAUAUCAACAAGAGUAUAUGGCCUUUGUGGAAGCCACAACAGCUUCUGACUGAGCAAAACAAUAGUUUUGGGUCAUGCUCAAAAUAAUUACAUUGCUUGAAUAUGUUAGUAGUCCUUUCAUGUGAUAUGCUUUGUCAAAAUAUUCCAGAGCUAUGGUCCUAUUUUUUAAUCCUGCUUCGUUUCAAAACUGAGUGAUUCCUCAUUUCAAAAAUUGUUGCAUUUCAUUUGUUAAGUUACCAAUUGGUCUAAAAGCUUAGCUAUGAGGUAGUAGACUCACUGUGUAUACCAAGUUUACACAUGCCAGCCCAUACAACAUGUGGAGAGGUAAAUCACAUUACAAAUUAUGAAGGAAUGGAUUGGAGAAUAAACAGAAGGUGAGACUCAAACUCAAGACCCCUAGUUAAUAAGAGCUUUGAGACAAUGUUAAAUUCACUCGACCUACAAGCAUAUGCUACUAGGCAGUGAACCUGCAACAUAUAACAGGCUAACAUGUUUGAUUUGGUCAAAUAUUCUACAUUUGGACUGAUUGGCCAAAACAAUUUAUAAUUCUCCAGUAUGAUUUUUACACUAUUGAUCUUUAUCAAGGUUGUAUUUAUUCAUUAUUAUUUCUUUUUCUAAUGUGUUAAAGAAAACUUUUUCAAAUGUUGUUUUUGCAAAUUUUGUCUGUAAAGGUACCCCUAAUGCAAUUUUUGUCUCUGUGUCCAAGAUAUUUGAGCAACAGUUUUUAAGCUGAAAGGGUUAGAAACCUAGCUUGUUUCUGUGCAUGUGUGGGUGCAUGGUGUCUACUAAUUUGAAAAUAUCUUCUGCUGUAUUUUCCAUGGAUGCUUUGAGAAAUAGAAAAAAAGAAUCAACUCUCAAUUUGCAUUAAUUCUUGAACACAUGAAUCUACAAUAUAAAUUCAACAGUAUGCUAAGCAUGAUUCCAUUUUAGGGAAUACUCCUUGGCUCUGUUUUGGAUUUAUGUAAAGUAGUGUAGGCAAAGGAAAAAAAGUCGGGAAGGGAUCAAUAUCAUCUUGUUAAGCUUAUGGUGGAAGAGUGAACAAGAAAAGGGUUUCUGUUUAGGUAGGAUCGGUGGAUAUGGUCCAAUGACUUAAGCUUGGCCAGCUUCUUGUCGACUGAACUCUAUUUAGGCUUUUAGUUGUUUUGGGGCGGGAUAGUCAAAAUUUUCUUCACCACCAAGGGCAAUGGAGUUUGUUCUCAUCUUGGAGCAAGUUUGCCAGCGUGGCCUCAUUUUCUACUUUUAAUUAGUCUUUCUUCCCUUGACAAUAGAAUUGAUAUCUAUGACCACCCUUCAUUGGAAAGAUAACCGUUUUUCCACUGAUAGUGGUUGUAGAGCAGGAACCAUGGAUCAUUCAUCAGGAAGCAGUGGAGAAAGAAUGUCUUCUGAGAUCUCUUUGAUGGUUUAGCUUGACUUUGUUCAUUUCGCACUUUGCCUCCCCUUUGUUGUGUGGUGAGUUGUGUCCUGUUGAUUCUGAGGAGUUGCAUGUCUUUGGUUUACGUGUCCUGUUGAUUCUGAGGAUUUGCAUGUCUUUGCUUUACGUGUCCUGUUCAUUCUGAGGAUUUGCAUCAGAUAGGUUGAUCUAGAAUAUUCUCUAUCUAUUCUUCGUCUUUUCUUGUUCUUUUUUUUCAACCUUUUGAACCCAAGUGAUGGGUGAUUGUCUUAAGAAGGAUUUCAUAAGAAGAAUUGAUACAGUUGGACAGUAGAUGGGAGACAGAAAGUUCUGCUGUAAAAUGUCUCAUUGUUUUGGAUUCGGUCUUCUGUUAUUUUGCUUUUUUGAUUCUAAGAGCAUGAGCAUGAUCCUUUCUCUGUCUUUUCACCCGAAGGAAAUGAAUGUUUUGUUCCCAUUUUUGCAGGUAUAUAUUUGGCACAAAAGCUCUGGAGAGCUGAUAGAGGUCUUGCCAGGUCAUUCUGGAUCUGUUAACUGUGUUAGCUGGAAUCCAGCCAACCCCCACAUGUUGGCAUCAGCCAGUGAUGACCGAACAAUUCGAAUAUGGGGCUUAAAUAAGAUAAACAUGAAGCGCAAGGGCACACACCCAAAUGGUACCCACUAUUGCAAUGGAGGAACUUAAAAGAGAUGAAAAAACCAUGGUAUCUUUGGUUAUUUAAUAGGUCUUUCUUGACCAUUGCUUUAUGUAAAUACUUUAUCCUCAUCUCAAUCUGACAUUCAUAUCAAACAAGCAUGUGAAUUGUGCAGCUUCUUGUGAUAAUAAAUCAUCUACUGCUUCAUUUCUAUAUUUGAUUAAUUGAUCAAUUGAUUAUUAGUUAGUUUUGAAAAAAGGGUUUAACAGAGCCGAAUCCUGAAACAAUGAGGCAAAGCUCAGAUGCUGAUUUAUUUUCUAGGGUUUUGUAUAUAUCUACUCUCUAUCUAUGCCUUCUCGUGCCUGCAAAUUCCUUUUCUGCUUAACUUAUUUAGUAGGAUGUUUGUUUUUAUGGGAAAGUGACUUGUUAGUGAACAUAUAUCCUCAUUUUUAGUGUAGCAAAUGAGAGUAUCUCUCGCUUGCAUAUUUGUUUUAAAUGUCUCAAGACCUUUAUUUUAUAUGAUCUCAGGGAGGCUGCCCAUUUUUAUGUUUUUAUUUUUGUUCUUUUGAAGUAGUAGAACUCGUUAGGAAUCUCAUUUGGCGUUGCUGCUUUAUCUGUAGUGUACUUCUAUCACCUUUUAAGGAUCGAUCUGCUAUAUAUUUUUGUUCUUUUACUUAAAUAAUAUUUAUGAACACCUUUAUGAUACUAGUGUAAGAAAAUAACAAUCCAUAUGGGAUUGACCCUAGUAUCCACUGGAUUAUAAUUUAAAGCCUUGCAUUUAGGAAUCUGACACUUUUUGGUGCACAACCAAAACCCAACCAAUGGUCCUAUCUGUAAAAAUAAUAACCUUGAGAUCCUCUUUGAUUUCCUAUGAACUAAUAUACCUUUUAGGUAAAGGAGGUAAGACAGUCUCUAAGUAAUAUCCCCAAAAGGAUAUGAGAAGUGAUGAAAAAUUCAUCAUCGAUCGUAGUGUGUUUAUCAAAGUUUGAUUUCUUCUUUACAUUACUCCACUUUAUGAUAUUGUCCUAGGUGCACACAAAUGAAAUAUAAUCCCAUGCUUCGUAAGGAAAGAAACGAACUUACUAGAUCCAAACUCACCACUUUGAUAUGAUCAAAGUCCCUUUAUAUGUUUACUUAAUAGGUUCUCAAAGGUACACCUUGAAUUCAAUGAAUUUAUCCAAUGCAUCAGAUUUUACACAUAUCCACACCUAGAAUAAUCAUCAAUAAAAGUGAUAGAGUAUCUAUCCCCCUUGCAUGAACGCUAAAAGUUCCACACAUGUUAGUAUGCAUUAACUUUAAACAUCCUAUGGUUCUAUAUAGGAUUAUAGACUAAAAGUUCUUUUGGAAUUAAAAUGUCUAAUGUCUCGGACAUCCAAUUUUUAGAUUUUGUUUAGAUUAAUAAAACUUAGGCUUAGAUACAAAAUGUUUUAUUAGUUAUAGGUUCUUUCCUUUUUAGUGAGAUUUGACUAUUCCCAUUACUUGACAAAAAUGGCAAUAGAGUAAUACAUGGAAGAAGUAGUAUCUCCAACUAACUUGCACAAUUAAGCUUACAACUAAAGCUAAGGUGAGUACAUGUCUAUCAUGCAACCUUCUCACUUAUUGAAGGCAAAGAACUACAGAUAGUGGGAUGCAGGAGCUCCCAAGAUGCCUUAAGAACUACUUGGAGUGCUUGAGCGUCUUGCUUGAGCGUUUGAUGAUUGCACCAAAAAACUCACCUUUAUAGACAGGUUCCUCACCAUGGAUGUCAUUGAAUGUCUAGAAUGCAAUCUUCUUUUUCUUGGGUUAAAAGGAUAGAUUAAAAAAACUAUAUUCUUACAAUAAAGGAAAAAACCUAUGUUCCUUCUAAACGGAGCCUACAACCCAUCUAAGAAUUAAAAUAACUAAUAUUUCUCAAUCACAAUAAAAAUCCUAUACUCCUUAUAAAGUGUUCAACCUAAUAUAAGAGAACGAACAAUUUAAAACAUCCAUAAUCACAUUCAAGAUUUAAAUAACAUAUAUUCAUCCCAAGGUCAUGGGAUGAAAAAGAAACCUUGCAACAUGUGAGCACUCCUUAGGAAAGGUUCUAGCAUGUCUUUCCAUAACCUAUGGCUCUCAUACUAGUUGUUGGAAUAUUUGAAUUGGUCCAUUCCAAGCCUUGGAUCAUUGGAGUGAAUGCAAAACUAUCCUAAGAAUCUCUAGAUCUAUGCAACAAAAGCAUAUACAGGAAAAACUAUAGAUCUAUAUACUUAGAGAAAUAUAUCUAUGAUUCAAUUCCAAUCGUUUUAUCAACUAUGUGUGCGCUUUAGACUUGCUAAUAUAACUUAAACCUCUUUUCUACAUAUGUUUCCUUUCUAAAUCAUGUUAGUAAAAAAUUUUGAACUAGGGUAAAAUAUUUCAUUAUGGCUCCAUAAAUUCUUUUUAGUUGAUUUAUCUCCAAAGAAAGUGAUUAAUUUUUUUAUCAUGACAUUAUGGUCUUUAGAUUCAAAAAACUAAUAUUUUUUCAAACAAAUUACCCUUUUCAUUCAUAAGUUCCAUUGAAAAUAUAUUAAAGGGCUUUAGCAUUGGCUCAACCCCAUAUUAUUUAACUUAUCCUAUUCUUUUUUGGGUUUCAAUUCAUUGGUUAACCUAUCAUUCUUAUCAAUAGUAAUUGGGGUAACCACCCAUAUUCUAGCAUGUUCCAACCUCUUACACCUUGCAUUUUUUUUUUAUUUAAAAAAAAAUCAAUUCAGGGUUUUCAAUAGGGAGAUUUUCUCAUUAAAGAAUGAUAUAUAGUUUAUGGAUUUUCCACUUCUUUAGGGUUCUAUUGAUCUAGGAAUCGAAAAUAAUAAUUAUUAUGUUUAAAAUCUCACCUAUGCUAAUAGCACUUGAAAACAUUUGUCUUGAUUAGUGAAACAACCUAGAGAGGGUUGAAUAGGUUGUCAAAACGAGAUAUCCAAAAAUUUAUAGUUUUUAUAUAGAUUUAAAAAAAAAAUAAACAUAUAUAUAUAUAAUGAGAAAAAGUUGAUCAAUCUCACACAUAGUAAUAAUUAAUUACACAGUUGAGCACAAGAUUUAAUGUAGAAAAACUACCUACCGAGUCUCAAAACCAAAAUGUAAAAAACUAGGGAUCCUCAAUUGACCACAAACAAGUUACUAAAUUUAAAAUAAAGAUACACAAUUUUACCUAAUCCAAAUGCAACUACUUCUCAGGGUCUUAUAUUGAUCCACACCUACACUAUUUUUUUAGGUUUUCAAUGCAACACCUUGUGCUCUUUCAUGGAAUAACCUCAUGCUAAGGCUAUCGAUCAAACAGUUUUUUGAAAAGACCUUUCAAAAUUGCCCUUACAAGAUUGAGAGAUGAAGUACUAAAGCAAAGAGAUAGCUAUUUUGAAACUCCAAAAAGUCAAGUAUUUAUAUGUAACACCUAGGAUAAAAACAAUUCAAACUUUAAUUUUACAAAAAUAUCCCAAAAUAUGCAAAUAUAAAAAAAUAAAAUAAAAAUGAAAAGUAUGUCUAAUGUUUGAAUUCCCCAUAGGGGACAUUUGAACAUUGAGGGUGCUAUUUGAACACUCAUUUUGGAGUGUUUGAAUGCUUUGCCCAUCUUCAAUUUUCCAACUUCAUUUUUCUAUCCAUCUUAUGAAUAUAAUAUAAUCAUUUCUUAAGUUACUAAUAACGUCAAAUGCAUACAUACCUAAAAAAUCGACUCUGAAAUCACUUAAAGUUGAUUGGGAUCGGUAAGACCCUUAAAAGUAGAAUGCAUUGGACUAAGUGAGCAAUGGAAUAAACUUGUCAAUUUAAUACUAAUACAUCAACAAUCGUAUUUUAUAUACAAAGAAAAUACUCAAUAUAUAAAGGAAGUGUACAAGACAUUGCUUUUUGGUGCACAAACGUAUAAAUGUCCAUGAAACUAUAUGAUAUGUAUAAUUAAACAUCAGAUCAUCUCAUUUAUACCUUUAUUGCAUAUCAAGCAAACCUUUAUACAUGUAUAAGCUAUAUAAAUGGCGAUUAUAAUGUAUGUAUAAGACAACUACACUAAAUUUAUAAUACAUUUAUAACUUACAUUAUAUUUCUGAAACAGUCACGCGAUAUAUAUCCGCCAAUAAUAAUAAUAGUAAUAAUAAUAAUAAUAUUACAUUUUUGAAUCAGUCAUGCGAUAUAUGUCCACCAAUUAUAAUAAUAAUCUAAUAAAAAAUUACAACAUAACAAUAAUAGUAAUUUUAAUACUAACAAUAUUGAUGUUAUAAAUAACAAAUUAAAUAAUAAUAAUAAUAAUAAUAAUAAUAACAAUAUUACAUUUCUGAAUCAGUCAUGCAAUAUAUGUCCACCAAUAAUAAUAAUAAUAAUAAUAAUAAUAAUAAUAAUAAUAUUACAUUUCUGAAUCAAUCAUGCAAUAUAUGUCCACCAAUAAUAAUAAUAAUCUAAUAAAAAAUUAGAACAUAGCAAUAAUAGUAAUUUUAAUACUAACAAUAUUGAUGUUAUAAAUAACAAACUAAAUAAUAAUAAUAAUAAUAAUAAUAUGAAAUAGAAAAAGAAAGAGGAAUAAAAUUAUAAAAAACAAAAUUGAAAUGCUAGAAAAAGCCAAAAAAAGAAAGAAAAAAGAAGAUAAUUUAGGUAUUUUCAAAUGUCAAAUGAUUUGAGGAGUCAAAUAUUUUUAAGAAUAAUUUAAUAAAAUUAAUAGAUUAUGGGUGAAUUUAUCGGUCUUUGAUAUCUAAAUAUACUUAGUAAUAAUUUUAAAAAAUUUGAGUGGAUCGUAUAUAUGCCCACGAACAAUUGAGAAAUGUUCUGAUCAGAACCCGUUUCCAAAGAAUUCCAACUGGUCAGUCUUUUUACUCAUUAAUGGUUCUAAGUUUUUCCAUGACAUUAAUUUUCUUUUCUGUUUAUUUGUACCCUAAACCAGGCAUUUUAUUCUCUUGCUAAUCAAACUCAAAAACUCCACAAUCCAUAAAAUAUUCUAGCAAUGAAGACUGUCCUUGGGCACGCCUUUCCCUAGUCUGUGUUAAAAAUAUUAAAAACAUUUUCUAUUAUUACUGUCAAACGCACUUUUAAGAUACAUUUUUCUUCAAAAGUGUUUUUAAGUCCAAAAAAUACUACAAAUAAUUUUUUAACACUAUAAAUAAUUUGUUAGACUUUUAAAAGUGAUUUCUAAAAUUUGUUAAACACCUAAUUUUUGUUUUAAAAAACACUUAUAAGCUAAAAACUUUUCCAAAAUCACUGUCAAACAAGCUUUAUUCCUUUUUGAGUUUGAAUUAAGCUCUCAUAUUAAUCAGUUCUGUUGCUUCUUUGAUGAUGAUCCAAACAUGGUACAAACUCACAUGAUUGGUAUAUGGAAAUGGAGUUUUGAGGAAAUAGUUCAAUUUAUACCAGCAUGUGUGUGGAUGUGUUCUGUUUGAGGAGAGAAAAAGAGGGUCUUUAUAGGCUUAAGAAACGUUGGAAUAUCCACACAAAAUUCCUCCCAAAUUAACCAUCUCUAGUGCUUUAGACGUCUUAAAACAAACAUCAUAUUUCUUCAGGUGAUUUACAUACAAACCCACAUUAAUCCAUUAAGCAAUACUGAAGGAACUUGCAGUGCUCUCAACGUACUUCCUUGCUCCCUUAAACCAUCUCUUGUCCCCAGCCUGUACCUUGCAAAUGUAGAGCUUUCCGUCCGCCACAGCAGCAGUAAUUAGCUGGUGUUUCCCACCUUCAUCUCCGUCAGCAGUCCUCGUCAACACCGUGAUGGUGUAGUAUGGUUUCCCACCAACUGUUGUGGUUGAACUCUCCAGUAUGUUUGCUGUUGCAACCGCAUCUGCGUCGAAACCACCCUGACCAUUUACAUGAGAAUGAGCGCACCCUGUCAUGAGAUUUGUGUGUAUUUCCAUAGCGGUGUUUGUUCAAAAAAGGCUCAGUAUGCAGAUAAGGUUUCGUGCUUAUUUGCAUACUGGUUUUUGUUGAAAAGAUGCUUCCAUAUGCAUACAGUUGUGAUGGGUGUUGAUACAAUUCCAAAUUGAAGUGAUACCCUUUAUCGGUUUUCCUAGUAACACGAAACUUGAAGAGCUUAUAGUAUUUACCUCAUUGGCAUUGCCAAAGAAGGCUUGUUUCCCCAGCAAAAAGUCCACCUGCAGAUACCCACAACCAAAGCAUAUUGAUUAGAAAACAUGGUGUCACACCAUGCCAGCAAAACUCUUACUUGGAGGUCCACAAACAGCAUAUUUGUCACAGUAGAAAAGAAAGCAAAAAAAAAAACAUCUAAACAAGGCAAACCCUGAUCCCUUCUGAGGAGAAAAACUGACAAUUGGGGAACGAGAGAAACAGAGAGUUUACUUUAGAGAGGAACUCUUCGGGUGAACCAUAGUCAGUGAUGGAUUUCUUGUCAGUUGGAGUGAUUAUGACGGAGACAUUGCUGUUGGAGUCGAAGUUGUCCUCAUAUCUCAGGACCUGUCCUGGGAAUUCCCUCUCUUUGCUUGGAUUCCACUUUGAUGGUAUCGACAAUUUGAAACCCUCUCCGUUGUAGGGCAAGAAGUCGGUGUUCGUCUUCGGUUUGCCAAAAACAUUGGCUGCAAUUUGCCAUAAUAGGGGUCAAAAGUUAAUCUCUAGAUCAUUAACACUUUUGACCUCCUUUCUAAAACUGAGAUUAUGUUCAUUGCCUUUCUGCAUUUGGGAACUUACAUAUAGUCUGAAACUAUGGAUUCCCAGUUUAAAAACAAUGGAUCGAUCCGAUUUCUAUGGUAGGCAGGCAUGUUAAAUAGAGUCAUCAACAGUAAACUCAUUCCAAAUUCAAUAAUAUAACAGGCGAUACCAGUAAAGUUGGAUUAAUUGAGCAUAAAGUAGAAGGAAAGUACCAGCUUCACCAUAGGCGGCAUCAGCAGGGUUGACCUUGGUGCCAAUGGCAGCAGCACCAAUGAGGACGGUGAGGGCCAAGCGGCGGGAGACGGCGGCGCCAUCGUCUUCAUUGGCAGCCUGCUUUUGGGCACGGCAGACUAGCUGGGAGGGUCUGAGGGAGGGGAGUUGGCGCUGUGAAGACACUCUUGUGGGGGUGGAGAGGGCGUGGUGGUGGAGGAAGCAUGCUGUGGAGGCCAUUCUUUCUGUAACGAUAUGCCCUCACUCUACACACUCUGCAAACUUGGGGGUGGUUUAUUUUUCCUUCCUUUGUUUGGAAUAUGAGAAGGGAGAAGUCGAGGGGUGUGUUCUGGUGGAUAUGUGAAGGAAAAUGGCUGGUUUUGGAUUUUGGAUGAUGGGAAGAUGAGAUUUUUGAUUGGGAUAAGGGUGUUGAGGUUCUGAUUGGUGCCAGAUGUCACUAUAAUUUUCUUCUGCUUUUCUGCCACAUCUUUGGGUCAUGGUGGGGAAGAGUGUAGAGCCUGCUGCUUUUGUCAUCAUGCUUGUUUUUUUUUUUUUUUUUUUUUUUUUUAUCAUUUUAAUUUUGUUUAAUUUUUUAUUUUUAUUUUAAAAUAUUAAAAAGAUACAUUUAUUCAAAAAUUACUAAAAAUCAAAACAAUUAAUGAAUUUCUAAUCAUUUAUAAAAUAUAAUUUUAAAUUAAAAUUAAUUUGAUAAACUAAAUUCUUAAUAUAAUUUAAUAAUUUUAAUAAAUUAAUGUCGAUACAAGUAAUUCAACUAACAACAAAAAAUUUGUCACCACAAUUUUUUAAUAAAUUUUCAGAAAUUAAAUUUCAAAUAAAAUAAUUUUUACAUAUUUCUUUUGAUUAAUUUUAUCAUAUUUUUUUUGUCAAAAUAUCCAUCAAUAUUUCCCGAUAUAUCCCGAUAUAUUCCUAAACAUCGAUAUAACCAUGACAUGACAAAAUAAUGUAGAUGGCCUUGGGUUUGUCCAAUUGGGGUUUGGCCAGUACACUCUCGAGUUCAACCAUAUCUAUUUAUUGGGCUAGUUCCUGGGCCUAGCCAGCCUAAUUGUUAGCCACAACUGGGCCGGGCCAGGCCUGGCCAAUCGGCCUGCGAAAAAGGACACAAUUUUUCAUAUUUAUUUCAAAAGAUAAUUGUCAAUUUUUGUACAUUAGUCACGUGCCCCCCUCAUGCUUUUAACUUUUCAAGGGGCAUUUUGCAGUCUUGCAGGUACGGAAAGCCCGUGCCCUUCAUCAAAGUAGUGCCUCCUUUUUGUGCUUCAUAUUUUGCUUAUUUCAUCAUAUUUUUCUUUUUUUCAACAUAUUUAUAGACUACAAAUUUUUUAUAAUUUUUUUAAAAUCCUUUUAUUUUCUCUAUUUAUUUUAAAUGUAAAAAAAUUAAUAUAUUUCUAAAUAUCCCAAAAAUCUUAGAAUUUAUUACCUUAGUGAAAAAUUUGUAAUGUAUUUUCAAAUUUAUGAAUUUGUGAUUUAAAUAUGUGUUUUAUUAUUGAGAUUAAUUAAUUAAUUUUUAAAAUUUUGAUCGGAAAAGAUCAUCAAAUCAUUAUUAUUUAUUUUUUUAAAAGUAAAAUUAUUGAUUUUAGUUGAUAUCAUAUGGGUGCCAAAGUUUUGGGAUCUAUUUACAAAAAAUUAUUGGAAUUAAUGAUAGUUUAUUUUGAUUUUACCUCCUAAGACGGACUUAGGAGGUAAAAUUUAAUAUUUAUUACUUUAUGACUUAAGUUGAUUUUAAGUUAAAUUAUAUUUAAGUUGUUAACUUAAAACUUAUUAUUUAAUUUUUACUAUGAAUAUUAAAGUUAUUUGAUAAAAUUAACUUAAAAUAUAUUUUUAAUCAUCAAAUUGAUAUAUUUAUCCUUAUAAAUUAUAAUUAGGGUAAAUGAAGUUGAGUAACACUGGAAGUGUUGAGAAAUAAAAGAGAUCAUAAAGAUAAAUAUAUGAAUUUAAAAAUAAAUUAAUUAUUUUUUACUUAUUACUUAAAGUUAUUUUUGACUUCAAGUCAUAUUAUUAAAUUAUUUUAUCAAAUAUACUUAAUUUAUUUAAUGAUUUAAAUUAAGUUAUUAAGUCACUUUAAAUUAUUAAAUUGGUUAAUGAAUUUACAUAAAAAAUUCAAAAAUAAAUUUAGUUUUAUUUUUGAUAAAAAAAAUUUGGUUUAAUUUUUUUUUAAAAAGAAAGCAAAAAAAGUGACAUUUUUCAUUAAAAAAAAAUCAUAAUUGUCUUAAAAAAAGUGAUAAAUUAUACCUCUAAAAAUAUCUCAAUCUAAUAUUUCUUGUAAUCUAUUAAAAGAUUAAAAAAUUUAUAAUUAAAAAAUUAAUUCAUAAUUUGAUCACACUCACACCAAAACCAUUUAUUAAAAAAAAAUAAAAAAUUAAUUUUAAUUAUAGUUCCUAAUACGCCAUCAUUUCCAUUUGAAAAAAAAUAAUAAAACAAAGAGUGGAAGUCUUGAAUCUUAUCAUCUUUUUUGCACUCCUAUAUAACGGUUGGUCGUUCAUAUUUAAUAUAUGUCCCUUUCUAGGGUAUGAUAUUUAAUUUUUUUUGAAAUGGUUUGCUAAGUUUGAUUGGUUGGUGCCUCACAGAUGGGUACGUGGACGGUGACGAUAGUUUUCCCUCUAAAGGAAGAUUCUUCACAUGAAAUGUACAUGUUUUCUGAAUGAUAGUUGGCUUGGCUACCGGCUAUCAAAUAUUGACAUUUAAAAAAAAAAAAUAAUAAUAAUAUAAAAAUGAGUUAAAUAUUUUUUUAAUAAAUAAUAAAAUGGUUACUUUUAUAUUAAAAAAUUAAGGGAAAAAAUGGAAAUUACGUUAAUAUACAUUAUUUAUAAAAUAUGGAUGAAAAAAUAUAAAUACAUUUUCGGAUAAUAUGAGAUGGACACUUCCGAUGCUUGUUAUUUUUUUUCAAAAUGUGUCUCGUAAAAAUGACUUACGAGUUUUAUUUUUAAUUAUAUUUUAUAAAUAAUGCACAUUUACGUAAUUCCCACCUUGAUUAUAUCAUACAAAAAUUAUAUUAUUUUUUAUUUAUUGGCAUUACGGGGUGUUAAUUAUUAUAUUAAGGAAAAAUAUGAAAAAAAUAAUUUUAAAAUAUUUAAAAUCUAAUUCGAAGAAAUUAGUAUUAAUUGUCAGCGGAUUUCAUUUCCUUGGUCCAAGGUUUGGCGGUCCACCCAAGUCCAAUGGCGGCAGAGAGACGUUUGAAAGGCAAAUUAACAAAUAUAAAAAUUUGAAAGGAGACCGUCUGCGCAGGUGAGCCGGUAUGCAUCCACCGUUCUUGAGUUGAGUCUGCGUACGCAAUUUUGGGCUGUUCAGAGGUAUUGUUCCCUCGUUGUGUCCGAUGGUCAUUUGUUGAACGAUCAAAACCCAUCUCUCUUUUCCUCUCUCAGUCUUCUCUUCCUGUUCUUCUCUUAAUUCUCGUCAACGGUCGCUGGUUUGUGCUCUCACAUUCUCAUUUUUUUUCUCUGCAAACUUAUGCAGUUUUGCUUCAUUUUUGGUGAUUUGUACUAGUGGUUUGCGCAUCAAAAUUGUGGGGUUGAUCAUGGGUAGGCUCUGUUUUGGUCUGUUUGGUUUUGAUGCUUUUUGUUCUGGGAAAUUAGUGAGAUUUGGUUUCUGGGUUGUGUGUGCGCUUUUCUGGUGGAGUUGAAGGGUUGGAUUUUCAAUUCAGGGUGAAGUUGGAUUGCCCGUACUAUUUUCGUGUAUGAAUUUAUUGCCUCUGGUUUGGGCCCUCCCACACACAUUUUCCAGUCCAUUUUAUAAAUUUUUCUUACCUUUUUUUUUUAAAAAAAUUAUUUUAUUUUUUGGUGUUGUCUCCAAGUAGUUUGUCCAUAAACAUGGUAAGAUUGAUGGGUUUUAUUUAUUUAUUUAUUUUUGGUGUUUUUGGUCUUAUGGUUGUUGGUUUUGGCAAAUUGGUAAGUCUUUCAGUUUCUGAGUAGUUGUUUCUUUUGAAGAUCUUUGGCAUUUUUUGGUGUUGGGAUGUUCAUGGUUUCGAUUGAGUUUGAAGAAUAAUUUCUUGUACUGUCUGAGUGUUUCCAAUCUGUAUGGCAUCAGGGUUAGUUUACUUUCUUUAUCUGUGAUUUUGUGCUGGUUUUGUUUGUCUUUAAUUUUUUUAAUGGUUGUUAUUGCUAUUAUUUUUUUUUUCGAUUUCAUUUUCUAUUCCUUGUUGGUCGUAUUCAGCUUUUGAUUGAAAGCUUAAAAGAGUUUGUUUUUUUUUUUUUUUUUUUUAACCAAAAAGCAAACUUUGACUGCUGCAUCUGUCAAAAAGAAUUUUUGAAGACUAUGGUUCCCAAAAGGAAAAGGAAAAAAAAUGUAAGGACAAAAAUUGUUUCUUCUUUAAUGUUUUAGACAUGAUGAUAAAAGAUAAAGAGAAAAAAAAAAAAAAAAAACUAAGGAAAAGAGGGGAGAAAUUGUUGAAAGAUUUCCCUUAAGAAAAGGUGAAGAAAGUUUGAGAAAAGUGCUUACCUCAAGAAUUUAAUUUUCUUUCUUUCAAAUGUUCAAUGGACAAUCAAACAAGAGAAAAAUUUUACAAAUUUCAUUAUUUUAUUUUAUUUUUAAUUUUUCCUAUCUAUUUUCUUUUUUUCAAGCUUUCUAGAAACCAAACAUGCCUUAAGGCUUUUAGUGCAAAAUUUUGAGAAACUCCCAUCAUUGCCUUAUAAAAAGAUUGACUUAGUUGAAUCAAGUUUUUUAUUUUAAUUUUUAAACAUUGAACAGCAGAAAACACAAGAGUUGAAGUUUUCUUUUCUUUUUGUUUUCUUCUAGUUUCUUCUAUUUUCAUAGCAACCAAAUGGAGGUUGUGUUUAGUUGGUUGGGUAUAAUUGAAAAAACCUAGGUUGGAGCAAUCGAUAAGAAUUUCUGUUCUUGCAUUAUUUACUUAGGCUUAGAGAUAUUGAAUUCUUUUCUACCUUCUUGAUUGUUAGAAUAAUACAUUUAAACUUGUUUUCUAACUUAGAAAAUACCUUUAGAAAAUUUCUGAAAACAAAUUGUUUUUUGGAAUAAAUUUUAGGCAUUUUUAAUUGUUUUUGUAUGGUGUUCUGAGCAACAAUUGAAAAUAUGGAAAAUAUUUUAAAAACUUCUGCAUUGUACAUAAGUGUGUAGUACUUUAUGGGAGCCAAGAACUUUGUUUUUCAUAUUUGAGUUCCCAAACAGAAUUUUGUUCCUGAAAACAACUUAGGACUGUUUUAAAAUACUGUUUUGUAGGAACUGUUUUUGAAAACAUUCCCAAGCAGACCCUUAUAUUCCCCCCCUCCCCGUAUGGUCGUGCGGAUGAUAAUUAUUGAAAAUUUUUGUGUGCCAAUAUAUAACAAUUGUGUCAUUUGCUAUUGAGUAUGUUCUUUUGUUGAAGCUGUCUUUAUCCUAGGAGAACCGUGGUGCAUACUUUUGUUCUGCCUUCUUGGUUUAGCUCUUUUUCUCUUUAGUGGCUGUUGUGUGUACUGAUGCCUAAACUACUAGUACUUCAUGUUGGAUUGAGGUUUGGAGACAUGAACAAAUGGAGAAAUAUAUGUUGGACAAUUCUCGUUUCCUCUAAGCCUAAUGUGAUGCAUUGGAGGUCCGGGUCAGUGGAGUCAAGAGAGUAGAAGUCUAAUAUUUGUCAAAAACCAUGGAAUAAGGGGCAAAACAUUUGAGAGGAUUUCAUGUUAACAACAAAUUUCCUUCUUCUUGAUGGCUUGGAAAUUUGUGCAGCAAAUGCUGUCAAAACAUGAAGGCAACACCUUUUUUCAUGCAUAGGCUGUUGCUCAUAGUACAUUUCAAGCCAUCCUCAAUGGGAAAGUGGGAUCUUGAUCUUCCGGUUUCACAAAUUUAAGGUGCUAAGAAUAAUUUGAGGUUUCACUCAAGAUUUAAAAUGUUAUGUCCAUAAUAAUAUCCAGGACAGAGUUUUUAUUUAUAUUGUUGACCAUUAGCUAUCAAGGUAUUUCUGUUGAGAAGUGUGAUACUGCAAAAGACUAAAACAGGAAGGAAGCUUCGUCCUAAUAUUUUGAACUUAAUAUCUUGAAUUAGACUUGAGAAGUAAUUUGAUGCCCGUGAUUAAAAGCUUAAACAGGAUGGUAUUUUUUGUGAUGGGACUUGAUUAAUCCAUCCAUGUUGGUUGGUAUAUGUUUAAUUAAACAUGUUGUCAAACAAUUUUCCAUGGCCUCAAGGAAAUGAGUUAAAUCCGAUUCUAAUUGUCCCACAUGGAAUUAUAUUGAUAGCACAGUAGAGGCUAUGGGAGCUAUUAAUUUCUAAGACUUAGUUCUUUAUGUCUAAUUUAUUGAAGAGGUAUACUUUCUGUCUAUACAUUUCUUCUAGGUUUUGUUUAUGCUCAAAUUUAUUAAUAAAAUGUGUGUUAGACUGUGAUUUCAGUAACCCCUAUAAUAUAAUUGUGUCAUGAAGUAAGAUUGUUCCUGGUUAAGGAUUUGCCCUUUUUUCUUUUUCACUUGAGCAUAAAUGAAUGACUUAAUCUCCUAGGUCCUUGUCUUUUAGCAAGUACAUAUACAAAAUUUUAUCGUGUUGUUUGGCACCACAUUUAUUGUCAUCUAAAAUUUUCACAAUGUGCUCACUUGCAUCAGAAAUUUCAGGAAUAUUUUUAUAUAGAUGUGAAUUUGAGAAACUUUCUGUGAAUUCUUUUGCAGUAGUGAUAAUUAAAGCAUAGGAAAAAUGCCUGAGGGAAUAACAGCAGAGAAGCUUUUGAACAAUAUAAUGGAAACAAUUAGUGACAAUGCUCAAAAGAAGAAAUCUGUGUCAUUCUUUGAGGAAGAGAAAUCAAACUCAGUCACUUCUCAGUUCAAACGGCUCUUUGGACGGGAGAAGCCAGUUUACAAUCUUCUGGGGGCUGGAAAAUGUAAGAUCAUUCUGUUUGUGUUAUUAUAUCCUAUCAGUUCUGCGCUUGCUAAAAUUUUCCUUUUCCCCGGAUAAUUUAGCUGCUGACUUGAUGUUAUGGAGGAACAAGAAAAUCUCCGCGAGCUUCAUAACUGGUGCUACACUUAUCUGGGUGCUCUUUGAAUGGCUUAACUACCAUUUUCUAACUCUUCUAUGCUUCGCUGUGGUUCUUGGUAUGAUUGCACAGUUUGUUUGGUCAAAUGCAUCGGGCGUAUUCAGCAGGUAAUUUCAGCUCAUGCAUUUUUGUGCUCCUUGUUUUGCUUGUUGCAUGCAAAUAGUGCAGAAACAUUAUUAUAGUGAUAAUUUCUCUAUGUUGGCAGGUCGUCAUCUGAAGUCCCUCGUAUCGUUUUGCCUGACGAGUUAUUUCAAAAUAUUGGUGUCGCAGUUGGUGUUCAGAUUAACCAAGCCUUGGGUUUUCUUCAAGAUGUUGCUUGUGGAGGAAAUCUGAAGCAAUUUCUUUUGGUAUGUUUUAACCAAUAAAUCGUUUAUCAUAUCCUUUCCUUCAUAUUGUACACUUGGACAGUACAUGAUCUGUGGUAUCCUCUCUGCUGACCUCUAAACUAUUCUACUACAAAUUAUUGAAAUAUUCCCUGUGAGUGUAAAUUCUUACUGCUGAAAGUCAUUCUCUUCCAUUAUUUAUCCUACUUUAUAGCUCUGUAAUCAAGUAAAAUGCUUUAAUAUGACUGACUUAGUUGGUGCCAGAAGAAUGAUUUUUCACCAUUUAACCUUGACCAUAGCCAUUUCCAUGGUUGUUUCCUUGGCAAUCAUGUCCAUUCUCACUGCUGAAAGCCUUCAUCAUUUUUUGUCUUCAUCUUGUCCUGGCGACUUGAACUUGAAGCUAAUCUGAAUUCUGUGCACAGGUGUUUGAAUUGCUUGUUGCACAUUGUUGAAACAUCAUAGACGACAUUCUGUCAUUUUUUUUUUCUUUUUCUCAUGAAUGCAUUUAUUGUUUAUUAUUUUUUUUAUUUUUUAUUUUUCUAUUUCACUCUUCAUGUACUGUGCUUUUCUAACAAUUAGUCAUUCUUCUUUCUUCUCUCUCUCUCUCUUUGAUAAAUUUUAUUUAGGCACCUAAUGAAAUACAGAAAUGAUAUUCUAGGGUGUACAUUUUUUGAGUGCCUCUUGCACCUUAUAGCAUAGUAUUGACAGUUCUGUUUCUUAUUCCAAGAUGGUCAGUGAUUUUGAGUAAUUGGCCCAAGCACAAACCGAUGACGCUGGCUAACAGUCUCAUUCUAACAAAAUUUGCAAAAUGCUAAAAAUUAUGAUAAGUUUGUCUCACAAGUUCUACUGUGAAAUAUUUUUUAAAAAACUUCUAACUAUAUGAAUCAGCUGAAAUUUGCACGAAUAAUAUCUCAACUUGGAUAGCUUGGAUCAGCAUGCAACACACUCGUGAAGCUGGCAUAGAAGAGUUUAUGAAUGAUGAGAGCAGCUUAUGAUUUUUUUCAUUCAUUUUUUCUGGUUAUUUGGUUAUCAGAAAUGACUUAAAUAACUAAUUGAGCUCUUGAACGAUUCUUCAGGUUGUAGUAAGCUUGUGGGCAGCUGCUGUGAUAGGGAGCUGGUGCAACUUUCUGACUGUUCUGUAUGUUGGUGAGAAAUCUUAAUUCCAUGUUGACUUCAUAGUAAGACAUAAGGUCUACUUGCAACCUUUUAUUUAGUUGAAUGAACAUUUAAACAGAAACCCAGGAGAAAGUUCCAAAUGCUCUGGGUUUGUUUUGCGUAUCGAAUCAACUUAGACAAACUUGAAUGGAAGUUUGUCAAGUCUUUCCUCAGAAACACGGGGAAGAAUUUGGCAUAUUUGGUUGUAUAAUUUGGUAGAACAGUUGACAUAAAAAUUUGGACCACUCAGAAAAUCUUUACCUACUGAAAAAAGGAAAUUAAGGAGUUGUUUUCCAAAAUCAUGUUGAAAAUCCAGAGUUUACUCUUAAGAUUGAAAAGCUUCUUACAUUCUUCAUUCAGACACUAUGCCAUCUUGUCCAAAAAUGAAUUAGAAAUAUGUUUGCUUGCGCGGGAUGAAGGAGGCUUGGAUUUCACCCUGUUUCAUUGAUACUUAGUACUUGUAUCCGAAAAGUGAUAGAGACAAAGCCACAUCCCUUGCAUUUGAAGGAGGCUUAGCAUCAUUAUCAACAAGGUGUCAAUCACAAAUGAAGCACAGUGGACCGUGUGAUUGACCGUGUGUAGAGUUUAUUUUAUUUUUUACAUGUUUUGGUUGCCAAAAUGUGACUUGAAAACUUUUCCCAUCUCAUUAUUUGGAGAAAAUUUUUCUUUAGUACCAAAUGAAGAAUUAGUAUGUGUAUGCUGGAAUUGAUAAUUUUUGUUUUGUUUUUGCAUUUUUAAUUGGUUUAGGUUUCAUUGCUGCCCACACACUGCCAGUUCUGUAUGAGAGAUAUGAAGAUCAAGUUGAUGGGUUUGUAUACCAGGUCCUGGGACAGCUUCAGCACAACUACCGGAAGCUGGAUUCUGGUUUCCUCAGCAAAAUACCCAAGGGAAGCCUCAAGGGAAAGAAGCAUGAAUAGAUUCAUAUUGGUCCAUUGGAUCUGGGGCAUCCUCCAAAUCCAUUUUCUUUUGUGUCCCACUAAACAAGACAGUCAAUACUUGGGUAUCUGAACAAUGAAAUGUGUCAGAGAUUUCUUCCCUUUUUAAAGCAGCAUGUUGUUGUAAAUGUGCAAUUGCCCUUGCUCUCUGGGGCCUUGGUUGCCCUACCUUUCAACUUAUAGUAAGGGUUGGUUUGAGAUGGAUUUAGUAAGUAAUUCUUCACAUUUUCUUAGGUUUUUACUAUAUAUUGUAUAGCAAAGAAAAAGAUCUUUGUAUGACAAGUAAAAGGGAGAAAAGAUAAUGACAUGAUAUUUUAUAUGGAAAAUCUCCGAAGAGUUAAAAAGCCAUGGGCCAAUCACAACUAGAAAAUCUAUUAUGAAGCGAAUGUUGAGUACAAUGUUUUACCUAGCUCAAAAUCUCUGAUCCUCUCCUACACUACUUGUCAAAUAUUUUUGAAAAUUAAGCUUCUCACCAUCUUUAUACAGAACCCCUUUGAAAAUACUUUCAAACAUGAUCUUGGGCUCUUCUUGAGGCCCACUUGAAAAGAUACUUGAGUUUUUCGAGAACCAAACACCUCCAACUCAAAUAAACAAGAUUUUUACAUAACCAAUGUCUUUGAAAACCAACUCAAAAGAUAUUUGAACUUCUCAGAUAAACAAGAAUUUUCAAUUAGAAACCCACAAAACUUUUCCUAGAACCAAACACCCCUAAAUUUGAUAGAGAAUUUGGAGCUCAAGGAGGCAGGCAACCUAGCUCUCACCAUGUUGAAUCCCUAAUGUGGAAAGGGGCAUAAAUAUUAUGAAUUCAAUGAAGAAUCUUCAAUGAAUGAGUCAAAUUGAUUUGGAAAAAAAUAAAACUUUAUAAAUCGUGAUCAAAAUCCGACUAAUCAUACAAGAUCGAAAAAUUUUAAGUAAUAGAUGUAUUGUUACCCUCUAAUCUAAUUGAUUAAAAAUUGAGUCGACUGGUUUAAAACACAAAAAAAUUUAAAAUAAAAAAAAUAAAAAAAACUCCAAAUCUUAUUUUAACAAAAGCAUAAAAAUUUGAAAAUUGGUUGAUCGAUAACUAGACCCAAAAGCCACCCCAAAACACUUAUCAUUUACUCUAUCUUCAAUUAUGAUUAUCUUGGAAAUGAUUAGAGUCUAAGCAUUUGAAGGAAUUGAGCUACAUGAUCAUAAUAAAAAUUUUAACCUAAAAUUGCCAACACACAAAGAUACUCACAACCUCUCCUUUUGACACUUUUGAAACAAAACCCUUUACAAUACAAACAAAUACAAGUACGCUUUAACCUACUAUCAUAUAAAACACGCUCACUCAUCCUCAUAACCUAAACAAUAUAUUAUUUGUCACUAAAACUCAAAAAAUAUGAUUAGUAGCACAUGCAUAACACACGAAAGUAUGUGCAAACAACACAAUAUUUUUUAUAAUACAAUUAAAUAUGAGAAAAUAAUUUUUUUUAGCAUUUUUUUUUUCUAUCCUUAAUGCUUUUUUCGAAACCAAACAUAAUCAUAAGGCAUGUGAAGUAGAAAGGGUAGAAUACAACCUAAGCAAUCCUGUUUAAGAGGAGUGAUGAAGACCAUUCCCUUAAGCAAUGAUGGUCAUUCAGCUCCUGUACCCGACUUUGCAAGAGCACAACUCUAAAAUCUUUCUAACAUGCUCAUGUCGUAACAUUCUAAACUGUCCACAACUACAUGCUCUUUCUUACUGUAUAUCAUAUCAUUUUCCCUUCUUGUUAUACCAAUCAAUCCAAAAUGUUUUAUUUAUUCGUAAGUGUCAGAGGCAUCAGAGAUUUGCCCAUGUGAUGCAACAGCUGAGACAAGCACAUUUUUAAUUUCAUUCAAGCUCUUAAUUGUCAGUAGUCCUUUAUCAAAGACUGCCUAUCAUAGAAACUGAUAUGUUAGAUCAUUAGAAUAUCUAUUUAAAUAUCAGGCAGUACAAUGACCAAGCUUGCAUCAAUAGAAUACUUUUCGUAAAAAAAUCCAGUGAAAGAGACCUAGUUUGAUGUCUCAUGCAUGGAGCAGAAAUCAUUAAAGGAAGGUAAACCAUUUAUGUAACAGCAAGAACAAAUGGAACUAGCAAGGAAGAAAUGUGUCUAAAUAUAUACACCAGAAAUUUCAUCCAUGCCCCGAUAUGCAAAUGCCUCCAAAAUUCCCAAAUUAAGGGAAAGUGACAUAGCAAAAAAGACCAUAUAUAAAACUGUAUAGAAUAAACAAUGACAUAGCAAAACACAUUCUUUCGAAUAAAAUUUAAUUGCAUUAUUGAAGGACUAAUUUUUCUAAAAGUUUAAUUUGUUAGGAGUUUUGGAGUUUUAUAUUGAGGAGAUUUUUUAUUUUUUAUUUUAUUUUAUUUUAUUUAUAAUAUUAUUAUGUUGUUGAGUUGUUUGACAUGACAAUUUGUUUACUCAUGUAGCAUUUCAUUUUUUCAAAAAAAAAAUAAAAAAUCUUAUCAAUAUUUAGCAAAAAGUCAUACAUAGAAUAUUCCUUGACGUCUCAUAUGAAACAAAUGCAAGACGAGUUUGUUGCACUUUACCAUGAUCAAACAUGGGUGUCGGUCCCACGACCACCUCAUAUCAAUGGUGUUGGUUCUAAAUGGGUUUUCUGAACAACGUUCAAAGAUGAUGGGUCUAUUGAUCGGUUUAAAGCUUGCCUUGUUGCUAAGUACACAAAUUCCUAGCCAAGAUUUUGAGACAUUUAGUCCUGUUAUUAAGCAAACCACAGUACGUUUCAUUCGCUCUAUUUUAGUUACUUGCAAUUAGACCAUUCAUCAACUUGAUGUUAAAAAUGCCUCUCCAUGGUCACUUGUGGGAAACCAUUUAUAUGAAGCAACCUUUGAGGUUCAUCGAUUCAUGAUCAUUUCCUACUUAUGUUUGUCUCCUUAAAUGAUCUAUCUAUAGUCUAAAGUAAGCUCCUCGUGCCUAGUUUGAUCGCUUAUCUCAAUUUUUAGUUCUUCUUGGCUUUGAGUACAACAAGAUUGACUUUUCCUUAUUUGUGUUUAAAAGAGACACCACACUUAUAUUACUUUUUGUUUAUGUUGAUGAUUUUCUUUUUAUGGGUAAUGAUACCAAGUUUAUUGACAAUCUGAUUCACAAAAUGGGUACUUAAUUUUCUAUUAAAGAUCUUGGCAGAUUGCACAAUUUUUUUGGGCAUGGAGGUGCACUAUUUUUUGAGGGGGCAUGUUUUUAUUGCUGCCAAAGUAUACUUGAGAUAUCCUUCUUCAAUACAAGAUGCUAGAUGUUGCCUAUAUGGUGACACCAAUGGCUAUCAAAAACUCAUCUUCAUCUGAUGAUAGUCCCCUUGCAUAUGCCACUGGAAUAUCGACGCCUCGUUGGAGCACUUUAAUACUUAACUUUUACACGUUCCCUAACUACUCAGCAUUUGAGGGAGGUCAAGCAUAUCUUGUGGUACCCCAAAGAUACACUUGAUUAUGGCCUUCGCUUCCUUACUCAAAGUUCCUUUACUUUACCUAGGUUUUGUGAUGUUGAUUGGGCUAGUCGUUUUAAAACUUAACAUAGCACCAUUGGUUAUUGUGUUUUUCUGGGUGCCAACUGUAUCUCAUGGUCUUCUAAGAAGCAACCCACUGUUUCAAGCUCAAGUGUCGAAUUCUAAUAUUGUGCUAUGGCCUCCACUACUGUCGAACUCACGUGGGUAUCCUUCUUAUUUUGCUAUAUUGGUUUUCCUAUUGCUAUGCCUCCUCAAUUUUUGUGUAACAAUAUGAGUGCUCUUCAUAUGUCCAUCAACUCGGUUUUUCAUAAGGACACUAAAUACAUUGAGUUAGAUUAUUACUUUGUUCAUGAGAAAGUGGCUCUUGGUACUCUUAUUACACGAUUUCUUUCUUCCACUCUCCAAAUUGUAGACAUCCUCACUAGCUAAACCUCUUAUGCCCCAUCUUUUUUCUUCAAUUUUGAUCCAAGCUUGGGGUUCACUCCAUUCCACCCUCAAGCUUGAGGGGAUUUUCCAUUUCUAGAAUUAAAGGAUUUAGUAAGCCACAAUCAAAGGAAGAAUGCUCAAAUAAAAAAGUCAUUAGAGUUGACAAUUUCUAUUUAGUUCCCCUUAUGUUUAGGAAUAUAUUUCAAUCCUUUCUAAAAUUAUCUCAGACUCACGGUAUACCAAUUCUUGAAUUUCUUCAUGUACAAACUAUUACUCUUUAUUUUUUUAUGCUACUACUUUCUAAAAGGAAUGCAGAUGUGGAGAAAGACAUGUGCAUUAUAGAUACUUGGAAUGAUUUCAAGAAAGAAAUCAAGAAGCAAUUUUCCCCGUAGGAUGUGAUCUACUUAGAUUAGAAGAACAUGAAAAAGUUGAAGCAUACUAGAUUAAUGCAUUCAAAACCUCCAUUCUUGUGCUAAAGAUUUUGAAUGUGGAGAUACCAAAUUUUUCAGAGAAAGAUCUUCACUUUGACUUCAUGGAUAAUUUGCAAGGCUAAUUGAAACAAACAUAAGAUGGUAUAACGUAAAGGACCUUAUUAUGACAGUAGUAGUGGUUAAGUCCUUAAUAGACUAUAAGAGAGGUGAUUUUCCAAAACUUAUAGGCUAUUUUUUAUUCCAAAAAAAUUGAGGGAAAAUGUGAAUGAAAGAAAAUGUAGAAGAAAAAUAGAAGGAAAGAAAAUAAAAAAUAGAUUUAAAUUUAAUAAAUAAUUUUUAUAUGUUUCUUCAAACUCUUUUAACUUCAUUACAACAAAAUUUUAAAAUAUAUAAAUUUCUAAUUAAUUUUAAUUAUUUUUGAUUUUUUUUUUUUUUUGUAUUUUUUAUAGUGAAACCAAAUAUGAGAAAAACAUUUUCCUUAACAAUUUUUUUCUUUCCUUCGUAUUUUUUGGGAACCAAAUAUAACCAUAAUAUUUAAUAGUCGUCAUUUAGGUAGAGGAGAAGAAUGACUAAGAGGCCAUAAAGAAGACACUAGUAGAACCCUCUAGGCAAAGAGAGCAAGGGGUAAGGAGAAGGGACUGUCCAUGCCUAAGUAGAAAUCUUUCUAGGGACGGUCCCCACUACACUAAAGACUAUUCAAAGAGAAAGACUAUUAAUUAGCUCCUUGACACUAGAAAAAGAAGAGGAUUAAUGAUGAGUUAGAUCUCUUCAAGUAUUAAACUCUUCGAAGAGUGGUAAAAAAAACAAUCAUCUAAUAAUUACUAGGUAUAAUUAAUGGAUAAGUUAUAAAAUAACAUGAGUCCUCUAUGAUCAAAUCAAACCUUACCAUGUGUUAGAAAAGCAUAUAAUAUAAGAUGUGUGAUAAAACGAAGUUGCUAAGUGGUGAUAUCUCUCUCAGAUGAAAUAGUAACAUGCCACAUGGGUCCUCUCCCUAAAUAAUGAAAAUAAAGAUUUUGAACAACACAAACAUAAUUAAAAUUGAUGAAUUUGAUAAUUGAAAAGGUAAUUACUAGAUUUUCAUUCGAAAAAUGAAUUAAAGAUUGUGAAAGUAUGCUCUUUGAAAGCUCCUUAUAUAUUAAUUUUAUUAGUUAAAGGAUGAUAUUUCAAAUGUUUGGAACAAUUCAAAUGGUAACUUCAAUAAGGGAUAUUAUUUUUAACAGAUCAUAAAAUUAUCUAAAUAUGUUCUCAAUCCCUAUAAAUAGGGGGUCAUUCUAAACCUUGAAGCACUCUUUUGAAGAAUCAUAAUUGGAGAGAUCGCUUCAAAGCUUCAAGAGUUCUUGAAGCCUUGCUUUCAAACCUAUUCGAGUAUAUGGGUUUUUCAAGAAUAAGUUUGAAGAUUCAAAUUUCACCAUGAACAAGUUCUUCAAACACAAAUGAAGUCUUAAGCACCUUUGAUUUGAGAUCAAAUAUUCAAGCUCUCACAUCGACAUUGUUUCCUUUUGUAGGGAAGAAUUAGAUGGCACAAUAGGGAUUCUACCCCCGCAAUUCAAUAAAACUUUCAAUUUGGCUAUAAUUUUCCUCAAGUGAAACAUAUGUGUACACUUCCUGAAUGUGAAAGUAAUGGUUUAAGAUACCACAAGAUAAAGAAUGAUGUUUUUGAAAAAGAUGAUCAAGGGGAAGCCCACAGGAGCCAUGACUGAUACUAGUGCCAGUCACAACUUCGUCUUAGUGGAAAAGAAAAACUUAUUGGGGUUAAAUAUGACAAAGGAGUAGGAUGACUCAAGGAUGUUAGCUUACAUACAAGACUCAUUGUAUAUAUAGCUCAAGGGUAAAGCUAUACAUGGGAUGGUAGAGCAUGAAGGCUGAUCACGAUCAUUGCUCUGGAUGGUGCAUAACCUAGCCUCCUUAGCGAAGGCUAAAGUGGUGCCAAUGCCUUUCCUAUUUAUGAAUAAUGGAAAUAGUAGAGAAAAGAAUCACUCUGCACGGUUCCUACCAUGAUAGAAAUUAAAAUUGAUUUGCAACCAUCUUUGGCAUGCAAACUAAGGAAGGGCAUUGAUGAAGAAGUAGCAUACCUAGUUGUACUCAAGGUCAAGAGAGCCAUCUGCACUUCAACAAACCUUAUACUUAAGCUGGUGAGGAAUGGGUUGGACUUGAAAGCUAGGCCACCAGCCAUGACCACAAGAGACACAAGUACAUUCUUUAGCAUAAAACCUCGUGAAUGGGCAAGGACUUCAAGAUGGUAAACAAAAAAGCAAAGGGACUCGGAAAAAAAACCUCAAAGGAAAGCAACAUGCUACAAGGCCAAUGAGAAGAUAUCCUAACCUAAUGCGUUCAUUGAUAACAGGAAAUACUUGAUCAAGUGGAAAUGAUUUCUAAAUAAAGAAGCUAGUGGGGGACCAAUUAAAGCAUGAGCUUAUCUAAAUUCUACAUCAGGUACAUAAGAGAAGGGUUCCCCUCCUCGGUACCCUUCCCUUAAAUAAGGAAUCUCAACCUAUUGUAACAAUAGCUGGAGUCAUACAAACUUGAGUACUUAAGGGUUUUGAGGUGCCUAGAUGCCAAAUGUAUUUUUAAAGCUCUUAGUCCAGGAUAUCAUAUGGUAUUAAGCCAUUUCAUUUAAUUUUCACAUGCAAAUAUUGUCUUUCAAAAAUCAUGGCAUCGACUUCAGUUUCAGUUUCCAACCAUAGUCUAAAAACAGAAAGCUAUUCCACUGGCAUAAGAGAUUUACAAUAUGAAUUCAAAAUUUUCAGAGAGUAACUGACAUUUUUAUAUCUAAAUCAGACCAGAGAGUGGUGAUACCAAAAAUAGGUACUUGUUGACCAAGUACCCCUCAAUGGCGAACCCAUUCCAACCCUACAUCAAGAAAAGGGACAUUCCCUAGGUACCAUCCACUGAAGGUAGCUUCACAAUCUCCGCCCGACCACCGGAAUGUACAUUGACAGAACCCGUGUCUCCUGAUUUGGAAUCUAGCUAAAAGGCUGCAAGCACUGCCAUGACUGACUCAGAAAUCAACGAGCACUACUGUAUAAAGGGCGAGCCAGCCCAUUGUGACGAUUACAACAAAAAAUCGUUCUAAUGAGAAAAAUCGCUUCCAGAGAGAAUACUCUAAAAUAUACUAACAACAACUCAGUACAUGUUAUACAUUACUAUAAUAAUUCAAACCAUUAUCUUGAAUGAUAUGAAUUUUUGCUAUGGAUAAAAUUGCUCAUCUUUGCUCCAAAGGUUUUUUCUCUUUUGUGGAAUUAGGUCCUCCGAUACGUGCAAGUAAUCUUCCAGUUGAAUUCUAGUAAAGCAGUGUGACUGAAGAUCGAAAAUUCUGAAAAGUUGAUAUUUUCAAAUGGCUGGCAAUGAACCACCAACCUGCCCUUGUAUCUCUACAAUAAGUUGAAGAAUUCUGGAAUUGUAGUAGGCCCACAUGAGUAUGCAACCCCAAAAAAGAAUCUCCAAAUGGACGAUGGGUCCCAACCCCCACUUUCCAUUCAAACUUCGAAGGCCACAUUCCUCCAUGUACUCAUAAUUUAGUUUCUGCGCCCCAAACAAAUGGCCUUUCAGUCUCUCUCAAGACUCAAACCAUAGUCAUCAACCUCAGGACACUUGUACCGACUCUGGAAAACUAUUUGACAAUCCAACCUGGCAAAUGAGCUGCACGUGACCGCGGAGCUGUAGCGUGUGCAUAGACUGCUGCCUUCCACAUGUGGAAUGUGCAGUGCAGCCACCUUCCAUGAGCUUGGCUCAUGUGCUGGACCCCAAGUGCCAUUUUGGAAAAAUGUAUGGAGAUUAGCACAACCAUGUCACCCUUUUUCUCCUUUUCAUCCACCAUUCGCCUCAAAUAAUAUUAAAAACAAAUAAGUAUCAACAAAAGAAAAGGGAGCACAUUUCUGCGAAUAAGACUCAAGAAUCAUGCUGUUUCUUUCUCCCGUAUAUUAUCUUGUGUUAUAAAUAGGUGUGAAACAUGCAGCUUCCUUCAUCAUACAAUAAAGUAUAGAUCUCGUUCUCAAAUUAUUCCUUUUGCUUCUGUAUUUAAUACAUCUCUUCAAUGGUGAUCGUCAGUCGCAAGAAAGCUGCAGUUCUUUUUGAGUCUAUCUUCAGUGAUGACAAGGCUAUAACAUGUAUCUGUGUCCAUAAUGAAAAUGAUGGCGAUGACGAUGAUGAUGAUGAUGGGGUGGAUGUCGCACCUGCAGCAUAAUUAUAAUUAUGAGGUCCUGGAAUUGCUAAUUGUGGGCUGAGGAGAUGAAUUAGAAAUAUAUAUUUCUAAUGAUGCAAGUCUCAUAUAUGAGAUCCUAGUAAUACAUGUUGAGGAAGUAAAUGAGAUGGGGUUUAGGCCCUAUUAGGUUUGCGACAGAGACAUAAUAUGAUUAGACCUGUACUGCUUAUGCUAUACUGUUACUUAGAUCAGUAACAUAGCUAUAUUGAUAUUAAUCUAUGAAUAAAUGGUUUAUCGAUCACUAUCUUUUAUUAUUAUUAUCACUAUCUUUUCUUAAUAUUGAUGUAUGAUAUGCUCUCAUGCAUGUGAUGCUUGCUCACUUCAUUGUUGUUUCAAGUUCUAAUGGACUGCUCAAGGUUUUUUUUUUUUACUUAAAUCCUUCAUGCCAGUAAAUGAAGAUGAUGGAGGCAUUGAGGAUUGAUAUAGAAGCUCCAACAUAUCUUUCUUUCUUGAUGAAGUAGAACAAUACAUCUGAAAAAUAAAAGAGUACCAAUGCAAUCCAGUAUCUAGCAUUAUUCAAUAGUAUAAGAAGCAACUGCAGGAUGCUUAUACUUUUCCCCAGAUCACCAUCAAGUUACUUUUAAUGAUCCAUAAUCUUGGCCUUCACUUUAUUUAGCAUAAUCUCAGUUAGUAAUGUCAUGUACAUGAUCAUUUAAUCUAUCAUGAAUAUAUGGCUAGCACCAUCAGUAGUAUCAGCGAUAUUUGAAAUCACAGAUCUGAAAACUGUCUCAAGCUAUUUAGAUUAAAGAAGGAAAAGAAGACCUGCCUCUGAUUGCACAUGUGGAUGGGUCAGAAAUAUAUACACGGACUUCAGGAAGAUUGAUCUUCACUUAAUCAGUAUCUGAUUAACUAUCUUGGCAGCAUAGGGGAAACAUGACAUGAUGUUGUUGAAUGAGGCAUAUAUUAGUGGACUACAAUUGAAUGUUAUUUGGAUGAAUGAGAAUUGCAUAGCUAGCUUAUCUAUUUGUUCAUAUGCUAAAUACUUAUUUCUCUCUUUUCAGACAUUCCAUUACCAAGUCUGAUGGUGCUCUCUCCCUCUCUAAUUAUGUGAAUGAAGAAGAUGGCUGCAGGUAAUUAAAGACACUGUGACCAGAACAUUAACAAUAUAGCAAUACUAUACAUUUCCAACUUGACAAUGUUGAGAAGCACUUUCAGAUGGUAUUCCAGUGCACAAGUUGUUGCUAUCCAGCGAAAGAAGACCUGUGUCUUGGCUGGUGGAGAGGUAUAUUUUUGAAGAGUACCUAUAUCUUUCUGGUUGACUUUGCAUAUCUCUUCUAUCAUACUAUCAGAUAUGGCACAUCUAUCGUCAUGACAUUAUCUCAGAGAGGCGGAUCUAUUCUUAGAGACGAUGUGGAUACAUGCCUUAACCUGUGAGUCUUUAAUUUAUUUUUUUAAUUGCAUCCCUACAAGAUUAGAUCUGUUCUUUAAAUAUUUUGAAUGUUGUCUUUAGAAGCAUUGUCUAUUAAUCUGGUUUCCGAAAAUUAAAUUUCGCAAGUUUAAUUUCAUCUUUUAAAGUAGCAUAGAUUUCACCAUGACUUUUCGAUCUGCACAGGAGUGCUAACACUGGUUUUAAACAAAUGUAGCCAUUAAUUGGAGACAUCUUUUAAUUAAUCUGAAUUAUUUCAUGUUUUAAGAAUUCAUUUCAUGGCUUUUUAACUUGAUGUUCUUGAAAAAUUGCAGUUUUAAGUGGGUUCAAACCUGGUUUCCACAAUGUAUGCUGUAGGUGAUUUUACUCGAGUUCUUAUGCAAAGUUGUGUUUUAUGAGAGAAUGCUGCUUUAUGUCUAACACAUAUACCAAAGCUUUCAUGAUAUUUAUAACUUAGUAGCCGUGUGAAUUGCUUUUGGGCAAAAAGUUCUUUGGGGAAAAAUGCAAGGCCUUCUUUUCUUUUUAUGUUUGAAGUUUGAUUUUGGAUAUACUAACAUUUUAAAAUACUUUAUAAAAUGAUAAUAAUUAGGGAAGCCCCAACAUUCGAGACAUGAGCCCCUUGCUUCCAUAACCUUUGUUAAUUCUUGAUUUAGGUUCUAAUUGCUUCUCCUUCUUUAACCAAUGAUUGAGUUUCUAUUAUUGUAGUAAUUGCUCUUCCUAAUCCCAGAUGAAAGCAUGACCUUUUGAGUUAAAAGGAAGAAGAGUUUUCUAUAGCUUACUCCUCCAGCAUUCCAUGUUCCAAUUAAGUUUUAACAUUACCAAACCAUUUUAUAUGAAAGAAAGAGGUUUUUGACACCUAUCUUGUCUAUUUUAAUUGUUGAGGUGCUUUAAAAUUUAAAGGACUCUGGAUUAUCAUGCAUAUAAAAUUUAGAAAGAUCUCUCAAUAAGAACUUAUUUAGAAGUUUUCUGCAAUCCUAUAUCAAUGUUUGUGUCCUCCCCAUUUGGUCCAAGUAAAAUUUACUCAUUUAAGUGAUUGAAACUUAUAGUUAAUUGUGAUCUAGAAACUCUCUUGACAAAAACUACUCAUUUUGUGUUAGACUACAAUUCAUCCUUUUAUUAGGAAGGUGUCAUACCAUGUUGCAUAUGGUCAAAGUUUGGGACUGAGUGGUAUGGGAAACAUUUAUGAUGAAGGAUCAAUCUGACAUGGUAUCUCUUCACUGUAUCCACAAACUUGUCGGCAUAAUUAAAGUAAUGAAUAAUUAGAAGAUAUUCUAAUUAAACUUAAUUAAUUUCAUGAGUGAUCACAAAGGCUACAGUAUCCAAGUGGGUCAGCAACUCCCUCAAAAUGUGAAUUGCUGGAAAGAUGUUUUAGAAAGGUGUAGUUUUAAUGGGAAAUGAGAGAACAAGAAGGAUAAGGCUCGAGAGAGGUGCAAAAAGAAUAAUGAUUUAGUUCAUACUCUUAGUAUACAAAAUUAGACCCACUUGUUUCUUUUCUUUAGUGAUUUUGAUCCUAUUUAGAUUAUUGGAAGUUAGAUUUUGGGUUUAUAGAAUAGUUUAAUAAUUACUUUCAAAAAUCAUGAUCAUGCAGUUAGUGAAUUAGAAAAUUCUUGCAAAUCAAGGUUUUGUAGAACUGCUUGGGGUUGUUAAUUGAUAUUUGUGUGCUAGUCCAAUCAACAUAUUAACAUUUUCCUUCUCUUCAGUUGUAGAUCUGAUCAUCAUAGCUUCUUCUUCUUAUUUAGUCAAUGACUGAGUUUCUAUUUCAGUAGAAGUAUAUGAUAUUUCUACUCCAAGAUGAAAGAAUGACUUCUUAAGUGAAAAUUAAAGAAAAGAGUUCUACAGAAUCUAUACCUCCAACCCUAGAUUUUGUUCAAGCCAAAUUUAUGAUAUUUGUAAUUCAUGAGAAUAAGAGAUUACCCAUUUUGGGGUAAAAGCCAGCCAAGCUGAGUAUGCUUUUGGUGAUUUUUUUAAAGUAAGUUUAGGCUUUGUUGCAAGCUGAUCAAGUUACCUGCUCAACCUUUGAGCUCAAUUUUGAGUUCUUCAAGUUUUAUUCUGGUGAUUUCCAUCUUGCUCCUCUUUAUUUCAAGCUCAAGUCACUUUUCCAAGCUUUGAGUUGAAUUUUACUACAUUUUUAGUUCGGUUUUGGUGAUUCCUCCACCUCUUGCCGGUCAAGAACAGAUCUGCUCAUUCAUUCGCUCAGAAUUUUGAAAAACUUUAACGCUACCAAAGGUUUGUUUUCUUACCGCAUCCCUCUUUCCUGCAGGUAAAUUCUCCCAGAUAUGUAUUUGGAAUGUGAAAGAGGCUUGCCAAGAUGAUUUCUGGUAAAGCAUUGAAACUGAAGAUGGAAAUUCCAUUAGCUGAAUUUGGUAUUACCAAAUGACUGCAGGCGACAACCUCCCUACCUUUCAUUUCUGCAAAUAUAAGUUCUAGAAUUCUAGAAUGCUAGCUGUUGCCGCAGAAAAAAAACAUCUGAGUGGGUCCUAACCACACUGGAAUUCUAAGCCCACCUUCUUUUUGUUCUGCCCCGAAAAUGGUAUGGUUCAGUGAUAACUAUGGUUACCAUUGUUCUCCAUUUAUUCGUAGAACUAUUAGGGUUUAUGAAAAAUUUAAUUUAAUUAGGGCUGAAGGUACUACUUAAUUUAUUAACCAAUUUUGUUUGUUAAUCAAGUAUUUUUUUUGGAAUUCUAUUCAUUAGCUAAGACCCAUUACAGUUAUUAAGCCUCUCAUCAACCUGACCAGACAUCCAGCCUGUAAAGCUAGAGAGUGUGCAUGGACUGCGGCUCUCCACAUGCGGCAUGUGUAGAGCAACCAUCUUCCAUGAGCUUGGCUCACGUUCUGGACACUCAAUGCCAUAUUGGAAAUACGUACAGAGAGCAGCCCAACCAUGUCAUCCUUUUCUUUUUCUUCCCACCUACCAUGGACCUUGCUAUAUACAAAUCACACCACCUCCCACCCCAAGGAAUAAAAAUAAAGGAAGAAUUUGACUUCCAUAUCUGUGUUAGCUAGGCCAUGUUUUAUUUUAUGUUAAAAAUAAAAUAAAAUAAAAUAAAUGCCUGAUGCUUGCCGCUUCCUUCUCAACAUACAACGUAUAAUGCCUCUUGUUUGAUUAAAUUAUUCUUUUGGCCUCUCUAUUUAAUACAUCUCAUCAAUGGUGAGUGUUUGUAGCCUGCAAGAAAGCUUCAAGUUCUUCUGCAUCUAUCAUCAUGUUGUUCUCUAUAUUGCAGACCUCAUAAUUAGCCUAAGUCCCACCUCAUGAACUUCUUCAUAUCUCUUACUAAAAAUAUGUAGUUCCAGUUCAUCUCCUCAUCAGUCCCUCAUUAGCAAUUCCAGGACCUUCCAAUUAUAGUUAUGCUCAAGGCGUGACAUCCCCUCUUAUCCUCAUCAACCUCGUCAUCAUCAUUUUCAUUGUGGACACAGAUACAUGUCGAAGCCUCGUCCCUGACUACGAUAGAGGCCAAAGUGUAGCUUUUCAGUUUUCCUCAAAUCUCAAACUAGUCAUAAAAAAUCCAGCCUGGCUGAUGAGCUGCACAGGAGAAUGGAGCUCGAGCGUGUGCAUGGAUUGCUGCUUCCACAUGUGGAUUGUGGUAGGCAGCCUCUCUCCAUAAGCUCAGCUCAUGUGCUGGACCCCCAAGUGCCAUUUUGGAAAAAUGUAUGGAGAGCAGCCCAACCAUGUCACCCUUUUUCUCCUUUUCAUCCGUAAUAUGCUUCACCUAUUAAAAACAAUUAAGUAUGAACAAAACUAAAAGUGAAGAAAGAAUGAGCACAUCUUUGCCAAAAAGGUUCCGAAAUCAUGCUAUGUAUUGAUAUAAAUAGGUGUGAAGCAUGCAGCUUCCUUUAUCUUGCAAUAAUUUAUAUAUUCUGUGCUUAAAUUAUCCCCCCUUCUCUAUUUAAUAUCCAUCUCUUCAAUGGUGAGUGUUCGCAGCAAGAAAGCUACAGAUCUUUUUGCAUCUGUCAUCAGCAAGGAUGAAGUUACGACGUGGAGCUGUGCCCAGAAUGAGAAUGAUGACGAUGAUGAUGAUGAUGAUGGGGUGGACGUUGCACCUGCUGCAUAAUUAUAAUUAGAAGGUCCUCGAAUUGCUAAUGGUGGAUUGGUGAAGUUAUGAACUAGAAAUAUAUAUUUUUGGUAAGAUGUCAGCCAUAUAUAUAUAUAUGCUCAUAGCUAUAAGAUGAUCAAGAAGUGAAUAAGAUGCGAUUAGGCUUAUGAGGUUUGUGAGACAGUGAGAGAGCAGCAUCAGUGUACUAUUGGUUCUAAUAUAUAUGAAGAUUUUGUUUAACUUACAAUCUCUUUUUGGUAUCGUACAUUUCUCUCAUACACUAACUCAUGCAUGUGCUGAGAUGUUUGAUAUUGAUCAUGUCUACUGUUAAUCAAUUUCAAGUUUAAGGACUGCUCAAGGGUUCUUGAACCAGAUUCCUCACAGAAAUGAAGAUGAUGCAGCCAACAAGGCUUGAUGUAGAAGAUCUUAAUACAAUGGACUCUCUUCCUUGGAUGAAAGGAAGCAAUACAUUCUAGGAAUGGAAAAGAAAAAUGGAUUCAAACAUAGUCUAAUAUUUUACAUUCAGUAAGCAAUUAAGCAUGCAUAUAUAUUCAAAUAUUGAAACCCUACUCAUCUUCUGAAGUUUUAACCAUCAUCACAUCACUUGUGAAUCCAUACAUCUUGACAGAUGAUAUAUCAUAUAUUAAGGAAAAGGUAUAAAUUUUAUAUCUUUUUCCUCCCUGCCUCUCUUCCCAUGUGGAUGAAGAUGGCAGCUAAAGGUACAGUAAUACCAGAAGACUUUGUAGCUCUAAAUACAUUUCCAACAUGAUAAUGAUGACGGCAUAUUCAUACGGCAUCCAAAAAAUGACUGGUUCCUGAAACAUGGAUAUCAGAGACGACUUUUAGUAUUCUUUGAUUGACUUUGCAUAUUCCUUCACAACAUUAUCAGAUACAUCUACGAUCAUGGCAUUGUCUCAUAGUGGUGGGCCUAUUCAAACCUGCUCAUCCCUUACCAUAUAUAUGUUUCCAAAUAUCUUGGUUCAUAUGGGUGUCGCGUUCCUUGCUACUACGUACGGCCCUUCCCAUCAUCUAGAAGGUAUCCAUUCGAAAUAUCUUUUUAUGAUUUUGAAUGAUAGAAUGAUAUUUUAGUUUCAUUUUCUGGCACAUUCAAAAUUUAAUUUUUUUUAUUUUUGUAUAAAAAUCAAAAUUUAAUUAGUAUUAUUUCAUACCAUUACCAUACAUUUUCUAUUUCCAUUUUUACAAAUUGUAAAUAAUAAUAAUACCACGUUUUUUAAAAAUUAUCUUUAAAAUUUUUAAAUUUUGAGAUAGGAAAUCUUUUUGGUACCUCAAUUUUUUAUUUAUUUUUUUAAAUAGUCUUUAAAAAAUGUCAUCAAAUUAAGGCAAGUCUCUAGAAGUUCUAACAUUUUACAAAAAAUUUAGUAUGAUCUUUCUGUUUUCUAAAUAUAGAAAACAAAAAUUAUAAUGAAACUAGUACCGUAAAAAUUAUUUAUAAAUAUUUUUAUUUUUAUUUUUCCAAAGAAGUAUUUUCAUUAUAAAAUAAUUUCACAUAUUAUAUACCUUCAAAUAUAUGUUAAUAUAAAAUACUAUUAAAUAUAAUAUAAAAACUAUUUAUUACUACAAUAUUAAGUAAUAAUAUUAUUAAUUAACUAAAAUUAAAAUUAAAUCAUCAACUAAUUAUUAAUAUUCUGCUUACUAUUUAAUUUAUAAUAAACAUAAAAAGAAAAUAAGUUGAUGAGAUUCAUGUUGAGCUUUACAUUUUUUUAUUUAUUAUUGUAUUGAAUUUUUUCAAAAUGACUCUAAAAUCUAUCAUUUCUAGGAUCAUUUAUGAGUAUUUUAGUGUUAUUAAGGACCGUUUGAUCAUGUUUUUCUAAAUUUAUUUUGAAAAACAGUUUUUUAUUUUUAAAAACAGUUUAAAAAACUGUUUUAAAUCACAUGGUCAAAUAAACUUUAAAUUGUUUUAGAUAUUUAUAAAUGGGUUAUGUGGGUUUUACUAAUGCCUAAACUUAUAAGAUUCCGAUAGGCCUAAACCUAAUAUAUAUAUAUAUAUAUAUAUAUAUAUAUAUAUAUAUAUAUAAAAGGUAAAAUAAACUAGCUCCAAAUAUUACGAAAAUAACAUUAGUAAUAGAGAUAAAAGAAAAGAGACGAUAUUUACAAUUUACUAAUUUUCAAAUUAAAAAAUUAUAAACAUGAAAGAAUAUCAAAUUGGGAUGCUCUUAUUUGGCUAGAGAGAUUUCUUUAUACAAAAAUGAGCUAAAACCACUGAGAUAAACUAAAGUCAGCACUUUUACUCCUUCAACAAAGGACUUUGAACUAUUUAUAGGUCCUCGACCGUUCAACAAAACAAAUUCAUAAUUCAUGUGGGAUAAGGAUUCCUAAAAUAUAACUCUAAUUGAGCCCAAAAAUCAAUAACUCUCCAUGCGAAACGAAUCAUCAAUUACCAACUUCUAAAACUAGAAAAAAAAAACCUUUUAAAAGUGAACUAACCAUCAUCUCCUCUAAAUGUCAUACACUCAAAGUUGUUCAAGUAACUAAAGAUACAAAAUUUAAUAUAAAAAGGAUAAAUUUCCCAAUAAAAUUGUUUAAUAACAAUAAUCUUUAUUUUUAUAAAAUGGAUAAAUAUGAAAUAAAAAAUUUUAUAAAAUUUUUAAAAUAAAUUUAUUAAAUGUGAGUUUUGUAAAUCCAUUAAAAUAAAUUUUUUAUAAUUUUAAUUUUAUUGUAUCAAGGAUUUAAUUAAAAAAAAAAGUGUUUUGGUUUUUUUUUUUUAAAUUAAAUUUUAUUAUAAAAUCCAUUCAAUAACAAAAAAAAAUAUUUUUUUUAUAAAAGAAGUUUAAAAUUGAAUAAACAAAUUAUAAAUAAUGUACUAUCUAAUUUCACCUUCAUUUUUCUUGUUUAUUUUUUAUAUAUAUAUUAAAUUAUAAUUAGUUGUAACAUUAUUUACACUUGGACACAUAUUAAUUUUCAUCAUAUUUGCUUCAAAUGGUUUUCAAUGAAAUGCAAACAAUAUAAAUGAAUGAAAUAAAAUAAAAUAGAUCAAUAUAUGGUGUCUUAUACAUUUCUUGUACACUUAGUUCAAAUUCUUUGUACAUUAUGGGCAAAAGUGAAGGAAAUGAAAUUAACUUAUGUAUAACAAUGUCCCAAAAUGUUUCUAGUAGUUUUUGCUAUUUUCUUUCUUUAUUUAUUUUAUCUUUUUCUCACAUCAAACUACAUGGAAUAUUGUUACACAUAUUAUCAAACAUUUCGUAUAAUAGUUAUUUAUAUUUUAAUCAAUAUAUAAGACAUUUGUAUUAUCUAUAUAAGACACUUGAACUAGUCCAUUGUACAAGAUUGUCAAGGGUAUGUGUAUAAAAUGUGUAUUAUUGUACAAAGGUGUUACAUUAAUUGUAUAAAGUAAAUGUAUUAAUUGUGCAAAGGGUGUACAAGGCUACCAUUUAUUUAAGAUUUCAAUUAAUUCUUUUUUUUUUUCCCUUAUCACCCAAGGAUUGAACACUUUUCGCCCAGAUAUUCCCUCACCUAAAAAUUGUUUCAAAUUUGAAUUUUUAAAUUUUAUCAUCCAAAAUUUUUAAUUGCAUAUUUCAUUUGGGUACAUAGUUUUAACAAUAAUCUUUCUUAGUACAUUUACAUCCCAUAUGAAGAGAAUUAACCAUAAUAUUUAGGUACUAUUUUUUUGUGAAAUCAGAUUAAUAUAAAUGAAUAACAAAAUAGUGUCAUUGUUUCAAAUGACUUAAUAUAAACAAUAUAUAAUAAUUGUUUAGGAAAAAAUAUCAAUAUUUUUUUACCAAACUAUGCCAUUAAGACAUUCCCUAACAAAAUUAAAACAUAUGAAGUAAAAUUAAAAUUAAUCAUGUUUAAAGUGUUUAUUACAAGUAAGCCGAAUGAAUAUAUAUUUUUACUAUUUUACCCUUUUAAACAUAAUGUCAACCAAGAUUAAAAAAUCAUAUUUAAAUAGAAUAAAAAAAUGAACAAAAAUUAUCUUUGUAACAUCUGUAAUUUUUUUUAAAUAUCAUUAAUUUAAAUUAUCGAUUUAAUUUUAAAAUAAUUUUUUUGUUGUAAUUAUAGUUUUGAAGAGUCUAUGAUUUUAAUCUUAUUACUUUCAAUUUAUUUUCUCAUAUUCUUUAUCAUAAAUUUUAUCUAAACUUGUUUUUUUAUUAUAUUUUCAUGUUUUCUAUUAUAUCCCUAUUUAAGGUGAUUUUUAUCUAAUUUGUGCUCCAUUAUAUUCUCUUUACAAUUUAAAUAUAUUUUUAUACCUUUUUGUAUAAUAAAAUAUUUUGUCAUUUUUCAUCUACAAAACUUUAUACAAAAGAUCUCAUUAUGAGGAAAAAAAAGAAGAGAAAAUUACAAUAUAAUUAUAUGCACAUCUCUUAAUAUGAUACAUGUACUUGACUUGAUGACAUUAUAUUUUAAUAAUUUAAAUCAUAUUAAGUUCACAUCUAUUUCAGAUUUAGAAGGGUAUUUUAUAUUUUUUAAAUUAUUAAAGUAUAAUGCAUUAUUCAAUUAAAAAUUAAUUAUCACUAUUAGUUAAAAAUUGGUCAUAUUAGGAAAUAAUCAAUUAAGACAAUGGUUAUAUAAUGUCCAUAAAAUAGAGAAAAUAUUUAAAUAGCUUUAUAUAUAUAUAUAUAUAUAUAUAUAAUUUGUAAAUUAGAUAAAAAUGAAUAAUAAUAUUUUCUAAGGUAUUUAAAAAAUAUUUAUUAUAUAUUCUGUAAGUUUGAAAAAAAAAUUAUGAGGUAUUUAAAAAACAUUUACUUAAAAAAAUGCACUUGUCAAUAAUCAUUUUUAACUAUUCAUUUCUAAUAUUUAAUUAAAAUGUGUUCUCAAACAAGGUGGUUAAGAAGUGUCUUCAAAACUCUCCCUUCCUCACAAUUAUUACAACUACUCUAUAUGGUUGGUUACUUGUGUUAACGAUGGGAUUUGGGGUUGUCAGACAAGAAUCUAGGAGCCGGACGUGGACAAUGUAAAGACCAUGUCUCCAGAAUUUCGUAUGGCCACCAAAAUCUUUCAGCGGUGAGACCUGAGAUUCACACGUUCAAAUUAACAUCUGGGCUCUAUUUUUUUUCUCAGAGACUGGCCUUCCCAGUUUUGGAAUUCGUCUUCCUUGAUUCUGCCACAAAAUUCUAAGAAAGAAUUUUCUCCUUUCAUCAGGACAGCAACCCAUCUUUUCGGUUCGGAAACCCCAAGUUUCCUGGAAAAUUGCUAGUUCCAUUGAUGGCGCUGUAUGUGAGCAGUGCAUGUUUUUGUGGGUUCAGUCAGAAAAGGGUAGAGAGGAUCAAAGCUGUUGCUUCUGAGGGGUUUGCUACCGUAAAGACAGAGGAAGAGAAGGUGAAGUUGGGGGGUUCUGAUUUGAAAGUGACAAAGCUUGGAAUCGGAGCAUGGUCAUGGGGUGAUACAUCGUAUUGGAAUAACUUCGAAUGGGAUGGUGAGUUGCAAAAACCCCACUCAGUAAAAGGGACAGAGAUUGAAAAUUUUGAAAUGUGUGCACAAUUUUUUUUUCUUGGCAGUUGGGAGUAUUCUAAUUCUCAUUCUGUUUCAGAUAAAGUGACAUUCCCUUUUGAAAUUUGUGCUCAAUUUUCAUGGACAAUCGGAUUAUUCUAGUUUUUUAUUGUCUGUUAAGUGGUCUCAUAUCUGAAUCAAAUUCAUGGUGUAUAGUGUUUUAAUUUUCUCUGAACUUCCCAAAAUAAGUGAUUUUAUGAUUUUAGUUAAGAUUUUUAAUUGAAUGCUUAAUGUACAUGCUAAGGUUUUGAAAUUCUGAGCAAUUCUCCCCUUCAAAUGAAUACCACAGCAAUCCAUUUUGUGGUAUGGGUUAAUGCCCUUUUUUUUAUAUAUAUUUUUUUUAACAUAGGAUUUGAAAUUAUUGGAUAAUGUUGCCUUUAUAUUUCUUUCUGUCUUUCUUUCCUUUUUUAACUGUUAGAUGACUUUUAGUUUUGCUUUGUACAUAUUUAGGAUGAAUUUAAAUACAAGAAAGCAGUAAGGGUGCUUUCAUGUUUAGAUGAUUGGUUAUUAUUGUAUGUCUGAGCUAAUUAGUGGGAUGGACAUUCUUGUUUGUUUAAUAGGUGUUUGGAAGUCAAUUAAAUGAAUUGAAUCCAUUAUGUUUUAUGUAAGAUUUCCAGUGUAGUCACUAUGUGCUUUUGAAGCAUUAUUGUAAAGUCUAUUUGUUUUCUAAAACAUGUUUGGGAAUAGAUCACAAUGAAAAUGCGAUUAAUAGCUUAUUCGUAUAAAUAGUUGGAUAUAUUUAAGUUUCAUGCUAAUUUGAGAGUGGAUCUGUUGACUGGGUGCUUCCAUGUCCAUAAAAUUCUGAGUGUGUUCAUUGUGUUUUACUCACAGUUUGAAACUAGUUCAUUCUGGUUUUCCGAUGGCAACUAAAUUGUUCUUUCUAUCUUUUCAACACUUACUAAAGAAAACAACAAUAAAGGAUUAAUAGUAGGAUUGAUAGGAAUAUGGUUGCUUUCUUGUUUGGAUGGUUGGAUACAUUGAUGUUUAAGUUAAUUUUAGGGAUGAAAAUAUUUCAUAAUUAAAAAUGGAAGAAUGGAUGUUUGAUGGAAAUCAAAUGGAAUUGUUGUGUUAUGCAUUGUACCUGAAAGGAAUCUGUUGUGUUUCAUAAUGGCAAUUGAAAAAUGCUGUUUGAUUUUUUUGAACACUAGUCUGAAAUUAGCUUUAUUUUAAAAUUUCUAAUGAAUGUCCUCAUUUUCAUUUCUUUGCAGCUGUUAAUUGGAUGAUUACCUUCAUCUUUCACUACCUCUAUGUGAAAUUUUACUUAAUAAAUUAUUUUCUUUUGUGUGGUUUGAUUUGCCUUCUAGGCUAUUUCAUAUUUUUCUCCAUCUGCUAGCCAAAUUAGAUGAAGUAUUGGCUGAAUUUCUAUUCUGCUUGUGAUGAUGGCAGAUAGGAAGAUGAAGGCAGCUAAGGGUGCUUUUGAUGCUAGCAUAGAUGUUGGUAUAACCUUGUUUGAUACUGCUGAAGUUUAUGGCUCAAGGGUAGGGAAGGGUUUCAUUUAAGUUCGUUUCUUUUUCCUGCAUUUGAUGCCAUGAAAAGUUGAGUAUUUCAAUUUAGUCGGCAUGUUCUCCUCUUGCAGUUCUCUUUUGGCGCUAUAAAUUCUGAAACUCUACUAGGAAGGUAAGUUGUGAGAAUUUGAUAAUGGCUUGCAUUUCAUGUUUCCCAAAACUCACAGAAUCCAGAAGUUUCCAGCAUUUAUUUUUAAUCAUGGUUCUAAUUAUCCAACUUAUUGGUUUUGUUAAAGGUUCAUUAAAGAAAGAAAAGAAAAGAAUCCAGAAGUGGAGGUUGCUGUUGCAACCAAGUUUGCAGCUUUACCAUGGAGGUUUGGACGUCAGAGUGUAAUCACUGCCCUUAAGGAUUCCCUAUGUCGCCUUGGACUUUUGUCAGUGGAUCUCUAUCAACUUCAUUGGUCAGUGCUUUAUGAGCCUUUAUACUACCAUCUAUCUGAGUUUCUGUCAAAGAAAAAUAGCUAAUCAAAGUGUCUGUACCAAUUUUCAGGCCAGGAGUAUGGGGAAAUGAAGGUUGUUCAUUUGUAACAACAUUGCUUCAUUCAACAAUUUAGUUGAUAUAAUUGAACAUGCAUAUGCUCAGAUUCAGAAGAAGCUUAGUUUAUGAGGAAAUCAUUUUUCAGGGUAUAUUGAUGGUCUUGGAGAUGCAGUGGAGAUGGGCCUUGUGAAGGCUGUAGGAGUUUCUAACUACAGUGGUACGUAUCUUAUUUUCAGCUACUGAUUACUGUUCAGGUCACAGACUAAAAUGUGUGAGGGUUUUCUGUUAAUCAUUAUUUCUUUUUUCCUUUAAUUGAUCAUCUUUAAGAUUUAUAUGGUUACCCGCAUUUUUCCUGGAUUUGAUAAAUAUGCCUGAGAUCUUUUUGUUUUUUAACAUAUCUAGAUUUGGUGAAUGAACAUAAGUCCUUAUUGUUUUAGAAAAGCGUCUCCUUGAGGCUUAUGAGAAGCUUAAGAAGAGAGGUAUCCCACUGGCUUCAAACCAAGUCAAUUACAGCCUUUUAUACAGGCUUCCAGAGGAGAAUGGGGUGAAGGCUGCCUGUGAUGAACUUGGGGUUACUUUGAUUGCAUAUUCACCUAUUGCUCAAGGUGAAAUUCCAAUUUCAUUAUGUUCCAACUUCAGUGUAUAUUAUUGGUUCUAUGCAGUCUCUCAUUACCAUUUGAUAUAUGAGUUCAAAGAGUUUUGCGAGUUUUUAGAUUUUUUCACAGAAAUAUUAUCCUUCCAAUUCUCUGUAUGUUGGCCUUGCAAGCUGAGCCUGAGAUGAAGGGGCAUGCGAAACAGUUUAAUAUAAAAGCAUAUGCUUUCUAGGUAGUUGUUUGGAUGCUAUCUUUUUUCAAAAUUUUGCCAAGAAGGAGUGCUGAAGGGUGGAGGAAAUGGGUUACCACUUUCAAUCAGUUAGCCUCAGGUGUAAAAUAUGAUGCUGUACCUGGUCAUUCAAAUGACUCAAAUCAGACCCCUAUUACAGUACAACUGGCCCUUUGACUUGAAGAACCCUGUGCUUCUGGUUUCCCAACAAUUCCUUUAUUUAUUUAUUUAUUUUGUCUUGCUGCUUGCGUUUCUGUUUUCUUUUUCAUCAUGUGGAACACAUCACCUUUGAUUGUCAACAGUGUCUCUGUCUGGUCAUCUAAAAUAUCUGUGCGAAAUGGGAUCGUGUCCGAACAAUCUCUUAACCUCAUUAUGAAGCCAAAAAGAAAAAAGUUUAAUUCUUACCAAUUUUCCUGGUAUUAUGUUAGAUGACGUCUUUUCUCCAGUUAGAACUUGUACCACCAUGGUUCAUAACUUCCUGAUUAACAUCCUAUUGCAUUUUGCUCCAUGUUACAAUUGCAUCAUCAUGUCUUAAAUAUAUGUUGAUCUGUUGAUAUCUUGUGGGUAUGUCCAAUAUCUUUGAGUAUCAGUAUACUUGAAAUCUUUAUCCAAGUUUCAUUGUUUUGCUGCUAGUUUCUACCAUUUUUCCGAUUGAUAUCAUUACUAGAUAAACAUUUCUCUAGUCCUAAAUUAAAUCAAUUUUCUGCUGAUACCUCCAUGUUUUUCUUUCACACCCUUGAUGUGAUGGCCAAUGCUAAUAUUUUAUUUCUUAUAGUCAUUCAACCAUGUUCUGAAUGGGUUGUGACUUGAUCCAUAUGCACUGAUGUUUCCCCCCAUUCUUGCAAGAGUGUAUAAUCAAGGAACAAAUUAGCAUAUUGAUGACCAAAUGAACAUAGGGAGUACACCAAUCUAAUGUGAUUAUACAGAAUUAAUACUUCAAAUGAAGUCCCUUUACAUCCCAUCCUGGAUCUUGAAAACUUGUACCUUUGACUAUCAGGUCUGGAUUUGGAAAAACAGUACUUUAGCAUGAGUAUGCCACAACAAAAUGAGCUUUUCUACUUAUGCAGGUGCUCUCACGGGGAAAUAUACGCCAGGCAAUCCUCCCACUGGACCUCGAGGUCGGAUUUAUACCCCCGAGUUCCUAGCAAAGGUAAGACUCCAAAAUUAAGAUGAAAGUGCAUUAUUACCUUUUAAGUCUCCAACAUCAUUGUUGAACCAUUUUCAUGGUAUGCAGCUCCAACCUCUGCUAAACAGAAUCAUGGAGAUAGGACAGAAUUACGAUAAAACUCCCACACAGGUUCUUUCUUGUUCGACCCUAGCAUGUAUCAUUUAAUCUUGUUAGUUUAGUGGCUAGAUUUUGUUGUUUCUAGCCCAAUGAAAGCCAUGUUACAUGGGUUGGGGAAUAAGUUGUCAGCUGUUGGGGCCUGUCAAUCCCCAAAUUGUUCAAUACUGGGACGCAACUUAAGAACCAAAUUUCCUUUUCUCAUUCAAUAUCUUAGGCUGCGCAUGGAUUACUCUAACAAAUCAGCUCGAGAUUACAGUGGAUAAGGAACUUUUAUUCCUUCUUUUGGACAUCCCUGUUGGGAAUGUAUCUAAUUAGUGAGCAUUCAUAACCCACACCAAAAUCAUUUUCAUAUCAUGUCUGAAAUGGAUGUUUCUCUAGAUUUUGUUGUUUCUAGUCCAAUGAAAGCCAUGUUACAUGGGUUGGGGUAUAAAUUGUCAGCUGUUGCGGCCUGUCAAUCCCCAAAUCGUUCCAUACUGGGACGCAACUUAAGAACCAAAAUUCCUUUUCUCGUUAAAUAUCUUAGGCUGCGUAUAGAUUACUCUAACACAUCAGCUCGAGAUUACAGUGGAUAAGGAACUUUUUAUUCCUUCUUUUGGACACCCCUGUUGGGAAUGUAUCUGAUUAGUAAGCAUUCAUAACCCACACCAAAAUCCUUUUCAUAUCAUGUCUGUAAUGGAUGCUUCUCAUACUCUGAAAUAUCCAUGUGAUCUAGAGCUAAAAUAAGACUUAGAGCAACAUAGCAGAAACAAUCCUAUUUAGCAGUUUCUCCUAUAUAUGUUGGGCAAACUGCACAUCAGCACAUGGGUAUCAGACACUUGUUCCAGUUCCGAUAUGUGUAUCUGCAUUGGAUACUGUUGCAUGUGUUAGUUUCCUUGUUAUUUAGUUAGGGAUUCACAAAUCUCCUAGUAACUACAACAAGAACCCAAAAAUGAUUUUACAGUUUCCAAAUGCCACCAUGGUUAAUCCUUCAUGCAAGAUUCACUAAGACAAGGAUUCCUUCCACAGGUAGUCCUCAACUGGUUAAUAUGCCAGGAGAAUGUUGUGCCCAUUCCAGGAGCCAAAAAUGCAGAGCAGGCUAAGGAGUUUUCAGGUGCACUUGGGUGGAGACUCACCGAUGAUGAGAUCAACGAGCUGCGCUCUUUGGCAUCAGAGACAAAGCCUGUUAUCGGUUUUCCUGUUGAGAACUUGUAGAAUUUUUACUCAAAGCUUUUUCAGUGUGGGCAUACAGUUCUCCAUGUCAAUGAAAAUGAAUAAAGGUAUAUACAACCACACUUUCAGACUCUUCUCUGUAUGAUUUAUUACUUAACUUAAUCCCUGUUUUACAUUACGGCGCAUACUAACAACCUUUAAAGUAAUAAAAGGGACAGUUCCAAUCCUUAUCCGCUGAUACUGGCCAGUUCUAAGCCAUACAAAAGAGGAAGAACAGCAUUACGCGUAAAAUCUUAUCCAUACUUGUGGCCAGGGAUCAUAUAGGUUGAAAAGGACUUCACUUGUUUUACUUGAAGAUACUGAUCAAGGCUUCCUUAUCCAAGAAGUCAAAACAGCUUUCACAUGGAAAGGAGAUGACAAAUGAGCUUAUGGUAGGAAGCAAUAUAAACUACUAUGGUAAUAGUAUAUAAACCUUUGGAGGAAUGAAGAUUGUGUGUGUGAAAUAGAGCUUGAUAGAGGCUUAAAUCUAAGGUUUGAUGAUAAAAGGCCGAUUUAGGUUUAAGUUUUAUUAAACCCGAAGGGAGGUUAUUCGUGAGUGUUGACGUCAGAGUCACAAUUUCAUUAUAUGCUCAAAUCUUAUAAACUUAAACUUUCAAGAAAAAAAAAAAAAAAAAAAAAAAAAACACGACAAACAAGAAAAACCCUCUAGAAGUUUAAUAUUAUUUUCUAUGGAGCACAUGCUAUGCCUUGAUUUUCCUUGUCUUGGUGUGUAUCACACCCAAAAUGGUGACAACUCCAAGCCAAAAAAUGGUGACAGCUCCACUCGACUAAGCCUUCCAAUAGAACUAUUUACAGCUCCACUCAAUUAUUAUAAUUCAUCUUUUAAUCGUAUUUAUAAAUAUUUUACUUCAUAAUUUCCUUAUAUUAAAAUUAAAAAAAAAAUUAUACGAAUUUUUGUUCAAUAAAACAUGAAAGAAGUGUUUUUAAAACACUUUUCAAAUGGAGGCUGCAUUUGCCAUUUUUCUUGUGAUAAGUCUAAACAUGAACAUGUGGGUGAUUUCAAUCGUCCUUUAAAGCCUAUUUAUGAGGUAAGAGGGUGCGUGGGCUUGCUCUGACGUAUCUAAUGGCCAUUGGACAUGGGUUGUGCUUUGAAAUCGGCUUUUGAUGAUCAAAUAAAAGCCCGACAUUUGCCAUUGUUUUGAUGAAGGGCUUAGUCUCAAAAAAAGGUGGUCCACAUGGUUACGAUAUGUCAUGUUGCAUAUGAUUCAUUGCUCAUCCCACUAUUCAAUAUAAAAGUAUCUAACCGAAGGAGUGUGCCGCACGAUGAAUUGGGUCCGACUCCUUGGUCCUCCCCCCACUCCCCAAUCAUCCUCCCAAAAUUUAAUGGUCUUGUUUCAAUGCUUUGAAUGUGAACCUCCCCCCGCUCGUCCUUUUUGAAAGACCCUGACCCGACUGCUCUCCUCCGAGCCCCAUGUGUUGUUGUGCUUUCAAUGCGCCACACGCUACUAGACUGCGGUUAAUUUUGUUAGCCGCGUCUUGGUCUUGUUGUCUCAUUGACACUCAACAAAGGAACUCUCUAUUUCCCUUUCAUCUUCCACUUGUUUAUAUGCAAAAUACAACUCCACUGUUAAUAAUAUUAAUGGAAAUUACGUCUUCUUAAAACACCAACCACGACAUAUUCCAUAAAACUUGGAACAAGGAAUGAGAAUGAAUGAAAAAUUCGAAUGUAUUGACUAACUAGUUUUAAUGUUUUCAAAAGAAUUUAAUUUUUUAAGAAUUUGUUUAAAAAUAGAGUAUUGUCGGAGAAUUUACUUUAGUUUAUUUUACUUUUUUUAUAAUAUUAUUUAAAAAAUAAUUAUAUAAAUAUGAAAAAUGACUAAAAAUAAAACAUUACAAAUAAAAGUUAUACUUUCAAAAAUAUUUGAAAAUAUUAAAAAUAUAUUAAAAAUGUUUCAAGUUUUUAAACAAACUUUUGCUUUUAUAAAAUAUUAAAGAAUUAGUUUUAAAAUUUGUUUUCAUCGUACCCUUUGCUUCAUUUUUUAAUUUCUCUGAUAUAUUUUUUUAUAAUAGGAAUAGAAUUUCUACUUUGUUAGUUAACUAUUUUCUAAAAUUGUUCUAAAAAAUAAUUUUUGAGAAUAAUUUUUUAAAAUUGUUUUAUGAUGUUUUAUAAAAUAAAAGUCUAUUUGAAAACUUAAAAUGUUUUUAAUACUUUUAAAUAUAUUUUAAAAUUAAUUUUUAUAUCCAAUACUUUAUUUUUAAUUAUUUUAUAUGUUUUAAUAAUUGUUUUCUAAAACAAGUAAAAAUAAUAAAAAAUAAUUAAAAAAAUGUUAUCUAAAAAAUUCUAUUUGUUAUUCUUAUAAACAAAAAACAAAAAAUAAUUUUUUUUUAUUUUAUAAAAUAAAAAGUUAUUUUAAAAAAUAGUUACCAAACAUACCCUUUUAUUUCUUUUCUCAAUAUAUUACAAUAAUUCAACUUUAUUUCCUUUCCUAGUAUCUUUGAUCUCAAACCCACUUAUCAAGUUAUACAUCGUUCAUUAAAAUAUAUUUUUUGAAUGAUAAGAAAAAAAAUUAUUAAUAAAAUAAAUAAAAAUAAUCUUUUAACUUUUUUUUAGUUAAUUUUUAUAUAUUUUUUUUUUCCCAUUUUCAUUUUUUCGUCAUAUUUUUUCUUAUAGAUUUCAAUACAUCAUUCAAAAUCAUGCUACAUAUUUAUUUAAAUACAAAAACUGGAAAAUUUCACCAUGCAUGAGAGCCAGCAAAUAUCGCACCAACAUCCACCUUUUCCCUACAGAGUACAUACCCAGAAUAAAAAAAUAAAAAGAAAAAUUAUCUGCCCAUUUCAUGGCUUGACGGGACGGCCUCAAAUAACAGCCACAGGUAAAAACGACUCCAUAUCCAAAGUCAUGCUUCCGAACUUCCCCAAAAUGAAGUGGAAAAUGCCCAUAUGGGUAAAUAAUUUUUCCAGAAGAAAAAUUGUAGUGCCCCCACAGGGCAUAAGAUACCUGUAGAGCAAUAUAUAUGAGUUGUCAAAAGAAAAUUUGUCAGACAGAACAGUCCCUCAUCAUUGCACAAUGAAAUGCAACCACUAUUCAGAUAGUGUGAUCCAUGGGGAAGAAGAUGUAGAUCCUCUACUAACAAAACACCAAAUCCAGUCAGGCAAAUUCAGAGUUCAUUCACUGACCUGGUCCCACUCAUACAGUGUAGCAUAUUCAUCAGAUGACAAGUGGAGAGUCAGAGUUUGCGAGUCACAUUACUAUCAAAGCUUUGUGUUCCUACUCGAUCUCUCCUCCAUCCUUUCUGUCAUGUCUCUUUCAUUCUAUUAGAGACGGGGCAGAGGAGCUUUAAAGGGGCUAAACCAUUCCCUGUUUCUUGCUAAACUCAGAGGACCUAAUCCAUUCCCAGUUUCUUCUUCAGCUCUGAGAUACAGUAAGAAAAGAGAGACUCUUUAGCUUUUGUCAGUUGUGUGUUGCAGUUUUUUUUUUCUUCUCUUAUUGGGUUCUUUGUUUUUUUUCCGUGAAUUGCGUGUCUUCAUAUGAUGGAUUUCAUGCACCUGUUUUCAGAUUGGUUCAUUUCACGAGGAUGAUACUUGAAUUCAGCUGUUCUUUUCCUCCCCCCUCUCUCUCUCUCUCAUUUGAUUUUUACUAUUCUAUGUUUUUGUUGAUUCUGUGAGGUGGGUUUUGUUAGUAUGUUUUUCUCAAUACAAUAUUAUAGUUGGAGAUAUUCAGAUUGAGAGUUAUUUCCAUGCAUCUUGAUUUCUUCCUUCUUUUAACAGAAAAUCCCAGUCUGGUGAGCCAUGAAUCACCCCCUUCUUCCAGAUUGGAAUAUUGAAGGCGAUGUCCCUGUAACCAAUCAGAAGAAACCCAUGGGGUUAGUACUCUCAGUUUUUGGGUGGAUUCCUCUGCUGAAAUCUUGGUUUUUACCUGUUUCUGUGUGUUUGGAUGUUAUUGAUUUUGGUGGAACAAUUUUACAGGCAAGAGCAUGAGCUUGUAGAGCUCUUAUGGCGAAAUGGGCAGGUGGUAUUGCACAGCCAAACACAGAGAAAAUCCGGUCUUGCUCCAAAUGAGUCUAAACAAGUUCAGAAACAUGAUCAAACCAUGCUAAGGAAUGGUGGGUCAUGUGGGAAUUGGAGUAAUUUGAUUCAGGAUGAGGAGUCAAUCUCAUGGAUCCAAUACCCACUGGACGAUUCCCUUGACAAGGAGUUCUGUUCUAAUUUGUUCAUGGAAUUGCCGCCCAAUGAUCCAGUUCAGCCUGAAAAGCCUGUUAGACACUCUGAACAAGAAAAGUCUGUCCCCAGCUCACAACAACCUAUUUUUAAGCAUUUGGGUAGUCCUGAAUUCCCAGGAAACCCAAUGCCGCCGCCUAAGUUUCAGGUUCCUGGUUCAGUCCAGCAGAAUUGCAGCUCAGGAGGAUUUGGAAAGAUUGUUAACUUUCCUAACUUUUCAUUCCCAGGGAGAAGCAAUUUAGGAUCUUCCAAGGCACAACUGGGGGGAAAGGGAUCAGGAAAUAUGGCACAAGGAGGAGAUGCUAAAGAGGGUUCAGUCAUGACAGUUGGGCUGAGCCACUGCGGCAGCAAUCAAGUUGUGAAUGAGGCUGACUUGAGCCGAUUUUCAAGCAGUGGCGUUGGCACCGGUUGUUUAUCUUCAGGGCAUGUCAAGGAAAAUGUUAUGAGGAUAGUUUCUCAGGGGGACAGAAGGCAAACAGAGACGCUUGAACCUACUGUUACUUCAUCUUCCGGUGGUGGGUCGGGCAGUAGUUUUGGGAGAACAUACAAGCAGUCGACCGACACCAAUAGCCACAAAAGAAAGGGCAGAGAAGCAGAGGAAUCUGAGUGCCAAAGCGAGGUAUUAACUCUCUGCCUUUCUUGACUAUACCAGCUUGUAAAAUCUCACAUGAGUUUAUGUGCUGAACAAAGAUUUUGUAAACUUGUAGGCUGCUGAACAUGAAUCAGCUGCAAGAAACAAGGCAUCACAAAGAUCCGGGUCAACUAGGAGGAGCCGUGCUGCUGAAGUCCAUAAUCUCUCAGAGAGGGUAGGAUAUAUAGGAUUCCAUGGCUUUUCAUUGUUUAUGAUUUUGAAAUGAUCCUUGUACUCAAUUCUUAAUGCAGAGACGGAGAGAUCGAAUCAAUGAGAAAAUGAAGGCAUUACAGGAGCUUAUACCUCACAGCAACAAGGUAAACUUUCCCAUUUUUCCUCUUUUUCUUACUGCUCAGAUUUCAGAAAUAAGUUAUCAAUAAAAGAAAAGAAAGAAAGUUAGCCAAUUGGUUAAGCCUGGUUCAAAGCAAAAGAAAAUUUUCAGUCUAAGGUUGUGAGACAAGAUGAGAUAAACCCUAUUCCCUCACAAAACAUUAGGCCCUGUAUAUAGCAGAGUAGGCAAAAAAAGAUUGGCGUACCAAACCCCUAGUAGUUGAUAUAAAGUUUUGUGUAGUGUUUAGCGCUUUUUGGUUAACUGAAUUAAAUGUUUGCUCUCCAGUCAGAUAAAGCAUCGAUGCUAGAUGAGGCAAUUGAGUACUUGAAGUCCCUUCAGUUACAACUUCAGGUACAUGAAGUUCAUAGCCAAUAACUAGCUCAAUGGACUACCACCAAUGAAGCCAUUGACAUCAUUUUCUUGUUUCCAUUUCAGUUGAUGUGGAUGGGAGGUGGUGUCGCGCCUAUGAUGUUUCCAGGAGUCCAGCACUAUAUGGCCAGAAUGGGAAUGGGAAUGUGUCCACCUCCACUGCCUUCUAUUCACAACCCAAUGCAUUUACCAAGGGUUCAACUAGUUGAUCAGUCCACAUCUGCAGUUCCACCAUCAAACCAGCCUCCAAUUUGCCAAACCCCAGUCUUGAAUCCGGUUAAUUAUCAAAAUCAGAUGCCAAAUCCCAACUUUCCGGAGCAGUUUGCGCAUUACAUGGGCUUCCACCCUAUGCAAACUCCCUCUCAGGUUAGUUGCUAGCCUUCUCAUCUACUGGGAAUGAAUGGUUUGGCUUUCCCAGUCAAUGCAUAUUUCCCAUGAAUCACUGCAUUGGUUCUCUUGCAGCCCAUGAAUGUGUUCAGCUUUGGAUCCCAGAGUCACCCCAUGGCAUCGCCUGCCACCACUGGUGGCACCCCCACUGCAGCUGCUGCAGUUGAUGGUGCUCCAGGCAGCAAGUUGGGUGAGUCCUCUCAAGCUCAGGCCGGUCUUUUGACAUUGCACCCAUUGCAUAUGAUCAACAAAACAACAAUUCCCUCAAUAAAGCAACCACGGAUUUUGAAACUAAAGAAGGAAUAUUCCCUUAAAAAAAUUUUCAAAACCACCCCAAAGUUAAGUCCUUUGAGUACAAACUUGGACCAAACAAAAUGAAACCCUCCCUUCAUCCAUUACACUGUCUGCAACAUCACCAUGCAUUACACCAUUUUCCAAUGACUUUAGGAUUUUUUUGUAGCAGUCCACAAUCCCAUCAUGUCAAAUCCUUUUCACCUUUGUUAAAUUCCUUUCCAUGUCCAUAUCCACGAUCAAAUGCUUUUUCAUGUGACAGCCAUGUUCCUCUUUGACAUUAACAGGUUAAUACCAGUGGGUACGCAUGCUGCUCGAAUGCUUUUGGUUCCAUUACACAUCAAGUGCGCCCAUUGCAAGAUGAUGAUAAAAGCCAUCCAUUAAUUUCGUCCUGGUGGAUGGCCUAGGCCAGCUCUUCCUACAUAGACUAAGAAUCCAUCAAGUUAUGUGUUUACCCAUAUGGAUGAAAUUAUAUCUCAAGCUUUGGAUGAAAACGAUUCAGUUUCAGUUCCUUGCUUCCUUGCAACUUGAGCAUGGAGACAAGGAUAGCAUUGUCAAUAGUCCUUCCCCCUUUCUCUACUGGAGAAAUUAUUAUUUUUGACUCUUGAUAAUAAUGUUUAAAAAAAGGUGGUUAUUGUUGGAGCAUAAUUGGUAUGAAAACUCAUCAUUUUCCUUUCCAUGAAUGCCCAAUUGCUUGACAUGAAGGGCCCCUCUGUAUCUUUCAGUAUGAUGGCUAUUUUUGCUUCACAGUGCUGGUAUCUUUUUAUCAAAAGAGAAAAAAAAAUGAUUAAAAUUGAAUAAUAUUUGAUUUUUUAUAAUGAUUAAUAAUAAAUUUUUUUUUUUAUUUUGAUAAAUAUAUUUUUAAUGAAAGGAUUUUGGAAGAAAGGUUCCUGACAGGCAUGAAAAUCAUGUCUGUCUGUCAUCUCUAAUGGAAGAAGAAAAAGGGUCAUUGUCAGAACUCUCUUCUCUCUGUAUCAAUCAAUCUCUCAUAAAAGGAGGGAUAUGAUUUCAAAUAGUGAUAUAUGAAUUUGUGGCCAUGAAUUAAGAAUUCGUAUGGGAGACUUUGAAUUGCAUCAAUUCUUUUGUUUGGUCAAGAUGCAAGUAAUUGAAUGUGUAUAGGGGUUGUCAUGGGAUGAGAAUAAAAGCUACCCAACUAGUUGGCCUCAUGUUUGGGUACUUUGUAUCUAUGACACCAAGUUAAAUUGUUAAUGGCCCUGUCAUGGGACCUGUACAACCCCACACAUGGCCGGUGGGGAAGGACUCACCAUGAUUCAUGACUUGUGUCCCUCACCCUCCUGUUCAUUUUCGUGAGUCUUAGGGAUGUGAACAUUGCAACUGGUUAAUUUAAUUUACAUACACUCGUCGGCUGUGGUGUAAAUAUAUCCUAUUACCAUUAGUUUUAAAUUUAGUUAUUUAGUACUUUUAUAAACUUAUUUAGUUUAUAAAAUUCAUUUUUUAAAGAAAUUUUAUGUAAAUGUGUUUAAUAAUUUUCUAAAAAAUAAAUUUUGCUCUCUUGAAAUAUAUUUUAUAAAUGAAAUAUAUCUAUGAGGGUGUUGAUCAAUAAAAUUUGUGAUUAAUAUGUUAACCAAAUCACACACACGAGUAGAAAAUAAAAUUUUAAAAAAAUAUAUGUGGUUCGGUGAUCAGAGUGAUCUCUAUGUCCACGAAGUGUAUUAACACUCAACAAUUCAUUAAUAAAAACGAAUGAAAAAGUUACAAUGGUAAAACUCUAAAAAAAACCCUUUCAAUUGCGAUCACAUUCUUAGAAAAAAAAAAUUAAAUAUAUAAUAGAGGUAAACAUGUUAAUCAACACAAAAUUUCUGCAAAAGACGUUGCUCUCUUCGACCCUCAUAAAUUGAUUGGACAACUCGAUCCCUACGAUUUCAUCGAAGAGCUCGACUCUUGCGAAUUGAUCAUUGAACAGGCCAACCUCGAUAUUCCGAGCAAAAUAUAAUAAAACUGAUUCAGAUUUCACAAUCCAAUAUAAUAAAGACUUAGUGUAUUUAUAUUAAUCUUCAAAGUGUGUAAAAGAAAUUAAUCUCAAAUAAAAUCAAAUUUAGUAAAUCUGUAAUUUUUUUCAUAAUUGUUCUAUUUGAUGGAUUUAUUUAAAAUUAACAUUUAAAUCAUAUGAAAUAAGAUAAGAAAUAGGAUAAUAAUAUAUUUUAUCUUGUAUUCAACGAUUGAAUAGCAUAUUCAUAAUGAUGAUAGGAUAAAAAACUCCAUUAUCUUAGAAUACACAGGUAUCAUUGAAAAUGAUAUUGAUAUAUCAUGUUUUAUCCGCAAAACAAAAAAGCAAUCAAAAUUAUUAGUUUAAAAUUUUCUUUUCUAUCCUUUUCGUAUCAUUGCAUGUCAUAAUUAAACAACGAAGGUCGUCAUAUUGUUUUGUUACAUCAAUGGAUGACAUGACUCUAAAAUAUCAGCGUACCAAAUCAUCCUAGCUAACAUUAUUCCAAUAAAUGACGAAAAAUACGUAAUUAGAAAUUGUGGGUCAUGUUAUUGUUUGGGGCCAAAAUCUAAAAUUUUCGUUGUUGUGGGCUAAAACCUACAUUUUAUUACACCUCACUCCUCAGUGGUGUUCUAAUGAAUAAAGUUACAAGAAAGUUGUGCAAGAGUGGCCUUGGCACUAAAAUUAGCGUACAAGAAUGUGAUGUGAAGGUCUCUUUGUGGCCUUUGUAUCCUAUAUAUUAGAUAUGAUUGAAUCCCUUUAGUUAAAGACAAACCCCUUUUCAAGGGGUUUAAUAAUUAAAAUAAUUACUUCGUAAGCCAUUUUGAUAAGGCAUUGGCAUUAUUUGAUAAGUUAUCAAUAUACAUCAUGGGACAUCUUUAGCUAAUUAAUUUACAUUUCUAGCUAAUUUUCUUCUUUUCCUUUUUCUCCUUCCUCACUUCUUGUUAUACUUGGUGAUAUCAAAUCGAUAUUGUUUUGGAUGCACUGAAAAUCAAACUAAUCAUAUCUAUAAAGAAAAUUGAUUAGUUUUGUUCAAUUUGAUUUACAAAUGGUAAACAACUAAAUCAAUCUAAAUCAACUCAAUUUGGUUUGAUUUGAAAACUAACUUUUUUUUUUUUUUUUUAGCAAUUUAAGAUAAAAUUGAAAAUGCUUAAAUUUGAGAAUGCAUGUCACAAAACAUUAAUAAUCUUAUUUCAACUUAGUAAAAAGUUGUAAGCCUUGUUCAAGUUAUUCUACUUAGUCCAAAUGAUCAAAAACUAAACUUCAAAGUUAUAAUAAUACACCACUAAACUUAUAUUAUAAUAGUAAAUAUCGUACUUAUUUAUUCAAAGCAUAAAAGUCAUGAAAAUUCAUAUGGCAAAGAACCAAUAUGGAAGACAUGUAUUUAUAUAUGUCUGAAUAAUUAUCAAUUCAGUUCAACUUGUUUUCAAAUUUUUGAAUGGGAAAUCGAAGCCGAAGUUGGUCUUACUCAUUUUCAACUUAUAAAACUGAAAUUAGAGAAAACCUCAUGUAAUCCAUUUGAUUAUGCUAAUUUGUUCUAGUUUGACUAUUGUUUUGAGUGAUUCAAUUUUUUACACGCCCCUGCUCCACAAGUUUAAUACAAAUGGAUUUUACAUCCUACCUAGAUGUUUAUGAAAGCUCAAUAAAUCCGAAUUCUUAUAAGAAGUAAUAUAACUUUUACUCUCGUAUAGGUGAAUCUAUCAAAUUCAUUCCACAAUUAAACAUGUUACUUAUAAAGGAUAUGGUAUUUAUUAAGACUUAAUUUGUAAUACAUCAUAAGAAUGGUAUAGCCAACAAAUGACUUGUUAUUACCAUAUGAAUUUGUCUUCUUGAAUCUUCAUUCAUCCUAUUUCCUUGGAUUUCUUUUCAUGUAGGUGGAGUAACUAGCUUUGCUCUUUACUUUUAUGCAAGGCAUGAGCCCCAUCCCCUUUGAUGCAUCUUCUUAUUUAAUGGUUUAGCCAUAUGAUUGGCUAAAUCUAAUAGGAACUUGGCUAUCAUGCAUGGUGCAUAGACACAAAUAAAGUUUGUUGAAGUAUUGUAUUAGGCAACCAUUGACUCAAACAAUAUUAAAAUAAAUGUACACUAUUAUCAAUUUAUCUUUGGUUAUAAGUUGGAAUCGUAAGGUGUCAACAUUAUUUUAUGGUAUAAGUGUUAUUUCUUUUUUAUAUAUACAGUAUUCCAUUAACUGCUCUAGAUAUUUUGAUUAUUAAAAUUAUUUGUCUUUUCUAUAUACUCACAAUCAAAGUUGGAUCCAAGGAGUCAUUUAGGCCUGUUUGAGAACUAUUUUUUAAAAUAGUUUUUUAUUUUUCAGCACAAAAAAAAAUAAAAAAUAAAAAAACGUUUAAUAACCAAAAACUAUUUUAUGUUUUUCGUUUUUAAAAAUAAAAAACAUAGUAUUUUUAGAAAAUAUUUUUUAGUUGUUUUCUAUUGUUUUCAUUUGUUUUCUGAAAGUUGUUUAUAUAAAUAUGUAGAAUGAUUAAAAUAAAACAGUAAAUAUAAAAAUUACUUUUAAAAAUAUUAAAAACAUUUUAAAUUUUCAAACAGACUUUUGUCCUAUAAGAAUUAAAUAACGAUCUUAAAAAAUUAUUCUUAAAAAUUAUUUUUCAGAAUUAUUUUUUAAAAUAGUUACCAAAUAGGCCAUUUACAUACUAGCAGAUGAUCAAGUUUGUUAUAAAUGCAUUUAUCAAGAACAUUUGUGAAAUUAUUGACCCUUUUUCUAUGAACAAAUUUGAUUUAACCCUUUACUUUGAGAGUUUAGAACAAUUACUUUUUCAAGUAUGAUUGGAUAGUGUUAACUCUUUUUCUAUUAACUUGUCUAAUAUAAGUUUUCUUUUAAAGAUUCUGUAAUAAUCUUUAUUCCCUUACUUUUCAAGUAUGAUUAGACAUUGUCGAUUCAAUUUUUUAUUAACUCAUUUGGUUUAAGAUUUCAUUUUAAAAGCUCAUUUGGAUCCAAUUGUCUAUAUUCUAGGUGCAUUACUUUCUAAGUAGGAUUUGAUAUUAUAAACUCAAUUUCACAAUCACUGCUAGGAAAGAAAAAAGAAUGAAAGACAACCAUUUUUAAGAUAAUAGAAUGAUAGAUUAUAUAAAGUUAAAUAGUAAAAAAAUUUCAUUAUUAAAUAAUAGAUAUUAUAUUUUUACUAUUUAAUAAAAUUAAAAAUAUUAAUUACCUUUUUAAGUAUGUCUAAGAUUAGGAAACUAUUAUUUUAAGGUUAACAUAGGACUCUAUGAAGGUGUAGUAGAGAAAAGAAAAGAAAAAGUAAGAAAAUAGUGAAGAGAGAUAUGCAAAUGGUGUAUUCACUAAAAAAAUGUUAAAAAAGUUUGAAAUGUAUAAUUUUAAAAGUUAUAACAAAUUUGAUCCUCUUUCUAUGGACGAAGGUGAUGACAUCGAACCGUGUAAAUCUUUCAUCAUCUCUAUUUUUUUUUUUUUUUUUUUUGUUGCAUUUGAGUGUUCUGAUUUUUUUUUUUCCCAACAAAUGACAUCAGAGCUUUUGCAUACUCAACAUAAUGAUAUGUCGACAUUAUGAUGUAACUCCAAUUGCACCACUACAUCAUUGAUCAAUGGAUCAAUCACUAUUAUAAUUUAAUAAUCAAUCUAAUUUUGAACGUUAUUACUUAUGAGAGACAAUGAAAUAGAAAAUAAUAAUACCACAAAAAAUAAAGUUAAUUAAUUAUAGACAAGGCAAGUAGGGCUAAAAAGGGGAAAAAAGUAUAGAUUCUUCCGACAUUAGUUGUCUUAUAUUCAUGUGCAAGUAGGUAGCUGGCAUGGACACUGUUGUGUGGAUUAUAGCUAUCAUUCAAUUUUAGCUCUCUCAACCACUUUUUUCUUCUAUCUCCUUUAAGGUUUUAGUUUAUUAAGUAGAUUAAAUAUAUUUAAUAAAAUAAUUUAAUAUCACAAUUUAAAAUUAUUUUUGAUUUUAAGUAUUAAAUCAAAAUAUUUAACUUAUCCUUAAUCUUCAAUCUCUUUUACUUCUUUUAUACAUGUUUAGUAAAAAUAUUUUUUUAUAAUUACGAUCUUACAUUUAUAACUCAUCUUUUUUAAUAAGUAUUUUGUAAUUAUCUCAUAUUUUUAUAAUAUUUUAAAUAUAAAUAUGAAAUAAUAAAUUUAUUACUUAAAAUUAAUAAAAAUAUAAAUAUUAAUUAAAAUUAAUGAGGAUAAAUAUGUCAAUUUGAUAAUUUAGAACAAAAUUUAAGAACAAUUUAACUUAAUUAAAAUCAACUUAAGUUAUUAAAUAAUAAAUAUUAAGUUUUACCAAAUACCCGAGUUUAAUAAAAAAAUUUGUUGCAUUAGAAUAUUAGAAUCAAAUUCAAUUUACUUCUAACUACAUAUAUAAAAUGAAAAAAGAAAAAGGAAAAAAGAAGGGUGAGGAAUGCCUUGAAAAGUGAAUGGGUUUUAAACUCUCCUCUUUUCCAUGUAUGCCAAGUUCACUAAACCAACAAUAUUAUUAACAUAAAUACAUAAAACUAUAAAAAUAAAUUUGAAAACAAGGGGACAUGCACACGCAUGAUUGGAGGCAUCCACUAGAAAAUAUUAUCCCUUCACUCAAACAUGAGCCUUUGGAGAACAAUAGAAUCUUGGCUGCCUCCAACACCCAAUCCUAAUUAUCUCUGAGUUGGCCAUCAUGUCCAUUAGCAUCUUUCCAACGUACCAGGAGAAAACCCUGAUCCAUUUGUCUUCAAACUUAAUCAACUAGUGUGCUAUACCUUUAGCAAUCAAUUCACAAAAAAAGAAAAAGAAAAUUCCAACUUACAAAUGAUUUUUCAAUAUAUGCUUUGAUAAACAUAUCCCAUUCUUGGGAUAUUGUAGUGGGGGAGGUAGAGUGGGAGAUGGCAUCAUUCUCAUUCUCAUUCUCAUCUAUUUCAAUAUUCUUCCUCAACAUUAUCAUAUCUAUUAUCUACAUGUAUACACAUGUGUCUACCCUUGGACACAAAAGAAUUCGUUUUCUUUCCCUUCUCUCCUCACAAAGAUCCUCUCAAAUUUUUUGGUUCAAACAUGUUGGGUUCUUGAAUCCAAUUAUUGUGUCCAUGCAAGUGGAGAUAUGAAUUGAGGGCGGGGAGGGGGUGGGGAGGACCCCCACGAGAAAGGAGAAGAAGAAGAAGAUGAAGAUCUCACCAUAUAAAAAGAUAAAGUAUUGAAUUGUGACCAGCCAUUGGAACAUGGUGUGGUGUGUGGACACCCCGGCCCCCUACGUUUCAUUUUCUCUCCUAUCUUUUCCUUGAUGUUGGAAGGUAGAAGAGAGAGACUUUCAUGUCAACCAAUGGCCCCCAUGCCCCUUCAAAUAUGCCCACUGUUUGUGGCCUUGGUUUUUUCCUUGUAAUCAUUUCUCAUAUUCGUCACUCGUUUUCUUUUCAAGCAUUGAUGUCUCCUCUUGUCACCCUUUCCCCACUCCAUUAUUUGUACCCCACUUCGAGUUGAACCCAAUAUAUUAUUAUUUUAAAAGAAAAAUCUUCUCAAUCAUUCCCUUCUUUUCUUCCUCUUAAUCCGGGGUUUGAUUAGUUAAUCAAUAUAAGUUGCUGCGGCGGUUCGGAAUUCAUCUUUGUUAUUGCCAUGCAUAAUUUUACUAAAAGAAUAUCAAUGGAUAAGGCUCAUAAGGGUCACAAUUUGUACGGAUAGAUUCUAUUAUUCUAUUCAUCUUAUAUCAUGCUUAAACUUAGACAUUCCAUUAAAUAUAGUUCAAUCCAAACACAACAUAUACAAUAAUUGAAUUAAAAGUAUGAAUCCAAAUAUCAUCCAAUUAUUAGAUAAAUAGGAGAUCGUGUAACUUAUUUAUUAAUUAAGUCUUAUUUAAUAAUCAAGUUAAAUCUUAUUUAAGUAAAUAUUAUUAACAUUUCAACUUAAUAUAUAUAUGACUUAGGUGAUGUUUAUUUUUUAGCUGAAUAAAAAAAGAAAAAAUAUUUAGUUUUUUCUAUUCAGCUAAAAGUAAUUUAUUGACAUCAACUAAUAUAAUUAAAUUGAAUAUAUUAAUAAUUAGUUUAUUUUAAUUAUGUUGAUUGAUAUUAACAUGUAACUUUUAGUUAAAUAGAAAAAACUAAAUAUUUUGAUUUUUUUAUUCAAUAAAAAAAUAAACAUCACCUUAAUUAAUCUAUUUAUUCAAAAUUAAAUUUUAAUUGAGCUUAACAUAGGUUAAAUAGUAUAUGGUCAUAUAAUCAGCAUAAUUAUUGUUAAAUAGGUCAAUUUGGGUUAAAUUUAUGUCAUAUAAAUUGAUCUAAAAAUAACUUAUUUAUUAAACCAAUUAGGGUUUACACAAAUUUGAAUUCAGAUUUAUAAAAAAACAGGUGAUGUUAAAAAAUCGUAUUAAACUUUGCCAAAUAAAUGGAGUUGAAUUUUUCUCUUAGUGAAGCAUUUUUUUCCUAAAACUUUAAGGCUGUAUUUGAUUCCUAGAAAUUUUGAAGGAAAAUAUGAGAGCAAGAAAAUGAAGAAGAAAAAUAGAUGAAAAGAAAAAGUGAAAAAAAAUUUUAAUUAAUAAAUUAUUUUUAAAUAAUUUAUUUCACUUACUUUCCUCUAUUAUGUAAAGAUUAAAUAAUUUAAAAUAUAUAAAUUUUUAACAAAUUUUAAUUAUAUUUUAUUUUAUUUCCUAUUUUUUAUAACAGGAUCAAAUGAGAAAACUAUUUUCUUUCACAUUUUUCUUUUCUUUACUUAAUACUUUUCAACAACCAAACAUACACUAAAAGUGACUUUGAUAGUAUUUUUAUUUAAAGUAUUUUUAAUGGAAGUGUUUUUUUUUUAAAAUGUUUUUAAAAGAAUCAUUUAUUAAGUAUUUUUUUUAGAAAAUAUUAUAAAUGAUUUUCCAACAUUAGAAAUAACUUUUCAAAAAUUUUAAAGUAUGUCAUAAAAUUUACCAAAUACUUUGAUUGAUUUUCAAAAACACUUUUUAGUAUGUCUCAACAACUACAAAACAGAUCCUAAGAUCCUAUUUGAUAAUUAUUUUCAAAAGCAGUUUUGAAAAAUAGUAUUUGAAACCUAUCCUCUAUAUCUUAUUGAACAAAAUUCUAAGAAAUGUUUUAACCUAUUUUUAAUAUUUUCAAAUAUAUUUUAAAAAUAAUUUUUGUAUCUUUAUAUAAUUAUUUUCUAAAAUAAUCUUUAAAAAAUAAGUGAAAACUAUAUAAAAAAAAUUAAAAUAUGUUUUCUCAAAACAUCAUAUUUUAUAUUCUUAAAAAUAAAAAAUAAAAAAUAAUUUUCAAUUAUCGAACAUAUUUUUUUAUGUUUUGUUAUUUUAAAUAACAAAAAACUGUUAUAAAAAACAUUGUCCAAACACGCCCUAAACGUUUUCUUGUAAUAUCUUCAUUUGUGUUGGGGCUGAUGGACUUUGUAGAGAUUGCGAUGAUAUGGAAAGAGAGCAUAGAUCACCCUCCAGGUUUGCAUCGUAGGGCUGGAAUUGUUGAUGCAUCAGAUCACAUAGCUCAUCAUGGCUGAGUUGACCAACAAGCUGAAAAUUACAAAAAUAAAACAAAAUAUAAUAAUGAUGCGUCACACUCUUUGUUUUGCAUACUUCUUUUAAUUAAUUUUUUAAAAUAUUUUAUAGAAAUUUUCAAUUAUUUCAAAAAUAAAAUUUUAUUUGAGAAUUAAAAUAUAAAAACAUUUUUUUUGAAUUUAUUGUUAAUGAAAGUAUUAAUUUUUCCAUAAAAUGUGAAUUUGUUUGAUAAUUAUUUUUAAAAAUAGUUCUGAAAAAUAAUUUUUAAAAAUAAUUUUUUUUUUAUAAAAUAAAAGUAAAUUUAAAAACCUAAAGUAUUUUUAACUUAUUUUUAAUAUUUUAGGUAUAUUUUAAAAAUAAUUUUACAUCUUAUAUUUUAUUUUUAAUUAUUUUACAUAUUUAUAUAAUUAUUUCUUAAAAUGAUUCUUAGAAAACAAAUGAAAAUAACAUAAAACAAUCGAAAUAUAUUCUAUGAAGAUACCUUAUCUUUUAUUCUUAAAAAUAAAAAAUAAUUUUUAAUUAUCAAAUGUGAAAAUAAUUUUUUUGUUGUUAAAUAUAUUUUUUGUUUUAAAAAAUUGUUCUUAAAAAUAGUUCCAAACAGGUUGUAGAAGUUUUUUAAAUAUUUUUUAAUUUUAAUUAUUACUUAAAAUAUUAUAAAUAUAAAAAAAAAAUCCGAAAGCCUAUUCUCUGAAUUAAUUCUCAAAACAAAUUUUUUUUUCAUACGUAUAUGAAAUUAAUUUUAAUGAAACACAGAUCACGAGACAAUUAUUUUGAUUUGACUCAAAAUAUUUGAAAAACUUCCUUAAAGCAAACUAUUCUAAAAUUUAAGGCAUAACAUUAAGCAUAGGAAAUUGGACUUUUAUCCUUUGCUUGUUUGCUUUCUUCCUUGUGGUCACAUGAAUGUUCAGCAGAUGUCGGUAGAUAUUUUUGUAAGUGAUCCAAUCAUUUUUCAUAUACGUACAUGUUUUUGGAUUUUUCUUGCCAAAUUCAAUCUAGUAGUGCAUUUAUUCAAUUAUGUGACAAAACAAAAAUCAAACAAGGGGAAAAUGCAAUCUUAAGCCCAUACUAGGUUUUCAUAAAAUUGAAGGGAAAAAAAAUUGAAAAAAAAAAAAAACUAGAAAGAACGUAAAAAUGAAGAAAAAUAAAAAAAAUUAUAAAUUUAAAGUCAACAAAUUAUUUUUUAUGAUUUUUCAAAUUGAUUUAAUUUAUUUUCUUAUAUUAUAUAAAAAUUAAAUAAAUUUAAAAUAUAAUUAAAUUUAAUUAAAAUUUUAUAUAUUUUAAAUUCAUUUUAAUCAUAUUUGAUUUCUUUUGUAUUUUCUACUGUGAACAAAACAUGAGAAAAUCGACUUGAUAGAAUAGAAAAUUUAGUGAAAUAAUAAUGUUUUUUCUAUUCAUUUUCUCAUUCUAAAAAAAUAAUUCAAACAUUGAUUUCUUAUUUGGGUUGUAAUUCUAUCAUUUCAAAUAUGUACUCAAGGCUACGUUGGGUUUAGCAAAGUAUUUAGAAAAGAAAAAAAAAUUAAGAAAUUUUUUUUUUCUUAUAUGUGAUUUCACUAUUAAAAUUAUUAAUAAAAUAAAUUUAAAAUAACGUACAAAAAUAAUCUAAUAACUUUACAUCUUUUUUUUUUUUUUUCUUUUCUUCUAAUUUUUCUCCCUAUUUUCUUUUCCUCGUGUUUUUCCUUAAAUUAUAUUCAACCAAACAUAGCAUUGAAAAAUGGUUGGGCAAAAAUGAAGUGCUGCAAAAUUACCUUAUCACUGAAUUUUAUGCAAAAUAAAAGGUAUUUAUGCAAAAGGCCAGUAGACCAAUUCCCAAGUUUGGACCCCUAGACCUAAAGAUUUGGAAACCUUUUUGUUUUUUUGGGCCUAUAGAUGGGCCCUUUUAUGGAAUGGCCCGAUUGUGCAGAGGUGCUAAUAGCCAACCUUGAUCUCAUGGCCCUUUUAUGGAAUGCAUUGCCUCUUAUUAACUUCAAUAUGGAAUCAUAUCAUAAGCAAAAGUAAUAACUUUAAUGAAAAUUCAUGUCCUCAAUCAUAUUCUAAUACUAUUGUAGAAAAACAUUUCUUUAAAGAAAAGUUAGAGCCCCCUGACAAUAAUUUUAGGAAGCGUUUCUAAUAUUUUUAACACUUGAAAAUUUUUAUUAUUCAAGUGUUAGAAAUAUUAUAAACGUUUUUUAAAAUCAUUACCAAACACACUUUUAGUUAUAAACAAUCAUAUUUUUAUCAAUUUCAAAAAUGAUGUAGGUAUAAUUUUUUUUUUCUCUAAUUCUUCCUUUCACAAUUUUCAAUUGAGAUUUCGAAGAAGUUUGAUAUCAAAUGCAGAGUUUGUUGAAGCUAUGAUAUCAUACAAACUUAACUUGAACUUGAAUUUAAUAUAAUUUAAAUCAUGUUCAUUUAGGCCUUGGCUCAUUUGGACCUUGAUUUUAUUUAAGCUUGGCAUGCUUUAGGUCUUAACUUGAAAAAACUUGAUCAAAGGAACAUGGUCUCCGAUUAAAGAGAUAUUUUACAAAUUUUGAUCUUGAUACAAGCUUAACUUGAACUUGAAUUUAAUAUCAUUUAAGUCGAGUUCAUUUAGGCCUUGGCUCAUUUGAACCUUGAUUUGAUUUAAGCUUAGCAUGCUUUUGGUCUUAACUUGAAAAAACUUGAUCAAAGCAAUGUGGUCUUCGAUUAAAGAGAUAUUUUACAAACUUUGAUCUUGAAAUUUUAAAAAUUUUGGUAAUUUGUAAUAUUUUGAAAAAUAAAAAUAAAGAUUCUUUCGAGAUUUGUUUAAGAGUCCUUCUAGCAUUGAUUUUAAAAAUUAUUUUUAAUUUUAAAAGUGUUUUCUUAAAAUUAAAAAAAAAAAUUAAAAAAUUUUUUUUGACAAAAUUUAAGAAACAUUUUUAAAAAUCUUAAAAAUCACUUGUGAUAUUGAAAAAUUACUAACUCGUCGAGGCUAAGAAAUAGCCCAUUUAUUUGGGACCAUGAGUUUGAAUUCAGCUUCCACUCAAAAUUAGAAUUUUUGAAAACAAAGAAGAAAAUACAAACCAAAUUAAAUCUAGUUGCAUAUUUUUUUAAGAAAAAGAUUUCAGGUUUUAGUGAAUUUUUUAAUAUGAAUUUUUUUGAAAAAAUGUUUUCUUUUUAAAAGAGAAAAAUAAAAUAAAAUUUACAAAUAACAAAACACAAGAAUCACACGUGAGGACAAAAAAAAAUUAUAAAAUAAAAUUUUGGACAACCAACCAAACCAUUAUGGGUGAAUUUUUCUAAAGAAAUACUUGAUAUGUGAUUUUUCUAAAAACACUUUUAAAAAAAAAAUAUUUUCACUAAAAAUAAAACAUUAUAAAACGCAAUAUAAUUAUUCUUUCAAGAUUUAGAAAAGUUUUAGAUCUCUUUUCUGCUCUUAUCUUCUUAAUUAGUGAUUUGAAAGUUUUGAGAUGAGCCCAUUAUAGAGAUUGAAAGCAUCAUAUAUGGAUUCUUUUAUGGUUACUCAAAAAUAUUAUCUCUUUAUUAAAAUAUCAUAUUUUCAAGUCUUCCAUUUUUUUCUUAGCAAAACUUGAUAAUUACUUUUUUGUAAUUAUAAAAUUUUUAUUUUUUAUUUAUUUUUAAAUUUAUAUCUUAAUUGAUAUUAUAUAUAUAAAUAAAAAGAAAUUUGUUCUUUUUUUUUUCUCUAGGGUGAUGCUACACAUAGCAUUAUUUUAUUAGUAGAAAAUUAAUAUUAUGUAAUAAUUUUUAUUUAAUCAUAAUUUAAAUUAAUUAUUAAUAUUUGAUUUUUGUUUUGGUCCAUAAUAAAUUUAACUAUAUGGUAAAUUAUAAAAGGUUAAAUUUUGUUCUUCUACCACCAAUAUUUCUUUGUAUAAAUCUAAUAUAUUAAAAACAGAAAAAUUGAAACAUAAGGAUAAAGAUUAAUCUACAUAUCAAACUCAAAAGCUGAUGCCACUUUGCAAAUGACAUUAUGCUUUAUAUUUUCUCACUUUUUAGCUUUCUUUAUAAAUUUAAUACUAAAAUUUCUUAAUAUAAUUAUUAAAAUUUUAAAAAUAAUAUACAAUCAAAUAAAUUGAAUUUCCUGUGAACGGCUUUGUUAGCCUAGAUAGCGGUGUUUGAGGGCAGAAGGAGCGUAAGUCCCGUGUUGAUCCGCUUGUGGUGGUCCCUGUUUAGAAAAUUAUUUGAAUUGAUUAAGAACAAGGUUGUGAUUAUUUUCUAUUACAAUGAGUAAUAUUAUAAGGGAAUUAAAUAGAGCUAGUUUUUUCAGAUCUCUUAGGUCUCAUGAUAGUUCUGUAUUCGCAUCAAAUAGUUCUAUAUAUAAUUUAGAAAGUUCUUCAUAUGAGAUAAACAAAUUUACAAAUUUAUCACCUGCAUCAUCAGUUGCAUCAUCAUAUAGUCAUCAUAUAAAAUUUAAUAAUUCAAAGUUAGAUGAAGAAUUGAAUCAAAUUGAAACAUAAGGAUAAAGAUUAAUCUAUAGAUUAAACUCAAAAGCUGAUGGCACUUUGCAAAUGACAUUAUGCUUUAUAUUUUCUCACUUUUUAGUUUUCUUUAUAAAUUUAAUACUAAAAUUUCUUAAUAUAAUUAUUCAAAUUUUAAAAAUAAUAUACAAUCAAAUAAACAUCAAUCAAUGAAUAAUAAUUUAACAAUAUACAUUGAGAAAAGCACAUUUAUAACAUUAAUAAUAUUAUUAUUUAAAUAUAAUUUGUGAUAAAUUUAUUCAAUAGAAGUAUUAUAAAUUAAUUUUAAGUUUCUAUUUUUUAUUUUUAUUUUUGUGCUAUUAUAUAAAAGGUUGGCCUCGAAUGGGGAGGCAUCAUGGAAAAUGGACCAAGAAAUUUAUCAUGGGCCUUGAACAAAAAACUCCAUUGAGGUGGAAAAAGCAAGCGUUGAUCCCCACGGCCCAAACUCUUUGGGCCAAUUUUUGGUAGGCCUGAUAUAGUUUGGUGAUGUUUUUAAGGAAUAUUUUGUGAAGGAGGAUAAGAAAAUCCUGAAAUAAAAGAAAUAAUAUUCACUUAUUAGCAACUUUAAAUAUGCUCCAAUUUAAAUAAAAAUAUCCUUUAUCUAUUUUUUUUUUCUUCAAUACUUGAAUGUAUAAUUAAUUAUCCAACUAGUUCUAUCACUCUUCAGCCAUAUUGUCAAAUUUAAGGCAAUUAUAGUGACGCACGUAUAGCCCACUAGCCUAUCCCGAUUUUGCUCAUUUAUUAAGCUUACGUCCUUAAAAAAUAUCUUGAUAAAAUAUCUUGAUAGUGUGUUGUGAAAACUUUUCAUAUACGACUCUUUUUCAUUCACUUUUCGGGUCAUGUGGGGUACUACAAGUUCAUUUUAUUUCUUUAUGACUACGAAAUAGGUUUAAAAAUUAACUAAGGAUAUUUUUGUCCAAAAAUUCAUGCAUAAAAAGCCUCUUUCAUAACUUGAUUUAAAAUAUAUAUUUUCGGAAAACAAAAAAAAAGUUUUUUUUAUUUAUUUAUACUCAAAGUAUUUCAAUUAUUUCCAUUCAUUAGUUCCCUUCUUUAAAAAAAUAAAAAUACAAUUAAAAAGUAAAUUUAAAUAAAUAAAAUUAUAAUUUUUUUUUAUCUUUGUUUCUUCUCAUUUAUUUUACUUGCUUUCUCAUAUCUUUAUAUGUUUUUAACAUUAAUUUAUUGUUGUGAUUUUAUUUUUUAAAAUAAAUUUUAAUACUUAAUCUUUAUUAUUUUAAGACGAGUUUAGUAAUUUUUAAAAAUAACUUAAAACUAAAAUGAUGAGCCAAUUAAUAUCAUAAACCAGACAAAAACUAGUCUCAUAUGACUAUGUUUUCUAUGAAAAUUAUUUAAUCAACAAUAAAAUAGUAAUUUCACAUAUAUAAUUAAAAAACUUGACUUAUUUAAAUAUUUCAAAAAUGAACAUUUCUUAUUUUAAAAUUUAUUUUAAAUAAAAUAUUAUUAACUAUUAUUCCUUUUAGAAGUAUUAUUAUUCAUUUUUAACCCAAAAAAUAUCAAUUAGGUCUUUAUCAAGAUAUUAAUGUCCGUAUUUUAUAAUAUCUACUAAAAUAAUAUCAUUCUUUUUUUUUUUGUAACAUUCAUAUUUUAUAAUAGCUGUUAAAAUAAUAUUACUUUUUGAUUUUAUAAUGUUAAUAUUUUAUAAUAUCUAGUAAAAUAAUAUUACUUUUUUAAUAAAAAUAUAAUUUAUGAUUUUAUUAUAAUAUUACUAUUUAUAUUUUAUUAAAAAACAUUUAUUUUUAAUUUAUUCAUAAUUGAAAAACUAUUUUUAAAUUUUUAAUAAAACUUGAACCGAGGUUAUAUGAAAUCAAUAAAAACCGAGUUUAUAGUUCUUUUUACAAAAUAAAAAUAAAAAUUAUAAACUCGAAAAUAAUUUUUAAAAAUAAGUUUCAUUAAAAUAUUUUUAUGGUAAAAAAAGAUUCAAAAUUAAGGAAAAAAGUUUUAUUUUAUUUUUUUAAAAAUGUUAAAAAUAUAAAUACGAGCAUAAAAAUAUCAAAUCUCAUAAAAAUUGUUUAACACUAUAUAUUUUCAAAUUCUUCCUUCCGAGUAUAAAAGUAAAAAUAAAAAAAAUAAAAAAUAUUGAAAUAUAUCAAUAAUUUUUAUUCAUUUUUUAUUUUCUUUUUCUCUCACUUCCCAUAAUGUAUUAAUCACCUCUGUCACCCCAUCUUAGCGUGCAAGAGUGGUACAAUCUUUCAUCACAAUUACGCCACAACCACACCCUUUAAUGGGAUAUUUUAGUAGUCACAUUUAAUAUUAAAAAAAAUUCAAUACUUUCUUAAUCAUUCCUAAAGUCAAACAUUUCUCUUUCUAUUUCCUCAAUCCUUUCAAAAUAUAAUUCUCAGCAAAUCUUAUUCCACAAGUUUACAACAUUUUUCAAACUCUAUUUUUUAUUAAAAGGGAGAAAAAAAAAAUAGAGUGAGAAAGUUUGAUUUUAAAAAUAAUUAAGAAAAUUUUUUAAUUAUAAAAAUUUCUUUAAUAUAAUUUUUUUUAAUGGGAAGUUAAAAGCUAAAGCUAAAGUAACAAUUUUUGAAGGGUAAUAUUAAUGCUAUAAAGUUUUGUUAAAUAUAAAAUAAACUUUUGUAUUAAUCAAAAUAAAAAUUUUGCUAGAAGUAACAUUUUUUAGCUUUUAUAUUAAAUAUAUUUUUUAAGUGAUAAGUUUUUUUUUUAACAAAAUUAGUCAAAUAUGUAUAAAAGUUCUUAUUGAGUUUAAAAAGAGCUUUUGAUUUAUUUUUUUUAAAUUUAUUUAAAAAAAUAUGAUAAUGCAUGGUUAAUUUAAUUAAAGAAUUGUUUAUAUUAGAAAGGCUAGUGGGAGAGCCCGGAAAAUCUGAAUUUUUUUAGAACUUUUAUGAAAAAUAAUUAUCAAACAUAUUCUAAUACUUUCUUCAAACAUUCCAAGGUCCUGCUAGAGCUUAAAUCUCCGAAAUUAUGAAAAAAGAAAAUUCUGAAUUUUUUAAUUAUAUGUUGAUAAUGUUAUUUUGGUUUAGCAAAAACAAAAGCAAAAACAAAAACAAAAAUGAAAAGCAAUUUUAAAAUGUUUAGAUUUUUUAGCAAUUGUGAUCAAAUUCGAUUUUUCUUUCCCCUCUUCAUUAGUCAACCGCUAAACAAGAGAAUUUGAAUCGUCCUAUUUUUGCCUCUAUACUCAAUGCCUUGGUUGAUUCCAGCAUCACCUAAAUACAGAGAAAAAUGAAAUAUAAUGAUAUAUCAAGAGAAAAAAAAAAGGUCUAACAAUCGGAAAAAUAAAAAAAUAGUUUUUAUUCUUUAAAAUAAAAAAUAAGAUAUUUUCCAAAAAUAUUUUUUAAUAAAUUUUUAUUGUUUACAUUUAUCUUCUAAGAAUUGUUUUAAAAAAUAAUUAUAUAAAAUAUGCAGAAUAACUAAAAAUAAUAUAAAUAAUUUUAAAAAACAUAAAAGAACGUUAGAAAACAAUUUUAAAAAACCGUUCUCCAAAAUUAUUUUUUAAAAACACUUCCCAAACACACCCAUAAUAUCCAUCAUGGCUAAGUUAGAUCAGUUUUUUUUUCCUUUAAUUGGGCCAGACAAUGAAAUUCUUCAUUAAUUAUAUUUUCUAUAGUUUCCUAUGAGAGAAUAUCCCAUACUUUUGUUGUACCAUAUAAGUAUACUAGUAUGAUAUAGUAAUCAUCCAUUCAUAUUUUGUCAUCAUGAAACUUAAUUCACUAUAAAAAUAAACAAAAUAAUAAAUUAUUUUAUUAAAAAAACUUAUGAAUUUAUAUUUUAAAUAAUAAAAAAAUUAUAAUCAUUUUCAAAUAUAAAUAAUUUUAUUUUUUUACCUAAUUUUUAAGUUCUGAAAUGACAAAAUAAAAGCAUAAGACUCAUUUCACUCGUCUCAUCCAUUUUAAAUAAAUUUUUUUUAUAAAAAUAAACAAAACGAUAAGUUAUUGAAUUAGAAUAAAACUUUUGAAUUGAAUUUUUUUAUGAUUAAAAAUAUAAUUUAAAAAAAUAAUAAUAAUGUUAUUUUUUAUUUUCAAAUUUUGAGAUCUAAAACUAUAUAUAUUAUUUGAUGAUGUCAACACCAAACACAUUGAAUUUGGUCAUGAAAAAGGUGGUCCAUUGAAAAGUGGCCAUCACUUUUGCUUUUUAUAUUGAAUUAGAUUAAUUUAUUUUUCAUGAAAGGGAGAGGAGAGGUUGAAAAGUGAGGUUUUUUAUUUUUUUUAUUUUUUGGUGGUGUCAUUUUAUCAUCCAAAUGCCAUUAUUUUAUAGAUUCAUGCUGAUAAACAUGAACAAGUAAAAUAGGAAUAGUGACCUUAAAAAUAGUUAAUAAUAAUACUACACCUUUCACUAUCAAAGUCAAGGCUCACUUAUACAACUAUCAGACAAACCCUCUUAUCACCUUUUGCCCUUUUUUUUGUAGGCAUCCACCGACUCACAAUUGUGGUUUUAAAUCUCUCUUGACAGAUCACCUGGUAUCACAUCAUGUCACCAUCAAAACCUCAUCUUCUCCAAUUUUUUGGUCAAAUUUAACCUCUAUCUCAACUGAAAUUUAAAAUAUUAGUUGUAUGCAAAUUAAAAAUCAUCUAAGUUUAUGCUAAAUUCAUAAUUUGUAGAUAUAAUUUCAGAUUUUUUUUCUUUUGAUCAAAAUUAUUAUCAUUUUAAAACAUUAUACUUUAGGAUAUAUUUUGGAAUCGGUUUUAUUGCUUUAUGGAAUUUAGAUUUGGACCAUAUUAUGAUGAGUCUAAAAAAUGAUGACUAAAAAAAUAAGGUGUGAGAUUUAUUUUGCUUGGGAUUUGAUGUUAGAAGUAGGAAGUAUGUUAAGAUUGUGUUAACUCAAGGAGAUGUUUCAUAUUUUUGCAGUAUGGUGUUUUAAUCUUUGUUAUGGGGUGUUUGUUAUAUGAAAUUAGAUAUGUUCCAAAAAUUCUGCCAUAUAGGAAACUUUAAUUUAUCUUACCAACUUUAAUUUACAGUAAACAAUGAGAGCAUUCUACUUCUAGAAUCUAAAAAUGUAGAGUGGGUUUAUGUUGAUGAAUUAUGAUUUUUACAUAGUUGUGAGGGAUUUUUUUUAUUAAUGUAUGAUCAAAAUUAGAAAGAACAAAGUUGUAGAGUAAGGUUAUUGUAGGGACCCCUCCCUCCGAGACGCGUGGCACGCAUCUUACUGUGACACGUGGCACGCAUUGUCAUCCGGGUCAUCUUCAUCCGGGUCUUCUCAUAAAGCGCACUUAGCACGCUUAUCCGGGCUACCUUAAGGAAGAUCGAACGACACUUAUAAGCACAUCAUCCGGACGACUUACACAAUACAUCCGGAUGACCAAGGACUACCUCAAGGAAAAUCAAACGGCACUUAUAAGCAUAUCAUCUGGACGAUUUACACAAUGCAUCCGGAUGAUCAACAUAAGCCGUCCGGAUACAACGAUCCGGACCAUUGACUAAAGUAUAGCGAGUCUUACACGCUAUCACGACAACCAGCCAUGGCCCACGUCCCAUCACCUGCAGAGUGAAAGGACGGGUUGAGGUGACAACAAGUCACUUCCUGCGAUCAUUCUACAUGAUCACUUCCCACGAUCUCUAAACAGCAGCAUCACCUACCACGGUUUUUGACAGCCGCCAGUAGGGUGGCGAUGACCAUGCUGCCGCCGAAUGUCAUCAUGACAAACAUAAAAUAUCUUCUCGCCAUUAAUGAGAGGAACAGUACUCCUGGCACUAUAUAUGAACCUUCGCACGAAGAAGAAGGGGAUCGACAGAUACCUAGUAAAAGGCCAAUUGAUUUAUAUCUCCCUCUCUAACCAUGGCUAACAAAAUCAUCGGAGGGUGCGUCCGGACACCCUGUCCGGAUGCCUUUUUGCAGGUAUAACGACUGAAUCAAGAACCUUUGUGUGUUGAGAUCGCGUCUCCAUCCAUUUGGCAACUACGUGGAAUCCCAAGAGUGCGAGGUAUCAACAGUUAUGUUUGAUUGUUUUCAACAAAAGACUAAUAAGGGAAAGCAAAUGAAAGAAAGGAGAAGGUGCAGUUGCAUACUUUCUUGAAAUUGAGCAAGUUUCCAAGAAACAAUUCUAUUCAUAUUAUUUAAAAUUAUUAUAAAUGAGUUUAUUUUUUAAAAUUGUAACUCAAACCUUGGUAUAGUAAGUGGGGCUAUUUUUAGGAUAAAUUUGAUAUUAAAUAAUUCAUAUUUUUUAUCUUUAUAAAAAAAAUGACAAAGGGAAAUUUUCAAGUUGAGCAAGUAUGUGUCUUAGUAAUUUGUUGGUGGAAUGUUAAGCGCUUAUGAAGAUGUUUUUUCAAGUUGAGCAAGUAUGUUUAGAAGGGUUAAAAAUUUCCUCUUUUGUCAUAUUUAGAAUUUCCCUUUAUUCAUUUAAGAUUAUUAAACUCUUGUAUUUUUUUUAAAUUUUAGGAUCAACAAUGAGGGAAAGUUCAAUCACAGUGUUGUUUUACAUUAAUGGUAAUAUGAUCAAUGCACCUAAUGAGAUUUACUACAAUUCUCCUCCACCAAAGGUUGUGUUAGUUGGAAGCAACACAACAUUCAAUGACUUAGUUGCAUGUUUAGGUCGGGCGUUGUGCAAAGGUUCAUCUCAAGUAAAGUUGAAGUUGGUUUAAAGUUAUGCAAUUAAUCUUGGAGAUGGUAAUUUCAACUUUGUAGUACUACCCAUAAAUGGCAAUGAUGACAUGAGUUUAAUGUUCAAUGUAGCAACAAAUUUCCCUUCACCUAAUAUUGUUGAGUUGUAUGUAAAGAUCCUAUUAGUACAAAUGGAGAGUGUUGACUACACCAUUGAAUGGUGCAGUCAAUUAAGUUAAUCAAUUAGAACUCGUUUUUGGCUACAUUAAGUUUCUCAAGACCUUAGUGGGCUAAAGUCACUUAAGUACAUUGAGGAACCUUAUAAAUACCCUCUUAGAAGUUAGGGUUUUCAUAACUUUUUUGUAGAGUUGUCUUCUACCUCUAGAAAGAAAGAGAAUCAUAGCCUUUUCCUCCCACCAAAAGUAUGCCAAGACUAAGAAAAGGUCAUCAGAAGGAAGAUCUUGAGUCUACGAGACUUCUGACGACAUCAAUUUGAUUCCUCAAUACUUGAAUUUAAGAUUUAGGAGUAUCCAAACUUAAAGGUUAAUAUUUUAACCCUAAAGAUCAUUUUUUUGAAAAAUUAGUAUAACUUCUGUUGCUUAGAUUUAAGAUGUCAACACUAUGAAAAACCUACAAACGUGUAAGGAACCCAUUACUUAAAUAUUCUAUGUAACUUCUAAUGUGUUGAAGUCAUGUACAAGACAAAUGAUAUAGGCCUGAAUGUUCAAAUAAAUCUCAAUGCAAACAAGGAUAAAAUAGUGGAAACUAACUUGGUUACAUCAGGUCUUGCUUUCAAGGGUUUUAUCCUAAUACUUUUUUUCUCCAUUGCCACUAUAGAAGUCUCAUCCUCAUUAUUGCUUCCUAAGUCGUAAAUGUAAUUGUGAAAAUGAGGUAUUUCUUCAUGUUAGUUGGAGAGAGGUUUUUUCAACUAUUCUUUCUUUUAGAGCUUUGGGAAGCUCACCUUGUUCUUUCUUCUCUUCUCUUCCCUUCCCUUUCUUGCCAACACUUUCUUCAUUUUUUUAACAACCUCUCUAUGCCUUGGAAGGUAUAAAAUAGAAAAGUCAACUCUAUUAGCUAGUUUAUUAGGGUGAUUCUAGGGAACAUUUCAAUGAGCAUAAAUGGAUGAAUUGUGUAUAACAUCCUAAGAACUUUGAGUAGUGACUAGAUUAGAGAACAUCCUUUGGUCAACUAGAAUUUGGAAAACUUGGAUGAGUUUGUCAAAGCCUUUCCUAUUAAUAUAAUAAGUUAUCCUUCCUCUUUCCUUAAAGGACAAUUUGGCCAUGUUAGUGUGAGACAAGCUUAUAUCGACAUGGUUCUCUAUUUGAACACUCCUACCCACCUAAAAUGACCACUAACUCAUAUUCUCAUUCCUAUUGCAAUCUAAUUCGUUCCCAAUUGGUGUCUCAGCUGAUUCAUGUCCAGCUGGUGCUCUUUGAUUGAGAGAGUAAUCAACAAAAUUUAUAACAUAUAUCACCAUGCAUUAGGAUAGCUUAGCUAAUAUAGCAUAUUGGUUAUAGGAUCGUUCACUGAGAAGGGUUUUCAACUCACAACUGAUACCAAUUCAAAGUAAAAUUGGUGUUUUUUCAUUUCAAGGUUAGCUUAAGAAAUAAAACACAAACUUCAUUUAAAUGAGGUUUUGUUUAAAGCUAACUAAAAAGAAAGUAAUGGAAAUUACUUAUGAAGAAAAACAUUCCUUGGAGGUUUAGGUUCAUAGGGGAGGUUCCUUAUGCAAAAACAGAGCUCUGGUCAUUUGGUUCAUUUCCUCGUAUUAGAGAAUUAACAUAUAGUCAAUUCUCUAACUGGUGUUGUACAGAUGUAACCUUUAAAUGGAUUUCAGCUCUAAUUCUCUCUCACUGAUGCAACUUGCAAUGGCUCGUGCCUCUCAUCUAGCAUUUGUCAUUCAAGGUGAUCUUUAACUUUGGACUUCCCUUCUCAAGCUCGCAAGAGAUAACUAAUGAAUGUCUCCUUGGAGUCCAAAAGCUUACCAAGUGUUGGCAAUUCUAGAAAAUCCUACCUCCAAGUCACUUCCCAAAAGCUCGCAAGAGAUAAAUAAGUGCAUUUCCAUGGGGAGAUCACGUGCCUUACCAAGUGUUGGCUCAAAUGACUUGAAGGUGUUUUAAGUUAACUAAAAACAUAUAAAUCAUUAAAUGAUCACACUUUCUCUUCAUUAACGACUGAAACCACAAAGCUACUAAUUCUUGCACUUGGAAUCUUCCCGGCAACCUUAACUCCAAGGAACUAAAAGUCUAGCCACUCAUUCUCUGAGGAAACUUCCUCAGAGCUUGUUUGGCUAGUAAGAAAACAAUUAUAUGAAGGAAAAACAGAGCAAGUGCUCUGUGAAAUAUAUUUCUUUCUUCCGUCGAUAUUAUAAUAUUCUGUAAAGAAAAUUACAAACUAUAUAUAUGAGGUUAUUCACCCUUUUGUUCUUACUUAAAGACUAAGGAAUCCUAUGAUAGGUGGAUUACAAGGAGAGUUUGGGGAUUUAGACAUCAAAUAUCUAAAGCAAAAUAUCCCAAAAUAUCUCAAAAUGUCGGUCGAAAAUAUCAGGAAGCUUCAGGAGAACACCGCUGCACUGUAUACUGAGAGAAAAACUCUGCGGGUAAGCGUUAUCAGAAGGUCCAAAUAUGUCUAUCCGAAGAAGUUGAAGCGUCCUCCUCUCCCAUUCGGCUGUGAGAUAUCCGGAUGUAAAAUGUCGGCGCACGGAAUUCCGGAUAUAAAAUGUCGGCGCACGGAAUUCCGGAUAUGAAAUGUCGGCGCACUCUCCUAUCCGAACUCCCUCAGGGAGAAGCACACGACACUCGUGAACAUCACACCUGGACAAUAGCAUAUCCUAUCUGGAUAUUUUGUCCGGAUCAUUGACUUUCGCCGCCAUCCGAUGGUGUGUCCGGACAUCUUUUGCUCCUUGCAUUCCGGAUCUGCUUAUGGCAAAGGACUUCAAAGCUUCGGUUCUUUAUGUUUCUGAGCUUUCCAUUGUUUUGCCAUGGAUUCCAAAGAACUCUCCUCAUUCUUGGAUUGCUUUGGUGAUCAAAAAGCUAUCAAAACACCAAAACUUAACACAAUUUGAUUAGCAUUGAUUGCAAAGGUCCUUAAUAUAUUAAUUGGGUUAAAAGGUGAUAACUACUACUCAAAAGUAUUUAUAAGAGUUAAUUACAGGCCAUCAAAUAGUACUUUUUGAGUAGUAAUCACCUACCCACCUAAAAUGACCACUAACUCAUAUUCUCAUUCCUAUUGCAAUCUAAGCAUCUAUCUAUUACUUGAAAGCUUAGUGUUCAAACCUUAAGUAAUAGUAUAUAUUCCACUAUAACUUGAAUUUGUAGAUAAAUAACACCUCCCAACCUCCUAAAUCAAAAUUGUACUUUUGAUUCAACAUAAUGCACUCCAUUAAUAUUCCAUGGACAUUAGAAGACAACAAGAUGGAUAAAGCUUGACAAAUGAGUCUCAAACAAUAAAGGGAAGAGGAUGUCAUAAAUUGACAUAAAAUUGUUUAUACAUAAAGAAUAUUUCAUCAUUCUCAACUCCACCAUGGUUGCAAAACUAGAUGAACUCGAUUGGAAAAUAUACACCUACGAUAGACGAGAUUGCAAAGGUAUUUCUAAACUUGAGUAUGAUGAAAGAAUCUUCUCUUCGAUCCUUUAGGAGUGACACAAAUAGUGACUCCUGAUCUAAAAUACUUGACUUGUUAUCUUCAUUAUCAUCAACCUAAGGUUUCAUAGGUGCUCCAAGGAGUUCAAAUGAUCUACUCUCUCAAACAUCUUUGAAUGAACCCUAUAACUUGACAAGAUAGGUGGCUCACUAAGACUAAAAAUCUAAAAACUUCCUAUAAGCUAAAAGCUACUAAGAAGGGACUAAGAGGAAGCUAAAAAUUGGGGAAAAACAUUAGGAAAAAGCCAAAACAACUCAAAAACCUCAUAUGGUAUGGAGGAUAUUUUUCACACCUAAAAGAAUAAACUCGAAUAAACAAGGGCAAAGACCUAGACUUUCUUACUCCCUCCAAUGGAUUUCAAACCAUUGAGGAUUAGAAGGGCAAGAAAAAUGGAAAAUUGCAAACAAAUAUAAAGGAAAGAAAAUAAAAUAGAAAGUAAAAAGUAGUAGCAAACAUGAAUUUACUUUUGAACGCAUAUGUAGGAACUCAUAAGCCAGGGAAUCCAUGGCCAAUGCAGAAGCUUUUGAGCAAGCAAUUUGCAGAGUAAGACUAUAUAGGAAGCCAAGUGUAAAUGACAAAAAGGAAUAGCAGACAUGCAAUACAUAAAUAUGAAGGGAGAAGGUCAUUAUGGGCUAGAAACCCAAUAACCAUUCAAGUAAAGUCGUGUAACAAAUGCAUUGGCAUCAGAAAAAAUGACUUUUGAAUAUCCCCAUUUCAUGCUUUCCAAAUAGCACAUGAAAUGGAAAGAAAAAUAAAAGGCAUUCCACAUAAUCAAAUUUUGCUUACAUGUGUCAAAUACAAUGAUAAAGGACAAGUACAACUGCCCAUGUUGAUGGGAUGAACUUGUCCAUCUCUUGUGUUUGUCUAUCACCUCAAUGAGAGGAUGAAAAUGGAUCUUGAUUUGUUUUGUAUUUGUCUACCAUCUUUUUUGUAGAAGUAUACUCCACAUGAACGAAUGUGCGCCUAACAUAAUGAUGACAUAUGAAACCUAUAAGGAAACAUCUAAUAACUAAUAUUUGACCAAAUAAGCAAUAAGCUCAUAUAAGAAUCAAAUAGAUGGUCGUCAAGUAACCCUCUAUAUGAUGUGGGGUAAAGAAAAAAAUAGAGAGAAUUCAUAUUGAUUUCAUUCUUCUUCUUCUACUUUUUUAUUUGUAAUUAUUCUUGUUUAUUAAUCAACCAUAAAAAAUAAAAAAAGAUUUUUGAAAUCCUCAUUGUUGGAUAGGUGACUAGUAGAAGGAAGCUGAAUCGUAAUCUAUGGACAAAGUUGCCAAGCACACUCAAUUCAAGGAAAAGGUGUUGGAAGUUCUUGAUCCAAGAAUUCAUAUCAACAUAUUUCUAAAAGAAAAUAGUAUAUUAAACAACCCAAAACAUAAUAAAUAUAAUAAGAUAGUAGCACAUCAAAUAAUAUAAUCUGUUCACUAAAUAAUGUCAUUUUACAAAAUAUAUAAAUAUAAUUAAAAAAAUAAUUGGUUAUUUUUAUUUAGAGUAUGUUUAAUAGUAAUUUUAAAAAAUGUUUCUAUCAUUUUUAACACUCAAAUGGUAUAAAUUUUAAAGUGUUUAAAAAUUUGAAAACACUUACUACCAUCGGUGUCAAAUAGACUUUUACUCUUUUUUGAAAUUGACUCUUUGAUAGAAAGUAAUCAUAUUUUCAUUCAAGAAAUAUUCCAUAAUUGGUUUCCAAUCUCACCCAUAUUUUACGAUUUUAACUCACACAAAUAUGAAAUGUCAUUAUCCAUACGACUAAUAAUUUCGUUACAAAUCAAAUCAAGUUGUUGAUAAAAACACACCCAUUUACCUUAUAAAUCAAACAAAACCAUCUCAAUCAUGAUUUUAAUUUUGGGUCCGAUUAUAGUAUCAAAUUGACAUAUAUUAAAUCAAUCACUUUAUACGGAAGUUGAACUCGUUAUUUUAUAUUCUAAUCAUAUUAUAAGAUUGAUUUUAUUGUUUUACAUUUUGAUUCCCUUUUAUUAUUUUUAUCUAGUGACCUCGUUCAAUGACUUAAAUCUUACCAUACAUAUUCAAAGAUCUAAAUUUAAACUCCAAUAAAUAUCACUACGAUAUCUUAACAUUUUUAUUUAUAUAUUUAUAUAGUUUCAUUGUUUGAUAUAGAUUCCAACUUAUUGUUAUCUUAAUUUUACAUGGUGGCCUAGGUUUUAUCUGAGAUAAGACCAAACAAAGUUGGGUAGCUUACCUCCCCGAUGGCUUAAAACUUUUCCUUUAAUUUUUACAGGUGUCUUCCUUCCAUACCAAUGGAGCCAUUAAUGUGAUCUCUAAUCAGAAAACACCAUAACCUAAUAAUGGAGCAAUUGGGCCCUGCACCACACUAUUACAAAAAGGUGACAAUGACAACAGUGUCAGACCUUCAGAUACCAACAACACACAAGCCCUCAUUGAAUUGAUGCAUGUGGGUGGGUCACCUGACUCACCUCUAUAUUACACGUUUUCCUUUUCUAUUUGUUGUAUUCUUCUUCCAACAUAUUUCCUUUAAUAGUGGAGACUUACCUCCUUAUCCCAUAACCAUUCUUUCUUUCUUUUUUCACAUGGGGUUGGCUUUUCAUGGUCAGAGUUUUAUAUAGUUUCUGUUUUCUCCCUUUUUACCUUUCAUCUCUCUCUUUGUGCAAGGAAAACGUGUCCUUGAAUUCAUCCAUAUAUUCCAUUAGCACAUGGAGAGUUAGUAGGUGGAUGGGAAAAUUGCUUGGACUUUUGUGGGCAUGUGACUUGUUGCUCUUUGUCCAUGUUUUAAAUUUUUUUAAAUUUAAAGAUCAUGUUUGGUUGGUAAAAAAUUUAAGAAGAAAUGUAAGAGAAAGAAAAAUAAAGAAAAAAAAAUAGAUACAUGGAUUAAAUCAUGGAUAUAUAGAUUAAAUUAUUUGAAAAUCCACAUAAUUUUAAUGAAUUUUAAUUAUAUUUGAUUUUGUUUGUUUUUUUAUAAUAUAAUCCAAUAUAAGAAAAUCAUUUUAUUUAAUAUUUUUUUCUUAAUAUUUUUUGGGAAAAAACAUAACCAAAGUAAGAAACUCAAUUUUUAAAAAAAAUAAUUUCAAAGAAUUCUUAUAUUAUAGUAGGAAUUAUCAUCAUUUUUUAUUUUUAAAUAGAUAAAACACCAAAUGUAUUCAAACUAACAGACAAUAAGACUAUGUUUGGUUUUUGAAAAGUUUAAAGGAAAAUAUGAGGAAAAAAAAUGAAAGAAAAUAAAAAAUAGAUUUAAAAUUAAUAAAUUAUUUUUAUAUAUUAUUUCAAUUAAAUAUACAAAUUUCUUAAUAAUUUUAAUUAUAUUGAGCUUUCUUUCGCAUUUUUUAUAGUAAAACCAAAUAUGAAAAAAUUAUUUUCUUUAAUGUUUUUUUUUCUUAAUACUUCAUGAAAAUAUCAUUAUUUUAUACUAACAAAUCUUUAGAAAAUAAUUUUAGCAUCAAACCCAUUUACAUAAGACCUUAUUUCUUUUUAUAGAACAAUUUUAUUUUAAUGAGAUGUUACUCUUGUGACCAUGAUAUUAGUGAUUCUUAUUCAUUUACUUGUAUUAAUAAUUAAUUUUUUAAAAAUAAAAUGACAUUUAACUUAUUUCACAAAAUUAGCAACCAUGUUCUUUAACUCUAUCUAAUUCAAGCCCAAGCGUACUCAAUAUUACUUGUACAUUUCUCAAAUUCAAAAUGAUGAUAAUAAUCGAUAAGAAAAAAAAGUGUUUUUCAUAUAUUCAUAUAAAAAAAAACUCACAAAAUAAAAUUUGAAGUUUAUAAAAUACAAAUUUCAAACCGUUAUUUAAAAAUAAUUAAUAUUUUAUAUAUUUUUUGAUCAAAUGUACCACCUUUGAUAAUUCAAGUGUUACAUUUUCAUUAUAUAAAUACUACAUUUGAUCAUCAUAGCUACUACAUUUGAUUGAUGAGUGUAUAAAAUUUGAAUUAUUUUUAGAAAGUUCAUAUUUUAUGAUUAUUCACAAAUUUUCCAUCAAUUCACCGGCAAUUUGGUGGAUUUAGAUUGGAUGGGCCAAGAUAUGAAAAUUGUGUGAAUCAAACCUAAUCCAUUGAAAACUAAAUAAAGAUUUUUCAAACCUACAUGCGUGCAAUCGAACUCCUAAUUAAAAUACUUUUCGAAAAUAAAAUAAUAAUAUAUUUUUCAUAAGUGUCCGUGGCUUACAUCACCCAAAGAUUGAUGAUUGUUUAUUUUACUUUACUUUUAAAAAGCUACAACAAAGUCUUUGAGAAUAAAUUAAAAAUACAUGCAAAAGGCUCCACGUUCCUCUCAUGCCAUGGUCUCAUGCCAUAGAAUUAACACAUAUGUUAAUUAUGCAUAUAUGACUUAUUUUAUCACAUUUUUACAAUUGUAAUCAUGUUUAAUCCAUUUGUUUUUAUAAUUAUAUAUCUUAAAAUAUUUUUUUUAUAAAUGCUUUUAUUAUAAAAUUAUAUUAAUUUUAUUAUAUUUUUGACAAAUUAUUUAAAAUAUAUAUUUAAAAUUUUGAAGUCUUAAAUAAAGAUUAUAAUUGUAUAUGAACAAUAUAUAUAUAUAUAUAUAUAUAUAUAUAUAUAUAAAAGUAAAUGUUUGGUGCUAAUUAAUAUAACACAAUUAUGUUCUUAUGAUUUGAAGAUUGCUCGAGGUGUUUCUGUGAUAUAACUAUCUUUAUAAUUUUAAGAGUAUAUCUGGGAGUGAUAUUAUAAAAUGCUUUUAAUCUCAAAAUAUAAUUUUUUUUUUUUUAAAUUAGGUGUUUGUGAAAAUUUAAUGGUUUGUUUGGUAAUUAUUUUCAAAAACAAUUCUUAAUAAUAGUUUUUAAAAAUUGUUUUGUAAUGUUUUAUAAAAUAAAAUAUAUUCAAAAACCUAAAAUGUUUUUCACCUGUUUUAAAUAUUUUUUAAUAUAUUUUAAAAAAAAUUAAUGUUUAGUGUUUUAUCUUUAAUAAUUCUAUAUAUUUAUAUAAUUAUUUUUUUAAAUAGUUCUUAGAAUAUAAGUGAAAACAACUAAUAUUAUUUGAAAACACCUCAUUUAAAUCAAAAAACAGUUUUGAUUAUUAAACAUGUUUUCCUAUUUUUUUGUUUUGGAAAAUAUAAAACUGUUGUCAAAAAUAGUUAUCAAAUAAGCCUUAAAGAAUCGCUUUUAAAAAUAUGAAAAAUCAUGUAUAGUAUUAAAAAAUCACUUUUAAUGUUUUUUUAAAUAAACACUUCAAGUAUAAACACGGAUAAAAGCACUUUAAUAAAAAAAAUUUUUUGAUUCAUGAUAUCUUUAUUUUUUAAUUUUGAAUAUUUUAUAUUUUCUAAUUUUAACGAGUUACAAUUAUUGAAUGCGAUGAAAAUCAAAUCUUAGUCCAAAAUUAUUUCAACUUGUCACAAAUGAUCAAAUGAUACCAUGUAGAUGGGUCCAUAUGGAAAAAUCCAAGUGGCAAUUUCGUAUUUUAUAAAUUAAAUUUAAAUAAAAAAGGACAUAUAAAUAGAUUUGUGGUUUGAAGAUUCUAGAAAUUUCUCUAUUUAUGGUAUGCACAUAGUUACCAUUUGUGAUGCAUUAAUUUCGCAUGUCCAAAAUGUAAAUAUAUAUUAUAAAUAUUAUAAUUUUUAAAAUUACAUUUAUAGUAUAUGAUUUCAUCUAAAAAUGGAAAUCUACGGAGAUAACAAUGAUCACGACUUAGGUGUUCCAUUCUUGACUCUCUCGUAUUAAGGAAAGUCCUCCCAAUGAUUUCAUCCACAUAUUUUCUUACUAUUAUAUCUUUAUUCAGACAUAUUUUUCCAUCAUAUAUAAUUUUCAUAAGUUGUUGUAUUUAUCGUAACUUUUUCCCAUAUGACUUGUAAUAUUAAUAUGGAUAUUCUUAUCGGAUUUCUUUAUUCUACAAAAUUAUGUUUGAUUGAUAGAUAAAAAACGAUAUAUACGUUAUAAUUUAAUAUUUUUGGAUAUUAUCAAAUGAGAUAUCAAGUAUUACAUAUAAUGAGAUAUAUUAUAUUUAUAUUUAAUUUAUAAAAUAAAUAAAUUAUAUAAUAUUUUUUAAUAUUUAAUAUUUGUUUAAAAUAAAAAUUAUAUUGCUUUGUAAUGUUGGCUAUUAAAAAAAUACUAAAAUUCUCAUACAUUUAGUGUUAUUUAGAAGUUGCUAUUAUUUGUUAAUAAUAUUUAUGAUUAAAAUAUUUAAAAUUUUAUAUUAUAUUAUUCAAUUUAUAUAACAAUUAUAUAUAUUAAUACUAUUUUAUAAUAUUUUUUUAAAGAGAGGCGAAAGAUUUGAACAAGUAUGGGACUACCACCUACUCCAUGCCUCUAAUACCGACCAAAUCAAACUUCCAGCUAACAACACUCUUUUAGUCUUUCUUCACGCAAACACGACCUCUCUUUCCAUUCUUUCUUCUCCACCACAAUCCACUCACAAGUCAACACGUGUCCAUUCCUAAUUUUUCCACUCCAAUAUUUCCCAAGCAGACUAUAAUCAAUGUCUCGACAGUCCAUGGGAUUGCCACCCGACAAUUCAUAUUACGUCACCUUACCAUAACAUUAUAACGAUUAAUUUUGAAAGCAGUUUUUUUAUUUUAAAAACAAUUAAGAUGUAUUUUCUAAUAAUACAUUUUAAUUGUUUUUUGAGAAUGAUUUUAAGAAAUAAUUAUAUAAAUAUGGAGAAUAGUUGAAAUAAAACAUAAAAAAACUAAGAAAACAUGUUAAAAAUGAUUCAAGUUUUCGAUAAUUUUUUGUUUUAUAAAACAUUAAAAAUAAUUUUUAAAAUUCCUUCUUUAAAAUUGUUUUUAAAAAUACUUUUCAAAUAGAGUCCAAUGAUCUAUUUGGAACUAUUUUUUAAAAUAGUUUUUUAUUCUUUAAAACAAAAAACAUAGAACAUAUGUUUGAAAAUCAAAAACUAUUUUUUGUUUGAAUAUAAAAAAUGUGUUUUAAGAUAACAUCUUUUAGUUGUUUUAUGUUAUUUUUACUUGUUUUUUUUUUAGUUGUUUUAAUAAACAAUUAUACAAACCAUGUAGAAUAAUUAAAAAUAAAAUACUAAAUAUAAAAAUUAUUUUUAAAAUAUUAAAAACAAAUAAAAAAACAUUUUAUGUUUCAAACAAAUUUUUGUUGUAUAAAAAUUAGAAAAUAAUUUUCAAAAAUUGUUCUAAAACACUAUUUUUUAGAAUUAUUUUAAAAAACAAUUACCAAAUAAACCUCAAGCCUUCAUUUCUAUUUUUUUUAAUAAGAAGUAAUAAUAACUCUUAUAUAAAAAUAUGAAAGUUAUUAUAAAAAAAUAUAAAUUUAUCUUAUAUUUUUAAUAAUUAUGUUUAAAAAUUUUAAAAUUCAAAAUAGUAAAUUUUUUUAAAGAUGUCAAGUCUUAAUGACUUUAAAAAAAUUAAUUUUAUAUUUUAUAUAAAAUUUAUUAUCACUUUUUAUUUUAAAAAAUGAAAAACAAAAAGAUAUUAAACAUACACUAAAUAAGGUUUUUUUUAUAAUUAUUAUGGAAAAACAUAGCUAUUUGCUUUUAAAUCCGAAUUUCGUCUUUUUCUCCUUCCAUAAUGCUAAAAAUGAAAUGUAGAACCAAGAAGGCAAUUCAAGAGAACAGUAUGGGAUGCAUUUGUUUUAGGAAUAAAUAAAACAAAAUUAAAAUAUUUAUCAAUAAAUACCAAUUUUAUUUUCUCCUUUUAAAAAAGUCAAUGUUGAAAGGGAUGACAAUUGAAUGAGUUUUUUCGGGCAUCCAUAAUAGAAUGGGGAGGGUUUUAAUUUUAAUUAAACGAGUUAAGAUGAGUUCGGAUACUAUCUUGUCUUGGCUCACCCCUCGAUUAUAUAUAAAAUUAAAUUAAAUUAAAUUUUAUUUUACUAUUUUUAAUAUAAAGAUAAUAAUAAAAUAUUUUUUUAAUAAAAUAAGUUAUAAAAAAUACGAUAAUUUAAUUAUUUAUAAAAUAUAUUUAUUUUAAUUUAAUUAAAAAAUUUAAAAGUAAUUUAAAAAAAAAAUAUUAAACGAGGGAAACGAGUAUAUGAGAAUUUUACAUACACGCUCCGUCUCGUUUAAUUUUUUAAAUGAGACGAAGAUGAUAAUUAUUUUGAAUAAAUGAGAUGAGAUUGGGAUGAAAGCGACCCGUCCCAAACUCGUUCUAUUGUCAUUCCUAAAUAUUGUUAAUUUAUUUGAUAAGUAUUUGUUUUAGUAAACUUUGGGGAAUAUAAUUUUAAUAAAAUUUAAGAUACAAAAAAUUAAUUUUCGGUGGAAAUUCAAUUGAAAUAGAAAAAUAUUUUUUUUUUCAUACAUGUACAUAUUGAAUAAAGGAAUUUCUUGGUUUAAAAUUUUUAUUUUAGAAAAUAAUGGGAAUGAUGUGAAUGGGAUGACGUGGCCAUGGGCUAUUUACAUCUCUCCCAUUCUAGCACUAAUAAAUAAGAUAUUUAACAUAUAUGUAGCAAAUCCUGAUACGCCAUGUGUUCAAUUGACAAAGCGAGUAGCAAUGAAUUCUCUACACCACCGCAGAAGCUACCCUCCUCGAGUAUGCCAACCUCUAUAAAUCCAACCCGGAAGCCCGGAGCCCAGACACCCCAGAAAGCUUCCCCUUUCCCUGUCCCUCUUUCUCUCUCCAGUCUGUCUUUUAAUUCCGUUACUGAUUUGCUUCCGAUCCCCGAAAUUCAGCUGAGUUAUGGGAGGAAUAGUUCCAUUUGUGUGAGUUUCGCCGAAUCGCGGCGUUUUCCGGCUAGAUUUCCGGCGAGAUCGAGAGAGGUGUGAGCAGUGGUGUUAAUAGACCACACCGCAUGAGCUGGUUGGUUAACUUAGGGUUUACUUCGAAUUCCAAUCAUUUCACCACCUGUCUCUUGAUUUUCAUUCUUCAUUACUCUCCUCAAUUACCCCCUGCCUUGUUCAAAUUCGAGAAGCCUCUCGAACCUGGAUCAUUAGUUAGUUGUUUUAAUUGGAAUUUCAAUCAUCGCCGCCGUCGCCGUUUUAGAUCGCCAGAGAAUGGAGUCGUCCGAGAGAAGUAAUCGCCAGUUACGCAGAGGUUGGCUAAUUUCCGUGUUUUUUAAACCUUUUUUUGGAGAGUUGUUUCGUGCUGGUAAAAAGCUGCUUAAUUUGAUCAAAUUUACAGAAUAUGUCAUUCAUGUGGACGAAUAGAGAAAUAUUUUCAUGUGGUUUUGUGAUUUAUUGUUCAUUUGUUUCUUUUCAAUAUGUUUUUUUUUUGUUUGGUUUUCUUACGUAAAUUAAGUGAAGAUUAGCAUGAACAUAUGCUUUGAAAUAUAAUUUUAUUUUUUAAAAACAUUAAUGGUGAUUAGGAAGUGGUAUUUUUGAAAAAUUAGCAGUGAUCAUACAAUGGCAUGAAUGUAACUGUAGGAAGUGAUCAUUCCUGGUGCCUACCCAUGAAGCAUCCGCUGGCGAUUUCAGACCCUGUUUGAAGUGGCUUCUUGAACUUGAAAGGUCUUUAAAAGUACAAUACGAGCUUUUAAGUGUGUUUAUUUUUAUUGAAAAAGAGCUUAACAUGAAAGCAAUUUCAGUGUUCUUCCCGAGGAAGCUAUUCAGUUUAUUUUGAGGAUGAAGGAACUUUUAAUAAUACUGAAGUUACCCAUUUGAAAUCAUGCUUUGCCUUGUCAAAAACAAAAUGCUAUCCUGGACAGGGUGUUUUGUUGAAUAAGGAGAAUUUGAUUACUCUAUGAAGUCAGAUAUUUAAUUAUCCACAUGCUUUAUAAUUUUUCUGAUUUUUUUUUUUUUUUUGAAUUUUCAAAUAAAGGCUAUUGAUAUUGUCCUGUUUGAUUUUCCCUGCGUUCCUUGCACUUGAUUUUAUACUUAUUUUAAAAACUAGCAUUUUGUUUUGAUCAUUCAUAAAAGUUUUUUUUUUUUCCCCUUUUUUUUUGUGGUGUCGUAGCAUAUAAUCCUCAUAACUUAGUGAAAAUUACUCUGCGACCUAUCCAAAAUGAAACUUUUUACAGUUUCUGCAAUGAUUGUACCAUUUGGUAAGACUGAGUAAUGCUUUGUUUUCAUUCAAACAUAUACAUCACAUAAAUGCUUAUGAUUUUACAAAAAUUUCCCAGUUGAAAAAAAAAAACCUUUUUUUAGUUGUUUAAUGAUUGUGCAAUCGGGUAAGUUGUCUUCUUGAAAUGAAAGUUUCAACUAUACGAAUAUGUGAGAUUCAUGGCAUUGAAAUGGUUGUGCCUUUGAGGCCUAGCUCAAGUGGUAAAGGGAUGGGAAGGGUUUAUGGGAGGUUCCAGGUUCAAGUCCCAAUGGGGACAAAAAUUUACCAAUCAGAAAAAAAGAAUAAAAAAAGGCAUUGGAAUGGUUGCGCAUAAAAUUAACAUGUGGCAUUGAUGUCAAUAGUUGAUAUGAGUAUGCAAAAUUAUACUGGCUUGAUGGGUCUCUCAGAUAUGUUUAUCCAAUUUUUUUAUUAUCAUUGUUAGGACUCUGUGACAUGUACAAAAUUAUACUGCCAUGAUGGGACUGACAUGUUUAUGUUAUUUCUACUAUUAUUGAGGUCAUUCAUGCACUGUAUUUUGAUAAUGCUGCAUGUUAAAUUGAAUAAACAUGCCAGAGAGACCCAUUAAGCCAGUAUAAUUUUGAACAUGACAUCAAUAGUAGCAUGUUCAAAAUUAAACUGGCUUGAUGGGACUGACAUGCUUAUGUUAUUAUUAUUAUUAUUAUUGAGGUCAUUUAUGAACUGUAUUUUGAUAAUGCUGCAUGUUUUCUGUUUAUGUUAUUUGUUGUUUUUACCAUGCUUUUCAAAAAUGGACUGGACAUUGAUAUUUCCACCAUUGAUUUUUGAAAAGAAAUACUGGUUUGAGGAGUGGUACAAACACUUUCAAACUAAGAGUUAAAUGCAAAUGUCGACAUCUUGUAUGUUGAUAAUAUCUUUUGUUAAAGCAUAGCUACAGGUUUGGAUUUGCUCAAAAUCAUAUGAGAUCAGGGAAAUCCUUGCCCAAAUUCACAUGGCAUUUUGACUUUGGAAUUAUCCAAAAUCACAAUAAAGCGCACACAGGGUGAAUUCAAUCAGAAAUUUUUCUGUUGGUUCCUGGAAUCUAACUCAGUAGAAUCUGGGCCUCUCCUCUAGAGUCUGAUUCCGUGCUACAAAAUGAGGCUCUAGAGUUCUCAAAUUUUGCUAUAAUGCUCUUACCACCAUGUAGCUCUUAGUUUAGAGUUUUGUAUAAACUACUUGAUCAAUCUUGGAUGCAAUUCAAUUAAAUAACAUUGGAACAUAGCAUAUGAUUUCUAUUGUAAUUAUGAUAUUUUCUACUCGUUUCUACAAUUGGUUUUCCUUUCCUCUACCCUGUGCUUGCUAUUUUCUUUGCGUAGUUCAAUCCUCUCAUUUUCCUCUUCUGUUCAAGACAUUAAGCUUAGUUUAUUACUGUUCCACUAAUGGUCAAAGACUGCCCAUGAUUUAGUGCUUUAUCGACAUGUUCUUCCACAGUAAUACACUUAUUUGAAGUGUAUGGUGUAAAAACUGCAUGGACUUCAUGUUUUGUUGAUUUACUUUUUACCCAUGGAAUUGAACCUAGAACCUCUUCCAUCCCACUCCAAUCCUUCGCAACCUAAGCCAGGUAUCGGGGGCUUUACUUCAUUGUUUUGUUGAUUUAUUUUGAUAAAAGUAUUCUUGGAAGGCAUAUGAUAGUGACUUCAGUACAUUCCAAUGUUAUUCUAAGAUGUAAAUUAUUUUGUGAUUAGGAUGUGCAUUUAAAGAUUCUUUUAUCAAAGUGUUGAAGACUUGUAGUUCAUCUCUAUGGCCUGAUUUCCAGAAUCUGAAUUCAAUCUCCUGUCUUGUAGCUCUUUGUUAUGCAAAUAUUGAAAGGCAGCAAGCGACAUCACCAUCUGUUAUCGUCAUAGGUGCUGGUAUGGCAGGCAUUGCAGCUGCUCGUGCCCUUCAUGAUGCCUCAUUUCGGGUAUUCAAAAGAGAAAAUUUGAUUAUGAUGCAUAUCAUUUUUAUACCCCAUGCUUGUUAUUGUGUCUACACUUGACAUGACUAGCUGGUCCAACACUUAUGGAGCAUUUGCAAAUGCUUCUUUCUUGUUGCCAAGGAAAAGUGUAUGAUGCAUUUUUAGUGAAAUUUGUUGGAGACCAUGAUAUACAUUAUGAAUCCAAAUCCUAACAACUUGCAGUUCUAGAAAACUUGGUUGUUCAAAAUGGAAUCUGAGCAUCUUUAGUUGGAGGCCAUAUUUAUUUCCCCAAUUUGUUGAUUCCACGUUCAAGCCCAACUAUGUAUUUAUUAAGCCCAUAUUCAAGCCUAAGAGCUUUUAGGAAAAUUGGUUAUACAACAAAAUUAUUGCAUAAUUUUUAGUCAUUAACUAGUCUGAGUUUCAUGUCUGCAUUCCUUGGUGGGUGGAUUGGUAAUGGACCAAAUUUUCAACAAUGUUGCAUGUUUACUUAUUUUUUUAAGUAUAUAUGAUGCAUUGCCACAAGUUUAUCCAGAUUGUUUAUUUUAUGGCCAAAUCUUGUUUUUAUUGUACACAACAAUGAGAAAGUUGGAGCAGGUGUUUGAUGCAGAAUUAGGUAUCAUGCGCUUGUCCAUAUGGGACAUGUGUAUGUCUUUGUACCAAUAUGAUCUGCUUUUCACUUCAUGCGAAAGAGUAGCCUGAUCUGUGGAUUAUAGCUGUUUAUAGGUGCUUUUAUAUUCUUCCUGGAUUAGUAUUGCUCUAACCUAGUGGCCUUAAUGGCAAUUCUGGUGGAUGGACAGCACCUUGCUAAGAUAUAGGGAACUAAAACGCCCAAGUAGCUGUUGUACUCAUAUUUAGUUAAUUUUAGCUUGACUUAAAGCUUAGGGAUGGGCUGGAUUUUUCUCUCCUGAAGGCAAACAAAAAAUGAGCUUCAUGUUGGAGUAAACAAUAGCAAGCACAGACAAGCUUGACUUUUUGUCAAGUUUGACUUUUUGUCAAGUAUCAUCUACUUUAUAAAGAUGCAAAACACAAUAUCAGCAUAAUUUUAAAGCUGGUUUGUAAUAAGGAAAAAUGUAAACCAGGUUUCAACACUUGCUUUUUUGUGCAUGUGAAAUAACUUGUAAUAAUUUCGUUUUCAGCCAGUAUGCUUGUCUGUUCACGAAUUUAGUUGCAACCAUUAUUACUUUUGGAGAUGUUAGCCAUAGAUAAAUAUUGCUCUGUUCUGUUUGCUAUUUUCGUUUUUGAUCAGAUUUCUGUUUGCUAUAUUCCUAACUAUACACACUUUAUCUUUUUUAGGUUGUUCUGUUGGAAUCGCGUGAUAGAAUUGGUGGACGGGUUCAUACUGAUUACUCAUUUGGUUUUCCUGUUGACCUGGGAGCAUCAUGGUAAACUUUUAUCUUUUAGCUUUCUUUUUGCUAAAACCUGUGGAUACCUCCUGUCAACUCUAAUUAAAAUCUCUUUCAAAAUUGUACUCAAGGCUUCAUGGGGUCUGCAAAGAGAAUCCCUUGGCACCUUUGAUCAGCAGACUGGGGCUACCACUCUACCGUACUAGUGGCGACAACUCUGUGCUGUAUGACCAUGAUUUAGAAAGGUAAACACAUUUUACCUUUGUUGCUUUAUGGAUGGCCAUAGUUUCUAAUACAUAACAUGCUUGAGACAGGAAUGUUUCAGUUAUUUGUUUGGUAACAUAACAUUUAUCUUUGAGCGUGUCAGCCUGAGCUUCUGUUAAACAUCCAAUUACAUCGUUUCUUAUUCUAGACUAUGAAUUGAUGACUUCAGAGGAAAGGUUCCAUUUGUAAGUUGGUGUUGGUAAUUUAUAUGUCCUAGCCUCCAUCUGUAUUUUUAUGUCAAUGGCAUUGCUGUCAUAAAAUAAGUUUGAUGAAAUGAAAUUUGGUGAAGUUGACUAGUUAACAUUGGUGUAUGGUUAGAAUUUUUAACUAACACUCUAAUGUAAAAUCAGAGACAGGGAAGGUGGUAAAGAAAGUCAUUUAAGUCUUCAUGUUUUUUGUUUUGUUUUGUUUUUUCUUUUUUUCUUGUAGAUAACAUAACUUGAUAGAAUAAAAUCUACUUGAGACAGGAAGGUACCGCAACCCAAAUACACUACUAUUUAUAAUAUCUGUACAUUUAGUUUAAACAUCACUUCCUUUUAAACUGCAAUGUUGCAUUAUUUUUUUUUUUGAUAAGUAAACUGCAAUGUUGCAUUAUGACCUUGUCUUCUUAUACAUAAGGGUUCUUUUAAUGUCUUGAGUUUUAUAUCUCUUUCAUUAUUUCCUUGAGUUCCAUGGAAAUUUCUAAUGCUUUCAUUUCUUGAAGUUGAAAUUUACAUUGUAAAUAUUUCAAGCCAUGGACCAGUGGUUAGUUCUGGACGGCAUUCUAUCUUUAGCCUAGAAUGUAUACAAAUGAGGGAGAAGGAUUAAAAAAUGAGGUAGAGGGGGGUUGCGGGAUACAAGAAGAGAAAAGGACUUGUGAAGGAGAAAAUAAACACUAAUAAAUUACUACUAAGUAGUAUGGCAAUAAAAUUAAAUUUAAAAAAAAAAAAAAAACAACUAUGAUGAGCAAGCAAAUUUUUACAGAACUGCUGCUAUGCCUUCUCUACAGUAACUUAAUAAAACUUGCUAAAAAGCUGCUAAUACUGCUGUUUAUUUGUUGCUACAAAACCAAAUAAAACAUUGUAUGGAUUGUAGCAUUUCCAAUGCAAAAAAUUAUCUCAAAGAAACCUUCUUUUGUUAUCAUACUCCAUAUUAUUGGUUUUAGGUGAUUAUUAUUGUCUUAUGCAGCUAUGCCCUCUUUGAUAUGGAUGGGAAUCAAGUUCCUCAAGAAUUAGUCCGAGAGAUUGGUGUAGCAUUUGAGAAAAUUUUGGAAGAGGCAAGUAUUGUCUUAUUAUUUUGUUUUGUUUACUUAUGAGACUGUAAUUAUGCCUGAUGUAUAACUUUUUAUUUUUACACCUCCGUAAACUUACAUUUCUUUCUAUAAGAUGUUAAAAUGAGAUACUAAAUUUAAAGCAGGCAUGUGGAUGGGGAUAGUUUGGUAAACUUGACAGGCAUGAGUUGUGCAUCUUAGCCAAGGGUGGGGGCUUGUGAAACAUGGACUUCACAAAAAUUUACCAAGGGGUUGUGGCGAGUGAAAAGUUGAAGAUUUUGUUCAAUUUACUUUUAGAUUGUCUUGUAGCAAAGCUGUGAAGAGAAGUUUUUGUGUCUAGUCUGGUAGCAAUUUGCUGAGUCAUUUUUUCUGUUGAAUACAGACUGAUAAAGUGCGACAGGAACAUAGUGAAGACAUGCCCAUCCUAGAUGCAUUCAAAAUUGUUUUUGAAAGGAGGCCAGAUUUAAGGUUUUCCAUCACAACACUAGAUUUCAAUAGCCUGCUAAAUAUAUAUAUUUCUUAAUAGUCAAUAGAUGACUUAGUAUAUACAAAAUGCAGGCUGGAGGGGCUGGCUCAUAAGGUACUGCAAUGGUACUUGUGCAGAAUGGAAGGCUGGUUUGCUGCAGAUGCUGAUAACAUAUCACUUAAAAGUUGGGAUCAGGUAUCAAUUCAUAAAUAGUUCUAGAUCUCUUAGCCAAUAGAAAUAGAAAAAAGAGUUGUUCAAGAAUCAAUGUGCGUGUAUGCUAAACAUGAUAAGGAGACUCGGUAAAAUCAUUUUUUGGUUUUUCUCACAAGCCCUUAGUAUAUAUAAUAUCUAUUCGAUCUGUUACUAUGUUAUUCUGUACAUGUUUCUUACUCAUCCAUACAAUCCCCUGAUGUAUGUGCAAUUUUUAUUUUGCCUCUUGUUCUAUACAUGAAAAACUCACAUGCAGUUUGGACACCUUUUUUAUUUUGCAUAUGAUUUGCAGUAUCAUAAAAAAAAAUUAACAAAUUCCAUUUAAGUGUGCUUUUGAUUGAUGAGUUGUACUAUUGGUUCCUUAUAUUGCCUUUAGAAAAGUGAUUUAUAAGAUGAAUGCAUCAAUAUCAAUAUUGAUACUUAGACCAUUCUCAACAAAUGAAUCCUUCUGAUGAGCAAAUAAAUCCACUUUGUUAGCUGUCAUGGCUUUCACCACCCUCUUAAAACUGGGGAGGAUUAAUAACUCUGCCAUUAAAUCUAUAGUUUUAGGAGAAAUACAAUAAAUGUAUGGUGGGCAAUAAGCCUUUGCAUGCUAGCAGUGAAAACGAAGAGUGAAGAGAGAGAAUUUAUGUAUUGAAUGGCAUUUUUAUUUAUUCAUUUUAUUUUUUGUUUAUUACUUGAUUCUUCUCUGCAUAUUGUGUGUUAUAGGAUGGCUUUGUGUAUCUGCAUAAAAGAACAGUGUUUGAGGUUACAAUUUUUGUUUAAUAUGCAGGAAGAACUCCUUCCUGGUGGUCAUGGGCUAAUGGUCCGAGGUUACAUCCCUGUUAUAAACACCCUCGCAAAAGGUCUCGACAUCCACUUGAACCACAGGUAUUAAUCAAUAUUUAUAUAGUCCUGUUAAUUUAAUCAUGUAUCUGUUCAUUGCUCAGCCGCAUUUUCUAUUCAUACAGGGUUACAAAAAUAGUAAGGCGUUAUAAUGGAGUCAAGGUAACAGUAGAAGAUGGGAGAUCAUUUGUUGCAGAUGCUGCCAUUGUUGCUGUCCCCAUUGGUGUUCUGAAAUCGAGUCGCAUAAAGUUUGAGCCAAGGCUCCCAGAGUGGAAGGAAGAAGCAAUUGCUGACAUUGGAGUGGGAAUCGAAAACAAGAUAGCCUUGCACUUUGAUAAGGUGUUUUGGCCAAAUGUGGAGUUCUUGGGAGUAGUUGCAGAUACGUCUUAUGGCUGCAGUUACUUUCUAAAUCUCCAUAAAGCUACAAGUCAUUCUGUUCUUGUUUAUAUGCCUGCUGGGCAGCUGGCCAAAGACAUUGAGAAAAUGUCUGAUGAAGCUGCUGCUAAUUUUGCUUUUAUGCAACUCAAGAAGAUCCUUCCUGAAGCUUCUGACCCGGUAAUGGUUAUAGACUUUGCUAUUUAGCUUUUACAAACAUAUAAUUCAUCUUUUCCAAUUACAAUUUUUGAGUUGUCAUGCCUGAGGCCUUCAGCAUAAUUCUCAAGUAGCAUACCCUAAGGCUUUUCCAGGCUUCCAAAUUCUUCAGUAUAGAUUUAGAUUAGAUUGUCAGACAUGUACAUUUGAUUGAAUUCCUUUGGGGUGGGAUCUACAAAGCUGCUGUUAUCUAUUUCAAAUCUGGUUGGGUUACAGAUAAAGAUAAUUACUGAUGAAAAGAAAUAGGAUGAAGAAAAAGUACACGACAAAUCCCGGUGGAUAUGAUAAUUUCAUGUGUGUAGUGGGCAUUGCCUUGGGUUUUCUAAAGUUUUUGUUCAUUUGGUGCAGAUUCAGUAUCUUGUUUCUCGGUGGGGCACAGAUGAGAAUUCACUUGGAUCCUACACCUAUGAUGCAGUAGGGAAACCCCAUGAUCUGUAUGAGAGGCUAAGGGUCCCUGUAGACAAUCUAUUUUUUGCAGGGGAGGCGACCAGUGUGAACUACCCGGGGUCUGUGCAUGGUGCAUUCUCAACUGGAACAUUAGCUGCAGAGGAAUGCAGGAUGCGUGUCCUAGAGCGAUAUGGGGAGCUCGAUUUGUUCCAGCCAGCCAUGGGUGAAGAAACAUCAUUCUCUAUCCCGCUUCAGAUUUCCCGGAUGUGACUUGGUGGCCUCUAGGCUGUCGUCCCCCACUACAACGAAGUACUGUGUGUUUGCGUUUAUAUUAUUAAUAAGGGGCCUCCUGACUAACGCAUUGUUGCCAUUUUGAUUGGCUGCUUUGGGAAAAUUAGUGUUCUCCCACAGAUUAAUCAAUCAAAGGAUUGGUUAAUGUGUAUAGUCUCCUUCCACCCAAAUACUUUGUCUGUGAACUAUCGAGUAUGAACUUUGUAUAUCUAUAUUCUAGUCUAGUGUAAUCUAGUCUCUGGUCUAGUCCAUAAUGGAGCCUGGUAUUUCAUUAGAGGCAGAAGUUGACGGUAUCAGAAAGUAUGGAUAGCUUUUUAGAUGCAUCAACGAGAGAUAUAUGUAGGGAAGACGCUAGAGAUUUUCUUGUUCAAUAAUGGUUUGUAUCGCACUCUCCUCUAUAGCUAUAUAUAGAAAACAUUGUGGUGUUAUAUAAAUAAGUAAGAUAAGGGUGUGGCAUUUAGUACCUCUCUGGAUGUUGAACUCUCUGGGCAAAGGUUGUAGCCCCUCCAAAGAACACAAUGGAGAGGUGAUCAUAAUGGUCUUCAUGAGUUUGACUGAAAACAAGUAUGUCAUCUAUAUAUACUAGCAUGAACUUUCGAUAUUUUUUGAAUAUCGAACCAUUUUUCAUUGAAAAAUGGUUGGAGCAUUUUUUUUUUACCUACCUUAGUCACAUAAUUUAUACUAUAAUUAUAAUUUUUGUAGAUUAAUUUCCUUUGUUAUAUUUCUUGUACCUUGGUUAUAACUUUUGUAUGUUAGUCACAUGCUUUGUACCUUGAGUCUAUUUUUUGUAUCCUUUGUUGGGAUAAUCCUUGGAUCAUAGGUGCAUGCCAUCACUAGGCAUAGGGAUACUAAAUCUACACAAAGUAAGUGAAAACUAAGCCUAGGGAUGCAAGAUCUACACAAAGUGAAAACAAAAUGAAAUAGUAGAUCUAGGGCUUGAAAUCUUCCCUUGAUCUAGAUGUUCCUAGAUUAGGAUUCUAGUCAAAGAAGGCAGGCUCGUUUAUUGCCAUGAUCUUCCACUCAAUCACUUGUUUUUUAAUCAUUGGAACUUGUGUAGGAGGGCUACACAACCUUUUUAAGGGAGAGGAGGAUGGAGCCUCUUUAGAAGACCAUAACCAAUAGUGUGUCUAACCAUAAUCCUCUAAGUGGGUUUUUAUAAACUUCCUUAUGGUUUAAUUGACUAGAGUCCAUCUUAGGUUUAUGUCAUUGAAUCUUACGUUAGUGGAUUCUAAUUAAUUAAUUAACCUAAUUCGUAAAAGCCAAAAACAUUUAUGAUAAAAUCCUCAAGUCUAUGAUUUACUAUCUACCGUAAGCAAAUUCCUCAUGAAAUUAUGUUUGUAAUUUAACAAGGUAGAUACUAUCAAUUUCUCAAGAUUAUCUCCUCAAUUGAGUCUAAAAUUCUCCUAUUAGGUGAUAAAUUAAUAUACUCUAACUUUCUAAGAGCUUAGGUCAAAUUUCUACUUAAGGAAAAACUACGACUAUAGUUUUCUUUGAUCACAUAUCCUUAAGAUCACUUAAAAUGACAUACUGCUUUAAUUCCAUGAGAUAUCAUGUUGCAUACGUCGAGAAUAUCUAUUACCACCCACCUUAGUCAUUAGUGAUCCAAUCUAUAGGGAAUAUAUGAUUACCUUAAGAUCUCACCUAUAGGUCAAAAUCACAGAAGAUCUUUGCACUAACACAAUAUUCUCUCAAGUUUAAGAGUUCAUGCACCAUAGUAACUUGAUGAAUCAUAACUAUUUGAUAAUCAACGUCAUGAUCACCGUACUUCCUAUCCAAUGUAUAACCAUUCCUAUUGAUGAACUUACCAUGUGAAAAUUAUCCUAAUGACCAAGACAAGUCAUCCUUUCAAUUAAGAAGUAAUGCAUUAUAGCCAACAACUUAUCAUCUUGUUGGGAACCUAUGACUUGAAUUUUCUGUCUAACUCAUAAUGCUCGGUUUGAAUAGUGUUUGAUGAGAGAUUGUGCUAAGCCAUUUUGAGUAUAAAUGUGAGUAAGAGGAUGCUCAACACCAAUUCCAGUUGACAUAUAAGAAUUAAUAAAUCUUUUAGAUGUAAAUUUACUAGCAUUACCAAUAUGAAUUAUUGUCUUGAUUAGGUGAUUUGAGAACUAAGCACAUAACCAAAUUAUUUAAGUGGAAAUGCAAUAUUGUAGUGAUUUGAGAACUAAGCACAUAAUCAAAUUAUUUAAGUGGAAAUGCAAUAUUGCAAGUAGAAAGUAUAUAGACAUGUGACCACCUAGUUAAGACAUCUAUCAAAACCAUAAAACAUCAAAAUGGCCACAAGGUGGGUGAAUAGGCCCACAUAUGUUCCCUUGAUGAAUUGGUUCUAAAAAGGUUGGCGACUUAGACUUGUUUAAGUAGGAAAUAUAGUAGAUAUCAUUGGGUGAAAGAAUCUUCUAAGGAAAAAGUCUUCUAGUUCCUCAAAGCAUGCCCAUGAGAAUUGGCUUUAAUGCAAAGCAACAUGGAAUUAGGAUAAGAAAUACUUGAUUUCAUUCAAAGAGAACAAUUUAUACAUAUUACAUGACAAUAAUCCUUUAGUACCAAAAUAAAUAUCGUUGUGGUUCUAUCACAUUGUUAGACGAAGAGAUCCCUUUUAAUCUAAGUUGGAAUCCCCUUCUUGUGUAAAGUUAAAUCAUUUUUUUACUUUGAUCGAGUUGACAAAAUAAGCUAGAGGAGCGGAGCGUGGCUAAAGCGUGCUUUGACCGAGUUGACCAAGCAAGAAGGCAAGAGGAGAGCGAAAAUAUUAAUGGAAAUAUCGAGAAAUAUCAAGGAUAUAUCGGCCAAUUAUUCAAUGAUCAAUUUCAUAUCAACCACUCUUGAUAUCCGAAAUUUCACCAAUAUUUCGAUGAAAUUUCUUGACAUUUUCAUCCAUGACAAUGGGUUGAUAAUUAGAAUUAGUUCAAAAGUUGAAGUUGUUAGAAAAUUAGCCAAUAGUAUAAACUCCGAGUUAGGUAUUAUCAUAUUAAAUUUUUAUCUAAUUGACUUUGUUUAUGACCUCUUUUUAUGGUUCCUAUUUAAAAUUAAUACCUCAUUGAACUAUAAAGGUAUGACUUGACAUCUUGACCCCUUUCCUUGAUUCGUGAUUGGAAGGAUUAACUUUCACUAUCCAAUGGGUAAUAUUCUUAUGAGGUUGUCCACAAUUCAUAGCAUUUGAAUAACUAAAAUCACCGACUUCUAAAUUCGUCUCAUUAGGAGUUGGGCCUCAAUUCUUCAAAUGAGCAAGCCAUGUUGUAUAAAAGGUAGGGGUAACAAAGUUUGAUAUCAUUUGCCAAUAUGAUAUGAUCAACAUAUUUUUUACGGGUUUAAAUUGAGUAUAAAUGAGUUUUGGUCAAAUUCAUGUCAAACUGUUUAAGUCAUUUAACAAAUAGGUAAUUUUUUUGUCAAUCUGCAUAAAACAAAUUUGAUCCAAAUUGACCUAUCUAAUAAUCUUAUUAUUAAUUUAAUUAUAUUUUUAAACAAUUUAAUUCAUAUUUGAUUCAUUUUAAAUUUAUUUUUAAAAUAAAUGGGUCAAUUGAAUCAUAAAACAUCUUUGUUGAGACAUUAUAUAUAUAUAUAUAUAUAAGACUUAACUUAAUUAUUAAAUAGAAAAAUUUGAUUAUUAAAUGAGUUAAAUAUGUUGCACGAUAUAUUAUUUAUUUAAUAAUUAUGUAGUAUUUGAGUUUAUGUUUUUUAUAUGAUUAUUAUUUGUUUCUAGUUUGGACUAAGUUGUUUAGUAGAAUACCCAGACUUUAACAUGACAGGAACAUGAUCUAUCAACACGAAUUGACACCCGUAGUAAAAGGUGUCUCCACUUUCCAGUGUUAGUGUGUGGCUCUGCUGCUAUAUUGGAGUAAACUAGGGCAUUGACACAUGACAACCACUCUAUUUAUUCAUUUAACUGAAAAACCUGUAUAACUUUACAGUCAGAAUAGAUGGAAAUGAAAUGAAGAGGGUUAAUGGCAACUGAGAAGGAUGACUACUACUGAGAGUUGAAGACUCUUUGAGGGUGUUAAUGGAACCGAUUGGAUGGCUCUCAAGCCAUACACAUUGGGUUCUUAGACCCUUUGCAGACAAUGGAACGUAUUUGUUGCACCAAGAAAAUGAAUGGACUAACAAGAAAUUAAGGAAAAUAUUUUUCUAACAUUAAGGAAAUUCAACAAAGCUUGCAAUAACCUUUAGAAAAGCCUGCAAAAAGGUUAACCCCUUCACAAGAAUACACACGGAAAAAUGCCCAUAAAAAGGAGCCAAAGAAAUUUCUGCUCCUUUGAAAAAAACCCACUCUGUAUCCUGAAAAUGGGGAAUAAGAAAAUUUGAGCAUCUUUAGUGGUGAUGGCUGCAAUAAUGUUAUGGUAGAUCCAGUCCUUCUCUUCAUUGGUGACUGUGACUAGCAAGUUGAGCAAGAAGGGGUUGUCCACGUACGUCCUAGACCUUCAGCCAUGAUAAUGAUACUAUGCCCCUUCUCCAUUUUGUACAUCAACUUUCCAACAUCUAGCUUUUUUCACAACCAAGCGAAGCUACUAGCCUUUCCUUUUAGGAAGUGGGAAGGGAGACCCCUUUUCCAUUUUGUACAUCAACUUUCCAACAUUCUCUAGUUCUUUUCACGACCAAGCGAAGCUACCAGCCUUUCCUUUCAGGAAGUGGGAAGGGGGGUGGUGGGUGUGUGCAGUCAGAAUUUUGAACAAGUAACAGUUUUUCAAAGUGAAAGGUACGAGGAAAAGUAAUUAUUUGGGAUAAAUGAUAAAUUGACGUAGUAUUAAAGCUGAAGUUCGUGGGGCAGACAGAAGGCUGCAAGUGAAAUAGUGUUAAGCAUUAGCUUGUUUGAUUCAUAGCAUGCCAAGAUCGAAUAUAGACGUUCAGGGCAAGCUCUUGGGUGGUGAUGGCCACAUGGGUUAAGCAGGUCCUUAUGCCAAUCUAAUGGAUUUUGUGUAAGGAAUUCAUGAACAAAUCUCAGCCUCGCUGCUCUAAACAAAAAGAGGGAAAAGGUGGUUGUUGGGUUGAGAGCGGCUGAGGAGGCGUCGUUGGGCCUGUGGAGUACUGGCUCGUUAUCCUUCCACCGAAGAGAGCGGGAGGUGAACGCUGCUCUGUGAAGCCAGCCUCACGCGGUGCCCUCCUCGCUUUAGGAACCAUGCCACCCAAUCCUUCGAUCGGGUCACAGGGCUCAACUCCCCUCUUGGAACGGGCAAGCCAGCUAUCAAACCCCUGCAGCACCCUACCUCUUCAGUCAUUCCAACCUUCGACCACCUUGAUGCCCCCACAUGAGUCACAAGUCCGCGUUACUGGACCCGGCGAUUCUAGUUACCAAACCUAAGCCAAUUUAAAUAUCUCGAUUUUUAUAUCGUUGUUCGAUGUGGGACAGAUGAAGGAUUGUUCAACCUUUCCACAACACUCACAAUAGAUUUACUACCUAAGAGAGGCACAAUUAAUUGACAGUAUUAUUAUUCAAUUUUUAUAUAAAAAAUACCAUUAUAUUGUAAAAAAAAAAGAGUAUACUAUUUAUGAUUUUAAUAUAAUAUUAAUAAUAAUAUUAACUAAAAAUUGUUUAUCUUUCUUCCCUUCAUUCAUAAUUGUAAAAUUAUUUUUUAUUUUUAAUAACACUUAAAUUGAAGUUAAUUUUAGUUUAAUAUAAAAUUAAAUUUAAAAUUUUUUCACAACAAAAAAUAAUAAAUUAAUUUUUAAAUACAUUAUCAAGUUUUUAUCUAAACAAUAUUUUUUUAAAAAUAUAUUUUUUUUAAUAUAAUUCAUCUCAAGAUCUUGAUUUUUAAUGAAUUAAAUGUACCACAAGAUAUUAUUUUAUAUAAUAAAUCAAUUAUGCUCAAAAUAGAAAUGUCUAAUAUUAUGAAUUAAAAUUUUAUUAUAUUCUAAAAGUAUGUGUGAUUUGAUAUGAGGAUUUUGGUAAUUUAGAAAGACUUGAUCAAGAAGGCUAGGCUAUUGAUUUCAUAUCCCUUUGAAUUCUAUCUCAUCCUCAUCCCAAACUUGAAACAUAGGGCAAGUCUAAGCAAUUUUCAUAUUUACUCCAUCUACUUUAAAUUUUUUAAUUAUUUUUAAAUUUUUUUGAAUUUUUAAAAAUAAAUAUGAUUUAUAAAUAGGGAAAAAUGUGUAUUUCUAAAUUUCAUAAUUAUGCAUAUUUUACUCAUGAAAAGCAACUUUUAAAAAAUUUUAUAUAUAUUGGAAAGGGAAAAAUGAAAAUAAUAAUAAUAAUAAUAAUAAUAAUAAUAAUAAUAAUAAUAAUAAUGAUUUUUAAUUAUAUUUAUAUAAUGAAGGUAGGGCAACAUCCAAACCUUUUUUGGUGUAAAAAAUAAAAUUUCAAACUCAUUCCAAACUAUAUUAUAUUUCUUCCAAACUUGAUAUAUUAGGAUUGAAUGAGGUAAAGUCAAAUGGAGUAGUGUGUGGUAAGGCGAGAUUCGAAAAAAACUAUCUCAUCGUCUUUACUGCCCUCCUUAAACAUUUAACUUCGUCUAUCACUAAUAAGAGUUUAUGAGCCCGACCUACUACUCUUCUACAAAAUUAGAGAGGUCAAAAUUGACAAGAAGAUCUGUAAAAUAAUAAUUAAUAAAAAAAUUUAUGAGACAUAAAUACAUACAUAGAUACCAACACAAAUAAAUUAUUAAAAUACAUGUAUGAGUGUUAAUUACAUUACAAAUCUUGUUGACUAUAAUUUAUUAAAAACAUAACCACAAACAAAAUAUUCAAGUCUAGUAAGUACUUAAGAAUCCACCAUCUUUUUCUGAAUGGACAUGAGGAUUUACUAUAUAGAAAACAACUCAUAACUAUUAGUUAAAAAAAAAAAAAUGAUGUUUGACUAACCAAAAAAUACUAUUCGAUAAUGUGUAUUAUAUCUUGCAUGCUUUAGGUUUUCCCAUCUUUACUAAAUCUUGAAGAAACUGGGUUUCCUUGAAUCUAUUAGGCUUUCUCUCCUUUGACAUACAUGUUUUCAUGAUUGACUCGAAAGAAAAUAUAGCAACAAUAAUGAUUCCUAAGAAGCAAAAUAUCAUUAAUACACAUAUAUGUAUUGUGUAAUGGAGAAGUAGUAAUCAAGAAGCACACAUUUCAUGAUUAAAUAUACUUUUCCAUUAUCAUCAUUUUGCUUAUUGAUUGGAAGUGAUAACAUAUCACCAUUUUCUUUACAAAAGAGGUCUAAUUCUUCUGAAGUUGAAGAUUGUUCUAUUUUUUUUUUCAAAUCAAUCUCUCUCAAAUGCUUAUCAAUUGAAAAAGUGUCACCAUUUUUUUUCUUUUCUCUUCCAAAGAUCCCUCACAUGAAGUUAUGUUACUUUUUUUUUUCUUUCCUUUCGUAUUUCAAAGAUUUUUCUCUUAAAGCAAGAAAGAGUUGUUUGAAUUUUGUGUAUUUGGCCUCAAAUUCAUUGAAAACACUUUGAACACUACUGCUAGUCACAUAGUUACAUAUAUCAAAUACCAGUGUUCUUAAUUGUUCAAAAACUUUAUCCAUAUCAAUUAAGUUCCCUUUAUCAAUCAAGUGAUAUAUAAGAAGAGUGAUUAAUAAGAUGAUAAUGUAAGGAUUAGUUACUAAUAUUUAUACAUGUUAAAAAAAGUUAUAAUACUUACUUGCUUCACAACAUUUUCAUGUCUAGACAUUUCCAUUUUGUCCUCUCUCACACCUCAUUUUUCUCCCUUCCACCAUCUUCUCCAUUUUUGAAUAACCUAUAUUUUCACUUAAAAUGUGUCGAUGAACAUUAAAGAGAGAACCUAUUCAAAAUCACUAUAGACAAAAUAAAAAAUUCAAGCAGAUUAGUCAAUAUAACUUACUUUCAAAUGUACAUAAUUACCAAGUGUUUUAAAUUUUUGCUCCAUUUAUAAUAACUCAUUAUCUCCCUAAACGCUAAUACAAGGGGAAUCUCAAGUGGAUAGUGGUGACAAAUAUUUUUCAAGUGAUAUAUACUCAUGGUAGUAUACCUGCAAAAUUAUUUUACAAGGACAUAUAAUUAGGUUACCUCACAUUUUAUAACAAAUUCCAAAUUAAUUAUAAGAUAAAUUAAAUACAAGGAUAUUACCAUAAAAAAUAAAAAGUAAUUAGAAACACCACUUUGUUUGUUAGAGUUAAACUCUUAGAUUUCAUGCACAAGAAAAGAAGAAGAAGAAGAAGAUAAAUUUGACCCAAUUCAUUUUGUUUAUUGAAGUGGUGUCUUUGAGAAGAUGUAGGAAAGAAUGUUUGACAACAAGUUUCAUUGUUGGACAUAAUAAGGCAUCAAACACCAAAUAAUAUAAAUUGAAUUUUAAAAUCAUUCUCACUAUCUAUAUCCUCCUUAAUUGGAUUUUCUAACAUAAUUAAUGACAAUUAUCCAUUUUUAUCAUAAUAUUUAUUAUACAAAUUAUUCUUAUCAUCAAUAUCUUUGUUCAUAUCAAUUUCAACCCAUUUGCGUUCAAGCAUAAAUAAAUUUUACAUCAUUUGGUAAUAAUUUGAUACAAGUGGUAUACGCUUCUAAUAUGUAAGAGUAUGGAUUGAAAUUAUUUAUUAACCAAAGACAUAAAAUAUGAUCAAUUUUAAUAUAUCCAAGUUGUAAAAUACCAUUGAAUCCAAUUUCUUCAAUUGUUGCUUUCUGUUUCGAUUGUAACCCUUCAAGAAUUCUAAGCACUCGAUCGAGUGAACAACAUGUGUGUGGAUACAACUAAAAAGAUACAAAAACAUAUUUACUUUAAUAUUAUUUUAAACAAAUAUUCAACUAAUGUAACUAUUUCUUAAUUAAAUAAUACAUUUAUCUUUUAUUCAUUCUUUUGGACUCACCAUUUUCAAGCCAAUAUUCUUUAAAACUUUCAUUUAAUUUUACCAUAAAACCUUCUUUUUAUACUUUUGGAAGCGCACUACUUCAUGUUUAAAUCUUUUCUCAAACACAUUUAUUUGCUAGUUGGUAGAAAUUUAAAUUUUAGAAAAUAAUUAUAUUAGGCAAGAAAAAACUACUAUUUUACAAAAUGCAAAUUUCCUUUACUAAAAAUGUAUGCACUAUCAUUUCCUCCAAUGAAACUCAGUUUUUUAAAUUUCACCACACCAGCAAAUUUAUUCACAACACCAGCCAUAUAUCAUUUCCUCCCAUGUUGUAAAACCUGGUAGAAUCAGAUGAGUGUUGCAAUGGGUGAGACAAAUGCAAAAGCUCAACUCAUUACCAAUUAAGCUAUUUUUUUUUUAAGCUCAAAAUUAAGGGUGACAAUUUAUUUUGGUGGUCGUGUUUAUGUCAUGUCAAAGUCUAGAUAUUUUACAAUAUGUCUCAAUCCAAAUCCGACACGAAUAAUAAUCAUAUUAAAAACAUAAACUUAAAUACUAUUUAAUUAUUAAGCAAAUAACACGUUGUGUAAUCAUUUAAUCCAUUUAAUAAUUGAGUCUUUCUAUUUAAUAAUCAGAUUGAGUUAUGUGUUAUACAUGUCUAUAUGGGUAAUAUCUACGGAUUAAGUCAUGUGUUAUACAUGUAUGAGUGUAUGAGUAAUUUUUCAAUCAAACAUAUUUAUGACUUAAUUAACUUAUUUAUUUAAAAACAAAUUUAUGAUGCUUUAAAUAUAAAUUAAAUAAUUUAAGGAUAUAAUUAAAUUAAUAGUGAUAUUAUUAGAUGAGUCAAUUUAGAUUAAAUUCAUGUUACGUGCGUUGACCAAAAAAUUACUUAUUUAUUAAAUAAAUUAUAUAAGUUGAUACAAAUUUAAUUUAAAUUUAUUUAUACUUAACUCAAACUUGUAAAAACAUAUUAAGUGGUAUUCACAAACUUGUUAAACUUUUUCAUCCCUAGUCAAAACCUAUUUGGAUGGUCAAGAUCCUGAGUAUUUGCACAAUUGUAGAUUUUAAUUUACUUAUUUUAAUUUUGGUACUCCUGCCAAGUAUUUUGUUGCAAACGUGGCAGAAAUUUGCUUACGUGGCGGAAUUUUUGCUCGAGUCCACGGAACAAUUGAAUAGUCCUUACCAUAUAGGGUCAUACCCAGGAACCAGACAAGCAAAGAUCUUUUUUAUUUCGAGUCUCACCCAGAUACUGAAACCAGGGAGAGAAGAUGAUGAUUGGGUACACGCCCCUCCGAAACGACACCAUUUUCGCCAGGGCCCUCGACCUCCGAGACUCCACCAUAAACCCAGUUCCAUUCCGCUCAGUUUUCGCCAAACCCAAAAGCACCGUGGUCAGAACAUUGGAGGUGGUGUCCAUGUUGGCGCCAAGAAAGUUUAUGCAGAGGAGGAAGAAAAUUGAAGUGUUCAGAGACGCAGCUGAUGAAGCUGAGCAGAGGAAGUGGAGGAGAAUGAUGAAGGAAAUUGAGGAGGUGGGUUCUGCUGUUUCAGUGCUCAGUACGAAGAACCAGGCUCUCCCCAGAGACCUCGUUCUGGGUACUUUGGUUAGAUUCAAGCAGCUCAAGAAAUGGAGCCUUGUCAGUGAGGUAUGGAAAAUCCAUUCCUUUUUUUAAUUGGGUUUUUGUUUUGCACGACCUUUUUCUUUUUGUAACGGAAUGUGGGGGGUGCAUUGUGAGUGCGUAGGGAUGCGAUGGGGUUUUGGGGUUUUGAGAGAGGUGGUGAUAUUGAAAAUGGGGUAUUGGCUGGAGAGGAAUUUGAGAAACUAGCUGAACCCCAAGCGGGAUAAUGAUUUUUCUGAGGAGAGUUAGGUGGAUAUAUUUGUUUAGUAAUUUUAGUUUGGGCAGAAUGAGAACAUGUAGUCUUUGAUUAGAUUCUAGCAGCUGAAGAAAUGGAACAUUGUGAUCGAGAUAUAUGCAUAAAUAUAUAUAUAUAUAUAUAUAUAUAGAGUGAGUCCGAGCCACAGGAAAAGCUUGUGAGAUCAUAGAAGCGAGAAUGGGACAGACUGAGAUUGGUGUCGAAUUUGUUUGCUGUAGAGAUAAAUUAAUAUGCUUCUGUGAUUGAUGCAGAUAGCAUAGAAUAAAAGUCUAAAAGCAUAACUUUUAUUGAUAAUCAAUGGUUCUAGGGCUUUGGAUCCCUUUGGUAGCCUUGCAGUUACCUCCUUGUGUCCCUUAACAUGCAGUUGUAUGGUUACCUAGGUUCAAGUGAAAUAUACAUCAACAAAGUGCAUGCUGGUUUGAUGAUUCAAAAUGGUGCCUUUCUCCUUUUGGGAUCCAACGUUACCUUGAAGAUCGAGUUAUUUUCUUGUCCUAACUUUCUGGCCUUACCAUAUCACAUUGAUCAUCAUCAAUCUUAGCCAAAGUUGCAAAACAUUGAUGAUACCAAUCGAUCACCCUGGCGCUUGGUGCCCGCCCAAGCACCUAGGUGCCCUUAGCACACAGGUGGAGGCUGCAAACUUUUUUGGAGUGCCCCAGGUCUCAACAUUUUUCUUGAUUUUUCCUUUGACUCGUGUGAUUUUCUGAGAGGGUGAAAACUACCUCAAAUUUUGUUCCUCAAGUCUAAAAUUAAUCAAAAGAAAAAAAAAAAACACAAUUUGGACACCUGUAGCCCUCUCAACUAACUCCAAACACCAAAUUGGUUGGGAACAAACUUCUGGAAGACCUAGGUGAGUUUCUGCUUAUCUUGAUGAUAUUCUCUUGCAUCCAAACCUUUGUGCAAACCUGUUGAAUUCUCAAAACUCAUCCCAACACUUACAAUCAUCAUCUAAGAUCAUCUGGAUUGAGAGCUCUGAGAUAAAUACCUGCAAAACAUCACAAAAGCUUGAUUACCAUGAAUAUCACACGCCUAGUGGAGUGUUUAAACUUGUCUGAUUAAGAGCUAUAGUGUCCAUUAAAUUGCUCCAGAAUGUAUGAAAAUAUUAUUACUAAGAAGCAAUUUAUGUUUGUACAUUAGUGCCGAUACAUUGAAUGGUGUAGAGGGUUUUUUGAGUUGAGUUAAGUUGAGUUUGAUACAUUGUUUUAGUAAAUUCAAUUUGGUGAGAAUGAGUACAUGUAGCCUUUGCUUUGAGGGAAAGAGGAACUUGAGAAAACGGUCAUAUUAAGCAAAUCCAAUUACAUGGAGAGGGAAUGGAGAUACAAAAGGAAAAAGAAAAAAAAAAAAGACAUGUGAAAAACAAGACCACAUCUAUGAGAACCUGUAGCUACAAUUUAGGAGCAUAACAUAUGUGUAUAAUAUUGUCCAAUUUUCUAAUACUCUAUGUUGUGAAGAGAGGAAUACCCUUCUUUAAUUCAUCCUGCAGGAAAAUGCAUACAUUAGAACAAAAAAGUUCAUCUAGAAGGAAUGUUUUCCAUGUGACAGAUGUCAAAAAUCGAGUCAAUUGAUUACCUUGACAUCACAUUCUAAAGCUAAAAGACAAAAAGAUGAUUAUCCAUAGAAGGUGUUCACAUAGCAUGAUAUAUAUCCAACUCUGAAUUGUAAAGAACCUUUGACUUAUGAUUUACAUCUUGGGGCUUGUUGCAUCCAAGAGUUACAUUUAUUUAAUUGUAAUUAAUAUUUGCCUUUCAUCUCUAUAUGAAGGAAAAAGACUUUGUUGUCAUCAACUUAACUGCUUUUAGUGCUUGAUAUGUCUUAGAUGUUCUGUGUUCUUGUCAUUUGCUGAUUUCUUUUUUCUUCUAGAUUCUUGAGUGGCUACAGACUCAGCCCUGGUGGGAUUUCAGUGAAAUGGAUUUCUUGAUGCUUGUUACAGCUUAUGGAAAACAAGGGGACUUUAACAAGGCUGAGAGGGUGUUUGGUGACAUGCAUAAGAAGGGCUAUUCACCGAGUGUGAUAUCCCACACUGCUCUUAUGGAAGCAUAUGGAAAAGGAAAGCAAUAUAAUAAGGCUGAAUCAGUAUUUCGAAGGAUGCUGUCUUCGGGCCCUGAGCCUUCUGCUUUGACUUAUCAACUAAUACUUAAAAUAUUUGUUGAGGUAUUCCAUCUUUAAUAAAACCUAUGCUUAUAUUAAGAUCUUUGUUUUUAUUUUUGUGUUACUCUUUAUAAAGGUAUGUAAACAUGUGGUUUCAUAAAUUUUUUCUACUGCAAAAAAUUAUGAAAUAUUAUUCUAAAUGUCCAUGAAUAAUAUGCAUAGUCAUUAAAAAAUGAUAUUAGGUUGAGCUAAAGGGAAAAAAAACACAGAAGUCUGUCAACUCUGUAGAUAAGAGAUUAUAAAGUACAAAAAAGAAGGGGAAAAAUCAAUAUAAGGACAUAGUAAGAGUUUUAAGGAACUUAUUUGUGUUGUAGUCUGUAUCCUCACCUAUGUUGAAAUAUCUUCAGUUGGAAGUAGGAACAGCAAUGAUUUGGAUGAAGAUACGAAUGAAAACCAAGUUUGACCUGGUGAAGUCAAAUGCUGAUUUAAUUACACAUCCAUGAGCAUACAUUUACUCUCAGAUUAAGAGAUCCACGAAUAGCAACAAUUUAGAUGAGCAUAUAGAUGCAAAUCAAGUUGCACCUGAUUAAGUCAAAUAAUGAUUGAAUUACACAUUUGAGAGUAUGAAUUGCAUCCCUGAUUAUGAGAUCCAUGGAUUCUUUUUGUAAUCACAGAUAGCAUACAUUUUGGAUGAGGGGUGGGUGCAAACCAAUUUGGCCUGAUUAGGUCAAGUGCUUAUUGAAUCUAAGACCAGAUUAUAAGAGCUAAAUGUAACUGGAUUCAACUUAGAGAUAGGAAGAUGUGAUAUGAUUAUUUGUGAAGUCAAUUAAUUGUUGUCUGUAGUAGGUCCAUGCACUCUGUGCGUGAAUAUCAUAACAUGUACACUAAUAGAAUGAGUCCACCUCUUUUCCUUUUACAACUUGAUUUGAAAAAUGGGAGGCUUUUUUGGAAAUGACACAUGAUUUUUCUGCUGUGAUAUCCUCCUGAUAUUUACUGAUUUAAUACAUGCUUUUAUCUGAGUUUCUAUCUAACAAGUUCAUGAAUGUAAAUGGGGCUACAGGGUAACAAGUUUAAGGAAGCUGAAGAAACUUUUGAGACCCUUUUGGAUGACGAGAAAUCACCUUUGAAACCGGACCAGAAAAUGUUCCACAUGAUGAUUUAUAUGUAUAGAAAGGCUGGGAACUAUGAAAAAGCUCGUAAAAUAUUUGGCCUGAUGCGUGAGCGAGGAGUUCCUCAAUCCACAGUUACUUACAAUAGCCUAAUGUCUUUUGAAACUAAUUACAAGGAAGUUUCAAAAACGUAUGAUCAGGUAAAUUAAAGAACUAUCUGAUUUUUUUUUUUCACAUUCUUAGCUUACAAUUUGCAAUUCUUUUUUGAUAAAUAGAAAAAACUUAUUAUCACUGACAAUGAGCCUAAUGUGAUUCAUGUCCCAUGCCAUAAAGUCUCAGAUAACCAUUUAAAGAUUUUUAGCUUUUCAAAAGAAUGCUAGAAUGGUGUCAUUUUGUUUUGAAGUUAUUUAGUUUGUAUUUCUUACCAAUUUGACCUUUGUCUCAUGCAGAUUUUUCUAGCUUUCCAAGUUGAAAACUUGAAAUAAGCUUAAAUGAAGAUUAAUUUUUGAAAAUAAGUAGCAGUCUAAGUCAAGAAAACUCGAUACAACUAUUGGGCCUGCAUGCUUCUUCUUCAUUCUUACUGUUGAGAAGUGGCUUUGAAUUAGGUCACUUGACAAUCUUGUGCAAGAGGAAUCAUGUUUGAAGAGGUUCGUUCAGGUGUUAAAGGGAGAGUGCCCAUUUAAAUGGAAUGGAAGAUUCAAACAUAAGGCAAUGUGUUUGUUGUGUGUGUAGUGCCUCGAGUUCAUUUAAAAGGCACUUGACUUGUUUGUGUGGACCUGGGCCAAAUGUGCAGACAAAGCUAGUGUAAAGUGGACUGUUCAUAAAGUGCACUUGGUCCAUUUUUGUGGACUUUGCAGUACUUUAUGAACAUACACAUGAUUUUUCUGUCAACAUGGAUCAGUUUGUUUUAUCAGUUAGAGUUUGUUAUGAUUAAUUGUUCAGUUUUAACAAACAUGCAUUCAAGAAUCUCUUGGGUAUAAAUAAGGGCUGUUUUACUGAUUGUAAGGGGCAGAGAUGAUCUGGAUAGACAGAUCAUUGGAGAAAGAAUCAAAACAACAGAAAGUUCUUGGGUGUAUAUGAGAGUUUAAUCGAGAAGUACUCAUCUUUGGCUAUUAGGAAAGUUUGAGAAAGAGCUGUUUCUUAUGUGAGGGAAAGAGACAAGGGUGUAUCUCAUUGAUCACUAGUGAAACAUUUGUGGAUUCUUUUCCAUGGAUGUAGGUGGUCUUCAUGAAACGACUUUGAACCUCUAUGUUGUGAGUGUGCUUUGUUCUUGGUUGUGUUUAUGUGAUUCUUGGGUUUAUCCAAUAGAUAUUAUCUGAGAAAAAUCUUCUCAACGCUUAUCUAUUUCACCUUUUUUUUUCGUGUUCCUUUUCGAGCUGAAGUUUAAUUUAUUUUCUUUUGUGAGUGCAGAAAUUUGACAUCCUUUUAUAUCCCGCUGAAUCAAAGCUGAAAAUUAGAACAGUUAUAAAUAAAACUUUAUUUGAUCAAACUAGAAGUUUAUUAGUAAUUAGAGAUUAGUCUAUUUACUGAAAUAACAUUGGUGACAACGUUUUUUAUUGUUACUGACUGAUAAAAUAUUAUCUUUUAAAAAGAAAUGUGACAAAAGAAGCAUUGACGCUGCUCAAAUUAAUGACUUUGUGUGCUUACACACAAGGUGUACACAUGCACAUAUGCUCCCAUCUACUUAUAUAUUAUGAAGGAGCAGCCCCUGAAUAUCCAUCUGAAGUUUUCAAGGGUUGAAAAUUUCUGUUCUUUAAUUUCAUUUUCCUUUUUAUCUUCUGUUAAUAAUGAAUUGGUCAAACUUUUGAAGUCAAAUGCAUGCUUGUAGAUGCAAAGAGCUGGUCUUCGGCCAGAUGUUGUGAGCUAUGCCUUACUCAUUAACGCUUAUGGGAAAGCUCGAAGGGAAGAAGAGGCGUUAGCUGUUUUUGAGGAGAUGCUGGAUGCAGGUGUCAGGUCUGUAGUAACUCAUUUUGUUGUUGUCAUGAUGCCAUGAGCCCAAAGUUUACAACCUAAAUUUUGAAAAAUAAAUUGGUUUAUUUUUAGUUCUACUUGCAUUAACUCAUUGAAAGCCAGAUGAUAUUGCAUUUUAGAAUGAAGCUAACUGGGUGACUUUUUUUGAUAGGCAAAUAAGGGGAUAUAUAUAAGAGGAUAAAGGUGCCAAACAAAAAAAGGCAAAGAUAGUACACUGACUUGUUGGCUUUGAUAGGAUAAUGUGGCAAAUAUUCAUAUUUGAUUUUCUUUUCUGAACUUCAUGUCCAUGUAUGCAUUUACUUAUUUAGUUUGUGUACCUUGUAAUUGAUUUUAUGUUCUCAAAAUUUGUAUGAGUGAUAUCAGUUUCAGUGGGGUGAUCCAAAGGGUCUUACCAAAGUCUGUUUCUGACCAUUCCCCUGUUUUUUUGGAGGGAGGGGGUUUUAGAAAUGGUCCCAGUCCUUACAGGUUUGAGAAUAUGUGGCUGAAAGAGGAAGGGUUUUUUGAUCUGGUGAAGGGCUGGUGGCUGAGUUGGAUUUCUCUGGUCUGCCAGCUUUAUUCUGGUGUCAAAGCUGAAAGCCUUGAAACAGUUUUUGAAAAGUUGGAACAAAGACGUGUUUGUCAAUGUCUUAGUAAGGAAAGAGGAGGCUUUUAAGAAGUUAGGCUUCUGGGAUGAUAAGGAGAGGGAAGGGAUGUUAUCUACUGCUGAGGCAGAAGCAAGGAAUUCUGCGAGGGAGGAGUACCAAAAAUGGGCUUUGAUGGAAGAAGUGUCAUGGAGACAAAAAUCAAGAGAAAUUUGGCUUAAGGAAAGGGAUAGAAACUCCAAGUUUUUUCAUAAGAUGGCUAAUGCUCACAUAAGAAGAAACUUCCUUGCUGAGAUUAAAGUAAAUGGGGAGUGACUUACAGGGGAUAGAGAGUUGAAAGAAGGGGUGGUGGGUGCCUUUAAAACCCUUGUGUUAGAAGGAGAGGGUGGGAGGCUUGGUGUUGAUGCUUUGCCUUUUGAGGUGUUGGAUGAUGCUGAGGCCAGAAAGUUAGAGAGGGUUUUUUCAAAAGAAGAGGUGCUGGAGGCAUUGUCGGAGCUGAAUGGAGACAAAGCCCCAGAACUGGAUGGUUUUUCAAUGGCCUUUUGGCGUUUCAGCUAGGAGUUUGUUCUGAAUUUUUUUAAGGAGUUCCAUGAGCAUGAUAGGUUUGCCUGAAGCCUAAAUGUGACCUUUCUAGUGAUGAUUCCCAAGAAGAAAGGUGUUGAUGAUCUCAAGGACUUUAGGCCCAUAAGCUUGGUUGGCUGUCUCUACAAGUUGUUGACUAAAGUAUCGGCUAAUAGACUCAAGAGAGUGAUGGGUAAAGUGGUUUCCAAGUUUCAAAAUGCCUUUGUGGAGGGAAGACAAAUUUUAGAUGCGGUGUUGAUAGCAAAUGAGGUAGUUGAUUCAAUGUUAAAGAAAAGAGAUUGUGGGCUGAUGUGCAAGCUUGAUAUUGAGAAAGCUUAUGAUCAUGUGAAUUAAGACUUUUUGUUACCAAUUCUUGACAAGAUGGGUUUCAGGUUGAAAUGGAUAAUUUGGAUAAAAUGAUGCAUCUCUUUAGCUUGUUUCUUUGUUUUAAUUAAUGGUUCUCCUAUGAGCUUCUUUCAAAGCUCAAGGGUGAGACAAGGGGACCCUAUUUCCCCCUACUUGUUUGUGAUUGGUAUGGAGGCUCUUAGUAGAUUGCUCUUAAAAGCUUGGGAUGAUGGUUUUAUUUUAGGAUUCAAGGUUGAGGGAAGAGGGGGUGGGGGCGAAGAGACCUCUCAUCUCCUUUUUGCGGAUGACACCAUUGUUUUUUGUGAGGCCUCUGAGGAGCAACUCACUUUCUUGUGUUGUCUUCUCAUGUGGUUCGAGGCCAUGUCGGGGUUGAAGAUUAACUUGGAAAUAAGUGAGAUGAUUUCAAUUGGGAAAAUGUGGAAGAUUUGGCUUGCAAAAUUAGCUACAAGGUGGGGAAGUAGUCUUCUUCUUACCUAGGGCUUCCCUUGGGGGCUUCUUACAAGUCAGUGACGGUUUGGGAUGAGGUUGAAGAACGGUUUCGUAAGAGGCUUUUGUUAUGGAAGAGACAAUAUCUCUCAAAAGGGGGAAGACUCACUUUACUUUGUAGUACUCUUGUCAGUUUAUCGAUCUAUUUUAUGUCUUUGUUCACCAUCCCAAGAAUUGUUAGGUUGAGACUAGAUAAGAUUUAAAGGGAUCUUCUUUGGGGAGGAGGGCCUUAGAGAACAAAAUGCACUUAGUCAAGUGGUCUUCUAUUGGUAAAGCAAAAUCGAAAGGAGGACUAGGUGUUUGCUCUCUUUCUUUGCUUAAUUAGACCCUUCUUUGCAAAUGGUGUUGGCGUUUCUCUAAUGAAAGAGAUUCGUUGGAAGAAAAUCAUAAAGGGAAAGUUUGGGGAGGAAAAAGGGGGUUGGAGGUCAGGAGUGGUCAAAGAGCCCUAUGGGGUUGGGGUUUGGAAAGAGAUUGGAAAGUAGUGGGAGUUUUUUAAUACGAAGAUUUCCUUCAAGGUGGGUGAUGGGAGUAGAGUGAAGUUUUGGAAAUAGUGGAGUGAGCAACCCUUAUGUGAGAUUUUCCUUUGUUUGCUCUUUUUGGUCCAAAUGAGGCAUGAGUAGCUGAUUUUUGGGAGCAAAGUGGGGAAGCAGGAAAUUGAAACUUCGACUUUGUUAGGAAUCUGAAUGAUUGGGAGUUGGUCAUUAUGGAGAGGUUUCUUUCAAAGCUCCAAGGAUAGACAAUGAAGAGGAAGGAGGGGGAUAAAAUAGUGUGGAAGGAAGAUAACAAAGGGGUCUUCUCUGUAAGAGGGCCUUACUUCUUGUUGGAGACAGAUUAUACACCCCUUUUCCUUUAAAGAUAAUUUGGAACUUGUGGAUUUUUGUGAAGGUGAGUUUCUUUAGUUGGGAGGCUUGCUCAAGAAAGGUUUUGACGUUGGAUCAACUUCAAAGAAGAGGAUGGAAGUUAGUUAAUAGGUGUGCUUUGUGCAAAGAGGAGGUAGAGUCCAUUGAUCAUAUCCUCCUUCAUUGUGGCAAGGCGAGAAUUUUAUGAUAGCUGGUGCUCUCCAUUUUUGGUGUUCGAUGGGUUUUAUCUAAGUUGGUUAGGGAGACUCUCCUUGGGUGGCAUGGCUCUUUUGUAGAUAGAAGGUGUAUUAAGGCUUGGAAAGCCGCUCCUCCUUGCAUUUUCUGAACGAUCUGGAAGGAAAUAAAUAGGAGAUUCUUUGAUUGUGAGGAAGUGUUUGAUCAAAGGUUAAAGAAUAUUUUUUUUUAACAAUCUCUCUAUGUGGAUUGGGUGUAUAUAGACAGUGGGUAUACAAAUAUGGUUCACUUCUUAGAUUGGUUAGGGCUUGGUUGAAGGAGGGGGUAUUUUUUGUAUGUUCCCUCUUUCCUAUUUUUUGCCAAGUGUACUUUGUAUACGUUCUGUGUACUCUUGUGUGCUUUUAACACUUUUUUUUUUGGAUAAAUAAAGAGAUUUUAUUAAAAAGCCACCAAAGCAGUGGCUAAAAUUACAAGAAAGAAAAACGUCCCUCGCACCCUAGCUGAAACCAAGGCCCAAGGAGCAGCCCAAACCACACCCUUAACGGGAAGCCACCCAACCAACAAAAUCAACUAAGGUCGAGGGACCAUCUUUUAUAGACAUCUUCGUCUCCGACCAAAGAAAAUAAACAAAAGAAGACUUAAGCCUUUGAAUUGACACUUCGUCUCCAUCUUUUAGCACUUUUUAAUACACUCUUGAGUGAUAUCAGAUUAUUGUCCAACUCUAAGAAAAACAGAAUUCACUUUAUCAUUGCUAGUCACAACAGUAGUGGUGUGAUCUCGCUUUUUUUAAGCUAUAUUUUGUUGCUGGUAGUUUGGAGCUUGUAUAUGAACCCUUCUUCAUGAAGAAAAGAAAAUCCUUGGUUGGAUGUGAGAAUUUUGAUAUUGAAACUCAGUCAAGUUAGAAAAUUUUGACAUCAUAACCUGCCUUUUUAAAAUCCUAAUCCAGUUUUGAAUUUCUGAAAAUUAAUAUAAACUAGUCAUUUGUCUCAUUUGUGGUAUUAGGGUCUAAAGUGAUUUAGGUUGGGUGAUAUUCAGGUUGUAAUUUGGUGGCCAAGUGAUAGCUGUCUGACAAAAUACAGUUCCAUUAUUUUCGUGCUGGUAAUUUUGGUUCUAACCUUCAUUAUAGACCUUUCCCAAUCUACUGCUGCAUUUGGUUCAUUUAUUUAUUGACUUCACUUCUUGUCAAUUGCGAACAUGAGAGACCAAUAUAUGGUUUCUUUGUUAGAGGAUGAAUUUUUUUGUUGUAGUAUGAGCUUUAGCUGGUCUUGUGACAACCCAACCCAGGUCCAACCCAGAAACAAAAUUGGUUGGGUUUGAGUUAAAUAAAUGGAUUGCCUUGUCGACAUUCAUUGUGUUAGAACAUAGAUGGACAAUUUUGUCCUUCACUUUCCUGGUCUUGUUUCAUAUUUGAUUGAUCAGCAUACCAGAACAAGUUGAUGACUUAAUGGCUAACCCUCAACAUGGUAAAUAGUGUAUAGUUUUCUCUAUUGUUUGUGAGUAACAAUGGUCUUUUCUUUCUUUUUUUCCAGGCCAACACACAAAGCUUAUAACAUUUUGCUUGAUGCAUUUGCAAUUUCUGGAAUGGUAGACCAAGCUCGGACCGUGUUCAAGAGCAUGAGAAGAGACAGGUAAUGUUUUUCAAUUAACUAUGCUAAGCUUCUAAUGCUAGUUACUGUUUGCUUUUGUUAAAGCAUUGAAUUUAUUCUUGCUCAUCUUUGGGGACUUAUUGCAUUGAUUGCAUGAAUACAGAAAUCUUUUCGUAAUGCUCAUAUAUGUUUGGUGGAAGGAUCAGCACCUACCACUGCAUGGGUUCCACCUAGAACUAAAUUAAAAAUUAGAUAGAUAAUUUGGAGUAUUUGUUCUCUAUACUUCUUUGUUUUCUCCCUUUUUUUGUAAAUAUAUUACCGGUGUCAUUCAAUCAUCUUAAUAUUUUCUAUUGUGGGUCUCCUGUCGUGGAUCUUGUAAUUGGGUCCCAUUUUGGACAAUUUUAUCUAUUUGUUGUUGUGCUACUACUGCUUUUUCCAAGUUGGUCAUGGGAUGUUUCAUUUCCUUGAUUUAUUUUGUAUUGUUCUGUUUAUUUUUGGGGAUAAAAAAAACACAGCACUUUGUUUCUAAACUGGAAUAAAAGGACAAACAAUUGCACAUACCUUAGUGCUUUAUUUCUAAAAAUUUCAAAUGGCACAUUAUGGUUUUUCCUAGAAUAUGAUUUUGACCAUAUGAUCAGGUCUUUUGUUCCUUGUGGCAUUUGAUCAUUAGACACUUUCAUUUCUUCCUCUUUAUCAUUUGGAUAUUGGUGAAUGAUGUGAAUCUCAGAGUUAGAUGGGAUAUAUAAUCAAUUUGCUAAAUUGUUUUUUAUUCUUUUUGGGAUAAGAAUGAAGCUGUAUAAAGAAAGUAAUGAUGUGCUUUAAGGGAACUAAACCCGAAUAAAAAAACCAUAACAUUUACCUUUGUAUUCAGUUCUAGAACAAAUUUUUAUUAUUCAAAUGGUACAUGUUUGUGUUUCAAAAAAAUUCUUUUUUUUUUCUUUCCUUCUUUUAAAUACAAUUUCAACCUGAUUUUCCUUAAAUGUCAGUAAUAUUUCUCAUCUCCUUUUCAUUUGUUGGUACUGUGCUUGUUGGAUGCCUAGAAAUAUGUUGGAUGAGUGUCUUGAAAGUUAUCCAUUUCUCGUGUUCAUUGAAGCCAAGCCACCCCUUUUAGUUCAAUUGAUGACACACACACACAGGGAAAGUUUCUUUUUAUGGGCAAGAAAGGAAUAUAUUAGAAAGCACCUAGUCAAAACAGGGACGUAAGCCAUGUACACCUUCCUUUGCCACUUGUUGAAACCUCUCACAUGCCAAAAUGUACGGGGAAUAUGUUGAAAUGAUCAUAUUUAUGACCAUCAACUCUUGUCAUGAAUGUCCUCACUGCUGCCUUGGCUUAUGUUCAUUGAAGGCACCUUUUUGGUUGAUGGUGUGAACAUAUACUGAGGUUAUCAUAUUUAUGAAAAUUGAUUGUGUCACAAGCACCCUGGCAGAGCCAUUCUCAUGCUUAUAACAAUUGAUUGUCUUUAUGAUUGUUUUUUGGAUAAUGGAGAAGUCAGUGCUCUCGUUAUCUUUUGUUCUUGGCAGAUGUACUCCAGAUAUCUGCUCUUAUACAACUAUGUUAUCAGCUUAUGUAAAUGCAUCUGACAUGGAGGGUGCUGAGAAAUUCUUUAGAAGAUUGAAACAGGACGGCUUUGAGCCCAAUGUUGUUACUUAUGGGACAUUGAUCAAAGGGUAUGCAAAAAUAAGUAAUCUUGAGAAGAUGAUGGAGAAAUAUGAAGAAAUGCAGGUACAUGGCAUCAAAGCCAAUCAGGCAAUCUAUACUGCAAUGAUGGAUGCAUAUGGCAAGAACAAGGAUUUUGGCAGUGCUGUAUUUUGGUUCAAGGAAAUGGGAUUUUGUGGGGUUCCUCCUGACCGAAAAGCAACAAAUAUCCUUUUGUCUUUGGCAAAAACAGAGGCAGAAAAGGAAGAAGCUAAUCUACUUGUAGGAUAUAGCAGUAAAUAUAGUAAUGGACAAAUGGAUAAUGGAUCAUUUAAGUGUGCUGAUGAGGAUGAUGAUGAAGACAACAGUAAUGAUGAUGAUGAGGUAGAAUGAUGCAGAACAUAUCCAAUCCUUUGGAGGGGAAACAAGAUGUUUUGAUUGUUUGAAAUGGUUAUGAUGAACAAAACAAAGGCUGUACACACUCAAAAAUUUUGAUAAUCUGUGAAUUUUGAGUUUUGUUUUUGUUUCUUCUCUCUUUUUUGGUGGCAUACAAUGUAAAAUCCUUUCCCUAAGGAAUCACCUCAACGUUGUUAAGACUGUUUAGACAUUAUGAAAAUGGGAUAAUUCCAUUUAUUCAUGUAGUAUAUGAAUUGAGCCAAAUUGUCUUGUGACUGACUUUCAGUUUUGUUGCUUGUAGAGGCUCCAACUUCUGCAUUUUGGCAGUUUCUCAAAUCCAGGGAAAUUGUGUUAUUCAUUCAAAUAUUUAUGGAACGUCUUGGAAGUUUUUCUUUUCCAAGGGUUAUUCCCUUUAUCAUUAAAAAGCCACAACAAUACUAGAAGAACCCAACCCCCAUGAAUAUCUAUUCCUAAUCUUUCCCGUACAUGAUUAGCUCUCAUAGACAGGUGCAUCAGCAGCAGGAAAUGACCAAAACUUGAAGAAAUCAUAUAUGGAUCUUCAGAAUUAGCUUUACUCCUUACAUUCUUCACUCAAAGGCAGAGGAAAAAAAUAAAAUAAAAUAAAAUUUAAAAGCCUAUUGGAGAUCAUUUUGCUUGCAGAAUAAUGUGUGAAUGGUGGAAUUCUUCUCAUACAUCUUCCAAUAAGUUUAAAUUCUCUACAUUUGCUGAGUUUCUCAGGCGCUCGGCGGCUUUCGAAACCUGGAAAAGCAUCAGCAAUGGUGAUUACUUGCCCAAUCCAACAAAGAAAAUGAUGCAUACAAUUUAAUCAAGAGAAGCUUACCUCUGCAUUCCAGUCUGUUCUUGCAGUUAGGAUAAUCAAAGUGACCGUUUGUAAAAGAACCCCAAUUAUCAUACCCCACCAAAUCCCCUGCACAAAAAUCCCCAUUUGUUUAGUACUAAACAAAAGCAAGAAACUGGGAAUCAAGAAACCAAGAAAGCGUAGGAGAGAGGGAGAUUCUACUCACUGCAACUCCUAAACUGGUUUUGAAGCCAAGAACACAUCCAAUGGGAAGACCAAUGAGAUAGUAAGUUGCCAGGUUGACGUAUGCUACUAUAGCUUGCCAUCCACUCCCAAUGGCCACGCCUGAAUGCCCAUGAGGAUUAGAACAUAUAUUUCAACAAUACCCUGCCUAAACUGUUAAAAUAGUUCCAUGGAUACCUGAGAGUAUGGGCUGAAUUCCAUUUAAGAAGACAGAAAUGGCAAGCAGUGGGGUCAAGUUGGACACUGCCUCAAUUACCUCUGCAUCAUUUGUGAAUAGCUUGCUCAAUCCAACCUUGAAAAUCAGAAUGAUUGCACUGAAAAAUAUGCUGAUGAUGAUGCUGUUUGUGUUCACUACUAAUACUGAGAGUUUCGCAACUUUUGGAUGAGAUGCCCCCAGCUCAUUACUCACUCGAACACUGCAAGUCCCAAAAGCCUGUUAGUACCAACAUUGUAACUAAUGUACUUACCCGCCUUUUGGUUGCCUAGAAAACAAAGGAAAACAACAUAAAAGGCGAAGGAUGCCACCAUACUAAGCACUGACCUUGUUGCUGCGCUCAAGCCCAGCAUAAAUUGCAUAUCCCAGUUCAAGUAAUUCAUACUGAAAAUUCAAAAGGGAAAAAUAUGAGAAGUUAUAGACAUAUACGAAUGGAAGAGAAAAAUGGAUGCCUUUCUCAGCUGACAUACCAAAUGGAAAUGGAGUCCAGUGAGAUAGUAGGAUUGGAGAGUAGACCCGAUAUAAGUACAAGUCCUUGGUUGUACCAUAUCUCCAAACUGCAUUACCAAAUUGUGGAACUCAAUAAAACAAUAAAUUGCAGCUUUUGAAGUGAGAAAUAAGGAGUGAUUCACAUACCACAACAUAACAGCAGAAGCAACAGUUAGCUUGAAAUAAGGCCACAUUCCUUUAAAAGCUUUUGAAGAAAAGCCAGUCCAAGUUUCCUUGCAAGAGGGGCUUAGAAGUAUGUAGAGUGCAAUCACAACAACCAGAAUCCACCAAGAAAAACUCAGUGUAAGGGCUGCUCCAAGAAGGCCAUAGUCCAGGACAUAAACAACUAGCCAUGUCAGGAGAACAUGCAAGAAGAAAACCCCAACAGCCAUGUAUGCUAAAGGGUUCACAAUGUUCUGUGCCUGGAGGAACCUCUGCAUUGGACAGCUUAUGGCAAAUGCAUAGAGUUGAAGGAUCAAUCCACGAGCGAAAAUUUGGCCUUGUGCCGAUAUGCUAUCCGAUUGGCCUAUUGCACGGAGGAAUGGACCUGAGAACCAAUAGAGGAAGGUGAGAAGGACUGCUGCUCCCAAGUGUAGGAUGAUUGCUCUCUGGCAGAUGAUGCCCAUUGCCUUGUAUUUCUUUGCCCCAUAUGCUUGCCCACACACUGUCUGAACUGCACUGGCCAUGCCCAACUGUUUGUUUGGGCAAAAUAAUCAAUGAAAACAAAUUUAGUUGGAAUUUAAAUAUUCCCACGUCAGAAAAAAGCUAACAGAAGGGCCCCUACACCUUCCAUCAUGAAAAUGUCUUCAAAAUGAUCCAUGUUCCAGAACAGGGGAUAUGUGAAUGCGACAGUGCUCAAGCAAAUAAUAAACAAAAAUCUCUCUCUAACAUCAUAAACGGGGUUAAAUGCAUGAGAAUUUUGCCAUGCUCCCCAAUUCCUGAAACUUCAUACAUAGUUUUUUGGGUAAGUGAAGAACUAACUGUUUAAAUGAUUACAACUGCAAUACCCGAAAAUUGUUAAUCAUCAAUAAAUCAUACUUAUGGACCAUACAAUUUUUGAAGUUUAUGCUAGAAUAAUCUAAAACUAACUGAAAUGAGUAAAAUGCAACACUAGAAAUGCAGGAUUUUGUGGGGCUGCAACUGUCUAAAUGUAGAGGUACUUUGGCUUGCCCCUGUUGUUGCCUUUUCAGCUAAAGGACAACAUUUUUUUCCACACCCUGAACCCAAAAACACAAACUUGUUUUGUUGGUUCCUUAUUCUCAUCCAUGCAGCUUAGUAUCAGAUCAAAUUUAAAGAAAAACAUGCAUACCAUAAUCCCAUAAGCAAGUCCCUGAAUUCCCACACUGGCAAUAGAGGCACCAGCCAGCUCCAAGGCCCCCAGGUGCCCUGUAAACAUCAAGGUGACAAAGCUAAGCAUGUAGUUGAAAAUGGAAGCAACGAUGGAAGACCCAGAUAGGAGCCAGAGAAGCCUGGACUCCCACCCAAACAGCCGAGGCCACCAUCUAACAGCCACUGGUUUGUGGGCCAAGAACUCCUCAACUGCAAAGGACGACAAGUCUGGAAUCCGGGCAUGGGAGUUGAGACCUAGUAACAGUGGCUGAUACUCUUCUGAACCCAUCCUUCUUUCACUCGUCGACCCUGCCACCGUCACAAUUACCACUUACUGUUAACUCCCAAGUUUUAUACUUAUCAGAGGAGAAAAUGAAUGCAAGCUUGUAUGGAGUUAGAAAGAAGCACAUAUAUGAAACUGAUAUAGAACUACCAUUCCAGGUUGAUUAGUAGCAAGCGUUGGUGAAGCUACCAUGCAAAUGCUCUCACCUACCCCUAGGUGGAAGAUCUAGUAGAAUAGAAUCUUCUAAAUCACCUACUUCAGUUGCAGAAGAAAAAGUCUAGUUGGAGGGGUAGAUAAAAAACUUGAGCCUAUCUGCACAGCUUCCAUGCAGACUUUAACUUUUAGGGUCCACUCAACUAUCCUUGGAUUCAAUUGUUAGGGCAUUUAAGUAUUCCAGAGAAAGAUAAAAUUUGGGUUUAGAUGAUCUUACCCAAGAGAUUAUUAGGUAAGUCAUAAAAUACUUCAGUUCGUCAAACCUACCAUUCAAAUUUACUCAUAAUAAGUGUUGACUCAUCUCUUCUUUGUCUUCUCAGGAGAUAAGACAUUUUCCUGGAGAACUAAUUCUUGUAAGGUUUUCAUUUGCUGCAAUAUUAUUUGACUAUAUAUGGAUAUUGCGUACGUAAUCAUUAUUCCAAAAUAUUGUGGAAAGUAGGUCUGGAUUAUUCGGAGUUGUUGCAUAUGUUGAAUGAUGGGGCUAUCUUGUGACAACUCCCGUGAUAAAUCCCGGGCACCUAACAAUGUCAUGGCGCACAACUCGCUCACCUAGGAUGUGGGUGUGAUGGGCAAGUGGUUUGUUGUGGGAUCAUGGAUUACAUUUGCCUAGCUACUUGGUCUCACGUUCCUACCUUUCGAAUGGGUUUAUUGGACUUUAAUAUUAGUUUUUCUUUAAAAAAAACUGAAAUUUCUUAUUGUAGCAUGAAAUCCUUUUUUUUUUUCUUUUCUUUUAAUUUUUUAUAAUAUUUUUAAUAGUAAAUUUUCUUAAUGAAAUCAUCCUCACCAAUCUUCUAUAAAAUUUGGAAUUCAUUUAUACUAUGUUUGGUUAUCAAAACAUUUGAGAGGAAAUAUAAGAGAAAAAAUAGAAGAAAAGAAAAAAGAAAAAAGAAAUAAAUUUAAAUUCGAUAAAAUUCAUUUAACAUAUAAAAAUUAAAUAAUAAAAAUAUAUAAUUUUUUAACUAAUUCUAAUUAUAUUUGAUUUUUUUAUAUAUAUAUUUUUCAUAGUAAAACAAAAAAUUAUUUGUCUUAAUACACUAUUAGUUUUUAUUUUUAAAAUCAAAGAAUGGUCACCUGUUCAUAUAAGAUACAAGAGCAAAUUCUUAUAUGUUAACACUAAAAAGUAAUUGUCUUAAAAAUAAAUUAGAAAAAUUGAGAUAUCAAAGUAUUUUUAUUACCCCAAAUUUUAAAAAAAUUCAAGUCAUUUAAAAGUAUGACAUAAAUCAAUACUUUUUUUUAAUAAAAUUUUAUAUUGUGAUAAAAGAAUUUCUUAUUUUAAAAAUAAAAAAUAAGAAAUAAACGUGUACUUAAAUCAUUUUUUUUCCCCUUUUCCUUACUAUUCGUAUUUGUGUCAUCACAACUCCUAAACUUGUUACGAAGCCAAGAUUGCAUCACAUGGGUAGCUUCACCUUACUGCUGCAUUCAGUUGCACAUGCCAGUUCAAGCUCAAGUUUAAAUGUGAGGAUUUUUAAACAUAAGCAUACCAAAGGAAGUGAAAAUUGAAAGAACAUAGUCUUGUUGAUCCUUGAUAUAACAAGCGGAAAUGGGUUGUAGUGAGACGGUCAGAUUGGAGAGGCGGCUUGACACAAGUACGCUGCACCAUGUCUACAAAUUGCAUUAUAAAGUGAUCCAAAGCGGAACCCACCAAGGAACUCAAAUGAAGAAAUGUGCUCCUAUCCCUUUGGUCGAGUUUUGGGCCAAAAUGGGCUUCUUCAAAAACUUAAUAUUAAAAGUGGAUUUCUUCCAAAACUAUUGUUCAAAAUAACCCCCAUUAAUCCACAUAAGCAUAAAAACCAUUUUUUUUAAUACUAUUUUUGUUUACUUUUCCAGCUUCUCGUCCCGUUCUCUGUUCUUUGUGUAAUUUUUUUCUUCAAAACCCUAGCCCCACCAGUAGGCCACUGUGAGAGAGACAUUGUUGGAGCUACAAAGCAUCAAGGUUGAAGUUGGUCUCAAUCUUCUUUUUGGCUUAUUUUAUGUAAAGUUUUUGACACUUUCCCAUUUUUUUUCCCAUCUCGGAAUCUUGGUUUUCAGAAAAAAAAAAAAAAAAUUCCCCAUUACUUUUGUUUUUCUCUUUUGUUUACGUCCUUCACGGCUAUUUGAGCAUAAAUGGUUUGUUAUCAUCCAAAGAUUGAAGCCCUUAAGAUGCAGACAUUUGUUGAAGUUUCUAGGGAAAAUGAAAUUUUAUGGGGAAAAAUGACAAAUCCGUGAUUCUAAUAUAUAGGUUCUAUAAGAUAAAAGGGGCAAAUCCUUCAUAGAAUGAUGAGUCCAUAUCACCCGAGGUUUGCUUUACCACUAGCUAAAAUAAAUGCAUGGAUGUUGGAGGAAAUAGCCUAAAAAAAAAAUAAUGGGUAAAUAUUAGUGCUAGUAAAUUUCAUAAAAAAAAAUAUUCUUUUCUUCCUCCCUAUAUUUAAAUAAACAACAACUUUCUAAUGAGUAAGCAGACUAGAAUCAAAGAUGAAUGAUAUUCCCAUUGACUAUUUAGAUAUAUACCAUGUACCAUUCCCAGAACCCCCACUUAUAGAAAAACAUAGUUUUUGGUAUUGGGAAUUUUUUCCCUUUGUUCUCAAAGAAGGAAGAAGCUUUAAGUUUAUUCCAUGUUAUAUGCAUCGAUGCCACUCUAUAAAAGCUAUUGUCCAACCUACUUGUAACUUGUAACUUUUAAUGUUACAUCCUUCUCAAUGUAUGAUGCAUCCUAUCCUAUAUUCACAAAAUACUAGAUGGUGGAUCCUGUUUUGGUUCUCAAUUAAUCGACAUUGUUAGGGUAUUCAAGCCCCAUGAAAAGAACUUGAGUCUUAUCUAAACAUUAACGUCUAUAUCAUUGAAAGUUAAACACAUGUUUUAAGGGUGUUUAUACAGAAUUUUAAAUCACGGUUCCUAACAUACAUUUUGGAAAAGCUUGGUCAUUUUGUUUUAUGUAAGUACUAUUGCUUCCACUUCUUCUACUGCUAAACACAGGAGUUAAAAGUUAUCCCAACCAAACAGACUCUUAAACUAGAGAAAAAAAUGAUGAAAAAAUGAAAUCUCCAAUAGUAAUGUAAUUUUCAACAAAUUACACAAACAUUUGAUAGGAUGAUAUUCAUGCUCUCAAAAUCUUCACUUGCACCAAAAGGUAAAAGACAAGUGAGUGAUAAAAAGACAACUUUCACAUUCAAAGUCUAAUAAAAUUAGAGCUGUUUGUGUGGAAAGAAACAAGGACACGUAAAGGCGUAUUUGGUUUGAUGGUUUCCUAAAAACUUGACUUUAAGCAUAACUAAUAGUUCCUUGUAAAAGAAAAGGUGAAGUGUGUCUUGAAAACACUAGAGUUUUCCUAUGAGAAGAAUCACUCCUAUGGGAGACUUGUUUCUUUGGAUAUGGAAUUUGGUAAGGGUAGCAUCCAGUACUUAGAUUCUUGUUUUGUCAGUGUUGUGAUAAGAAUUCACAGGUUGAAUACCAAUCUUUCCUUUCUUUAGCUACCAUAGAAGGAAACUAGGAACAUUGAAGUUGAGAAGAUAAAGUGCCUAUUGUCAAAAGAACUCAUAAGUGGAGGCAUUUACUAGUGCCAUUUUCUGCACCUAAUUCGGCUCGGAUUAGUGAAGUGAACUACUUGGGACCACAGCUAUGUGUCCUUGGACACAUCUAGAUGUUUAGGUAGGGUGUGAUGCUAGGGAAUAUAAAAAAAAAUGUCAGGAAAGCAUUUUUAUCAUUAUACUAGAAUUUAGAAUCACAAUCUACAUGUUAUCUACAUUCUACACUGCAAGCAUAACAACAAGGAAGGUUAUCAAAUAUGAUUUUCAUGAUCUAAUUUUUAAAAUAACACCAAAUAGAAUAUCAAAGUUAGGUUUUUAGGUGGCUGACAUCUAAUUCUAUUUGUAUCAGUUGUUAUAAUUGAGUGUAGCAUGACAGAACGGGUAUGGGGGCUUAGGAUUGAAUAAGCAAUGUCAGAAAGAAGAUAGAAUCAAAAGGAAUGGAGAGCCUUACCUGCCCAAGCCAUAGAAGUUAUUAUAAGCAUUACAAUUAUGACUUAACUUCUACUUCUGGUGACCAUACUAAAUAAAAUAACCAGAUCCAAUUCCACACUAACUGAGUUAGCUUGAAGGUUACCUACUUGAUAUUCUCCACUUAUGGGAGUAAAUUGUAUUAUUCGUUCUAUUAUGGUAACAAAGUUUUUAAUUGUAUGUUUCAUAUAUAAAACAUUACAAUAACCUUAGGAUAUGGUUUUUAUUUAUGAGAUAUUGAAAAUUAUUUUUUUACAAGGUUCUUUAAAAAAUCUCAAUUUUUUUGAAAAUAACAUAUUUAACAUAUAUUUAUUUUAAAAAAUAUAUUUAACAGAUAAUUUUUAGUUGUAAAAAAAUUAACAUAUUUAAAAAAUAUUUAUUUUAAAAUUUAAUUUUUAAUAUAAAAAUAUUAAUUUAAUUUUUCAAUAAAAUAUUAAAAGUUAAUCUCAUCCUAAUUAUCAAAUUAGAAAAAUAAAAUAAACGUUUUUGUAACCCAAACAAAUGUAAAACAUUUUAUUGGACCAAAAAAUAAAAUAAAAUAAAAUACAUCAAAUUAUGUAAUAAUAGACAUAGUAGUAAGCUCAACAGUUUUUCAACAUCCAAAUAAGAGAAUUACCAUUAGAUAGUUUUCUAAAAAUAUUUUAUAAUUUUUUGUAUUAUAUAUAAAUAUGUUGUAAUUUUAUGAAUAAUAAGUUGAGAAAUUUGUAUUUCAUAUUUCAAUUCUCGAACAUAAAUUUGUUCUUAAAAAAAAUUUGUAAGAACUAUAGAAUAGAGUUAGUUGACUAGUUUUUUAAGAUGUGAUAUAUGUUAUUGGAACUCGGGGAACUUCCUUAGUAGCCUUUUAUUUUUAUUUUUUUUCAUGUGUUUGUACAAGUCGUCAAUGGAGAAAUCGUUAGGUAAAAGCUAGUAUUUAGGGAAUGAUGAAAUAAUGCUUAUCCAUUAUGCUAGCACCCCAUACAAGGGUCCUAAUGCCCAUAUUGAUGUUUAGUAUUAUGACCAAUGCUACAAUUUAUUGCCAUUAUUUGGGCCAUCUAAGACAUACUCAUGAAUUUUUAUUUAAAAAUCAAUAAAAGAAAUUGAACCUAAACCCUAUGCUAUUUUAUUUUAUUUUUUGACUAGAAAAUGACAUGUUAAUUUGCAUUGGAGGACUCUGAUAGUGAUGCUUGUCGCACUGGUAUUGUUGAUAUUAUUUGUAUGACCACUGAUGUUAUGUGCAUUAUUUGGGAGGAUUAUCAUAUCCCACAUGUAGAGCAUGGAGGAGGUAGGUCACCAACCCAGUCAACAGUUACUCGACUACCACUUGUUCGAGGUAGGUCGACAUCUUGAAGGAGAGGUAGAUAUAUUAGUUGUUAGCCCAUCACAUCGUCAGUAUCAACAUUAUUACAACCCUCUACCUUUUUAUCCUCAUGAUUAGUACACUCACUCAUCUCUUCAGACCUACCAUUAGUGCAACCCCCUACCUCUUUAGACCCACCAUCAGUACAACCCUCUAUUUCUUUAAACUUACCUUCAGUUCAGGCCUCUACUUCUUUAGACUCACCAUCAGCACAACCCUCUACCUUUUCAGACCCACUAUCAGUACAACCCCCUAUCUCUUUAAACCUACCUCCAUUACAACUUCCUACCUCUUCAGACUCACCAUCAGUAGAGAUUGACACAUCUACUCAGCUAGAUUUACUGUCAGCCAUUCUGAGAGAUAGGCGGGGCUUACGUCGACCUAAAUUGCUACCUCCACCACCACCUCUAUUUCCAGCUGUAGCCCCAUCACAGACAAAUGUUCUUCAUGUGUCACAUGCAGUACUUGCUACAGUUAGAAAAGAACGUCCAAAAAGGAAGAGAGUAUCAGUUACACAUAGGUUCUCUCCUUGUAGAAGCAUGCGAGAUUAUAUAUGUUUUUUUUUUCCACUAUAUUAAUGUUUACUGGGUAUUUUUUGUGACUUUAAUUAAACCACUAAAAAUUACAUUUUGUAGUAGACUUCUUCUAAUUAAUUUCAUUAACUAAUUUUGUCAAAAAAAUAUAUUUAUGACAACUGAGGCUUAAAAGUAUACUAUUAUUUCGAUAAAGAUAAAUUUGUUAUAAUACAAAUAAAUUAAUAUCUUUAAAAAAAAUUAAAUAUCUUAAAUUAAUAAAUUAUACAAUUUUAUAUAUUAUUUAUAUGUUAUAUAAGUUUAUUAUUUUAAUAUUAUUAAUUUAUUAAUAAAUACAAUAUUCAUUUAUAAUAUCUUCUAUUUAUCAAUUUAUGUUUGUUGAAGUAAUACUAGAUUCUUAAGUUUAAAUAUAAAUAAUUUAUUAUUAAAUUAUAUAUUUUUAAUUUUAAUAAUAAAUUUUAUUUUAAUAGUUUUUAAUUAAAUUUGAAAGUAAAAAUAAAAUUAUAAUUGAAAUCUCAAUUAGCAACUGCGGCUUAAAAGUAUACUAUUAUUUCGAUAAAGAUAAAUUUGUCAUAAUAUAAAUAAAUUAAUAUCUUAAAAAGCAAUAAAUUAAAUAUCUUAAAUUAAUAAAUUAUACAAAUUUAUAUAUUAUUUAUAUGUUAUAUAAAUUUAUUAUUUUAAGAUUAUUAAUUUAUUAAUAAAUAAAAUAUUCAUUUAUAAUAUCUUCUAUUUAUCAAUUUAUGUUUGUUGAAGUAAUACUAGAUUCUUAAGUUUAAAUAUAAAUAAUUUAUUAUUUAAGUAUAUUUUUUAAAUUUCAAUAAUAAAUUUUAAUUUAAUAAUUUUAAUUAAAUUUUAAAUUUUAAAAAAAAAAUUAACUGAAGCCUCAAUUGGCAAUUGUGACUUUAGUUCAAAAAUGAAGCCGCAGUUGCCAAUUGAGGUUUCAAUUUAAAAAUGAAGCUGCAAUUGCCAAUUGAACCUUUAGUUUAAAAAUGAAGCCUCAAUUGGCAACUGCGAUUUUAGUUCAAAAAUGAAACUAUAGUUGCCAAUUGAGGCUUCAGUUUAAAAAUGAAGUCUCGGUUGGCAACUGCGGCUUUAAUUCAAAAAUGAAGCAUCAGUUGCCAAUUGAGGCUUCAGUUCAAUAGUGAAGCCUCAGUUGACAACUGCGGUUUUGGUUUAAAAACUGAAGCCUCAGUUGACAACUGCGACUUCAGUUCAAAAAUAAAACCUUAGUUGCCAAUUGAGACUUUAACUAAAAUAAUGAAAAAAAAUAUUUUUUUAUGACAUGACGCCUACGUGGCAUCAAAAAGGCCAAUUUGAAUAUAAGUUUCAUAAAGUGGUUAGAUCCUAUAUUUUUUUUUUAAUAAAUGGGUCAUUUUGACCCAAAACUCGCUUUGGUCCCUAGCAUGUAGGUGAGACAUCAUCAUUUUCAUAAUAGACAACUCUCAUCAACAAAAAUCCAGGCUUUCAGAUACUCCCAACUGUCCAUAUUAAUCAUUAUGAUUAUGAUGUGAAGGCCAACAUAAUAGGAUCACAAUCUUAUGAUAUUAUCCCACGUUAAUGCAUUCAGAGCAUAGACUUGUUUGAGUAGACUUGUUUUCAACACUCUAAUUUCUUCAAAGUAACACCCCAAAGUCAUUAACAAAAGAAUUGGCAUACUAUCCAUGGGCGCUAGAUAAUUCAUUGACACUUGGAAUUGUGAGAGGACGCUAAAGGGUUGUGCAUAAUCUGUAGACAUCCACAAGCCAUGCCAACUUGGUGGACCCAUUCUCAUCACAACACAGUUAGUGUGAUGUGGCACAAAAUAUAUAAUAAGCCCAACACAUGAGUUAGUUUUUUUUUUUUUUUUUUUUGUGGCAACUCUUUUUGAAUAAUAUUACUUUUAAUUUCCAGUUGGAAGGUUAUGUAAGGUUUUUUUUUAUUUGAUGUGAUGCAGGUGUAUAAAAACACAACUCUCAAUUUUUAUUUUCAUAGAUUAGUUCUUCUAUUGCUGCCAUGGAUGCAAGCUAAAAACAAGCUAAACCAUGUUAAAUCCUGUGUUGAUGCUCUUCAUCCUUUGUUUCUUUUCUCAUUAGAUCAUUGAUUAUUUGUUUCUUAAGAAGCAUUAUUUUUCUUGCUAUUUUUAACAAACUAGAAUAAGAGCUUGGUUGAUAUUUGAGAUGAGAUCAAUAAAAAGUGAGAUUGAAAGAUUCAUUGGGAAAAACGAUUUCAAUGUCUGGAGAAAGAUGAUGAAAACUAUUUUGUUUCAAUAAAGAGUGAAAGGUGGAUUGAAGGAUGAGUCGGAGCUACGAGUCACCAUGAUGGCAAAAGAGAAAUUAGACAUGGAUGAGAAAGCUUACCAUUUGAUCAUUCAACUCUUGGAGAUAAAGCUCUGAGGGAGGUUUCAAAAGAAACUAUAUAUAGUUAAGGGUGUUUGGAACAAGCUUGAGUAACUUUAUAUGGAGAACUCCCUUUCGAACAGGUUGCAUUUGAAAGAAAGACUCUUGAUUUAAGAUGCGGGAGAUAGGUCAAUUGUAGAUAAUCUUGAUGAUUUUGCCAACAUUGUCUUGGGAUGUCUAAUAUAGGUAUCAAAGUGGAUGACAAAGAUAAGGUAAUCUUGGUGUUAAACUCUAUGCCUAGUUUGUAUUCCAGCUUUAAGGAAACUAUGAAGUACGGUAUAAAAACCUUUAACAUUUGAAGAAGUUCAAUAUGCUCUUAGAUCAAAAGAACUGGAGCUAAAGAGGGAAGGGUCAAAUGGUGAAGGCCUAUCUAUUAAGGGAAUGACAAAAAAAAGAAACACCAAAGGAAAUUUAUAGUGUGUAGAUGGGAGAAGAUCAAUAAUAGGUUAUUUGUUUAUAGUGUGUGGAUGUAUAUGUUGAGCUGUAAAUAGAAUAGGAGAAUGAUUUUCCUAUUAUGUUAGUUUCCUAUUUCUGUAAAUAGAUAGUUUUAUUAGUUUCCUAUUUCUGUAAAUAGAUAGUUUUAUGAUUUAGGAAUAAGUUAGUUUCCUAUUAUGUCUCUUGUUUCCUAUUUCUUCUCUUGUAAUCUCCUAUAUAAACUGUGUGUAUAGUCAAUCUAAUAGACAGAACUUAUUAUUUUUCAUCUCAUAUUUCGUGUCAGUAUAGAAAUUGGAAAUCUACACUACAAAAUAUUGUGGUUCUCUCUACCAUCGAAGCUAAGGAAUUAGAAAAGUUUAACAGUUUUCUGUGAUAGCCAAAGUGUUAUUUGUUUGAUAAAGAACCAAGGUUUCCAUGAGAUGACUAAACACAUAGACAAGAAUUCCACUUUAAAAGGGAUAUUGUGGAACAAGAAUUGGUGAAUGUCAAGAAAAUUUCAACCAAGGAUAAUCCAACUGAUAUGCUUACAAAACCAACUCCAAAUGUCCAGUUUAAGCAAUGCUUGAACUUGAUCAAUGUUAGAUCAUAUGAUAGUGACAACAAGAAGUAAAGGGGAAUCAAUCUAAGUUGAACUUGAUAUCUUAUUUUGGUGCCAAGGUGGAGAUUGUUGUGAUGUGGCACAAAAUAUAUAAGCCCAACAUGUGAGUUAGUUUUUUAUUUUUUAUUUUUUAUUUUUUAUUUUUUAUUAUUUUUAUGUGGUAACCCUCUUUGAAUAAUAUUCCUUUUACUUGCUAGCUAGAAGGUUGCUAUGUAAGUUUUUUGAUUCAAUGUGAUGCAGGUGUAUAAAAACACAAUUUCUUAGCUAGGUUUUCAAGUGAUCUCUAUUUUAAGAGAAAAAACAAGGGUUGUAAAAGGGUUAAGUGUUGAAAGGAUUGUGUACUAUAAUUAUCUCAACUUUUCUCUCUAGUGGAUUGGUUCUUCUAUUGCUCCCGUGGAUGUAAGCUUGAACAAGUUGAACCAUGUUAAAUCCUAUGUUGAUACUCUUCGUCCUUUGUUUUACUUCUCAUUGGAUUGUUGAUUGUUUGUUUCUUGAGAAGCAUUAUUUUUCUUCUUGUUUUUAACAACAAUAAAUAAGGAUUAACCAUCAUUAUCAUUACCUUGAUUGGACAUUCCCUCUAACAUGGGACACUUAUUCAAAUAUCAACAAAGAGUAUCUUUCUUAACGAAUGACAACCAAUGACCUUAACUACUAGUGCUUCACUCUUUGAAAAAUGUAAGAAACCCACACACACACACACUUAACGAAUGACAACCAAUGACCUUAACUACUAGUGCUUCACUCUUUGAAAAAUGUAAGAAACCCACACACACACACACACACAUAUAUCUAAACUAUAAAAAGGGAAGCUAACUCUCAAAGUAAUGUAAAAAACUAUCACUCUUUGUUGAAUCCUCUUACUUGGAAUCAUGGCUAACUUGAUCCUCAGAGAGGCUCAAUCUAAACUAUUAACCUCUUCCCUAGCCUUACUCUUGUAAAUCAACUAAGGUUAUGUUUGGUUGUCGAGAUAGGAUAGGAUAAGGUAUAUAUAUUCUAGAAUAUCAUAUCUCACUAAAUAGGAAAUACAUAUCCUAUGAUAUGAUUUUUAAUGAGAUAUAAUAUCCUUUGAUAUACAUAUUCUAUAAACAUGAAAUUCUAAGGUAGUAUAUCCAAUGAGAUAUGUUAUACUAUAUCAUGUCUAUAUUUAAUUUAUGAAAUUAAUAAAAAAAAAUGUGAAAUAUAUAUUAUUUUUAAUGUUUAAAAUAAAAAUUAUCUCACAUUCCAAUAUUUUCUAUUUAAAAAAAAAAACUCUUAUAUUUGAUAAUAUUCAUGAUUGAAAUAUUUAAACUUUAUAAAUAAUUUUUUUAUAUUAUGUUAUUCAAUAUAUAAAAAUAAUUUAUAUAUCAUAUAUUAAUAUUAUUUAUAUUAUUUUAAAUGUAAAUUUAAUUUAUAAUAAAAAAUUAUUUUGUAAAAAGAGUAUAUAAAAAAAUAAAAAAUUGAUAAAAAAAAAAAAAAAUUAUGAUAUAUGAUAUAUGCAUAUCUCAUGUCUUAAUAUGAAAUUAACAUAUUUCAUGUAAAAGAGAUAAAAAAAAAAAAAAAAAUAGGGUGAAUGAUAUAUCUCAUCACUUAUUUUAUCUCAUAUUUGGUUGAAUAUAAGAUAGGAUAAGUUUAUCAUUUCCCAUUAUUAACUAAAUAUGGGAUAUGAUAUAAUAUCGUUUCUCUUAUCAUAUUUUAUGUUAUAUCUAACCAACCAAACAUGGCUUAAGCAGAUAUCAUGGGGGUUAGUUGAAAGGGGGAGAAACACUCAAUUGAGAGAGAGAUUAUCACAUACCACAACAUAACAGCAAAGCAAUAGUUAGCUUGGAAUAAAGCGCCCAAAUUCCUUUACAAGCUUUUAGAGGAGCCAGUCCAAGUUUCCUUGCAAGCAGCUGGGAUUAGAAGCAUAUAAAACGAAAUAAUGAUAACCAGAAUCCUACAGUGAAAAGAACAUGUCUAUAGAAUAUGCAAGAGGCUUUCCCUAACAGCCAUAUAAACUGAAAGUUUUACAAUGUUUUGUGCUUGGGAGAACCACUGCAGUGGAUAGAUUUUUGCAUAGGCAUACAAUUGAAGGAUCAAUCUCCUUGCUCUAUGAUUGUCCUAUAUAUUUCCUUGUGGAAUGAACCUGCGUACCAAUAGAGAAAGGUGAGAAGGAUGGUCAUUCCCAGGUGCAAGACAAUUUCUCUUUGGCAAAUGAUACUCAUUGCCAUGUGUUUCUUUUAUUGGGAUCAAGAAAUCAACUAGUUGUUAUUGAUGUCAAACACUCAUCUUGUCUUAUCAUCCUAAGGUACAUGUUGAGGCUUAAUUCAUCCCACACAACAUACCCAUUUUGGGGUUGAUUCAUCCCAAGGUCUAAAACAUUACCUUGCCAUCUUCGACCUUACACAUUCAGCCCAAUAUCACUUCCUUAACAUGGGAUUUAUACCACUUGAACCCAUGACUUAACUUUAAUACAUGGUUCUAAUGGCAUUUAUUAGGACAAAAAACUUACUCAUCUCAUCUAAAAACCAAUUUACUAUUUGUAAGGUUAACUAAUCCUCUUUAUAUAGUUUGAUGUCACAAACAUUCACAGUCAUCUUGACCUUAUAAACACGUUUUAAAGGUUGUGAGACCUCCUUUGAGCCCAAAGCGAACAAUAUCUACACGGUUGGGUGCGAGUCAUUACAAAUGGUAUCAAAGUCAAUCCUCAACCCCGGUGUGAGGGUUUGUUUGAUCCCUUAGGAGGUGUUUGUUUAUUUGGUCCUGUAAUCUCAUUAGACACAAGGAGGACGUUGUGUCUGCAUGAAGGGGUGUUUGUGACAUUCCACAUCGGAUAGAGAGAAAAUUUUCUAACUAUGAACUCCUCUUAACCUUAUAGAUACGUUUUAAAAGCGUGAGACCUCUUUUGAGCCCAAAGCGGACAACAUCUACAUGGUUGGAUGCAGGUCUUUACCGUUGCAUGCCUAAUAUCUUUGCUAGCUCCAUAUAUAUGCUUAACUACAAAUGAUUUGCAUUGCAAAUAGUCAUGCCCAAUUGUUGCUUGGAACAAACAAGAAGCUAGGACUUGCUUAAUAACUAUUUUUUAAAAUAGUUUUCUAUUUUCUAGAAUUAAAAAAUAGGAAAAUAUGUUUGAGAAACAAAAACCAAGAUCUUUUUAAAGAACAUCUUUUAGUUGUUUUUAUUUAUUUUCUUAUGAAAGUUUAAAAAAUAAUUAUUUAAACAUGAAAAAUAAUUAAAAAUAAAAAACUAUUGAUAAAAGUUUUUUUUUAAAUAUAUUUAAAAACAUAGAAAAGAUUAAUAACAUUUUAAGUUCUUUGAACAUAUUUUUGUUUAAUAAAACAUAGAAAACAUCAAAACUUAUAGUCCUAUUAGUAGUAAUUCUAAGAAGUGCUUCUAAUUUUUCCGGUGCUUGAAAAUUUUUAUUUUUCUAGUGUUAGAAAGAAAGGGUAGAAAUACUUUCUAGAAUCAAAACUUAUAGUCCUAUUAGUAGUAAUUCUAAGAAUGCGUUUAGCAAUAAUUUUAGGAAGUGUUUCUACCCUGUCUAAUACUUGAAAGAAUUUUUUUUUUUAAAAUGUUAAAAGCAUUAAAAAAACAUUUCUUAAAAUCACUACCAAACGCACUCUUAUUCUCAAACAUUGUUUUUGAAAAACAAUUUUUGAGAUUUAAUAUGUUGUAAAACAAAAAUUUGUUUGGAACCUAUAAUGUAUUUAACCUAUUUUUAAUGUUUUUAAAUAUAUUUUAAAAAUAAUCUUUAUAUCUAGUACUUUAUUUUUUAUCAUUCUAUAUAUUUGUAUAAUUAAUUUUUAAUAUAAAUCUUAGAAAAUAAGUGAAAAUAAUUAAAAAUAACUAAAAUAUGUUAUUUGAAAAUAUUUUGUUUUCUAUUUUUUGGGAUAAAAAACAAAAAUUAAUUUUUUGAUUUUUUGUUUUAAAAAUGGCAAGUUAUUGUCGAAAAUAAUUGCAUGUGAUGUCUAAAUUCUCCUUUCCUCUGAAAAACUGUUCUUUGAAAACAUUUAUCAAGCAGAGUGGAGAUUCUCCUUUCCAAAACAACUUUAUUUCACUAUUAGAUUUGAUUGUUGAUAUGACUGCCAAUCUGAAGUCUUAACAGCUAAUGCUUCAUGCAUGGAAAUUGAGGACGUGGAAUAGGAAAGUUAUGUAACAAUAACAUACACAAAAAUUGCUCACCUCCCUCUGGUCACUCUAGAAUUGGGGCUGAAUUAAUAUUCAUCCCAAACGUAACGUUGAUCCACUCCUCAAAACUUGUACUCCAUCCAUUCCUACAGAAUUCGACACAGUUCUCACCAGGCGGUAGGCUGUAGCACUGCUGUUGAAACAACCAAGUUAGCAUCAAGCUAAAACCUAAUCCAAAGAUGGCUUACUAUUUAACUCCCAAGGUUUCAUGCUUUGUUCUUUGAAGAAUCAGAAGCAAUUAAUAAUAGCCAACUUGUUUGUUCGUUUGUUUUCCCUGUUCUCAACCACACAGCCCAUAUUAAGCAGAUCUCUGUUGUAUUACCACACCCGCAACUGAGGCAGCAGCCAGCUCCAACCGAUCACAGAAGGUAAGAAUCCCAAAUGACCAUGCCCCCCACUAACAUACUAGCUAGCCUCAACUCUCCUGCUAUGAAAGAGAAAGAGGUCACCAUCUCACAGGCACUAUGGCUUGUGCACCAACAAAACCUACACCUCCACUGCACCCAUGACAAGACAUGAAUUUCAGAAUGCGAGUUUUGAGUUUUCUGAUCCCAUAUAUAGUGCGGAGGGAAAGAAGCAAGGAGAAGACAAAACCAUGGUGCUGGGAAGAAAUUAAUAACGAUUGUGAAAUAUAGCUACCAUUCAAAUUAGUUAAGGUGAAAGCAUGAAAGCAUGCGAGGGACGUAGGUGACUGACUCUUCACGUUGUAUAUACAUAUGUUCUCAACUACCCCCUGAGUGUAGGUUCUACGUCUCCAUCCACUUGCUGCUCUAUCUAGCAGGGUCCAACUCAAGGGGUUAGAUAGCUAAUUAGCUUGAUUUAGGUUUUUCAAACCACCCAUUCAUCACUGACCACAACUAUACAGCGUCGACCUUCAAAUCAUUGACCCAGUUGUUUUUCAUUGCCUAAUCUAAUUUAAUUUUAAUCUUUUGAAUUGUUUAUAUAUCAUACCAAAAAUAAAAAUAAAACAAAAAAAAGAGUGAUGGCCUCAUAGUAAGGAUGGCAAUGGGGCGGGUUUUUUUCGGUACCCGCCCCGUCAUGCCCAUAAUGGGACGGAGUUUAAUUUCAAUAAGCAGAUUUGGGAUGAGUAUGAGAUUUUUUUUAAAAACCCGAGACGGGUUUGGGUAUUACCACAUCCCGUCCCACCACGCCCAAUUAUAUAUAAAAUUAAUUUUAAAUUUUAAUUUAAUUUAAAUUUUAAAAUUAAUUUAAUUUAAAAUUUUAUUUUACUAUUUUUAAUAUAUUGAUAAUAAUAAUAAAUUUUAAUAAAAUAAGUUAUAAAAAAUAUAAUAAUUUUAUUAUUUAUAAAAUAUAUUUAUUUUAGUGUGAUUAAAAAAUUCAAAAGUAAUUUAAAAAAAAUUAAAUGGGGCAUGAAUAAGAAUUAUUUUUAAUUAAACGGGGCGGGAUUGGGAUGGGGCUCAACCCGCCCCGUUGCCAUUCCGACGUCGUAGUCUUAUUUAUAUAUCAAUAUCUUUAAUUCUUGGCAUGUGAUUUGUAACUAAUCAAAUCCCAUGUAAUCCCCCUGCACGUAUCCAAGAAAAUUCUGAAGUAUGGGAUAGGUAUGGUCAAACAAUGAUUGGAUAAGGGUUGGUGAGUCACGUGCAGGAUUCACCGCUCAACUGUCCCUCCCCCUGUCUCUUUCUGCCCUGUUAGAGGGUACUUUCGUGCCUAAAUUGCCCCACCUCACCUACCCCUACCUUACCCUACCUCACCUACCCCUAGGCGCUUCAAUCAAAGUUGCUUUGGUCAAGUCUAGACAAUGGGUGUGGGAGAAUUACAAUAGAAGGUGGGGUAUAAGGGGCGCAGGAGGGUGUGACGGUGAAAGAUUAUCUAUAGUAAUAACCCCAUUUUUUAUUUUUUUUUAAAGGAAAAUAUAUCCUCAUAUUUUUUAUUUUAAAAGUCCAACAUAUUUCCGUUUUGCCUUUUCUCCAAUUUUUUAGUCAUCAUCAUUAAUAACCUAAGAGUAAUAUUAAUACCAAUAUAUAUAAAUAAUAUAAUAUAAUAAUUAAUCAUAAAUUAUUUCCAAUAAUUAAAAAAUAAAUUUAUUAUAUUUUUUAUUAUAAAGAUUUCAUAAGAAAAUAUUACAACAUUUUUUAUUUUUUUUUAUUAAAUAGAUUUCAAAAAAUUUUAAUUGUUUAAUUUUAUAAUAUAACUAUUAAGAAAUUAUUAUUAUAGAAAAAAAUUGUUGUUAUAACUAUUAAGAAAGGAAAUAAAGGCACUUAUUAAUAUAUUGUACUUUUAGUAUACUUAAGUUGUAAGUUUAAUACAUAAGUGUUGUAACCACAAUUCACAUCUUUUUCUUUUCUAAUUAUUAUUAUUUUAUUAUUAUUUCUAUUAGUAAUAACUUAUCAAAUAAGAAUAAUAUAAUAAUUAAUUAUAAAUUAGUAUUUCAUUCAUUAUUCUUUUAAAAAUAUUAUAAAUAACUUGUCUAAAAUGAUGAUGAUAAUAAUAUAUAAUAUAAUAAUUUUACAAAUUAUUGUUUCAUUCCAAUAAUUAAAAAUAUAAAGUAAUUAUAUUAUUUAUUAUAUAGAUUUCAUAAUUUUUGAAAUGUUUAAUUUUGCAAUAUAACUAUUAAGAAUAUAUUACAAUAAAAAUAUAUAUAUUUUUUUUUUUUUAUUAAAUAGAUUUCCUAAAUUCAUUACUAGUUUUACAAAUAUAACUAUUAAGAACAUAUUAUAAUUAAAGAUUAUUUUUAUAACUAUUAAAAAACAAAAUUAAAGCAUGUCGUAAUAUAUUAUACUUCUAGUAUAUUUAUGUUAUAAGUUCAAUUAAUAAAUAUUGUAACUACAUUUCAAUACAUAAUAAUUGAUAAAGUAAGGCUAAUCUAAUUAAGAGAAACACAAAGAGGGAGUGAAUUGGGUUUUUUGAAAAUCUUUUUCAAGUACAACAAUUUUAAGUAAAAUAAAACACAAAAGAAAAGAGAUUAAGUUAGAGAGAGCAAACACUAAUUUUAUAGUGGUUCGGUACCUUUUACUUAUGUCCAUUUUCCUUAAACUCCUAACCAAAUGAGGGUUUCACUAUCCUUGAAGCUUCAACCAAGCUUCCGAUAUUUUACACUUACAUUUUAACUCCAAUGGGUUAUUACACGAUCCCUUCAAGUACCCACCAAUUUGAAGUUUUCUAUUCACACAAACUCAUUUAAAAAUGAUAGAAACUCUCAACCUAACUCAAUGAAAAUUCAAUUAAUGAAUGACAAGAUGCACUAAAUGAUAUACAAAUAAGAAGUUAAUGCACCAAAAUGAAAUAAAUGAGAGUUUUGAACGAAGAACAAGUAGGUAAACAAUUGGUUGCAAGUGUUUUCUUACAAGUAGGUAAACAAUUGGUUGCAAGUGUUUUCUUACUCAUAUAUAAAGUGAAGUUCUCAAUUUAUAGGUUUCAGCCUCAUACACCCAAAAUGCCAAAAAGUGGUAUCAUCUAGUCGAGCACCAAUUUGACCAGCUGUUAUGCAUUAAAUACAUUACAUAUCUCUGUUGUUAAAAAAAAAUAUGUAAAAAUGGACAUAUGUAUGAAAUAAAGUUUUUUAUCUUUCACUAUUCAAGGCUAUUAUUAAUACCAUAUAUAACCUCUAACCAUUGUACAUAAAACUUGAAUAAUUCUUUAAAAGUUUCUAUUUUAUAAUUAUUUUCAAAUAAAUACAAAAUCCGCUUUUCUCAAAAAUAAAAAUUAAAUACUAAAAUGAAAAUCUCCCAGCAUAAAUCUAGAUUUUGUGAGGUGUCUUGCUCAUCAGUCAUAUUCAAAAUCCACAUCAAUUCAACCAAUUUUUUCUAUCAUGGGUCACUCCAAUUUUCGAGGCAUACCCAUGCCAGGUGGAAAGCAAAUACAGUCAUUGAGUUGCGCUGUCAGCAUAUCAAAGCCAUCAUUGUCGGAGGCCGAUCAGUUUAGAAGAAAACAAACCUUUAUCAUCUGGAACAACUAGUCAAAAUAUUCAUUUUAACAGCCAGUCCUUUAUUCAACAACCCCAUGUUGAAUUUUUUUUCCUUCUUGAUUGGUUUCUUUCAACAACCAGUAAAAUCCUCAAGUUUGCUCAAGUAUUUUACCAAAAUUAAGUCAUAUUAUAAACUCAGAAAACUAUUUACCCAUCAUUACCCAUGAAUAUAUCUUCUACUUGUAUAUUUUGAGGCUCAUUUAUAGGCUUGCAUGAGUGAAUUUCUCUCAUCUUCUCCUAUUCGUAGGCGUUGAAUCCAGUUCAAAUUGAGGAAAAAUAAAAGGGAAAUGAAAUAUAAUAUUUCUAUUAGUUGAAAAUCAUUCUACAAUUUAUUAAUUAUUAGGUAAUUUUUUAUUUUUUAUUUGUUAAUAAUGCUUAUAAUUAAAAUAUUUAGAACUUAGAAAUAAAAAAUAUUAUAUUAUGGUGUUAAAUAUAUAUAAAAAUAUUUUGUAUACAUUAAAUAUUAUUUUAAAUAAUAUUAUAUCAUUCACAUAUUUUUCUAAUCGGGUUCUUUUUCGAAUUAAAAAAAUAAUUUUUUUAAUCAAAAUUUUUGUUUUAUAAAAUUAGUAAAACAUCAAAAAUUUUAAAAAUGAAAAAAAACGAGUGAAGGGAAUAAACUUAUGAUCCAUGGAAUUUGUGUAUAGUAUAUCUCAAUGUAGGAUUCUUAUAACCCAUGUAAAGAGGAUAUAAAAACCAAUAUUUUUAGAAUCGGACUAGUCAGCGAAUUGAAAAAGUUAUAUAUUCGUGGUUCAGUGAUCGGAUCGAUAGUUAAACUGCAGUCAAAUCGGUGAUAUCAUAAAUAUAUAUUUUAUAUUUAUUAAAAUUAAAAUAAUUUUUAAAAAUUAUAAAAUUAAAUAAAAUUAAAAAUCAAUAAUAUUUAUUUUUUUCAUAUUUUAUAUAAAUAUAUUAAUAUUUUAAAGUUUAUUAAAUAAAACAUAUAUAAUAUAACAUAUAGAAAAUUGAAGUGUGUUAUGUCAUUAAUUAAUUAAUUAAUGAAAUAUCUAAUAUUUUUUAAAACUUAUAAGAUAAUAAUAAGAUGUAUAUCUAGAUAAUAAUAAGAUUAUUAUCUAGAUAUACAUCUUAUUAUUAUCUUAUAAGUUUUAAGAUUAUUAUCUAGAUAUACAUCUUAUUAUUAUCUUAUAAGUUUUAAAAAAUAUUAGAUAUUUGAAAUGAUUUUAUUAUGUUUUGGCACAAACCAAAGAAUGGCAGGUUGGUACAACCAUGCUUACCUUGAAUAAAAAGUCCAAGUUCAAGUCCAAGGUCUUAAACUAAGCAUAUAUAAAUGCAGAUUGUUUUUUAAAUCAUUUAGAGCAUAAAAAUGCCUUUAAAACUCUUCUGCAUCACAACUCGUCAUUGGGCUAUGAAGGGUGCCUAGCCCAUUGGUAAAUGAGGCCCGUUUUUACCCGAUUCUGUCUGGUUCAAUGAUUCAACUGUCAAUUUGUCCAAUUCAAUGCUGGUCCAAAGCCUCUUCUAGCUCAAAAGCUCAAUUGAACCAGAUCAGGGUCUGGUCAACAAUUCAACUAGUUGAAUCAGUUGAUUCGAUCCGAUUUUUAAAACAUUGAUAAAAACAAUAUUGGACAAGUUAUUUCACCAUAUAUUUUAUCCUAAAUUUAAUUAAACAUAAGAAAACAUAAGAUAUGAUAUGUUAUCCAUCUCUUAUCUUAUUUCAUAUUAUAUCCGAUUAAGGAAAGAUAACUCUUAUGUAUAUGAAUUAUUAAUCUUCAUUAUUUUCCAUGUUAUAUCAAAAGCAAUUGUUUUACUUCAUCAUUUGGAUUUUCUAAUUGAAAACUUGGUUUAUUGCAGGGAUGUUCUUUGAAUUAAGAUCAUAUUAUGGAAAUGUUCUCUCUUGUUUGAAAUGAUUCGUUUUUUGGUUCAUGAUCAAGCGAAAUGACCAUUUCUUAUAGUUAACAUGUUAAGGGUAUUACUGUCACUUAUUGUAGAUGUCGUUAUAUUUAUUUUUCAAAAUGCUAAGAUUGACAUUGAUAUUACGAUUGAGGAUGAGCUCUUUUAAAACCAAAAACAUACUUUUUAUAAUCUUCCUUCUAUCGAAUCUUUAAUUUGACUCAAAUAAGCCUUUAUUUGAAUAAGCAUAUUCUCUUCCCAGUAAAAAUGCCCUUAGCCAAGCAUCUACAAAGGCACAACAAUUUUCAUACACAAUUUAGGGAAAAUGGUUUGUUAAAAAUGUCUAUUUUGGUUAGGGUCCAAAGUAUUGGUCCAAUUUGAUACAAUUUGGCCAAGGCAAUAAUUUGGUAAGAUUUGACUCAAAUUAUUUAUUUUAGGAAAGUUAGUAUUUAUAGAGUAUGUGUUUUGAUAAAUUAUCUUUUUAAACUAGAAUUAGGAAAUUAUUGGUUUAGGGUUAACUCAUAGUGCUCUAUAAAUAUCUAGUUUUAUAUAUGAUUUACGAAGAGAGAAAAAAAAAAGUAAGAAAAGAAUAAAAGGAGAGGGCAAAAUAGUGUAUUGGAAUUUUGGGUAAAGAAUGGUUGAGGGAGUUUGAAGGAUGUAUUCUUAAAGUUUAUUAAUAAAUCUGAUCACAGUUUCCAAUGGACUUUGAUGAUUACACUAAAUCAUGUAAACAUUUUAUCUUAUCUAUUUCAUUUUAAUUUUCCUCUUGAGUUUGGGUUGUAAAUUUUUUCCAACAAGUGGUAUUAGAGCUAUGAUAAAAAGAUCAUAGGAAAAAUUAUUUUGAAGAUGAUGUCAAGCCUUAAGUAUGAUUAGUAGCUUGGUGAAUCAUAACAAUUGAUAGUCUUAAGUCAUAAUUUAUCAUAUGUCUUGUUUAGUAUGCACCACAUACACUGAUGCACUCACUAUAGGAUUUAACGGUUAAGACAAAUCAUUCUUCUAAUUAUGAGGUAGUGCAUUACAGUCUCUAUUGGGUUGUCCAAAUCCAUAAAUCGAUUGUAGACAUCUUAUCCAUUUACAAGAAACCUAUAACUUGUAUCAUUUGUACAACUCUUGAUAUACCAAAAUUAUGUGUCAUGUAAAAUAUAUGAGGUUAUCAAUAUAUAAAAAAAGAUGGUAAGGGAACAAUCAAGUCUAAAUUUUUGAUAUCAUAUUUUGCUUGUAGAGACUCAAUCCCAACACUAAAAUCAAGGUUGACUUAGAAUAUAACCAAUUUAGUCAAUAGGUUACUCACAAAAGGAAACAAAUUAAUGGUUGAAAGACAAUUACUUAACUUCCUCGUAUACCUAAAAUAAAUCCAAAAGAUUGAUAUUGAUAAUGUUCUAUGUCAUUGAUAAAUCACUCUCAUAGAUGAUUGCCUUCAUGGAUAAUGACCAAAAUUUUCUCUUAUGAGAAAUUAUGUCAAAACAAAUAAGAGCAUAGGACAAUUUGAAUUUUUUGUUUUUUUCUUUUUUUUUUUUUAGAUAGAAUGUGAUCAUGGGGUAUAAAUACUUUUCAUAGUAAAAUACCAUCACAAAUUUUAUGCUAUGAUUAAAGGUGAUUUUCACCAUGAUAUGUUUUUGUUUUUUUUUUUUGAAGACGUGACUUUUGCAAUGAACUUAUUUCAUGACGAAAAAUGAUAUAUUACUAUAAAUUUUUAAAUUAAAUGGUGAUGAUAAUAAGAAUGCUAGUGGACUCAGGUUAUGAUGCGUAGAUCGACUAGUGACAUUUAUCAUAAUGGUUAAUUAAAUGUAUCUUUAAUGUUCAAUUAAACUAGACUCUGAUGUUGAUAAGAAUGCUUAGUGAAGGACUACAUUAUUAACUAGCAAUGUUUAUCAUAAUGACUAGUAAAAUUUGAUCUUUUUAUUUAUUUAUUUUUUGUUUUUGUUUUAUUUAUUUAUUUUAUUUUAUUAUAGAAUGUGAUUAUUGGGUAUAAAUAUUUUUCAUAUUAAAAAUACCAUCAUAAAUUCUAUGUUAUGACCAUGAUAUUUAUGUUUUUUUAAGACAAAAAAUGGCCCUUUGCCAUGAUUUUUUUUUUUUGUCACGAAACAAAAUUGACUUUUGCAAUGAACUUAUUUCGUGAUGAAAAAUUAUAUAUUACUAUAAAUUUUAUUUUAUGGUAAAAUUUAAAAUUUUAUUUUUUUUGGUUACAAAUUUUAUCUUUUUGAAUAAAAAUAAUUAUUUAUGAACUAAUUGUAAUAAAAAAAUUCUUAUAAUCACAAAAUUUUCUAUAGCUCAUGGUACUUUCUUUUAAUCACAAAUUAAUUUCGGGAAAUCCAUAUUUGUUGGACUUGGCUUUAAUCUUGUCUUGAUUGGAGUUACCAUGAAAUAGAUCUAGCUGCCCAUUAAUCGAAACCCCAUGAUCAAAAUUCAAAACCAAAAUAUAUAAAAGAAAAAAAAAAGGCCAAGAGAAAGUGAAUGACUAGGUUGACUGCUGUCUCUCUUGUUUUCCUUGUCUAUAAUGGGUCACUUUUUAAUAUAUACAAUAUUUUCAUUUGUUUAUAUAAUUUUAAGAGCCAGCUCUCAACUAAUAAUUUUUAGGAUUGACAUUGAUUUAAAAAUAUUUUCUAUUAAAAAUAAAUAAAUGUACGUGCCUUCAUUCUACCUUGAAAGAAUGAUUCUUGACCAUGUCAGAUUACAAUUCGAAUUUCUUCAUCCCAUGAGAUGCGUGGUGGUAAACUUUUGAGAAUGGAAGUCUCUUGAGGAGUGAUCGUAAAAAGACAGCUUAAUUAUUCGGCCGGGUUCCACUAGGACCCUGCUCAUCUCUCUCUCUCUCUCUCUCACACACACACACAUCAACAAAGCUUUCUCUCUCAUACACACAUUGACAAAGCUUUCUCCCAAAGACAUGCACUCAAACCAAAAAAAUAAACUUAUUUACAAAAUAAUGUUCAAUUUAAUGUGUUUGUGUUACAUGUCAUAAACUUGUGUUACAAAAUAAUGUCCAAUCUCUUUACCUUGUCAAAGCUACUCUCUAUUUUAGGUAAGAGUUGUUGACCUUGUGAGUUGUGAGUCUUGUGACUUAGAAGAAAAAGACACAAGACUAGGCUAGAGUGCACGGCUGAGAAAGAGAUGAGGAGGAAACUUCUAGGGAAUAACGUGAUGAGGAGGCAAAAGUAGAACAUUUGUUUCAAUCUGACAGAUGUGAAAUCACCGUGUCUAAGCUUUUACUGUGGUAUUUGGAGUCAGGCUGUAAUAAUAAAUUGCUUUGCAGAGGCAGGAGAAAAUUAAAGAACCCGUAUUCAAUUACAGAACCCGUAUAUGAAGAAAAUUCUUAAGGGACUCCAACUACCAAGCUGACACCUCUCACCUACUUACACCAUCCCUUUGCUUGCUAUCAUCUUAGUUUGAAUGGUAGUUGCUGAUUUUCUGUCUUGCUAAUAUAAAUGACUCUUCCAACAAUAUGCCUAGAACACCUUGGAAUCCAUUUUUGUCGGGUACAAGUGUAGUGAACGUGUGGCAUCAUGGCCUCCGCAGCAGAGGAUGGUGAGCCACUGCUACUUGGACACUCCUCCGCAGGAAUCCAUGAAUUGUCAUCGUCAGCAGUGGAGGAGCUGUUGCUACACAAACCAGUGCCUGGCAGAUGGUGGCCUCGUCUGUUCGGGUGGGAGUCCAGGCUUCUCUGGGUCCUCUCUGGUUCAGCAAUUGUUUCCUCGGUUUUCAAUUACAUGCUUAGCUUCAUCACCUUGAUGUUUGCGGGGCAAUUGGGGGCGUUGGAGCUGGCCGGUGCCUCCAUCGCCAGUGUGGGAAUUCAAGGACUUGCAUAUGGGCUUAUGGUAUGUAUGAGUUUCUUAAGUGCUUUAUCCUGAACAGAGUUCCCAAAACACCUCUAUCCUUAGGGUACUUUUGCAGUAGUCUGAUCUGAGUAUAUGAUUAGUGAGCUGUAAACCAGAAAACUGUGGGCAUCUCCCCUCCAUAUCCCCUAAAGAAACAAUUGGGUAUCAUUCUGUGACUCAUCCAUAGCCAUAGGAAAUUCUAACAUUGUGGUAUAGCUUUUGCAAUUGUAAUUUUUCCCAGGAAAUGAAUUAAUCCCUCGCCCACAACUAGCAAUGGAGUCAGUACGUCAACUAAGCUAGAAAGAAAAACUAAAUUUAGUCGAUCAUUCGUCCAUGCAUUUUUUCUACGCAUUUGAAAUUUGGGGAGAUGGAAAGCUUGGGUCACCAUCACCCCGUGAACCAAGACAUGUCAGACAGGAAGGUUGAAGGGUCCUUUUCCUCCUUCGCCGACUCUGAUGGUUAGCCACAAGAAAUUAAUGUUGGAUAUUUUGGUAAUUAUGGGCCCCUACAUAUUAACAACAGUCUUAUUUUUGGGCCUAAUUAAAUGUGAUCAAUCAUGAUUUCUCCAUCAAUUAAGGCUUAUUUUGGGUUGUAGAAAUUGCCUAUAAUCAAUAAAAGAAAAUUUGUUGCUACUAAUUAUCACAACUAGUUUCAAAGUAACUUGUUUUUCUUGUUUUGUUUUGUUUUGUUUCCCUUUUUUCUUAAUUAAAUUUUGGUCCCAAAAAAAACAGUUGGGCAUGGCCAGUGCAGUGCAGACUGUCUGUGGACAAGCAUAUGGAGCAAAGAAAUAUGCCGCAAUGGGCAUCAUUUGCCAAAGAGCAAUCGUCUUGCACUUGGGAGCAGCCAUUCUUCUCACCUUCCUCUACUGGUAUUCAGGUGCAUUCCUUAAAGCAAUAGGCCAAUCGGAGAGCAUAGCGGUGCAAGGUCAAAUUUUUGCCCGGGGAUUGAUCCUUCAAGUGUAUGCAUUUGCAUUAAGCUGUCCAAUGCAGAGAUUCCUCCAAGCACAAAACAUUGUAAACCCUUUAGCUUACAUUGCUGUUGGGGUAACCCUCUUACAUAUUCUUCUCACAUGGUUGGUUGUUAAUGUCUUGGACUCUGGGCUUCUUGGAAUAGCUCUUACGCUGAGUCUUUCCUGGUGGCUUCUGGUUUUUUCGAUUGCGCUUUACAUACUUUUAAGCCCAUCUUGCAAGGAAACUUGGACUGGCUUUUCUUUAAAAGCCUUCCAAGGAAUUUGGCCCUAUUUCAAGCUAACUGUUGCUUCCGCUGUCAUGUUGUGGUAUUUAACGAAACUCUCUCUCUCUCUCUUCCUCCCCCCCCCCCCCUCUCUUCUCAAUUGAUAAUAUUCUGAUUCUUUUUUCAUUGACUUAAUGCAGUCUGGAGAUAUGGUACAGCCAAGGUCUUGUGCUUAUAUCAGGCCUCCUCCCCAACCCUACAGUCUCACUGGACUCCAUUUCCAUUUGGUAUAUAUAUAUAUAUGUCAACAGAUUGACUAAUGCUUCCAUUUUUUUUAUUUUCCUUGAACAUACAUUAAUAAGUUCUUACAUUAAAUGAUUUCAGCAUGAAUUACUUGAACUGGGAUAUCACAUUCAUGCUGGGCCUAAGUGCAGGAGCAAGGUCAGUGUGAAUAUAUAGUAAAACAAUUAUUCCUCACUUUCAUCUUCUCCUCUGUUUUCUUAGCAACCAAAAGGGUGGGCAUGAGCACAUAUACUAAUAGACUUUGUGGAUUGCAGUGUCCGAAUCAGUAAUGAGCUGGGAGCAGCUCAUCCACUGGUGGCAAAAUUCUCAGUGUUAGUGGUAAAUGCAAACAGCAUCAUCAUAAGUAUAUUUUUUAGUGCGAUCGUUCUGAUUUUCAAGAUAGGAUUGAGCAAGCUAUUCACAAGUGAUACAGAGGUUAUCAAUGCAGUGUCCAACUUGACCCCACUACUUGCUAUUUCUGUCUUCUUAAAUGGAAUUCAACCCAUACUCUCAGGUAAUUAACCAUAUACAGUACCAUUUUGUCGAAGUUGAGGCAUCAAAUAGUACAGCAUUGAAUUGGAAAAACAUGUAAUAAGUGCAAUGGGAAUUCAGGUGUGGCCAUUGGGAGUGGAUGGCAAGCUAUAGUGGCAUACGUCAACCUAGCAACUUACUAUCUCAUUGGUCUUCCCAUUGGGUGUGUUCUUGGAUUCAAAACCAGCUUAGGAGUUGUAGUGAGUAGAAUCUCCUCCCCUUUCUUGCUAGUUUUCUUGCAUGCCAGCCCACACACGCACACAGAGUUACCUUUAAUUAUUACUGAACAAAAUGCGGUUUCUCUUUUUUGCUUUUUGUUUGUUUGCAGGGAAUAUGGUGGGGGAUGAUAAUAGGAGUUCUUCUUCAAACGGUAACUUUAAUUGUUCUAACAGCAAGAACAAACUGGGAUGCUGAGGUAAUCUUGUGGGUUGAUUAAAUUGGAUGUAAAUUAAAUUAGUUCUUGUGUGGAUUGGGCAUGUAUUUAAGCAUACUGGUGAUGCAUUUGUAGGUUGUGAAAGCUGUGGAUCGCAUAAAGAAAUCUUCCAACGAAGAGACGUUGGAUUUAGUACUAGACAAGAUAUAGUCAAGGAGAUUGGAGAUUCAAAUAGAAGAUGCCCAAGAUUUUUACUGUUCCGUCUCUGUCUGGGUGGGAAUCAUGGAUCAUGUAGUUUGAUCUUCUGAUUAUGUUUAUAUUGAGGUUUAUUCUUCUCGAGUUGGUGGAAGUUGGUUAGUUUGACAAGGAAAAGUGUAUUCCAUGUACUCAUACCCAGUGUUUUAAAAAUCAGCAUUAUUAAACUUUAUCAUUUAAUUUAAUAUACCAAAUAUAAAAAUCAAACAUUAUUAAAAUUUGUAAUUUUAUAUAUUUUAAAUUUUUUAUAAUUAUUUUUAAUUUUAUAUAAUAUAUAAAUUAUAUAUUUAUUUCAUCAUCGAUUCAACCAUGGUUUAACCGUUAGUCCGACCAGUGAAUCGUGAACCAGUAAUUUUUCCUGUUUUGAAAAUAUUGCUCAUACAAAAAAAAAACCAUAAAAUCAUAACUCAAAUUUAUAAAAUACAAAUUUCAAACCGUUAUUUAAAAACGGUUAACAUUUUAUAUACUUUUUGGUUAAAGGUAUAAUAUUUGACCAUUCAAAUACUACCUUUCAAUAAUAUAGUUAUUAUCUUUAACCAUCCUAAUACCACCUUAAACUCAUUAUAUAAUGAUGGAUAUUAAUUUUCAUUUGAAUUAAGUUUAUUUAAUCACCCAUAAAUAAUUUAAAAUAGAAAAAAAAAAAAAAAAAAAGCUCUUAAAUAUCAAGAUCAUUUUUUAUUGCAAAAAUAGAAACCGACGAAUUACUCAUUUAUUAUGCCUAUGCAUAGUUGUGAAAGGCGCACCUAGGCUCGGGGCAGCACGACACAAUGCCACCCUCCGGCACCCCUCCUGAAGGCAGGCGACGCCCCUUCAGGAAGGCGUCGCGUAGGCGCGCAAGGCACUCACCUCCGGCAAGGCAUGACGCGGUCACCUGACUCGCCUCUGGCCAGGUACGCCUUCCUCCUUCUUCUUCUUCUUCUCCUUCUCCUUCUUUUCUUUAGUCGCCAUCAGGUUGUAGAGGACUAGGGCUGGGGCUGAGAAGCCCUAAUUUUUUUUAAAUAAAAAGGGCCAAAACGAUGUCAUUUUGGCCUUGUUUCUCUUCCAACCCCUUGUUUCUAGUAUUUUUGAACCCGACACUACUCCCAAUCAUGCCCUAGCCUCAGUCGUGCAGUGGAGAAGUGAAAAAGAAGAAGAAUAUGAUGAGGAAAAAUAGGAGAAAAAUAGUCACGUACCUUCCAGGACCUCAUCAUGUUGAUUAAAUUGAAGUUUUAGAUAAUAUUUGAUGAUUUAUGUGUUUAGGACAAAUAAAUGAUUGUUAAAUUUGAUUAUAUUAUAUAAAAAUAUAUAUGUAAAUUAGGAUGCGUCUCACUUCACUAAAGCUCGCACCUUAGGUGCGCCUUGAGCCUUUUAAAACUAUGUGUUUGCGAUCAAAAAGGAAAAUCAUGGAUAAAAAAUCAAAUAAAAAUUUUAUUUGUUUCAACUUUUUUAUUUGAACUCUAAUUUACACAUCAGCUAAACUGUUGGAUUCCUGACUUCCCAAGCUUCGACCAAAUAUGUGGCUUGAUCCAAAAUAAUCUUGGGAAGUCCUUCAAAAUUCACUUCAAAUUAAAAGUUUGUGUGGUUGCCAAGUUUUGAACUUCAUUUCCCAUGUUUAGACAUCGUUUCCAAUAUUUCUUUCUCAUAUUUUUUGACCCUAUAUCUCUCUCCAUAAGCUUCUUUUCUCAUUUCCCAUGCUAUGCAUUGACCCAUUUGUAUUUGUUGCACCUUCCAUCACUCUUCACUACCCUUGAGCUCCUUUAUUACCAUGGGUGAAAGCAGUUCUUGCAAUUUGCACCCUCUUUAUCUCUUAAAACUAGAUCUUGGCUCAAGAUAUGCAUUAAAAUCACAACUAAGGUCUUAAAUACAAUUCAAGUUAAGUCCAAGAGUUGAGCCUUUAUAUCACAUAAAACACUCUUUAAUUAUACCAUUAAAGCACAAUUUAUGACUUAAUCAACAUCUCACAUGGAACAUUUAAACAUUCCUCCUAUAAAUAGACUAUUCAAAUCUAUUUAAAUUACCCUAAAAUUUCUUUAGGAUGCUUGUAAUUCUUCAACAAGAGUUAUUAUUUUGAAGAAAUAAUUCAAUAAGAGAAUAAAUUGAACAUGUCCCACAAUUGUUUAAGUUCACAAGGAAUACUAAAUGGGAAUCCAUCAAGAAAGUGGAAGUCAUUCAUCAACCAAGAAAGACAACCUUCCCUAACUAGCUAAGAUUAAACUUUAUGCCUAUAAUAGAAAAAUAUGAUUUUCUUUGGAACCCACAUGGUAGAUGGAAUCAUGAAAGGAAAGUGAGGAGAACGUAGCCGAUAGGAAGAGUCGGUAGAAUGCAAAGGGUGUCGUAACUGGUCUAGGGCUAUGAUGUGGCUGAAAGACAGUGGGUAAGGUGAUGCAAUAGGGUGGAAUUUAGGUUAAAAGAAAAGAAAAUUAUGAUGGGCUAGCAGGGUGUUUAUGAUAAAAUUAAUUUAAAAUUUUAAUAGGGCCACGUAGUCCAUGAAGCUUGAGGAAAACGAGAUGGGAAUUUAAGACACAGAUAAAUUUCAAUAAAAUAAGUUUAAAAAAAAUUAUAAUAUUUUAUAAAAUAUAUUUAUUUUAAUGUAUUAAAAAUAAUUUUUUUAAAAGGUUAAACAGGAAAGGUAGGACAAGUAUGAGAAUUUAAUAUUUUUAAUGGAACGGGAAUUGGAAUUAUUUUGAUUAAACGAAACAAGGUUGGAAAAUGGACAACUCAUCCCAAACCUACCCCUUUGUCAUCCCUAGUAUUAGUCGUACACUCUAGAUAUAAAGUGUUAAGCGAUUAAUAUUGUUUCAUGGUCAGGAAAUAGUAACGGGAAAAGACAAAUUCCAAAACAUUCAACCAAGAGACCAUUCUUCAAGGAUUUGUCUUAUGUAAUGUGAUACGAAUGUUAUAUAGUGUUAUUAUAAUUUUCCUACUAAAUUAAUACAAAUCAUUCUAUUAUACCUUCAUCGAUCUUGUAAUUUCAAUUUGUAGUAAACCAAACUUUAAAAAUCUUGAAUUCAAGUAUAAAAAAGGGAUUUAGAGCGUGCAAGCAAAGAACCUAACACAUAAGCAUAGUCACCUCAAGAAGGAAGCUAUGAGAGCAUCCACCUAGACACUCUUUAUCUAGACGAAUUAGAAUAAAUUCAAAGAUGGUGACUAGUUCUUCCAAUAGAACUAGACCUUCAUUCUUGAACAUUUAAGUUACUCUUUACACUCAUAUAUCAGGCCAGGAAGCUUACUUUGAACAAGUAGGAUUUCUUAUGGAAAGGUGAAAAGAUUUUGCUGCAACAAGGUCACAUAAAGUUGGAACAGCCUGGAACCUAAAGAUCAUUUGUCCUCCUUCCACCUUUGCCACCCUUGCCACCUGACCCAACCCUCAUCCUACAACAAAAUCCAACACGCUGUCACAUACUAGUAGACUAGUAAGAUAGGAAAACAAAUAAGCUUCAAGAUCCUCUUGGGUCUUUUAAGGAGUGAACUGCAUCUUUCCGAUAUAAGUUCAAAUUUUUAAUCUUAGCAUUCUCACAAACCACAUAGAAACAGGGCUUAAUUUAAAAAGUUGUCAAAUAAAUAAAUAAAUACAAACAGGAUCAAGAACGUAACAAGAAGAGUAGCAACUUGCAGCACAGAAACAAAAGAGAUAAGGAGCAUCAGGAAACCUUUAUUUUCAUUUAGCCCAUUAAGGAUGAGAGAACCUUUCCAUCCCAACUGAAAAUUUUUAAUUUUCUAAAACCCACCACACACACUUGACUUAGCAAUGAAACAAAUCUCAUACGAUCUCCAAAGUAAUGAAAUGUCUCUGGAGGAAAGAUCACCAAGUUCAUGAGAGUUGGGAGUGUUAGCAUUCUGUAAACUGACCUGAAAAUGUAAGCAAUCUUAUCAUACUAUGAGAGAUCAAACUAAAAACUAUCAUAAUCAUAAUCAUUUCGGUUGUCCUAAUUGAUACACAUUGUUCCCAUGUAUGUAUUUAAUAUAAUGUUUUUAAGACGAGAUUAUCACAUUAUAAUUUACAGUAACAAGCUGACAUACAAGAUUUAAAGGUAAGCUUACCACUUACCCACACACUCUUAUCCCACCCCCAACCAAGGGGUGGAUAUAACGUCUUGGGUGAUACAAACAAGAGAGAUUGCGGUAAAAACUCAUCAGCUGCCAUUUUUGCGUUUCCCUUCCAAAUUCCAAAAUGUUUGUCAACAGCCUACACAGAUGGGAUGAGGGGUUGCACUUCUUCACUUGGUUUUUUUUAACAGUCCUGCAGCAUCAGUAGUCAUCACAGCUGUUGCCACUAUUGGAAAUCCUGUGGCUUGGGAUGGGAUUCGGGACAUUGAUGCCUUCUUUGCCCAUCUGCUGGACUUCAAGCGGAGAUAGUAUCUUGAUAUACCACACAUUAUUGACAAACUCCCUGCAAAAGAAUGAAACCAUAAUCCCAUCUGCAUUUAGCAUUGCACUCAACUAAUCUUAGGAAUGGCCAUGGAAUGACUCAUUACAUAUGAUCAUACAGUUUUGAUGUAUUGAUUUACCAGCUCCUGCAUGCAGAGUCAGCACCACCCACAAAUAGACUAUCCACUUUACAUGCAUGCAGUUUUAAAAGAUGAGUACAUAAUGGUUGAUUAAGCCAAUAGAAAAGUUAAAAUGAUUUGAGUUAUUAACUUUGAAGAGACUUAAAAAUCCAGAAGAACCAUUUUGACAAUUAGUGUUGGUAUAUAAUUUGGGACUUACUGCCAAGGGUCAUCACCAAGGAGAAGAACAUCAUUCUCUCGGUCAACAAAUACAAGCUGCCAGCCUGAUCUCAGAGGGUCCUCCAACCGGCCUUCAAGGCCAAACAUUCGGCCAAGCUCACCACGCAGCUCAUCAUAGCUGCUGAAUUUGGUGAUAUCCAGUGACCUCCCAAAGGACCCUAACUUGUGAACCUGCCAGAAUUAUACUUUGUACUUAAAAACCAUAAUAAAAGUAGCCCUAGGAAAUAGAACCAAGACAUGAAGCAAUGGUCAUCAUAUGAGAAGGAAUGCUAGAAGAAGAAAGUUGAUCAUAUAGUCAACCAUCCACAAAUCAUCAAUUUAGCAGUGAAAACAAACACAGCAGAACAUUAUGCAGUUUGGUUAAAAUCUAAAUAUGAGAUAAACCAAGGAAGGAGAAAAAAGAACAGGAGUAACAAUGUAUAAGGCCUCAAUAGUUAACCAUUUAUCAGAUUUUAGGAGCCAUCCUCCUGGAAAAUCAUGAGCAUAGAGCAGUAAAGUAUACCAUCUCUGGUCCCCAACUUGAAGUACCCUCAAAUCUAAAAACCAAUUCAAUUGCCUAAAAGUGAAAUGCAUUUUAAAUUAAAGCAUUCGGCAAGAUAGAAAGGCAACAAUUCAGAGGACAAACAAAAGAAAUAAGACAAAAGAUGAUUAUCAUUUGAUCACAUGUGAAUCCUCCAAGUUUUCUUUAAAGAGAACACAGGGCAAUUCCAGGACAUGCAAAUGUUUAGUGGCUCAGACAAAGAGAAAUGCUCACAAAAGAUAGCAGCAGCUCCAUUUACCUUAACAAAGGUUCUGGUUGGUGGGUUUACUUGCUCCAAAUUUUCAGAAGACUGCAAGAAACCUGAUUCAUCUAUGCAACUUGAAGUUGUCAUGUCUGAAUUAAGUGGAAAAUCGGUGCCUGGAGCAUUUGCAAAAUUAGGCGUAGAAAAUGGCAUAGACACUGAAUCAUUCUCACUGCCAAUACUUCUUAGAUUUGACAUCCCAUUUUGCAGCAUAAGAGAUGAAGAGUCUAUAUUAACCCCAAACAGAAGAUUGUUUUGGGGAUCAGCAACACCUUGGUACACAGAGUACUCUCUACCAGGAAAAGGUGGCAACAAGGUGGAGAGUUCAGAGGCAUUUGAAGGCGGUGUUGCCAACUCUUCCACCUGGGGCAGUACACAUUGAGUAGUUCCAGAGGGAAGCGGAGGUUCAACCGCAACUUGCUUGGGAAAGAAGGCAGAAGAAGAAAUUACAGGAUUUGAUCCAUGCAAGUUAAGUAGAUGGGAUGUUCCAUCUUGGGAGAAUGAACCUAAAAGACUCUGCAUGGUAGAAACAUCUGAUGUAGUAAUUGGGUUCCCAACAGAAUCAGGAAAAAUCUGCUGCUGUAUUGGUGAAGGGAUAGUCUGUAAGGAAGGAGGCAGAGAUUGAGUGGGUGAUGAAAGCUGAGAUAGAGCAGAUAUGACCUUUGGGAUAUGUUGCUGAUCAGACAACUGCCGAUGCAGCUGCUGGGGUUGUUGAAGUUGUGGCUGCUGUUGUUGAUGUUGUUGUUGCUGCUGCUGUUGUUGAUGGUGUUGUUGCUGCUGCUGCUGUUGAAGCUGUUGUUGCUGCUGUUGAUUACUCAACGCCUGCCGACCCUGCAACUGUUGUUGCAGAAGCUGGGCCUGAGCCUGAGCCUGAGCAUGAGCCUGAGCCUGAGCCUGGGCCUGAGCCUGAGCCUGAGCCUGAGCCUGAGCAUGAGCCUGAGCCUGAGCAUGAGCCUGAGCAUGAGCCUGAGCCUGAGCCUGAGCAUGAGCCUGAGCCUGAGCAUGAGCAUGAGCAUGAGCCUGAGCCUGAGCCUGAGCCUGAGCCUGGGGUGGGUUUUCUUGAAAGCUUUGAAGAAAAGCAUGUUGAGAUUGUGUCUGCUGCAACAUCUGCCCCCGGAAGACAGAAGCAGGACUAUUGGAAACAUUUUGUGGUUGCUGGAACUGCAAAAGGGACUGAGCAGGAUGUUUGGAAGGAUCCAGUGCUCUCAAUUCCUGAAGCGAAGCAGCUGCUAUAGCUUGUUGCAUGUUAGAUUGUAAACCAAGCAUUGAUGCAUCAAGCCUUGGUUGCAUCCAGGGUGUAAGUCCAUAACCCUGAAAAUUUAAAGACUGAAUCCCCUGAUCUCCAAUGUCUCCUCGGAGCCACAUGAGUGGAGAAUUUAUGCUCAUAUCACCAUCUUUGUGAGCUAGAUGAAACAAAUGAAUCAUGUAAACAUAAAAUAAAAAUAAAAAUGAAUACUGGUCUCAAGUGAAAAUUCAAGCAAAUAGUGUAUUCACCAGCCUCAAUGGUGGUGGUACACAAGCAUACCGUGGAAGGAAGGUAGGGCAGAGGGCCAUGGUCGCUUCAGUCUAAGUGGGAAAGGGGAUGGAUACAUUGGGAAUGUUGUUAAAGGCUCAAUCUCCCACAAGGAAACUCUGGGUUGCCUCUCCCCGGCAGUGGAUUCAUCCCAACCAACCUGGCAUUAAUAGAGAAAUUUACAAGAACAUGCUUUAUAUUCCAUCAUUGAAAAUUAAAUAUCUCCAUGGAACACAUGACUGCAAUUAUGACCAUAUAAUCACCAAAUGCUCUGAACAAACCUUUACAGAGCGCCAAUGUGAGUUUGGCCAGCGAACAGGAUCUAAAUCACUAAUGCCAGUUAUUGUGCCCAUGUACCUGAAAAGUACCAUGUUAGUGCCAGUGGAAAGCAUCUACCAGUAUAUUUUAAAAUAGAUGUUUUACAGAUAACAUCUAUCAAAAGAAAGAAAACUUAAAUGACUAGGGAAGAUCGUCCUGCUGGUACAAUGCAUAGUAGCAACAAAAUGUUAGUAAAAAUGAUAAAGAAACUAAAACCUUUUUACCCCAGAACUAUGUAGUUCACCAAUAGGAAAAGCAAGCGCAUGAACGAAAUGGAACCCUGGGGGACACCAAAACAGUAACAUGAACAAUGUAUGCUACUCAAUAACAUGUAUGAUGGAAUUAAGAUCAUAUACAUUACUCUAUUGAGACAUAUAUAUGCUAGUUGUAAAUGUGUAACAGUUUUCUUUUCAACCCAAAGAAUGAGAAUCUGAAAAAUGCACAACUUCCAGUUCACAACAGAAAACCUAUUGAAUAAUUAUUAACCAUAAAAGAGCAUAGCAUCAAGCAUGUUCUGUCAUUUAUGCUUUGCUUAGAAGGUUGAAAAACAAAUUUUUUGUUGUUGUGGGGGGGAGGAGGUUGGUAAAUAACUUAGUCAGUCUUUUACAAUCUGACAUGGUUACAGCUUCAGAAUAUUCAGUAACUUAGGCAAGAGAAACAGAAGUACAGCUGCAUUUGGGAAUCUAUGCAUCAAGAUCCACUUUCUCAAAUCAACUUGAACUUGUAUUCCACUAAAACCAGAUAACACUUUGAAUGUGCUCCAGCCUGGUCCAAAAAUUAAAAAAUUUCCAGACAGUCCCUUAAGUUCUGAAACGGAGUAUACAACGACUUUCAAAUGUCAAUCACUAACCAUUUAAUUAUAUGAUCAGUAGGAAAUAAAUAAAUAAGCGCACGCACACACAUGGGUUUCUGUAGAAGAAGAGAGAUGGAAGAAAUACAAGGUAUGAAAUUCAUAUCCUUAAUCUCUAGCCUAUAUAGAGACUCACAUAUAUAUACAAAAAUUCCUAGCAACAAAAUUAGAAAUUUUCCUAACUUAAUUACACUAGAUCCCUUUGAUUACGGGAUUGCCUAAUUCUCUCCUCAAUUAAAAAAUCAAGACUUUCCUAAUUUCAUUCUUCCACACUCCCCCUCAACUAAAUAAAUGUUUUCCAUUCUCAGUUUGGAUACACUUGCUUAAAACUUUGUAUUGCUUAAACCUUUUGAGUAAAUCUACAAGUUAGCAGUUAGUAGAUACAUAAGGAAUAUAGAUCAAUCCACUAUCUAGUUUCUCCUUAAUAAAAUGUUUGUCUAUUUCUAUGUGUUUCAUACGAUCGUGUUGCACUGGAUCAUGUGCAAUACUAAUUGCAGAUUUAUUGUCAUAGUAAAGUCUCAUUAAAUCAUCCCAUUUAAUCUUAAAAUCUUCCAAAACAAUCUUCAACCAUAGUAGUUCACAAACUCCUUAGGCCACUGUGCGAAAUUCUGCUUAUGCACUAGACCUCGGCACCAAACUUUGUUUCUUACUUCUCCAUGUCACUAGAUUCCCACCAAGAAAGGUGCAAUACCCAAUGGUUGAUCUUCUGUCAACCACAUAUCCAACAUAGUUUGCAUUUAUGUAUGCUUCAAAUACUAGUCUUGAGCUUCAUUUAAAUAAGAUGUCUAUUCUUGGAGACCCCUUAAAGUAUUAUAGCACUCAGUUAGCAGCUUACAAAUGAACCUCUUUUGGACUAUGCAUGAGAAAGCUAAUCACACUCACAGCACAUAUGCUAUAUCCUGUCUUAUGUGAAGGAGAUAAAUGAGUCUUCUUACCAACUGUUGAUACAUCUCUCUAUCUACCACAACAUCCUCUCAGCUUCCCCAAGCUUAUGAUUAGGAUCUAUUGGUGUGCUUGUUGGUUUACAGGCCAACUUCCUUAUUUCCUUUAGAAGAUCCAUUACAUUUGCUGUUGAGAAAUAAAAAUUCCCCGCUUAGAAUGUACAACCUCAAUUCCUAGGAAGUGUUUCAAGUUUCCUAACCCUUUAAUCUCAAAUUCCUUGGUCAAGCAUUGCCUCAACGUCUAUCUCUCCUUUUCAUCAUUUCUAAUCAUGAUGAUGUCGUCUACGUAUACCAAAAGAGUUGUAACUCCCCCUAAAUCCGAAUAUUUGAUGAACAACAUAUGAUCUUCUUGACUUUAUCUGUAUCCCAUAUUUUUCAUUACUUAAGCAAACCUUCCAAACCACAUCCUUAGAGAUUAUUUCAGCACAUAUGAAGCUUUCUUCAAUUUAUACACCUUUUAGUGGCUAGGUCACUGCCAAAUCUAGGAGGGACUGUCAUAUAAAUCUCUUCUUGAGAUCUCCAUUCAAAAAUGCAUUUUUGACGUCGAACUGUUGUAGAUCCCAAUUAUAAUUUGUUGUCAAUAAUAACAAAAUUCAGACUAUGUUCAUCUUAGUAGCUGGAGCAAAUGUCUCUAGAUAAUCCACACCAUAUGUCUGAGUGUAUCCUUUAGCCAUAAAUCUCACUUUGUACAUCUCUUAUGUCUCAUAUGCUCUAUACUUAACAAUAUAGAUCCAGUUACAUCCCAAUGGCCUUUUUUCUACAGGCAAAUCAAUCAACUCCCAAGUUUUAUUCUUCACCAGGGCCUCCAUUUCUGCAUCAAUGGUUUGUCUCCAAUUUUCAUUAGAUAAAGCCUCAUAUAGAAUGGUAGGAAUAUGAAUAUUUUUCAAACUUGUAAGAAAACUUUUAUAGAAUGGAGACAACUUUCUGAAUGACACGACAUGGGAAAGUGGAUACAAAGAACGUUUAGUGCAUUCCCUCAUUCCCUUCCUAAUGACAAUAGGGAGAUUUUGAUCUAUUGGUUUUUCAGACUGAAGUUCUGACUUAGUUUGUAAGGAAGGAUGAGAGACCGUUACCUCAUUUCUAGAAGCCGGUUUAGAUUCUUGGAUUUGUAUAAGUCUAGGGAAUGCAACUUUCUUCCUUGAGUGCACUUUGUCAGUUAUUCAAUUCUCAAGAGUAGGCUCAAUAGAUGACAACUCAAGUUUAGAAAAGGAGGGUACAAAUACUAGAUCAAACCCUAGACAAGAGACUUUAGGGGGGUCAAUGAGAAAGGGAUCAAUGAAAUAGAAAUCCCGAUUCUUGUCUUCCUCGAUGGAAUUCUCCUCCCAAAAUGAGGAGCAGGAAAAUAAAACUCACUUUUGUUAAAAGCAACAUCCGCUAAGACAAAAAUAAAAAAUAAAAAAUUAGAUAGUGGAUGGUAACAUUUAUAUCCCUUUUGAGUUAAAGAAUAUCCCACAAAAAUACAUUUGACUGUUCUUGAGUCCAAUUUUCCCUUGUUUGGACUAUGAACAUCCACAAAGGACACACACCCAAAUAUCUUAGGAAUGAAAUGGUUUGUGGUUCUCAUAUUAGGAUAAAACAAUGAGAGAAUUUCCAUGACAAUUUUGAACCUAAGACUCUGGAAAGUAGUCGGUUUAUGAGAUGUGGAGCAGUUAAGACAACUUCCUCUCAAUAAGAUUUAGGUACAUGUUUUUGGAAUAAAAAGCUCAUGGUGUAUCAAGGAGGUGGCGACUUUUCCUCUUAAUAAUUCCAUUUUGUUGCAAGGUGUUGACACAUGAUGACUCGUGAAUUCUGAUAAAAAAAAAAAUGAUGACUCAUGAAUUAUUCUCUCAUGUUGAAAGUAUAGAGUCAGGACUUAGUUGAAAUAAUCUCUGGUGUCGGACCGAAACCUCUUGAUAAUGACACCAAACUGAUUUUUUAUCAUGUUAUGGAAAUUUAGAAGAACAAAACUCACAUCAAAUUUGUGUUUAAAUAAGAAAAUCUAAGAGACCCUAUUACAAUCAUCGAUGAAAGACACAAAUCAAUAUGCCCUAGAUAUAUUAGGGACAGAGGAAGGGCCCCAAAUAUCACAAAGGAAGUUCUCAACAUCUAAUUUCCUAAAUAGAGAAGGAAACAAGAUCUUAAGAGUUAUAAAUGAUAGAUGUCCAAGUCUAUGAUGAUGAAGCCGGAUUUUUCUUUUAUUGAAAAAAUGGUGCUCAAAAAGAAAAGAUACAGAUAACUCGCUUGGUAUCUCAAGGUAGUAUAACAUGUUUCGUUCCUUAGCAAGUCCAAUCAUCUUCCCCAAGUCCUGGUCCUGAAAUACACAGUAAGUAGGGUAAAAAACCACAUUACAACCCAAAUCUCAUAUAAACUUUUGUAUAGAGAUAAGAUUAGUGGACAACCUUGGAACAUGAAACACAUUUCUAAGUGUGAGUGUAGGACUACUUUGGACAUCUACACCUACGAAAAUGGUUAAUGAACCAUUUGUUGUGGUUAUUUUCUUACUGCUUGGACAAGGGUUAUAGUUGUUAAAUUGAUGUGAUGAAUGAGUCAUAUGAUUAGUGGCACUUGAAUCUAUAACCCAAGAAUUGGCAAAGGUUUUAUCUAAGACUUUUAAUCCAAUGGAAAUAGAAAACUUACCUGAAACUUCCAGUGAGCAAGUACUUGAAUGUUUUUCAAGAGUUCCCAACAAAGUUCUCAAUUUCCUCCUGAUUGAAUCCACUUUGUUGAGGGAUUUUUCUUCAAUUGACUUAAUAGAAGAUAAGUGUGCUUGCCCAUUAUCCAUCUACUACCCACUCUUUGAUAGAUGUGAUUGGCUUACUAUGAAGUUUCCAACAUUUCUCUCGUGUAUGUCUAGCCUUCUGGCAGUAAGUGCACCAUAAAUUAUCCCUAUUAUCAAGAUUUGAAGCCCUUAACCAAUUAGUCCUUUUGUUAUCAGUGGUGCUAGCCUUCUAAUCACUGCCUUUGUUAGCAACCAUAGUCGAGCCUUCCAUAUUAUGAGGUUCAAGCAUGACACUUCUCUUGCUUUCUUCUGCUUGGAAAAUAGAGAUAGUCUCAUUCAAAGUUGGAAGCUCUUUGCUAAGUAUUUGAACUCUAACUUGAUCAAACUCAACAUUAAGACCAACUAAGAAAUCAUAGACUCGAUCCUUUUCAAGAUUACUGCAUCCUUGGAACAUUUUGUCUCAAUGUAUCAAUGGUGAUCAAGUUCUUAACCAUAGAUUUUUCAAUACAUUACCAUACUUCAUGACUGUCUUAUUUCCCUAUUUAGCCACUUCAAUCCUAACUUUUAUUUCGUACACUUGAGCUGCAUCUAGUGCCUUCAAGUAUGUCUGGUGAACUACAUCCCAAAUGUCUUUUGCAGUUAUUAGGAACAUACAUGUUUCAUUGAUUUCAGGCAUCAUGGAGUACCACAACCAUGCCAUAAUCAUUGAGCCUUGCUCAUCAUAGACAUCAAACUCCUUCCCUUGAUCCAGUACCCAAAAGAUGACUGAGUUUUCCUUUUCCCUUCAAAAAGGUACAAACAAGUUGCGACUAUUUUAAAUAGUCCUCCCCAUUAAGUUUAUAUACCGCUUUAAUAUUCUGCAAUUCUCCUAUGUUGUGACUAACUAUGACUCCUUCAGAUUGAGUGGUGACUGUAGUAGUUUGUGGGAUGAAUAUAUAUAAAAAUAAAGAAAAUAAAAAAAUAAAAAAUAAAAAACACGUUGAAUCUUUCUAGAAAACUCUCUUUGUGAUCCUUUGAGGCUAAUCCUUUGAAGCCUUAGAACCUUUCUUUCAAGAUGCAGAUCUUUGUUAAAAACUCCUACUAGAAAAACAAUAACCCUAGAGGUUGAGACCUCCGACACAAUGAGGAAAGGCUAAAGGUCUCUAGCAAUGUGAAGCAAGAGGCCCAUAGUGGAAGAAGACGAGGCUAAGACAAAGGGGAGACAACCAAGCGUGAGAAUGGCAAGGACAAGGCCGACGGUGCUAUAGCAAGGGGUCCCUUUUGCGAUCUGUAUAGGCUAUGCAAGUUAUGCCGAGGAUGGCCCAAAGACGAUGGCAACACAAUCUAAGUGGCGACAUGAUCUCAGUGCGAGGGUGGAAAUGAAGGUGACAACGUGAUUUCUCUUGCAAUAGUGGCGCAACACGAUCUUUGCGUGGUGUGACAACAUGAUGACUCCAAUUGCUUUGGCGCUACGUUCACGAUCUGGGUUUGCUGCAAUGGCUCAACUCAGACAAGAGGAAACUUUAAGGUCAACAAUGAAGGUUGAAUCUAGUCUUCAACUCAACAAUGAAAGUCGAAAAAAAAAAUCUUCUCUUCCCAGAUUUACAAGCCUAAAGCUCUGAUACCGUGUAAAAGAAGAGAGAUGGAAGGAAUACAAGGUAUGAAAUUCUUUUCCUUAAUCUCUAGCCUGUAUAGAGACUCGCAUAUACAUACAAAAAUUCCUAGCACCAAAAUUAAAAACUUUCCUAACUUAAUUACACCAAAUCACUUUGAUUACAGGAUUGUCUAAUUCUCUCCUUUCUUACAAAAUCACGAUUUCCUAAUUUCACUUCUUAAUUUCCCUAAGCUAACUCUUUGUUACCCUACGAUACUGAUUUUAUCACAACUUUCAUGGUCACAGCAGGCAAAAAAAAAAGGGCAACUCAAUCAAGGAAAAGCAUAAAAAUAUAUUUGAAUCCUUAUCUAAAGGAAAACCAAGGAGGACUUGCCAAUUGUUUAGUUUUAAAUGCCCCACUAUCCUUUGAAUGUGUUAAUUACCAGACUAUUUGAAGGCUAUAUUGAAUUACCAUGCAAACAAAUAUAACCACAAAAUAUACAAAAGAAGUUGAGGGGACGUACCGACGGACACUCGACUCUUCCGUCUCAAACAGCAUCCUGAAACGCAUACCAACAGAAACACGGGUAUGAUAGACUGCUUUGGCAUACUUUGCCAAAGGUAUGACGAAUUCUGAUGGACUAGCCCUGAAAUUUAGGCAAUAAUUAAUAAGAUAAACAUUUAUUUUAAAUCCCUAUCCCAACCACAUUCCUAACCUUGGAUUGUAAAAUAUAGUAAAGCGGCUAUUUGUGGCAGCUGCAUGGGCAGCUGCAGCAAGAAGGCCAAUAUGCAUGCUAUCACUUGAUAAAACUGAUGAAGGCAUUAUGGUUUGUGGACGAUUAGCUCGCCGAAUACCCAGGAGUAAUUGAUUCUUUUCGUUCCUGAUAAAAUUGAAGGCAUUAAGUAAGAACAAUGAGAAUCUAAACAGAUGAUUUUUUUCUCACAUUCUAUAUGAUCAAACUAGAUAAGGGGAAAAGUUGUCCCUAUUAAAUAUUGUAUAUGGUGGAUAUUGAUGAAAUAAUUGCUAAUUGAUGCCAACCAGGAGAUCCUAUCUCUAACUCAACCCAAUAUAUGAUUUAAUCCAAGUAUAGAGCUUAUAUUCUGAAGACUUUAAGACACUUAUCAAAAAAAUUCUCAAGAUUUUACGACGACUUGUGCUGCUGGUCCUCAGAAAAAGGUUCAAUAACCCAGAUAACAUCAUCAGAUGAGUGUCAGGGUUCCAAGCUCCCUAAGGUGUCCACUGGUGUCGCACAAAAUGUUUGUUCUCCAAUCUAUAACUCAUUUGGAUGCAAUUACUCCAUUACAUGAAAACCAGAGUAUAGAGCAUGCCUAUCUUUUAUAUGCAAGUAGUCCAUUACAUGAAAAAACAACUAGAGCUUACUAAUAGGAUGAUAAAGAACACGCCUACCAGAUAAAAAGGACAGAAUCGCCGGCAAUAAGUCUUUUUGCACUUACAAACACACUCCAUCCUGUUGUAAGAAGAUGCCUCUUGGGCUGGCCUGCAUAAGGAAAUUGAAAAUAAAUUAGAGUUAGAAAAUAAAACAAUUUCCAGGAAAGAAAAGCCCUAUUUGGCAAUUGCUUUUUAAAACAGUUUUUUAUUCUUUAAAGCAUAAAAAAUAAAAAAACAGAAAAACAUGUUUAGCAACUAGAAAAUGGAAAACAGUUUUCUGUUCUUAAAAAUAGAAAAUAAGAUUUUUUUUUUUUAGAACAUAUUUUAGUUGUUUUUACUUGUUUUGUGAGGAUUGUUUUUAAAAAUAAUUAUACAAAUAUGGAGAAUGAAAAUAAAGACUACAGUAAAAGUUAUUUUUAAAAAAUGUUUUAAAACAUAAAAAAACACGUUAAAAACAUUUCAAGUUCCCAAAUAGACUUUUGUUCUCAAAAAUUGAGAAUUCUAUUUUCAAAAACAAUUCUCAAAAGCCAUUUUUCAGAACCAUUUUUGAACACACUUCCCAAAACAAACUUUUGUUCCACAAAACAUUGAAGAACAAUUUUUAAAAAUAGUUCUCAAAAGCUAUUUUUCAGAACUAUUUUUUAAAACACUUUCCAAACAAAGCCAAAAUCUCCAAAAUUCCAAAUUAACUCAACAAAAUUCCCAAAGGAUUGGGAAUUUUCAAAGAGACUUUUUGUGGGGAGAUCUUGGAGAAAGAAGAAAGAUACAUCUUGUGAGUUGGUCAAAUCUAUGUAAGGAUUAUAAGUACGGAAGGUUGGGAUAAAGAAGAUUGGAGGUACUCAAUUAAGCAUUUCUAUGCAAAUGGUUGUGGAGGUUUGCUUUUAAGCAAGAGAGUUUGUGGAGGAAGAUUAUCCAUGGAAAAUUCGGGAAGUUGGAAGGAGGUGUAUUACCCAAGGAGUGAGGGAGUCCUUUACUAUGAGCCUAUGGAAAGACAUUAAAAAAGGAUGAGAUGACUUUAGUCUUAUAUUAGCUAUCCAAAUCAGAAAUGGUAGACAAAAAAAAAUCAGUGGGAUAGAUGAGUAGGGGAGAAUAGGUUAAUAGAUGUUUUCCCUAUGCUUUUCAAAGUAUCCUCUUCCACGAAUACUAUAGUUGCAAACUUAUGGGAGGGAAGAGGAAGCAAAGGCCAUUGGAUGGUUCAAUUUAGAAGGCCCUUCGAAGAUAGGGAGUUGGAGGAAGUGACCCAAUAUUUGGAUCUUGUUUACCCUAUGACAGUACAAGGAGAGGACACUUCACUUUGGAGAGAGGAUAGGAGGGGUAGUUUCAAUGUAAAGUUGUACUACUCCUUAUGUGAUGAGACUAAUAUAGCAUUCCCAGUCCAAGAUAUUUGGGGCGUCCCCAUCCCUCCUAAAAACGUGCUUUUUUGCAUGGAAUGUUGUAUAGAGAAAGAUCUGAACUCUAGAUAUUUUAAUGAUGGACAAUGAUCAACAAAUACAGUGGUCUUUGUAAAGAAAAUGAAGAAUCAAUUGAUCAUAUCUUGAUUCAUUAUGAAAAAAUAAGAGUUAUAUCAAUGUUUCUCUCAACAGUCUUUGGCCUAAAACAGGUGUGGCCAACUUCAAUGAGAAAUCUCUUCAAGUGGAAAUUUAAGGGGUUGGAUAUAGCUCCCCUUUGUUUUUCUUGGUGUGUGUGGAAAUAGCAUAACCGAAGGAUUUUAAAUGAAGAAGACUUCUCAUAUCAAAGGUUAAAAGAGUCCUCCAUCAAAUCCCUAUCGGAGUGAUUGCAUGCUUCAAUGGGAAUUGAGAACCUCUCAAUGAUGGAUUUCAUAGACACUCUUUCUUAUGGAUAGUUUGGUUUUUGUGGGCUGAUAUUGUAUAUAUCUUUUGGUGUCUUUGUUGUGAUGUUUUGUGUAUGCUACCUGUAUGGAUAAGGUGUGACUUAUCCCUUUAGCGCUCUUUUUGUCAAUCAAAAAAAAAAUAUAUAUCCCAAAGGGAACAACUCCCAUCCCAUGGCCAAACUACAAUUGAUCCCAAUGUUAUUCAUCUCUAAUCUUUAAAAUAACCAAAAUACUCUUGGAAGACUAAAACUCUCUCUCACACACACACAAAAAGAACCUAAAGAGUCAAAUUGCUAAUAAACAAAGGUUAAUUAAAUGGAAAUGGAAUGAACAAAGAAGAAUAGAAACAACAAGCGGUUCUUCACAAGGGAAACCACACCAAAGAAGAAAAGCCACAAGAUCAAAGCUAAACCAAGGGAAGAUGCAAACCAACAAAACUUCAUUUAAUGAAGGCAAAAGAUGGCCUCUAAAUUUCUCAUGCAUCAAUGCACCUUUUUUCGCCAAAAAGUCACCUGUAAUCAUCAAUAUUGGAACAUAUUUGAAAUUGAUGUUUAUCCUAGAUAGAAGUUUCUUAGCUUCUCUCAAACAAAUUAACCUACAAGAAUCCAAAAUAUUGUCUAAAGCCCACUUGAUGUUCGUACAGGAGUCCCCCCUUCCAAUAAAAGCUUCACAUCGCACAUGAACACCUUUUUUCAACACCUCCAAAACAACUUGGUAACAUUUUCAAACCCUCUAGCUUGGAGAAAGCCAACUGAACCUCAUAAUUUUUUAGAGAGACAAUAUAUUUUUAAAGGUUCAUUGGUAAGGCCACCAACUUAACUUCACCACAAUGGUUUCUAAGAAAACCUAAUUUGAAUUUGACUUAGAUUUCCUUCAGAACAUCUGUCAAAAUCAAAUUCCAUCCACACAAGGAGGUGAAAACUCCUCCUAGAUAUGGAAUCUAGUCCAAAAGUACACACAUAUGCUUCCAUUCAUGAUGCACAAACAGUUACGCCUUUAAAUUCUUUGAUAGUCGAACCCUAUAAUGAAGAAAUUAAUCGACUCCCUUCAUCAUAGUAAUAUCAAAAGAUGCCAAAGUUCUUUCCAACCAAUAGAUCAAAUUGAUACCACUCAAACAAAAACUCUUAAUUUUUUACUCCUUUCACCUCUAAGAAAACCCCUGAUCUGCUAAAAAGAAUGAAACAAAUAUUUUAUAGGGGAAAGGGCAAUGUAAGAAAAGGUGGUCAAAAGCCCCAUUACUCCUUUUGCAUAUAAUGCACAAAUAUCCUUUAGACCAAAAGAGCUUCUUAAUUGGCUAGGAGCCAAGCCUUAAUUUUCAGCUUCCAAAGAGGGUACACAUUCUCUAGCCAAGCAGCCCUAUUGCCUCCCCACCAUUAAAAAUAAAAAUAACCAUUUCCUUAGAGAAUUUACUUGUCCUGAAUUACUAUUUGGAUGAAAAUAUAUAGUUAGUGUAAUUAUUUGUCCCAAACUAGGUAACCAACAUAUCUAAUCAGAAAGUUAGGGGCCAUUUUCUGAUGAAAUGGAAAACAUCUAGAGUAAUUGGAACGGGCUUUGAUGGGAUCAAUACAGCAUAAUGAUCCUUUAACCUAAUUAAUAGGCUAAAGUUUUUUUAAGUGAUUACUGUAGUGGUAACAUAGCAAGUAUGGCAGUGGAUACUCCGAAAGACUAGAGUUUCUGUUCACAUUCAAACUACUAUUGCAAUGAGUUAUUAGAGUUUAAUUUUAACUUAAAACAUUUAAAUUUUGGGGGCCAAUUGGCUUUACAUUUUAGUUUAUAUAGGGAAUUUUGCUAACUUCAUUACUAUGAGCUUUUAUUAGUAUGGGCUUAGCCUUAGCAAUGGGACAGACCUAAACCCUUUUACAGGAUAACUAGAGUCCAAGUAAACUAAGUUUUAAGUUGCAUAUGGAAAAGUAACUUGAAGUUGAAUUAACAUAUGGGGCGAGGACACUAAGUCAAUGUGCAUAAUAAUGCAAUAAGACAACAGAUGAGACCUUGAGAUUAAUAAAUUUCAAAUUUUAGUAUUUCUUGUUUUUCCACUAUUUCUUCUUUCAGUUUGUUGUUUUAGCCCAUAGCUCAUGGAGUUUGGUUCCCUGUUGCUGGAAUUUCAGCCUAAGAUCCAAGCAUUCACUGUUCCAUCUUUGAUGUGUGCUCGCUUGAUCUUCACCUGUGCUGCAUCACUGUUCCAACUAGAAUCUAUUUUUAUUGUCACAAUCUGCAUCAUGAUCUGCACAUCCAAUAUAUCUUUACAUGUACCACUAGCUCAUAGUCCAGUUAUUAAAUUAAUCUUCAUUCAAAAUUUAAGAACCAAAGUAUGGAAUAGCGCAGACAACACAAACCUAACUUCACGCCCAUAGCUAAGGUAGUUUUUCCCAAUUGAAAAACUCAGUAAACACUAGCGUUGAAGAGAAAAGUAAAUUUUUUUUCCCUUUUUUCCUUUUCUUUUCUUUUUACAGGAUGAGAGACAGGUAUUAUACUAUUAUCAGAGGACAUACUAAAAAUUUAGAAUGAACAACAAAGAAUGAGAGCAUUUCUUGGCCAUCAAGGUAGAUUUAAGAACAAACUCAUUUUGGGAAAACUCACCACGAAAUAUAUGUCUGAAUUUCCAUUCAUUACCAUGAAGAUCCCUUGCAAUCAAUUCUUGAGCAGGAGGCUGCUGGGUGUAAUCCUGACAGGAGAAUACAGAUCAAAGUAUCAACAAUGAAUGAAAAGUCAAAAACUAGAUCAUGCCCAUCAUGAUAUCAUUAAAUACUGAUGAACCAAAUUGAGUAUAACCAAAACUUCCGUACAAGAGGAGGAAACACUUUUUCAGCAGCCCGGCGAGGAACAGAGAAUCCUCCAUGAGUACUGGUGUCACUUGCAGUCAAUGUUUUGCAGAAAUAGUUGGUUGGCUGUUUGCUGGGGGAACCCAAUUCUGCUGGUAGCAGGCACACUUCUUUUUGCUCUUGCUACAGAAAAUAUAGUAACAAUAAAUGAAGGAAACACAAAAUAUGGAAUUCCAUGUGUCCAAAUAAGACAAAACUAAGUACCGGACUCAAUGGUUGCAAGGUCAUCUGAGCAUAUACUUCAUCUGUCUCAACAUCUGCCUGUACUUCACCAGUUUUUAUACUUUAGGAAGCAGCCAGCAAGAAGAUAUAGAAUUAACUGAAAUAGAUCUAUACUUACAUGCAUGGUCACAUUAUGAAGCUGACAAAUAAGUUGAGGGGCCAAACUAGGGUAGUUAGGGAUAUGAGCAUCUACUUCCUUGUUGGUUGAGGCAGCAACCUGCUAGGAAUAAUGAGCACUAUUAAAACACUAGUAGCAUAUAGUAUUACACUAAAAUGGAUAUCUAUAUAAGAUAUGUAAGUUGUUCAGAAAAUAGAAUAUGGAUUCAAAAUGGAACAUCAAAUAAGAGAAAAGCUGCCAACAUUCUUGUGACCAAAGCAGACACCUACUUUUUCACCCUCAAAAUCUGAAGGGGAAAAAUACAGGAUGUGCGCAUUUAUUGGGAAAAAGAACAACAAAGAAAGUGUCUACAAAUGAUGAUCAUUAAAUUUAGAUCAAGUGGAUAAUAUGGUCUAUAUGACAUUCUGCAUCCACAGAAAAAUAAAAUCUAGCAAAAAAACAUUUACUGCAACUAAAUUUUCACUGGUUUUUUGCAUGUGUGAAUACCAUUUCAAAUGAGAUUAGUUACAAGUUCUAUAACCAGUGACAUUAACAACCCACUGAAAGCUCCAAAAACCCAAACCUAUAUAGAUUUUGAAUUUCAUAAGGCAAAAGUACAAAGCCUGCACUACCCAUUUGCUUGAAAGCGGUUGCUUAUUAAAUUUUUUAAAAUUGACGAAAAGGGGAUGGACACACAUCAAAAAAGGCUCAUUGUGCACCUAUAUUAAUGUUGUACUCUCCCUUAAUUAAAAACGUAUCAGAUUAGGAAUCCCCUUCUAUUCAUUGUAGCAAUUCUAGAUUCUAAAAUUCUUCCCAUUUCUAAAUUCUGAAAAUCAAGUGCAAACAAUUGGUCAAAAUUGAUAACUCUGGAUGCACGCCUUUAAGAAGAUAGGCAAUCUAACAUAUAACCUCUUCUCUCUUAACAAGAAAUCAAAUCAGAUAGAAAAACAUUAAUUUAUAAAUUUUAUUUUCAAUACAAGCAUUGGAGAAAUAGAAUAAUAACAACAAUAACAAUAAUACAUGUUCUUAUGCUAUUUCUCUCUAAUUUGAGGCCAAACCAGAUUAGGGAAAAAAAAAUUCUUUAAUUUGAGAAAGAAAAAUUAGUUUGGACACUUGUUAAGAUCCUCUUUAUUGACAUAAAACAAAAAAUGCGAUAAAGAGUCUGUUUGGUAUUCAAAAAUGGUUUUCUAUUUUCUAGAACAAAAAAAUAGGAAAUCAUACUUGGCAACCAGAAAACAAAGUGUUUCCAAAAAACAUUUUUUAGUUUUUUAAAAUUGUUUUAAAAAAUAUUUAUACAAAUAUGGAGAAUUAUUAAAAAUAAAGUAUUACAUAUAAAAGUUAUUUUGAAAACAUAUUUAAAAACAUCAAAAAUAAGCUAAAAACAUUUCAAGUUCCCAAACAAACAUUUGUUCUACAAAACAUCCGAGAACAAUUUUCAAAAAUUGUUCUCAAAAACUAUUUUUCAGAACCUUUUUCAAAAACAAUUCCCAAACAUAGCCAAAAUUUCAGCAAUAGAUAAAGUCAUGUUAUAAAGAUAAAACAAACAAAACAAAGAAAGCAUAUUUCAACCUCAACCCAAAUCAUAUGUAAUUCCUUCCUUAGAAGUAGAUGCAGUUUAUAACUUAGUACUUAUGUUACCGAUCAAGCAACCAGAGUUUCCAGUUACUCAUCAAAUGAAAAAACUUAGUGUAUCAUAUGUUCUUAUGGCACUAGAAAGUGGUAAUUACAGCGAAAGUUUUAGUUCAAAAAACCAACAUAUUUGAUACUUUUAGUUCAAACCUGUUCACUGUGACCCUGGGGGAAGUACACCACACGACUUCCAACAGCAGGCAGAGAUACAAGAGGGCCUGCACAUGCAUGCCAUAGCUCCGAAUUCAAGCAUUUCUUUUCCCCUGUACAAGAUUCCACACUUGAAUAAAUUUGCACAAAUUGUGAUACGAAACAAGCAUAAACAAUUUAUGGAACAAAUCAAAAACAGCAAAAUUGUGGAACUCAUCAGUGGUUUUGUAGGUAGAAUUUCUGUUUGGUCAUCUCACUAUUUUCUCUCACCUUCUUUCUUUUAUUUCUUUUUUUUUUUUCCAUAGGCUUGUUCAAUCACAUCAAAUGCAGAAUUUUUGUCAAAAUACCACUUAUUAAGUUCUUCGAGAAUGGGCUAAUGAUACACAUCAAGUUGACACUCUUCAGAACAAAAAAAGGUUGGAUAAAAUAGACACCAAGGUUAAAUCCUCCGGGAACUAAAGCUCUGACACCAUCUUAAAGUAUCACUUAGGAACUGAGCCAACAACAUGCAUCAAACUAACAACAGUAUACAUCAAGUUAAAACCUCUGUGCAGCCUGAGAGGCCCUAACCCACGUGGACAGCAGAAAACAUUUGCAUCAAAUAGAAGGACACAAAUAGAGGGAAAAUUAACCAAUGAGGUUUGAACAUCUAGGAAACGCAGCUCUGAUACCAUGUUAAAAGUACUACUUGCUUAGGAACUGGGCCAACUAUGCAUCAAACUAACUGCUUUCAACUUGCACAUCAACAACUAUGCAGACGCACAAACAAAUGAAAGCUCUGCACACUGUGAGCAAUGAUAUCAACUCAUACACUCACAAGGUUCAAUUUUUUCAUAUAUGGGAAUGCAUAUAUGAGAAUUGUGAGAGGAAAAUAUUCUCAGGAAAGACAAUGUAUCAAAGCAUGUGAGUCAAAUGUUCUGCAAAGUUUAAAAUUCCAAGAAAAACAACAAGUUUUGGGCAAAUGCAAGCUUGCCUUCUUCUGUUUGAUGAGCAAAACCCGAUGAAGAGAGCCUCAUUCUUCAGAAUCAAAGCAACUUUCAACACACAAAAGAACUUCAACUGCCCGACACAAACACAGAAACCAGAAACUCUAAUGAGGAACACCCUCCUCUCUCCUUUUAAGCACUUCACCACACAAAACCCUUCUACAAACCUUAACACAUUGGAACUGAAAAGCCGAUUCUGCAAUACCCUCCCCUUUUAAGCACUUUCACCACCCAAAAAACUUCAACAAUCCUCACCACCUCAAAGCCUUGAACCUGCUUUGCAGCAAUACCCACCACCCUUUUUAAGCAGUUUCACCACUCAAAGAACUUCAAUAACCCUCAACACCCACAAACUGAGAUUUUCUUGCAGCAAUACCCACAACCCAUUUUGAGCAUUCUCACAACCCAAAGAGCUGCUACAACCCUUCACACCCACAAACUAAUAUUUUGUAUCUGCAGUACCCAGCUCCCUUUUGAAGCCCUGUUUCACCCCCACCACCAACACCACCACCACCACCCCCCACCCCCCACUGAAACAGCUACAAGAACCUCAAAACCUAUCAUCCAAAACCAGUUCCACUACAAGCACUCACUCUCCCCAGCUUCAUAAGCUUCAGAUCUUCCCUCCCCCAAACCCUAAUUCAAAGCCCACUGAGCACAUUUCAGCUAAAAGAACAAACCCCUAAAUAGACACUCCUAGGGUUUUGAACACCCACAAACUGGGGCUCGCAAAACCCACAAAUGGGAACAACAAUUAAGCCCUUUUAAGCACUUGGGUACCCCAGAUCUCCACCUUAGAAGCCGCUGAAGUAAUUCAGAUUUGAAGCCGGUCUUCACAAAUUGAGGGGUUCCAAAGCACAGAAUAACUGAAACGAGAGAGAGUAAAAGGAAGCUUACAGAGCUGAAAUUGACUUUAGUAAAGAAGCACUUUCGGAUAGUAGUCGAAUGCUUCCUCUGAUCCUUCAAGUUUACAUUCAAUUAAUAUACAGUCGCCAUUAUUUUCGGUGGAUUUUAUAUUUAAGAGGCCACCACACGGGAACUGAAACUGGGACGGAAACGGGAACGGAAGCUUCUAUAAAAAUACAUCGAGCUUCGGUUCCUCUACGGUUAUACUCGUACAGUUUCUCCAGUUCUUCAGAUGUCUAGUCUGACCAAAGUCAAAGAGAUUUAGGGUUGCUAUGUGGUCCUGUCAAUCUUAUUUGGACCCCAAAAUUCAUCCAUAAUCAUUUAGGGAGAGUUAUUUGAUUCUUAUUCCAAAAUUAUAAUAGAUUGAUAUUUAUAUUAUUUUUAUUGAAUGAUUACGGAUUAAAUACAUAUCAAAUGAGUAAAAAACAAGAAACGAUUUAACAUGGUCGAUUAUUAUUAUUGAUUAUGUCGUUUGUUUUAUUAUAUCAAAAAUUCUUUAAUUAUAAAAAUAAAAAUAAAUUAUAAUAUUAUAUAAGUAAAUCAAAACUCGUAAAACAAUAUAUAAAACUUCAAUCUUAAUCUAAAUUUUUUCUAAAGUCAUAAUCAACUUUUAAGUCUUUGAUAUUAGAACAUUAAAGAAGUAUAAGGAUUGAUGGAAAAUAAGGAAAAGAGCAACAAAAAUGACACUAUAAAGAAAUGAUUGAUAAUUGAAAACAAGAAGGAUGAAUAUUGGAAGGAGAUAAAGACAAUAAGAAAAAUAAAAACUCGAUGUGACUCUCAAAAAUGAAAAGGAAAUGGGGACGAAAUGUAGGUGGAUUUAUGCUUGGGGUCAAGUAAGGGUGACAUUUGCCAAGUCAUAGCUCUAAAAGCCAAGCUAUCAAACAAGGUCUCCAACCAUCCAAAACUUUUUACAUGAUUGAUAGUAAAAUUUCUUGGUCCUUCACCCAAAUACUAAAAGUUAAUAAUGGGUUUUCUAAAAACAGUGAGAUCCUUUAAGGGCAGCACUUACUACAAGGGUGAUGGAUGGGAGUGGUAUAUAAGGUUGGACAAGGGCCCUAUUUAUCUUAUUGUUUCUAUUUUGCCAUGUGUAAUGCUUGUGGGCCUCAAGCAUCUAUCUCAUAGAUCCUUGCAGACCUUCUCCCUUUUUUUAAUUUCAUUUUUGAGUGUUGGAACCAAACGAAUACCACCAUGGUUUUUAUCGAGAAUUUGAAGAUACGUUUGAUAGAAAAUCAUUAUUAAUAAAAAUUAGUUAUUUUUUGAACUUAAUCAAUUAAUUUACUAUAGAAUCACUAUCAAAUUUUAAUUUGAAAAGACUUUUUGUUAUUUCCAGAACAAGAAAAAGUUGAUUCAGAUUCAAAAGAUCAAGCAAAAUUUUUAAUUUUUUUUUUCGAUAAGUUAUAACUGAUCCUAAGAAUCAAGCAAUUAGAAAAAAACCUAUUGGAAUAAAAGAUAUCAGUUAAAACGUCCUUGAUAGUUAUACAAAUUAAUGAAGAAUAAGGAGGAAUGAGAAACUUUAGUGGUGUACCAAGAGAUUUGUUCUUUCUAAAUUGUUUAAUUAGAAAAAAUAUAAAUUCGAAAACCCCAAAAAUGAAAAUGUAGUAGGCAACAACUUUUGUUACAAAAAUGACAAAACUUGCUAUGACAUCAAAUAAUGAUCAUAAUCUUGGUCCGAAACGAAGUCUAUAACAUUAUACUCAUGUAAACGUAGGUAGGGAUUGUCGGUGUUAGAACUUAUUUUUCCAUUUGACAUUAAGACAUCACAAUCACCCUCCACAUCUCUCAUGUAAAAAUCUAUUUUUUUUUAGAAACGUGAUGAAGACUUUUUCUUAUAACCAAUUUAGGUAAUGACAUGAUAUGUGGUAUCUACUGUCUCUCUUCAUAAAUCUAUAUAAAGACAAAUGGAUUUGAGGCUUUGCCACAGCAAACUCCAAUUUAUACCUGCUGUAAAAGCAUUUGGUUUUGGAAACUUUUGAGAAUUAGAUGUGGUGCUAUAAAGUAUUGUACAUGUCAAACCAAUACAGCAUGCAUGGUUAUUAAUAUUGGAAAAGUCAAAAAGAUUUCUUUCUCGAAGUCCUCUAAAUGUUUGUUUGCAUUCAUGGAAGAAGUCAUGAUUUAGUUCUUCAAUUGUUUGAAUAUAGUUUUCUUCUUUAUUUUCUCCUUGAGUGGACACAAAAAGAAGAAAAUUAGAGAAAUUAAUGUCAGUAUUAUGAAUCUUCUGGAGAAAAAAUCAAAUGUGAAAUUCCAUAUGAAACCCAUUAUUAUUUUUCUAAGUCUCUAAACUGAGGGAGAGAGAACAGCAUGAUUUUAUUCAACAUUACACCAAACCAGAUACACAUAGGUAGGUCUAUAUCAUGGCUCUCUCAUGAGAACCUUUACCAUAUACAAAGCCAUAUAUAUAGCUGGGAGUAGAGAAGUUAGCAAGACGCCAUACUUCCUCUCUUUAUUCUUCAUUUCUCAACCUCCCUUCUUACUGGAUUCUGCACCCACAUACAAAAAAAAAACCCUUAUCAUCAGUUACGUCCCCUCAAAAAAUGAAACGAACCAGCAACAUAUAUCAAGGUAGUUAAAUACUCACUGGUCACAAUUUGUGGUCAUGGAAAUAGGAAUGCCGAUCUGGACUCCACACUUGGUAGGGAGGGCGCUGGCCGCGUCCUCCUUGAUGUUCUGGAACUUGCUUGCGGCGGCCUUAACGCACCUGCAGGCAUCUCUCCUGUCGGUCGUGGUGGGAGUCAAGAGCUUCAAGUUCUGGACACCAUUGCAGCAGGGCGCUGCAGGGUUACCCCCACCAGUGAGGUAGGGCAUGCAAGGAGCGAGCGAGGUUUCGACUUGUCCGCAGGUGACUGCAUAGCCCGGCUGCACCAUGACUGCAACCGUGGCAACAACCACCAUAACUGCAAUGACCACCCCACCUUUCAUUUUCGUUUCUUCUUCUUCUUCGGUGAAAUGCUAGCUAGUGCGUAGUAUUACUAGUGCUUGUGGGGGUGAUGGAAAGGGGGGUUACAGGUUAUUUAUAGGUGGGCGAUGUGGGAAGCAUCCGAAAGGGUGAGUGGGGAGGGUGGCACUGCUUGUUAUCAUAUUUUGGCUUCUUGUUUGCCUUUAAACGUCAUUGGUGUAGCCUAAAAUAGUAAAGGAGAGUGCUUUUCCUCAUGAAUCUGUUCCACUUUUCCUAGCUUGGCUACAUUUGAGCAUUGUUGUUUACUAGUUUAUAGUGUGGUGCAUGUCCAUGUGUCUUUGCUUCUGUAUACGUGCUUAUCCCACAUAAUCAGAAGUUUUGAAGGCAAAAUGACUUGGCACUCAUACAGGAACCACAGAGAUAUGAGAAUGUGAGGGGCCAUGUUCUCUAUUUGCUUUCAUACCCUUUGAGCCAGGGAGAAUAAAGAAGGGAGAAAGAGAAUAAAAUUGUUCAUUCCACUAAGGCCUCGUCUGGUUCAGCUUUCCCAUUUUUGCUUUAGGUGAAAGAAAGUCAGAAGUUGAAAGUUAAAAUCACAAUUUUUAAGGAUUAAUAUUGAUACCAUAAACAUUUUAUUAAACAUAAAAGAAAUUUCUUAAAUAAGUAGUAGAAUUUGUAUAAAAGAUGAUCUUCAACUCGUUAGUUAAACAAGUAAAGAGAAGAAAAUUAACUUCUUUCGAGUGAAAAGUGAGCAUACCUGUAACAAGGUGUAUCUGAACGAAAUUUUCGGGUACCAAUAAAAUUUAUAGACCGCAAAAUAAUUCAAGUUUCUGUUUUCUUUUCUUUUUUCCAUUUUCUUUUUCCCACAAUUUUCAUAUUUAUACUUUAGUUUAUAGUUAGUUUUGUUAUACUAAUGGUUAAAAAUACUUAUAUUUUGUACCAUGUAUAUCUAUAUAUAAUAAUAAAUCAAUAUUAUUAUUUCAAUAAUAAGAUUAAAAAUAGAAAAUAAACAUUAAGCCUACCCAAAAAGAAAAAAAAAAUAAAACAUAAAAAAUGAAUUAGAGUAACAAAAGAGAUUAUCACUUUGAUAAUAAAGAUGGAAAUUAGUUCAAAAUUGCUUACUUUCCAAAUAUUCUUUAUUUUAUCUUAGUUUAAUUUACAAGAUGUAAUUAUCUUCUAGUAUUCCAACAUUUUUAGAAAAAUUUAUAUCUCAAUAUGAAAUUUUCUUAAAUUAUUUAUUUAUUUAUUUUUAAUUUUUAAUUAUCACUUAUAUAUAUGUUUCCACUCAUAGUAUAGGAUUUGAGAGAAUUAGAAUAUUACGCCAAACCAACACAUAAACGCAUUCGAUUCAUGCCAAAUCUAACCUCAAUUCGUGCCAAACCUGUGGACAACUUGGGUUUCUAUGGGUUUUCACGAGCUAUCAAAUAAAAAGAUUAUAGUGAAAUCUCCUAAUAAAAAAAAUAUUGAUUUUAAAGUUACAAAACAUAAAACAAAUUAAGGUUUGUAUUUUUCAAAUCCAAACUCGGCUCUAAUCCUUUAAGUGUAGACAUCAAAUUUUUUUAUAAAUUAAAUUAUUAUUAAAUUGGUCUUCAAAAUUUUAGCUUCCCAAUUUAACAAAAUUUGGUCUCAACAAGUGAUGCAUCGUAUACAUAUGACACGUAUUAUAUAUUUAAAAGGUAACACCUGACGUAUAUUUAAAAGGUGUCAUAUAGGAAAAAGAGAAUAAAAAUAAUAACAAAAAUUCUUUUAUCCUCAAACUUUUAAAGAAAACAAAUCUUUCGAUUGAAGUUAAAAAAAAAAAUUAAAUAAAUAUUCUCUCAUUGGCAAAUUUUCUAAAUAAACGAGACAAGUUACCAAAAUCAAGAAACUAAAUUUAUUUGAAUUAAGCCACUAAAUCUGAGAGAUUCUAAAUUUUAUUCACCUAUAAAUAAUGGUGACUUCCUUAAUGAAAGGGAAAGAGACUUUGAACCGAUCAAUAAAAUGACUUCAAACAGGAAAAUGGGGUUUACAAAGAAAAUAAAAAAAUAAAAGAACUUCACAAAAUCCUUUUGCAAAUUCAAGAAAUCUCAAGAGUACUACACACAAUCUUCUUCAUUUAACAAAUUCAUUCAGGAAUAAGUCAUUUAAUGCCCUCAAUUGAUCUUCAAAACUAAGAAAACGUUUUUGUUGUCAUUUUUCAAAAUAUGUUCAAAAUAAAAAAAAAUUAAAUAAAAAAAUAUUCUUUUUAAAUAAUAUUAACAUAUAAAUUGUAUCCCCACAAUUAAUUUUUUUAAAAAAAAUCUUAUUUCAUAUAUUUUUCUAUUGUUUUUCUUAUAUUACAAAACUUCACGAAAUUUGUGCAUACAACCCACCAUCUCCAAAACAACUCGAACUUCGGAGUUGGAUGAGUUCAAUCGGGCCAAAUUGUAAAUUUAGGUGUGAGUGAGAGUGUUAAUUUAAUAUACAUUAUGGCUUAUCUCCUAUCAACUCAAACGUUUAAAAAGAAGGAAGUUAAUCAAAGAUCUAAUCUCUCUCUUUCUCUUUUUUCAACAAAUCUUAUCAAAUUGAUUUGUCCAAUCUUGUGGAAGUCUACAUUUUAAAUAUUUUUAAUGUAAGAUGUCUUCCAUCAAAGUGAAGAAUGAUUUGAAGCUUAGUCCCUUUUGUCUCAUAGUUAUUGUCCCCACAGGGAUUGCCCUCAUCUAAAGCCAUCAUUUCCACCACCACUCUCACCAUCACCAUUUCUUCCUAUCUAUCUUAGUGACCGAUGCUAUCGUCACCGGAUUAGAAUUGAAAUAAAGGCGGUUAUAUGCAAGUUUGAGAUUUUUUUUUUUAAAUCGAGGAUAGUUCAUAUAUUGUUUUUUCUCAUCUUGUUCUAUCAUGAUUGUAUAUAUAUAAUUAAAUUAAAAAUAAUUUAACUUAAAUUUUUAUUUUCUUAUUUUUAAUACAUAUAAAAUAAUAAACUAUUUUUCAACUAAAUAAGUUGUAAAAAAUUAUAAUAUUCAUUUAUUUAUAAAGUAUAUUUAUUUCUAAUAUAAUUAAAAACUUUAAAAAUUAAACAGAUAAAGUGGGUAUACAAAAUUCUCAUUUCGACCUAUUUCAUUUAAAAUUUUAAUUGGAUUGAAAAUGAUAAUUAAUUUAUAUAAACAGAAGACAACAACUCUUUUUGAACUUGCUUAAUUACCCUUCUUGGUUUGUAAUAAUGAUAUGGAUAUAAAUAUAUGGCACAAUAUUUUUUUUUAAUAAAAUUAGAAAUAGAUUUAUGAAUCCAUCAAGAAUAAGAUACCUUGAUAUUGUAUAAAAGUACUAUGUCUUAGUUUGUUUGUCUAAAUGUUUAAGUAAAAUUAGUAAUUUUCAAAUAUAUAUCCACCAAAAGAAUUUUCUUUAUGUAAAACCUUUUCAAUUAACCAAAACCAAAUAAGUUAUUUAAAAAAAAAAAAAUCAAACAACAUGGUAAACGUAGAGUCGAAUGGGUGGGAGCCCUAUGAGCACUCUUUUGUAAACCAAUUACAAGUAUAAAUAACAUAAAGAAAUAUAUUUAAAGAUUUGAAAUCAUCGAGUAAGUUUCUUAAAUUGGAUUAAGAGUCGUGAAUGUAUUUGUAUAAUCUUCAAAUAAAGAUAGUAGCACAAUAAAUACUAUGAAUCUCGAAUCAUCAAAUAAGUUCCUUAAAUUGAAUUAAGAGUUGUGAAUGUAUUUAUAUAAUCUUCAUCUUCAAAUAAAGUUAGUAACACAACAAUUAGUAUAGAUUUAACAUUCAAUUAUGAAAUCCUCGAAAAGAGAGGGUAAAUCAAAAUCCAAAACCGAAAACUAAUCAAAUUGACUUAAUGGAUAAAUUAGGGAUACAACAAUAAAAACAAUAGUUAGGUGAUGUUUUUCUUCCAUCUCUUCCAACCAAAUCCCUUUUUAGCUUCUUCUAAGCCUAAUCUCUUUUGUAAUCUUCAUGCCAAUUCCCAUAAACAUUAAUAAUCUCAUUGCCUCAUGACUUCGACAAUUUCAAAUGCUUUAUCGAAAUUAAAAAUUGAAAAUAUGAAUUUAUCCCAACUAAAAAUAAAAUAAAAUUAAAGAUUGCAUCAUAGAAUUGACUUUCAAAAACCCCCUAAUAAACUGUGAAGAAAAAAAAAUUGAAAAUGAUAAAUAUAGGUAGGUUUUUGAAAUUUUGAUUCAUACCCCACUAUCAUAAUGAAAAACAUAAAAUUUAGAAAGUGAACAAAUAAAGAAGAUGGUCAAACAAAAAAAAAAUUAAAAGGAGGAAAUUUGGGAAAAACUAAAAAAAUUGUGAAUUUUUGGAUUGAGAUUUGUUAGAUGUUAAAAAUGAAGAAGAUGGGAAUUAAAUGGUUUGGAUUGUUAAAAAUAAAAAUAAAAAAUAAUAAUAAGAAGAAGAAAAAGAAAGAAGAAGGUGUUUAGUUUGUGGAGAAGAAGAAUGUCAAGGUUGUGAAUCAAAGUUAAAGUUCUAAGAAAGAAUAAUAUGAAAAUUAAGGUUCUAUUUGAUAAUUAUUUUUUAAAACAUAAUUUUUUUUUUAAAAAAAAAAAUUGAUGUUUUAUAGAACAAUUACCUAUUUAGAAAACUGAAAUAUUUUUAACCUAUUUUUUUAAAUAUAUUUUUAAAAUAAAUUAUAUAUGCAUUAUUUUAUUUUUAAUCAUUUUCCAUCUUUGUAUAAUUAUUUUUUAAAACAGUCUUAAAAAAAAACAAGUAAGAGCAACCGAAAAUAAUUAAAAGAUGUUAUAUAAAAAUACCAUAUUUUUUUGUUGUCAAACAUGUUUUCCUUUUUUUUUUUGCUUUGAAGAACAAAAAAUUGUUUUUGAAAAUUGUUACCAAAUAUGCCCUAAACCUUUAGGGUUUAAUUUGUGGAGAAGAAGAAUUUGAAAGUUGUGAAUCAAAGAUUAAAGUUUGAAGAAGGAAUAAUAUGAAAACUAAAAUUAGAAUAUUAGAGUUUCAAUUUUGAAAAUGAAGAAGAUGAAGAAUUGAAGCCAAAAGAUUAUACUUCCAAAUACUAAGGACUAAGAAGGUGGGUGGCUCCCCACAAAUUUUCACUAUGCCAACCACAAUGAGGCUACAUGAGAUUGGGAACAAAGGAAAUCACAAAGCACACUAGAUUACGAGAUUGAAACUCCCCAA